GAAAUAAUUUUAUCAGAUUCGCUUGAAAGUAGUUUUACGAGCAAGCAGUUUUUCCCUCUUGAUCCCCGUAUUCAUCAGCUCCUACUCUUUGCCUUCAAUUCCCAAUCAAGUAGUAUCAGUUUUUGUUGUCAGCUCUCUUGAAUUUCACUGGAUCAAGUUUUCUCUUGGCAUCUGUUUUGUUGUAAUCUCCAGUCUUUGUUAAUUAGUUUCUCUCCAUUCCCAAUCUUGUUGUGGCCUGCUGUACUCUCUGUUUGGUUCCAUAUCUACCCUUUGUACUUCUACCGUGUCAAGAUAUCUUCAUUUUUUCCAUCUCUAUUACCAGUCAAUAUUUUUUCCGUCUUUCUUCUGGUCAAUACUUCAGUUAUUCUGAUUGGUUCCCUUCGCCUCUAUUAUCUAAAUCAUUCCUUAUAUUAAUUCAAUCAGUUCUCGAACUAGAAACCUUUUCCUUGUUUCCAUCUUCUCACCAGAUCCAUAACAGCUUUUACUCUUUCUUUCAUUUCUCCGCUUCCACAACCGGAUAAACUGUCCAUCUUCGUUGUUUCGCUUUUUUUUUUUUUUUCACUCUCUCUAUGUUUCGCUCGUUGUUUAUUUUCUUGUCAGAACUUUGAAAAAAAAAAAAAAAAAAAGGGAUCCAGGAUGGUGGAAAGCAUUGUUACUGUUGUUUUAGAAUUUGUGAAAUGCUUGGCUCCUCCAACAGAACGCCGAUUUGGUUAUUUGCGUAACUAUAAAGCCAACGUUGAGAAUCUCAAGGCAGAAAUAGACAAGCUCAAGGAUGAAAGGAGAAGCAUUCAGCACAGGGUUUCUGAGGCUGAAAGAAAAGGGGAAAAGAUUGAAGAGAAGGUUGAGAAGUGGCUGGUUCGUGCGAACAACACCAUUGAGCAGUCAGCCAAAUUCAUUGACGAUGAGGAGACAAGAAAUAAACGAUGUCUCAUGGGCUUGUGUCCUAAUUUGAAGACCCGCUAUCAGCUUAGCAAGGAAGGAGAAACAAAGGUGAAGGCCAUUGUUGAACUCAAAGAAGAAUCUGGGAAAUUUGAUGAUAGAAUUUCCUUCCGUACCAUUCUGGAGGAUAUAUGGUUCAAGUCUCACAAAGGCUACGAGGCCUUCGAAUCAAGACUUUCUACUUUGAAGGCCAUACAAAAUGCAUUGAUCGAUGUUGAUGUCAGCAUCAUUGGGGUCUACGGCAUGGGCGGCAUUGGAAAGACGACACUGGUGAGGGAGUUUGCUAGGCGAGCCAUUGAAGACAAUCUUUAUGAUAUGGUGGCUUUUUCGGAGGUUACCCAAAGUCCAGACAUAAAAAAGAUCCAAGAGGAAAUUGCGGAAAAGUUAGGCCUACAGUUGUCCGAGGAAGCUGAGGCUAGAAGAGCUAGUACACUACAUGAAAGAUUGAAGAAUGAGAAUAAGAUCCUUGUGAUUCUGGAUAACAUCUGGAAACCUCUUGAUUUGGGGACGAUUGGAAUUCCUUUUGGAGUUGAGCACAGAGGAUGUAAAUUAUUAUUCACAACAAGAGAUCUUGAUGUGCUGUUAAGGAUGGGAUCUGAAAAAAACUUCUCGAUUGGCAUUUUAAAUGAACAAGAAGCCUGGAGAUUGUUCAAGAUAAUGGCAGGUGAUUAUGUGGAAAAUCGUGAGUUAGAAUCUACAGCAACAAGUGUAGCCAAGGCAUGCGGAGGUUUGCCUAUUGCCCUAACCACAGUAGCAAAGGCACUGAGAAAAAAAGAGCUGCCUGUGUGGAAGAAUGCCUUGCAAGAGCUCCAAACGCCUUCAGAGACGAGCUUCGACGAAGGAGUACCAGCAGAGGCAUACUCAACAAUUGAGCUGAGUUACAAGUACUUAAGAGGUGAGCAGCUCAAGAAAACUUUUUUACUGUGUAGUCUUAUUACGCCAGCACCAAUUAUGGACUUGUUCAAAUAUAGCAUGGGCUUGGGUGUAUUUAAAAGUGUCCAUAAGCUAGAAGAUGCACAUAACAAAUUAGAUGCAUGGGUCCAUCAACUAAGAGACUCUUGUUUGUUGCUUGAGGAUGGUGGCAGUAAAUACUUUUCUAUGCACGACGUUGUUCGCGAUGUUGCCAUUUCAAUUGCAUGUCGUGACAAAAUUGGAUUUGUGGUGAGAAAUGAGGAUGAUUGGAAAUGGCCAAAUGCAGAUGAAUUAAAAAAAUAUCUUGCAAUUUCUUUAAAAGAUAGUACUAUUAAUGACAUUCCUGAAGGGUCCGAAUCUCUACAACUUGAACUUCUAGUCAUGUCUCCCAAGAACUCUUUUGCUGUGCCUAAUAUUCCUGAGAACUUCUUCAAAAGGACGAAAAAGCUUCGGGUUUUGGAUUUGACUAGAAUGCGGUUAUUGUCAUUGCCAUCUUCAAUUGGUCUUCUAGUAAAUCUUCAGACACUUUGUCUUGAUCAAAGCAUUUUGGGAGGCAUAGACAUAGCCAUUAUUGGAAAGUUGGAAAAUCUGGAAAUCCUUAGCUUUUUGCGAUCUGAUAUUGUAGAGUUGCCUAAAUCACUAGGUCAACUGACUAAGCUAAGGCUGUUAGAUUUAACAGACUGUUUCCAUCUAAAAGUUAUUGCUCCAAAUGUCAUAUCAAGCUUAAUCCGAUUAGAAGAAUUUUAUAUGUAUAAUUGCUCCAUUGAAUGGGAGGUUGAAAGUGCCAACAGCAAAAGAAGUAAUGCUAGCCUUGACGAAUUGAAGCAUUUACGUCGGCUAACCACUCUAGAAAUUGAUGUUAAAAAUGAGAGUAUGUUACCAGAAAGCUUUUUGGCCAGAGAGCUCGAAAGGUUCAAAAUAUCUAUUGGAAAUGGGUCAUUCAUGCAUCCCAUGCUUUUUGGACAAUAUUGGUUUAAAAGUCGGCCGCACUUUUUGAUCGACAGUAAUCGCAAGAUUUCAAGAACAUUGAAGCUCAAGCUUGAUUUUAUGGACAUUCGCUCCAUGAAAUUGCAGGGCAUCAAUAACGUUGAAUACUUAUUGUUGGACAAGCUACGAGGUAUCGAGAAUGUUCUUUUCAAUUUGGACACGGAGGGCUUUUCACAAUUGAAGCUUCUCUGGGUUCAAAAUAAUCCAGGCUUCUUUUGCAUCGUCGAUUCAAGGGAGAUGGUCGCUUGUGAUGCCUUUCCUCUUUUGGAGUCACUUGCCCUUCACAAUUUGAUCAACAUGGAGAGGAUAUGUAUUGAUCCGCUCAAAGUAGAGUCUUUCAACAAACUCAAAACCAUAGAAGCAUAUAAUUGUGAUAAAUUGAGUAAUAUCUUUUGGCUCUCUACAACAAAAUGUCUUCCAAGACUUGAGAGAAUUGCAGUUAUUAAUUGCAGCAAGAUGAAAGAGAUUUUUGUAAUUGGGGAAGAAGUUGAUAAUGCAAUUGAGAAGAUAGAGUUUGCUCAAUUAAGAUCUUUGAGUCUGGGGAAUCUUCCAGAGGUUACAAGUUUUUGCCGUGAAGUAAAGACUCCUUCAGCAUCACCAAACAGACCAGCGAAAUCACUUUGGAUACUUCAACUCUGCUUUUCAACGAGAAGGUGCGUAGGCUAACAUUUUAUUUAUAUAUAUAUAUAUAUAUAACAGACUUUAUUCUAUCAUGCGUUCUGUUUUGAUGUCAUACGUGGAAAAUGUUGGGAAAAUAUGCUCUUUAAAAGCAUAUGUGUUUAUUUAAUUGUAAUAAACAAUUUUUCUGAUUAAUAAAAUAAAUGAGGUAUUUUAUUCAAAUAUCUUAAUUGCAUUAAUAUUUGUAUUAAAGUCCAUUUAAUCAUAUUAUAUGUAUUUAUGUGAUCACCAUGUGGAUUCACAGAAGACAUAAAUACAAGUUAUCUUAUGAUUAAAUAAAUUUAGUUCGCAGUUGAUAAAUAAAGUUGGGCACUUUAUUUAGGUAUAGACUGUAAUAAAUUCAUUGAAUGAUUUGUCUUAAUCAUGUAUGAAUUUAUUGAUGUAGUACGACUACAUUGAACAGGAUCACAUAUGAGAUUUAAUUAACUUUGUAAUAACUGUCAGACUUAUUAAAUCUCAUAGGCGUUGAUUUUACUGUAAUCUUAAUCUUGAGUUAAUUAUGAUUUCAUGAUUGUGAUUGUUAUUUCAUUUGAGUUACCAAUGGGCACGACACAUCCUUGUGGUCAAGAUUACCCGGUAUCUUGGUGGGAGCAAUUAUGAGUAUUGGAGUUAUGGAUUAACAAUAUAGAAUUUGUACAACACAUCUCUUGAUAGGUUUUCGGUACUUGAUCAUAGAAUUCUCUGGCCAGAGUGUGUCAACAUAUUUAGUAUGUUGAAAAUGAUCAUUAGAGAAAACCAGUAAGGAUCAAGGAAUAAGAUGUUAUUAAAUUGAUUGGACAGUUGAGAUAUCAAUUUAAUUAACGAUGUGGUACAAAGGAUUGUGCAGUAAAGAAAUCAAUGUGGCUUGGGACGAAUUAUUAUUCGAGCAUACAAUUAUGGAAGUCAGUUCCAAUCUUUUAGUGGAGUAGAUUUGGAAUUAAAUAAUUGGGCUAGUUUAAUUACAGGCCUAAUUAUUGUAGCCACUAUUGUAUGUUCCCAAAUGAUCCCCGGGUUAGCUCAUUUAAUUGAUUGCACCACUGCUGGACUAAUAAGCAAGAUAACUAGCUAUUUGGGUCAAAAGCCUAAAUAUAUCAUUUAGUGGGAGGCUCCAUUUAAUAAGCUUAUGUGUAAGGGGCCUUAUGUUAUUUUACAUGGUGGGUCCCCUAUUAAAUGAAAAGUAACGUGAGUUUUAUUUUGGGGGAAUCCUUGGAGCCUAGGGUUUUCACUAAAGGGAGAUAUAUAAGGCUUAUUUUCCCAAAAAGGAAAAAGCAGAAGCCACUUUAUACAAAUCAGAGAAUAAGAUUUUUCUCUCCAUUGUUGAGAGAAAAAUUUUCUCGUGCUAGUUGCUUUGGUAGUGAUAAAGGCGCCCACACGUCAAGUGCAGAUCGAACCUGAGUCAUAACCUGGAAGAUCAUUGGAGACAGUUCGUGAUCUAACAAGCGUGGUGGUGACGGAUCGUGAUCUAACAGGAGUGGUGGUGGCGGAUCGUGAUCUAGGAGCCUAAAUCACUUCAGCGGAAAAAGCAAACUCAGAUUUACAAGGUACGAUUUCUAGAAUACGAAUUCUUAUAUAUAUAACAAUUGGUAUCAGAGCCAUCUCAUAUUAAUAUAUAAGAAUUUCGUAUGAAAUUAAUCUUGAAAUUUAUGUAUUAGAGUGGCACAAUUUAUUCAGAUGUAUAUUAUUUAUUUAAUAUAUGAAUAAAGCAUGCUUAUGGUUUGUCUUAAUUCAUGGUUAGAUUUUCUUUUGUAUUGUUCUUUGGAUCUGUAACAAGAGGGGUGGUUUUUUAUCACCAUGUUUCCCUCUUGAUUUAUUUUACAGUUAUAGAAUUUUUGUAAGCCAAAAUUGGUCUAGGAAAUUUGUAAAUUAAUCUCAGAUUUUCAAGAUCGGAGCGACGGAGGCCGGAAAUUAUGACAGCGGCAGCAAACCAGGGCAUGCUGCAGCAGCGUGCGCGGCCAGCAAUGGCCAGCAUCGCGCGCUGCGCUGUGCGCAGCAAAGCAGCGCGCGCGGCCAACAUUGGCCAGCGGCGCGCGCUGCGCUGUGCGCAGCAAGCAGCGCGCGCGGCCAGCGUGGCCAGCAGCGCGCGCUGCAUGUGCUGCAGCUGGAAGCAACGCUGCCGAGGCCAGCAGAAAGUUGCGCGCGGGUUUUGGCACGUUUUCCGGCCAGGCGGCAGCAGUUGGUUUGGCGUCGGCGUCGGCGUCGGAGGUCGGCUGGCGUCUGAACAGUGAAGGAGGAUUUUGGAGAUGGCGGCUGGGGAAGAAGAAAGAAAGAAAAAUAUGGAUUUAGGGUUUCAUGGCUUUUAUCAUGGAGGUCCCUAUGGUUCCAUAAUUUUUCACUUGGGCAGUCAAGUUUUAAUUUUUUGCAUUUAAGUCUAAAAAUAGUUUUGGGCUUAAAGAAUCCUAGUUUUAGGCCCAAUUGAUAUUUGGGCUUAAUGGAUUAAAAAUGCAUAGACAAAAUUAAAUACAUUAAAUUUAUUUUUGGUCCAAAAGUUUUAUUUUAAUAAAAAAAAAAUAAAAUAAAAAUAAAAUAAUUUAUUUAUUUAUUUCCUUUCAAAAUUAAAAUUGGACCAAUUAUAAAUUUAAAAGCUCAAUUUCCCCUAGUCCAUUAACAAAAACAAGCUUAUGGAAGAUGGACAUUGACAAGAAGCCCAAUGAAGAUUAGGCUUAGGGUUAAUGUAUUUUUCAUUAUUAGGAAAGCCAUGAAUUAAGAUUAUUUAAUAGUUUUUCUAUAUGUUAUGUUUUGGAUGAUAACAUGCCAUGAUAACAUGUCAUAUAGAAUAGGUAGUGCCACUCUAUGCAUAAUGAUACAUGUCAUUCAUUAAUAAUGAAUUUCAUUAUAUUGUUUGAAAUUUGUAUAUGCUUAAUAAUAUUUGAUAUCAUCUAGAUAAUAUUAUAUGAAGCAUGCAAUUAACAAUAUGUAUGUUUUAAAAAGGAAAAACCAAUUUUAAAAUAUUGAGUGGGAGAGGGAAAAUUCAAGAUAAUUUUCCCACGGGCUCCAUUGUUAGUUCAAUAAUAAAAUUAUAUAUAUACCUCGACUUCAUGAUACGGUGAUGCUCCCUUCGGAGGGUAUAUAUAUUAGAUAUUUUAUUUGAUGAACUUCUUCAAAGAUAAAAUUGAAAUAUUUUUCAAUCGAUUGUUCACCCCAACGGUGACUAUUGAUAUGAAAAAUACGUAGAUUGAAACAAUGGUUAUACACUCAACUAAAGUUUGUUAUUAACCUUCCCAACGAAGCUCUGUUAACAAAUUUAGGUCCAAAGGGAUAACGAUAAUUAUUUAUCAUGUCUCUACAUGAAAGUAAAUAAUCCAAUGGAUAAUUGGGUCUAGUAAGUGUAGACAUGACUUCCCCAACGGAUAGCUUGUCAAAGCGGUACUAGAUUAUCGUUACAAUAAAUUAAAAUGCAUUUAUGGUUUUUUGCAUUUUUGUCAUUUAUUGUGAAUAUUGUUUCAAAGUAUUUAUGCAUGUGUAUUUUGUUUUUUCAGAAAAUGUCUUCCAUCAACCCAUUAUUAUUUAUCCUUGUUAAAAAUGAACUCACUGGCGAAAAUUAUUUAGAUUGGAAACGCAAUCUAUUUAAUAUUCUCACUGCUAAGGGAAGCAAAUAUGUGUUGACCCAGCCUUGCCCUCCUGAACCAUCGUUAUACGAUUAUAGAAAUCAGAGGGAGCCUUAUGAGAAAUGGUGCGAAGCUAACAAAAUGGCUAAGCGCUAUAUAUUGGCUUCGAUUUCUGUGGAACUGCAUAAGAAACAUCGGAGCAUGGAAACAGCUACUGAAAUAAUGGCUAGUCUUCAUCAGAUGUUUGGGCAAAAUACCCAUUUUGCCAGAGAAGCAGCAUUAAAACGUAUUACGGAUACUCAGAUGGAAGAGGGCACAAAAGUUCGUGAUCAUGUCCUCAAAAUGAUGGACUAUUUGAAUGAGGUAGAGAUUCAUGGUGUUCAAAUCAAUGAUAAAUCAAAGAUUAACAUGGUGAUUGAAUCUUUACCUGAUACAUUCAAAGAGUUUAAGGUCAGCUAUAUCUUAAACAAUAAAGAUAUGACCUUAAUUGAAUUAAUGCACGAACUACAUGCUAUAGAAGAAUUUUAUCAUAGCAGAAAACUUCCUGAAAAAGGAUUCUCUUCAAGGCUUAAGUCAAAAGACAAGAAUGAGCAAGCAAGAGUUGGGAUCGGCAAACUGUCCAUUAAAAGAAGUGGCAAGCCAAAAGGCAAGUGUUACAAAUGUGGACAGAAGGGUCACUGGAAGAAAGAUUGUCCUAAGAUUAUUAAAAUCAGGUAUAGGAAAUCUUUAAGCUUCCUAAUUAGUUUAGAUUUCUAUUGAUUCAUACAAUAAUGAAUUCUGAGAUAACUAAUCUUAUUUGUAAUUCAUUUAUUUGGUUUUCAGGAAACCAAGAGAUUAAGUGAAGAAAGCUUCAAAUAGCAGUUGAGGAUGUGCUAGUUUAUAUCAAUUGAAAGACUAGAUCAAUUUUACAAGACUUUAGUUUUGAUAUUUGUCUUUAUUUUUCCAAAUAUUAGAGGAAUUUAAUUUCAGUGGCUUGUUUUAAUAAACAGGAGUACACUGUUAUUUUUGGAUCCUCUGUUUAUUACUUAUUUUGGUUAUUUAUAAAGAUAAUUUAUAUCAUAAAAGUACAUUGAUCUAUUCAAAGUAAGAUAUAAUGAUUAAAAGUAUAUGCAUUUAUCUAAGAAAAGAAAUGUUUCUUCUAACCAAAAAUCACCUCUGAUAGUUAUGCUUAAGUCAUAUAAGCUAUAAUAAGAUUUUAAGAAAAUGAUUAAUGAUAGACUUGUUGGCCUAUUAAGAUUGAUCAUUGUAACUCUAUAAAUCUUAUUUAGAAAAGUAAUAUGACAAGGAUACUCUUUAUGAGCUAAAAGCAUAACAUUGUAUUUGAUGAUUUAGCGCAUACAAAUGUAUACGGACUAAUCAGUUUACAUGUUAUAAGAGGUUAUGAGUAUUCUAUCAAUCUAGUUGAUGAAUAUUCAUUUUAUGUUUGUCUAAAUGAGUCAUGAUUCCAUUGCUUUUGAAAUUCAAAAGAGUACGUGAAUAAGACAGAAGCAAUUAGACAGGAACAUAAAAGAAUUUCGAUAUGAUCGAAACAAAGAAUAUCUCUAUGGAGAAUUCAAGCACUAUUUGGUUGUCAAUGAACACUAUGAUACAAUAGUGUAAUUAAAUAGAGAAACAAGAUUCUUUUGGAUAAGACAAGAUAUAUACUAAGUGGUUUAUCAUUUACCUUUUUGAUUCCAGAUACUAGUAUUUGAAACUACAAAGUUUAUUGAACUUAGUUUCAUCUAUCUCGGUGUCCACUACUCCAAGAAAUUAUGAAAAAGUCACAAACAUGGUUUGAGACACAUUCGUAUUUGGAGUUUACUAGAAUCAGAGAUAGAGAAGAUGGAUUCGUGUUCAGAAGCUUGCAUGUUUUAGGUAUCUUAAAGGAAUAAGGGAAAGUCUGAAUUAUAGUCCUCAAGAUAGGAAUGUAUUUAUAGAAAUAUUUUUUACUUUCUUUGAGGAAGACUAUAUAAUGACUUAUAACCUAAGAGUAAGGUAAAACUAGAGAAAUAAAAGAGAUCAGGUUGAUGCUCAGCUUUCAACACCUGUUAUAGAACAGGAAGAACAGCAACAACCAGCUGAUCAGCACAGGAUUAUCCUUGAACAACCAUCACUUUUAGAACCUCGUCGUAGUGGGAGGGUAACUAGGUUACCUGCAAGAUACAUGUUUUUGGGAGAAACCUAUAAGGCUAUCUCAGAUGAACAUGUACAAGAUCCCACUAGUUACAACGAAGCUCUAAUAGAUAGAGAUGAUGAAUUUUGAAAAAGGCCAUGAAUCAAGAAAUGGAAUCUAUCUAUUCCAAUAAAGUCUGGGAACUUGUAGAGGCACCAAAUGGGGUAAAACCUAUAGGGUGCAAGUGGAUCUACAAGAGAAAAAGAGGAGUAGACGGAAGGGUGGAAACAUUUAAAGCAAGAUUAGUAGCCGAAGGGUUUACUCAGAAAGAAGGAAUCAAUUAUGAGGAAACCUUUUCUCCGGUUGCUAUGCUUAAAUCCAUCAGGAUUCUGCUCUCCAUUGCUGCAGUGCUAGAUUAUGAAAUUUGGCAAAUGGAUGUCAAGACUGCCUUUCUUAACAGGCAUCUUGAAGAAAACAUCUACAUACAGCAACCAGAUGGAUUUAUACAAAAAAGGCCAAGAACACAUGGUAUGUAAGUUGCAGAGAUCUAUUUAUGGAUUGAAGCAAGCAUCCCAGUCAUGGAACAUCAGAUUUGAUCAAGCGAUUAAAUCACUUGGAUUCAUUCAGAACAUUGAUGAACCAUGUGUGUACAAGAAAAUUCAGGGAAAAUUUGUAGCCUUCCUAGUUCUUUGUGUAGACAAUAUUCUCCUGAUUGGAAACGAUAUAGGAGUAUUGACUACAAUAAAGAUUUGGUUAGCAAAACAAUUUGAUAUGAAAGACCUGGGAGAGACAAGUUAUAUUCUUGGUAUCAAGUUACUAUGAGACCGGAAGAAUAAAACUUUAGCCUUGUCUCAAGCGGUCUAUAUCGAUAAGAUAUUGGCUAGAUUUAGUAUGGAAAAUUCCAAGACUGGUUUAUUACCAUUCAGACAUGGAAUUACAUUCUCUAAGGAUCAAUCACCUAAAACAUCUGAAGAGAUAGAGAGAAUGAGACGAGUUCCCUAUGCAGAAGCUGUGGGAAGUCUCAUGAAUGCCAUGCUUUGCACUAGGCCAGACAUCUGUUUUGCGGUAGGGAUGGUUAGUAGAUAUCAAUCUAAUCCUGGACCUGAACACUGGACUGCGGUCAAGCAUAUAAUGAAGUAUCUGAAAAGAACUUAAAAUUAUAUGCUUGUGUAUUCUGGUGAUGAACUUAUUCUAGUGGGUUAUACUAAUUCUGAUUUUUUGUCAGAUAAGGAUUUUAGAAAAUCAACUUCCGGCUAUGUGUUUACAUUGGGAAGUGGAGCUACUAGUUGGAUGAGUGUGAAACAAUCUUGUAUCACAGACUCAACAACUAAAGCUGAAUAUGUGGCUACAUCUGAAGCUGCAAAAGAAGCUAUAUGGCUCUGCAAGUUCCUACGAAAUCUUGAGGUGGUACCUGUUGUAACUGCACCCCUUAAACUAUUUUGUGAUAAUGGUGGUGCGGUAGCUCAAUUUAAGGAACCAAGGAACCACAAGAAACAAAACAUAUUGAAAGGAAGUAUCAUCUUAUAAGGGAAUAGUGUAGAAAGGUUAUAUGACAAUACCCCAAAUGGCAUUAGAUGCUAAAUGGCAGAUCUUAUUACAAUGGCCAUUAGUGGGAAACCUUUAUAACCUGCACUUAGAGCCCUAGAGCAUGUGCAAUAUGCCAGAUAUGCUUUGAGAGCUAGUGGGAGAUUGUUGGGAAAAUAUGCUCUUUAAAAGCAUAUGUGUUUAUUUAAUUGUAAUAAACAAUUUUUCUGAUUAAUAAAAUAAAUGAGGUAUUUUAUUCAAAUAUCUUAAUUGCAUUAAUAUUUGUAUUAAAGUCCAUUUAAUCAUAUUAUAUGUAUUUAUGUGAUCACCAUGUGGAUUCACAGAAGACAUAAAUACAAGUUAUCUUAUGAUUAAAUAAAUUUAGUUCGCAGUUGAUAAAUAAAGUUGGGCACUUUAUUUAGGUAUAGACUGUAAUAAAUUCAUUGAAUGAUUUGUCUUAAUCAUGUAUGAAUUUAUUGAUGUAGUACGACUACAUUGAACAGGAUCACAUAUGAGAUUUAAUUAACUUUGUAAUAACUGUCAGACUUAUUAAAUCUCAUAGGCGUUGAUUUUACUGUAAUCUUAAUCUUGAGUUAAUUAUGAUUUCAUGAUUGUGAUUGUUAUUUCAUUUGAGUUACCAAUGGGCACGACACAUCCUUGUGGUCAAGAUUACCCGGUAUCUUGGUGGGAGCAAUUAUGAGUAUUGGAGUUAUGGAUUAACAAUAUAGAAUUUGUACAACACAUCUCUUGAUAGGUUUUCGGUACUUGAUCAUAGAAUUCUCUGGCCAGAGUGUGUCAACAUAUUUAGUAUGUUGAAAAUGAUCAUUAGAGAAAACCAGUAAGGAUCAAGGAAUAAGAUGUUAUUAAAUUGAUUGGACAGUUGAGAUAUCAAUUUAAUUAACGAUGUGGUACAAAGGAUUGUGCAGUAAAGAAAUCAAUGUGGCUUGGGACGAAUUAUUAUUCGAGCAUACAAUUAUGGAAGUCAGUUCCAAUCUUUUAGUGGAGUAGAUUUGGAAUUAAAUAAUUGGGCUAGUUUAAUUACAGGCCUAAUUAUUGUAGCCACUAUUGUAUGUUCCCAAAUGAUUCCCGGGUUAGCUCAUUUAAUUGAUUGCACCACUGCUGGACUAAUAAGCAAGAUAACUAGCUAUUUGGGUCAAAAGCCUAAAUAUAUCAUUUAGUGGGAGGCUCCAUUUAAUAAGCUUAUGUGUAAGGGGCCUUAUGUUAUUUUACAUGGUGGGUCCCCUAUUAAAUGAAAAGUAACGUGAGUUUUAUUUUGGGGGAAUCCUUGGAGCCUAGGGUUUUCACUAAAGGGAGAUAUAUAAGGCUUAUUUUCCCAAAAAGGAAAAAGCAGAAGCCACUUUAUACAAAUCAGAGAAUAAGAUUUUUCUCUCCAUUGUUGAGAGAAAAAUUUUCUCGUGCUAGUUGCUUUGGUAGUGAUAAAGGCGCCCACACGUCAAGUGCAGAUCGAACCUGAGUCAUAACCUGGAAGAUCAUUGGAGACAGUUCGUGAUCUAACAAGCGUGGUGGUGACGGAUCGUGAUCUAACAGGAGUGGUGGUGGCGGAUCGUGAUCUAGGAGCCUAAAUCACUUCAGCGGAAAAAGCAAACUCAGAUUUACAAGGUACGAUUUCUAGAAUACGAAUUCUUAUAUAUUAUAUGAGAGCGAUCUUCAAAAGGUUUUAUAAAAAUUUAAAAACCUGAUUUUUCCCCAACAGAAAAUAAUUAAAUCAUUUAAAGAAUUGAAAGGAAAUGGAAAAAAGGAUAAAAAGAAUCUCACGCGCUCACUAAUUGAGCUCUUAACAAGUAGUAUGAAUUAGAAUGCAUACUCAGCUGUCAGUUGGAAAUUGAUUCAGACUUGCAUUAAUUUGUAAUCAAAGAAGAAAAUUUCAACAAGUGCUUCCCAUAUGGAUAUUGGAUCUAACGAGAAAUUCUUAUUUUUUUAGGUUGCGUUGCCUAACUUGGAGGCUUUGGAGAUAUCUGCAAUUAAUGUCGACAAGAUUUGGCACUACAAUCAUCUUCCAGUCAUGUUUCCUCAUUUAACACGAUUGAUUGUGCGGCGUUGUCACAAAUUAAAAUACAUAUUUUCAGCGUCUAUGAUCGGAAGCCUUAAGCAGCUCCAACACCUAGAUAUACGCUUCUGUGAGGAUUUACAGGAGAUCAUUUCUGAAAACAGAGCAGAUCAAGUGAUCCCUUAUUUUGUCUUUCCACAGCUCACCAAUCUGAUACUCCAAGAUCUACCAAAACUUAGAUGUUUGUACCCUGGAAUGCAUACUUCGGAAUGGCCCGCGCUAGAAAUGCUUUUAGUGUAUGGUUGUGACAAAUUAAAGAUAUUCGCUGCAGAUUUAUCGCAGAAUAAUGAGAAUGAUCAACUUGGCAUUCCUGCACAACAGCCCCUAUUGCCGUUGGAAAAGGUAUGAAGUCAUUUUCUAGAUUUUUUAUCAAUAGCUUAUUUUUAACUUUGAAAAAUAUGAUAAAGCAUCGAUAAAUUAAUACUUAAUAAAUUAAAAACUUUUAUUAUACAAUAAUCUUUGCUAGUCUAGACUUAGGGAUCGAUGUGGUAGAUUAAUAAUUAUAUGAACUGUUUUAGGUAUAGCAUUUAUAAAAGAAUCCUUAGUCUUUUCAUAUAGAAGAACUAACAAAAUAAAUUAGUAAUUUAUUAUUGUGUAAUAAAAUAAUUUCGAGCCAGUUUAAAUCAACCUUUUUUCCCUAAUUUCUUUUUUACCUCUAAAAUUAACAUAUAAAAUAAAUUUUAUCAAUAAUUCAAUUUUUUUAAAAAAUAUAAUAUAAAACAAAUCCUAUAAAGUCACUGCGUGUGACCGUAGAUCAUCAAUUGACCUCAUUAGUUAUUAUGAUUGAUGAUGAUCAGAUCGUACCCAACUUGAAGGAACUAUCACUAAGUGGAAAAGAUGUGAAGAUGAUUUUGCAGGCCGAUUUCCCACAACACCUUUUUGGCAGUCUUAGAAAACUAGAGAUUGCUGCAGAUGACUCAGCUUGUUUUCCAAUCUGGAACGUACUGGAGAGAUUUCACAAUCUCGAAAUACUCUCACUGUUUAAUUUUUCAUUCCACGAAGAGGUAUUUUCGAUGGAAGGAUGCUUAGAGAAACAUGUGGGGAAGUUGGCAAUGAUAAAAGAAUUAAAUCUGCACCGGCCCUAUCAUCUGAAGCAGCUGUGCAAACAAGACUCCAAACUUGGCCCCAUUUUUCAGUCUCUUGAAAUUCUAAAAGUAUAUCAUUGUCAAAGUCUGUUAAUUCUAUUGCCAUCAUCAUCGGUAUCUUUUCGGAACCUAACAAAACUUUUAGCUUUCGGUUGCAAGGGAUUGAUGCACUUGGUAACAUCCUCCACAGCAAAAACUCUAGUGCAACUCGUCACAGUUCAAGUAUGUCGAUGCAGAGCAAUGACAGAGGUGGUAAUAAAUGACAAAGAUGGAGUUGAAAAAGAAGAGAUUGUUUUCCGCAAAUUGAAGGCGUUGGGCCUGCGUGAUUUAGAAAGUCUCACAAGUUUCUGCUCUGCCAAUUACACCUUUGAAUUCCCAUCUUUGGAAUAUCUGGAAGUGAUUGGUUGUCCCAAGAUGAAGACUUUCACUACAGGAGAAUCAAUCACGCCUCCAAGAGUAAAUGUCUGGUGUGGAGCGACAUCGAAUCAACGGCGUUGGGCUAAUAAUGAUCUUAACAGGACCAUACAACAAUUACAUGCUGAAAAGGUACGGAUAUACAUGUUACUCUUUAUCUCCCAUGGAAAAAUUUUACAAAAUUUGCUUUUUUUAAAUAAAAUAUCGAAAAGAUAUUUGUUAUAAAGUAAAAGUUUAAAUUGAUGAAUAAGAAUUUUAUUUUCAGCUGUUGGCGGUGCAGUCGGCGAUCUCUACCCAGUACUAAUUUCAUAGGCUUCUUAUGACUUGGGAGUUGUGAAUUUUUAGAAGAAAGCCUCAGCUGGUAAUUAACUGGUAAUUAAUUUUUAUUUCAUUUAUUUGAUCUCAUGGCUUGUUUCGCAAUUUCAUCUGAAUUAUUUAGAAUGGGUCAAUCGGCUUACUGUUAAAUUUGGAAUGCAAUUUUAAUGAUUCGUUCAGACUUUUGUGGACAGAUUUUGCAUCAUUGAAUGUCUUCUAGUCUAGUUUAAUUUGAGUAUUUUUUUCUUUUUUUCUGUUUUUUAGAUUUCCCCUAGUUUUCUAAAAUUUUAUAAUUCCUUGCAUACUUUGUAUGAUAAAAUUUCAUCAAAAGCCUUCAUAUUUUAUAAUUCCUUGAAAACAUCAUUGCUGUUCUCUUAUUUUAGUUUGUUCAUUUGGUUUGGUUUGCUUCACACCUAUCUUUCUUUGGGAUUUUUUUUUUUUUUUUUUUUUGAUGAUCUUUCCAAAUGCUCUUCCCUAUGAACACAUAAUUAAGAACAGCUGAAAAUCAUUCAUCGGAUAAAAAAUUAAAAAUAAACAAAAUCUAAUCAGAGCAUUAUGCCUAGAACAAAUCCUUAAACCAUCAAAGCAAAACUCUUCGCUAUGAAAAACUAUACUGUGGAAAUAUUGUUUGAAAACGUUGGAUACCAAGAAAGGGACUAAUUUGGUCUAGUUUUAUGAGAAGUAUAGAAGAACGUUGUUUUCUCUGUUUUUCCUGUUAGAACUCUUUACUCUGUGAUUGUAGAAUGUCUGGAUACUGAUGAAGAUUCAAGUAACUCUUCUCCUGUGCAUCAUUUGAAAUAAGGUUUUUUUUUUUUUUGGGUAAUAUCUCCUACUGGGUUAUAGUUCAUACAAAGAGAUUCUUAAAUCAAGCCGGAUACUGCUAGAAACAAGUGGGGAAGUAGGCGCUGAUAAAAUGGUUAAUCCUGUCCAGACUUAAUCAUUGAAGCAACUCCAAACUGGACUCCAUUUUAAAUAUCUUGACAUUCUAAGACUAUUUUACAAGCAUUUAAGUCUAUUCCCAUGAUCAUCUAUAUCUUUUGGGAAUCUAACAGAACUGUUGGUUUUCCAUUGCAAGGAAUUGUAACAUCCGUCCACUACAGCAGAAAGUCUAGUGCGGCUCGUAUCAAUGAAGGUAGCUGGAUGCAGGGCAAUGACAGAGCUGGUAAUAGGUGACGGAGAAGACGAUGGAGCACCAAAUUUAAAUUAAAACAAGAGAUUGUUUUCAGCAAAUUGAAGACAUCGAGUCUGUCUGAUUUAGAUAGUCUCACAAGUUUCUGCUCUGCCAAUUACGCUUUCAGAUAAAGAUUCUUGAAAUUGUCCUAUUUACAGCUGACAUUUCCACAAGAGUUGGAGAAUAUAAAAAAUUCAUUAAUCGUUAGUUUUUAAUUUCAUUAUUCAAUGAAAAGUCCUGUCAAAUUAAAUUGCAAAUCUCAAUGUGCAAGUACCUAAAUUUACUAAAUUUACUUUAAAUUAAUGAAUGAAAGAAUUUAUUUUCUGCUGUUGGAGGAGUCGUCAUCUCUCUCGACAUAGUAUACGAUAUGUUUUGAUCCCAUAGGCUUUUUAAUAUAUUACCUUGUGUUGUUUGAUCUCUAGGUUUAUUUUAUCGUUUCAUCUUAUUAUUUGCAAUGCGUCAGUUGGUUUAUUUGUUAAUUUUGGAAUGAAGUUGAUGCAGCUGAUGGUUGCAUAGGAUGAGUAGGAUAUCACUCCUGGAUCAUAACUUGAGCGGGUAUCUAUUCGGCAAGAAAUUCUGUUUAUUUCGUAGUUAUUUUACAAAGUUUAAGAUAUUUUCUUAUUUUUCUUAUUAUUUUCAAUAUUUUGAUAUUUUUUCUCUAAAUAUAAGAUUUUAAGUAUGAUUUAUUUUAUUUUUCUUAUUUCAGUUAGGAGAACGUUAUUAUGUAAUAAUAUUUUAAGUUUGCAAUUUUAAUAAAUACAUAAUAUUUAGAAUUUGUGUAAAAAGGGUCCAAUACCCUAAUUUUGUUAUUCAAACUUCUAUUAAUAAAAUUUCAGACUUUUUAAAAAAAUUUCUCUAUAUUUUCAAUCUCAACAUCUGUGUUUCCCUUUCAUCAUAAGUUUUAAUAUCUGGUUCUGAGCUAGCUUUAUGUGCAUAUUAUACAUCAUUGAAGGUCUUUUGAUCUGAGUUAUGAUCAAAAAAUUAUGCUCGCUUCUGUCUGGUCGUAUGAAAAUUGUGCAAAAUAUAAUUCUUAUAUAAUUUUUUAUCCUCCAUUGUUACAGAAUCCCAAGCUUCGAAUUUGUAAACUUUGAAAGCAUGGCAGAAAACUUAGUACUUAAUAAGGCUCUGGAAUAAGACUCUUUAUGGCUUCAAUAUUUUACUUAACAUGAAAAUUUCUUUCUAACUAGCAUCAUUGCGAAGAUAAAUUGGGGUAGUUCUGACAAGUACUGGCACUGCACAAUUAAUGUUACCAGCAAUCAAUUGUUGUGAGCACCGACAACCAUUUUCAUAUUUAAGCCUUAAGAACAGUAACUCAAAAUAUGGCAAGUGGCAACCACAUCAAAUAAUCAAAUUGUUGAUAGAUUUAGAGAGCUUUAAUUUGCUUGAUAUAUAUUUGAAUAUUUCAACAGAUGCAUCUUUUCUCUACUCACGGGGCACGUUGAGUUAGAAACGGUUUGAAUGUCAAUAUUACUCCAAGUGCCUCAACCAAAUUCAGAAUGAAAAAAACCAUCUGGUUACCUGCACUUUAGUUUAAGCAGCUGAUUUAGUUAGCACCAAGUAAUUCACACACAAGUGAGAAAUUUCAUUAGUAAAUCAUCAUACCGGGGAGGAAACCAGCAUCUUGACGCUUUUGUGACCAAGAAAAUCUGCCACAACCCGAUUAAUCAAGUUGUUACCAAACAAAUGAUCAAUUUAAUCAUGCCUUAAUUUUUUCUUUUUUUUUUUUGUGCUGGGGGGGGGGAAUAAAAAUCGUAACUUCAUUUACAUAUAAUUUUACAAAAUCAAUAGGACACUUACAGAGCACCUCCUACAGUCAUAGCAAGUCCAUUGGCAGCUCCUCUUUGAUGCUGUUCCCGUUAUUGUGGCAUAAACCAACAAAUUAAAUUUAAACUUUGACACAUACAAAAUUUGAUAAGGCUGAAAUCAUGGAAAUGUACUAAACAAAUAAAAGAAAAAAAUAUUUACCACUGCUCUGUUUUGAAGAAGGAAUAAUCCAGUUAUUAUAGACACCUGAUGUUACAAUUCAGGAAAAGUAAAAAAGAAUUACAAGAAUUCUAAUAAAAAAGACACAAAAUAAUUUUAUACAUACUUGCUGGUGGAUAAUAUAACCUAAGUAUAUGGAUCAAUGAUUAGGAUAUCCACUUACAAAUAAAACAUUCUUCAUCACAGAAGCACAGUUUAUCAAUAAGGCAAGGCUGAACCCAGAUAACAUUGCUAUAAAAGUGUAACUUGUCAAAAGCGGCAUCGAUAAAACCUGUACAUACAUAGAAAAUUAUGGGACCAAAACCAUGAAGAAAAGUAUUUUAUAAACAGAUAUGUUUGAAACAAACUAUCAAAUGGUCUAAAUGCCACAUGGUGUGUUCAAAAUUUUACCCCUGCAAUGCGUGUUAUGAUUAUUGGCCCAAUGAUCCUCUCGACGUAAGGGUAUAGAGUGAGUUGAAAAACAAGGAGGCUGAAUCCUAUAGUAAGUUCAAAAUGAGGACAAUCAUCAAGCAUGUGAUGGUGUCAAUGUAGUCAUUAUAAGAGAAGCGAAAGUUAUAUUUUAUAGUCCCACCAAUAAGAAAAUUUGAAGUUAUGGGAGAGUUGCUAUUACAUGCACAAUUCAGCCUGAAAAGAGAGCUAAAGGCUACGUACCGGAAUCCAGCAAGAAGCAAUAGUUACCGCAAAAGCAAAGAGUGACAUACAGAGACAGGGCAGGAAGUAAGGAAACCUGCAUAAAUUUGUUUUUCAGAAUACCAUCAUUUUGAAAGUACUACAGAAAAAGAAAAGGCUAAUGGCAGUAAAAAUUCACUUACUUUCCAAACAUAGAUUCUUUGGAAAAUGCCUUUGGAUAUUUCUCUGCUGGCUAGAUUGCAAAAUUAUCCACGAAUAUAUAUAUAAGAACAAUAUUUAUCAAGCCAAACUACUAAAAAUUCAAAAAAAAUGCCCAUAAUAAUCAAGUAAAAAUUGCAGAACCCGGGCCAGAAAGCCACCCACUGCAGGGCCAAUAAUCAAUCCUGUGCCCCAUGCUGUACUGAGCUGAAAUUAUAUUGUACCUAAAAAUGUAACUUUCAGAGUCUCUAGCCACUGAUGAGGACACGUCUUUUGUCUGCUAGCGGAAAGCGCGUGACGGCAAGUUUUUUGUCAGAGCCUAGGGACGCAGAGGGAAGGAAAAAAAAUAUCAUUAAUUUUUUUUCCUCUCUCGGUGGGCCCCACGUAAUGUGGGGCUCUGGUUUUUGUCGCAUUGUGUGGAGGGUGUAUAUCUAAAUCAACCCCUUGAAUACGGACACGUGUCGAUCUCAGAGAAACUCACGUUUUGUUGUUGGGACCCAUUAAUUCCCGUAAAAGUCCUAUUCUUAAAACAAGUCGAUACGAUGAUCAAUACUCCGCCUGUGGGUCCCGGCGACGACCCCCUACGCUGGGCAGUACAACACUAAAAAAUCGCCACGUGUUAUAUUUUAAAAAGCUUUGGGGGAGCGAAUCGAUAGAUUUUUUCUUUUCGUGACAAAGCAUGCGGGGGGGGGGGGGGGCCUCCCUGGUGGAUUUGCCUAGGGGUGGGUAUAUUUUAACCGAAUCGAUCCAAACCGACUAUUUGAAUCGGUUUGAAUUGAUUUUAUUAGUAAAAAAAUUGGUUUUGAUUUAUUGGAUUGUAAACCGACAUCAUUCGGUUUGGAUUUUGGUUUGGAAGGAUUCCAAACCGAUUCAAACCGAUUCAAUCCAGAAAUAUUAUAUAAUUAUAUUAUAUUUUAAGUUAAGCAAUCUAACUAAUUAUAUUUAUCAUUUUAUACAGAUUUUGACAAAUCAAAAGUAAUUGGGCCAUAAGUUUUGACAGACAAGAUGCACAAUAUUUUAAUUGUCAAAUGUUGUUCAAGUUUAUUUUAAUUUUGUGAGUUUGUUUUGAAUGAACAUGUUAAUAACUUCUUUAUUAGGGUGUAUUAUGUUAUAAACUUGUAUGGAUGUAUCUUUGAAUUGUUAUGUAGAUGUCAAAGUAGAUAUGAAUAAUAUAAAAAAUGUAUCAAUUUAGAUUACGGACACAAAAAAAUAAUAAAUAAUUUAGGUAAAAUAAUAUAAAAGAAGUGGGCUUUUAGCUAAUAAGCUCAAACCGAGGAUCCAAACCGAUCCAGUCGGUUUAGAUCGGUUCGGUUUGAAAAAAUUUUAAGUUGAUAUCGCUUUGAAAAUAUUUCAAACCGAUAAGUUUGGAUCGGUUUGAGAAUAUAUCUCAAACCGAUCCAAACCGAAUUUGCCCACCCCUAGAUUUGCCCGCCGUUAAUCAAUUUGUUUGAUGAUAAAGAUUCAAGCAAUCAUACACGAACUUAUUCAAUGGAGCUUCAGAAGAUUGGCAUUGCAGUGAAGUCCUGAGUCUUCUACUCAUCUUUUAACAACCUUUGCAGAAGCACAACAACAGGGACAAAUUCUGCAUAAUCGGGAAAAGAAAAAUCAGAAGACGUCAUAUUGAAAUGCAUUCAUAUUAAUUUGACAAGAAGAGAAUCAAACGCAGACCUCGUUAAAAAUCUUGUAUGCAUACGCAUAUAAGAGAAGUUCAAUAAUUGCGACGCAGGAUCAUUGCCGAAGCAUUAAACAAAUACGAGGCAGAGAAAGAGGAGCUCUGAGGAUGAGCGUGUUAGUGUGGUAAUACAAUAUCCUCGAUGCUUGCUGAAUGGUGGACAGUGGCGUUGGAAUAUCAUCUAAUAAAAGGAGAGAAAGAGGUGGCAACUGGCAAAGUGGGUGAGUGAAAGCUCAAGGCUGAAGCGGUUGGCUAAACUUUGUUAAAAAGAUGCACAUAUUGAUAAUAAUAUACGACCGUACGUUGUCUGUUAACUUGGAACUCUUUAGCAUUUAAGCGAGUCUCUCUCUCUCUCUCUCUACGAUUGGGAAUUGGGAUUUCGGAUCGGGAUCUACCGUAUUCUCCGUCUAUCCUAUGCAUGUCAUCAUACAUCAGUAAGCGUGCGUGCCUCUGCGUCUCCCCCUCUCCUUCUUUUUACACAACUAUUUACUGUUACUAUUUCUUUGCCAAUUCCCUUAUUUCACGGUACUUGUAGUAAGACGAAACAAAGGAAGAAAAUGCUAAGGUACUUCAUUAGGCACAUUUCUCAUGCGUACUUGAAAGUAAUCAGAACCGUUGAUCUUUCCCCGAUGGGCCACCCACUGCAGGGCCAGUAAAAUUUUCUCAAGACCUUUGCAAUCAUACACGAACUUUGCAAUCAUACAUUCCUACAGUUUGGUGCUGAUCGCGCAAUAUUUCACAUGCAUAUGCCUGGUGGUGUAAGAGAAGUUUGAGCACAAAUAUUUACAGGAGUUAAAUUGGAAUUAUCAACAAAUACCCCCAAUCAAUACCUUAAUUGGUCCAAGUAAACCAUUCAAAGCCCCAAGGAGAAACCUUGUAGUUAUGGCCAUCCAGAAAUUCACACUAAGCCCAAAGAGAGUGUUAAAAAUAACCCUGUGAGCAUUUUAAGACAAAUAAGAAACCCAGAAAUUGCCAAAGUAUCAUCAAUUUCAAGCUUAAUCAUUUGAAAAUAGAGGUCACUAACACUGUGAUGCAUCCUAUUAUUAUUACAGGCUUUCGACCGCAGCGGUCAGCUCCCAUUCCCCACAAAACAGAUGUUAAAGCUCUGCCAAGCAUGUAUGAAGACCCUUCAAUUUCAUCAAGGUAUUAAGAUGUUUGUUACGAUAACUUCUCGAGGAAUUUGAAAUGUUACAUGCAUAUAUGUUAAUUAUUUCGAGGUGCGAUCAUCUCUACUUUUUAAAGCAUAGACUUGGCGCCCUUUACAGUAUAAAGGCGCAAGUCUGCAGUGUAAAACCCUUGUACAGUGCCUUUACAGUGUUGUAAAGCCCUCGGUAGAACGUUUUUACAGAGUUGUAAAGGCGCGAGUCUGCACUUUGUAAGGUGUGGACAUUUGUACCAAAAAAGGACUCCAUACUAUGUGCCAUUUAUUAAACACAAUAAAAUACAUAAAAUAACUCACCCACGUAACCAGCAUAGAAUCCAAUAUCUUCCUCCCUUUUUGCAAUGUGAAAAUCCCUAAUCUGAAAAGAAAUCAUAACAUACUGUUGUGAAAAAGCAAUGAAUUGUUUGAUAGAUAAAACUUGUCUUUUCUUAUAUUUCUAAGAAAAUCAGCAAGCAUGAUAGAAAAAUAUAAAUUUUCUCACUAGUAACUACUCUGGUGAAGGCAACAACAGUCCACUCACCAUAAAAUAAAGAAAGGGAAAGAGAGAUGCGACCGGCAGAACUGAAAAAAAAAAAAAAAAUCACAAAAGAAUUAAGGACAAAACUAGAAGAGCACAAUAGGCCAAAAUCAUUGUAAAUGGUUCUCUCAAAAAUCAUUAUAUCGAGUUGAAGUUGAAAAAUUUACCAGUUGCAAGCACAACAAUCUAAAUUAUAAAAAGCUUGCGAAUUGGUAAGCCUCGUUCCGACUCUUUAAGCUUAUCAACCUUACAGCCUGAGCAGUUCUCAUAAUAUUUCUUCUUCAGCAGCGGCUCUCUCACUUUCGCCUCCGCCAUACUUGAAAAAUUUUCAGCUCAAGUAAUCGUCUUAGUCUAUGCAAUCCAAUUUCAAUGCCUAAAUAUAAGUACUAGAAAAUAAGUAACAAAAUCAAUAUGCUUAAGGAUAUAGUAGAACUAUAUAAGUGAUCAUUUAAAGAAUUUUCAAUAGAAUUGUAAAAUCAGUUGAUUUUGCAGCUGGGUCUGUCACCACCAUGGUAAUUAAAAUUAUUGGAUCCCAUGUAAAACAAAAUUUUUUCAUUACAUGCCCUCAUUGCUGACGUCCAAUUAAUCAUUACUCUUAUGAGAAUAAUUUUUGGUGACAAGAACGGCGGCAUCCUAGGACGUGACAAAAUAGUCACAAAAAUCCCUUAUUUUAAAAAAUGAUCAUGAAAAUUUAUCCACGGACACACAAAUUCAGGAUCUAUGUAACUAUUUUUAAUUACAAAAAGAGGUCUAUAUAUAUAUUUGAAAAUAAGGGAUAUUCAUGAUUACCAUGUUAAGCCACGAGAUAUCAUGCUGUUUUUUUUAUUUUUCAUUAAAUCGUUGUUACACAAUUCGACAUGUAAAAGUAAUUUAUUUUUUUUGAGAGAUGGUAACAAACAUAGUGACAAAACUAUCAUAGUACAGUCUAAUGAUGAAACUAAUUGUUAAUUAAUUAAUAAAAAUACUAAGUGACUGUAGCGGUUCCGGUCACAGUCACAGUCAAAUACAAUUAGGAUAAUUUAAUUUAAAUAAUGUGUAAUUUAGCGUUAGCCCCAAUUGUUUCGACAUUUUGCAUUGUGCCCCCCAAUCUUCCGACCAUGUCCACCACCCUCAUUUCUUUCAAAUCUAAUGUUAACGGAAAGAAGGGUAGAAUGGUAAUUAACACAAGAUUAAAAUAAUAUAUAUAAUUAAAAAAAACCCUUUUUCCUUCGCCGCCUCUAUAAUUUAAUUUUGGGUUUGAUAUCUUUAGUUUUAAGAUUUUUGAUUAUUGGGUUUCUUUUUAUCGAAUUUUCUUAGUAUGAAUUUAUUUUGUAAUAGAAUUUUACAAUGAAAUUUGCUCUCAGGGAUUUUGGUAUCAUUAGUUUAGGGUUUCUUUCUAUUGGGUUUUAUGUGGGAUUAUUGGACUUAUUUUGUAAUGUACUGAUGAAUGUGUGUUUGAUUUUUUUCUUUCACAUUGGAAUCAUGCUUUGCCUUUGAUUUUGUAAUUUACUAGGUUUAUAAUCUUGGGUUCGUAAUCCGGAAAAAAAUCGUUUCCAUAUAAUUUUAAAAAUAUUAUAAUAAAUUUUUACUUUUUGAUUUAAAUUUUAUUAGUUGUAAGGGUAUUUUAAUACUUAUAUACCCAAUUCAUUUCAAAAUAGGGGUAGUAUAGUCUUUUAAAUUUAUAACAGCCUAAAUAGUUAGAUUAGUUGAUUUUUUAAUAGAAAUAGGGGGAGGUGCACAUGGUCAAAAGAUGUGGGUGCGCUGUGUGAAAUACUGAACAAUUGGGGGCUGAUGCUUAAUUAUCCUUAAAUAAAUUAUUAGUUUAAUGGAAGGAGCAAAAUUCAGGAAAAGAGGAAUCAAACUGCGAAAGGAAUUAGGAAACCUGAAAAGAAAGAAUGAAAAUAACUUUUUUUUUUAAAUUAUUUAUUUGGACAUUGUGACAAACAAGUGAUGUGCAUUGUUAAUUCUGAUUACCCCAAAAUGUCAAGUCUUGAAAAACGACAACAUUACAUGAUUCAUGAGAAGCCUAUCACUUUGAGAUUAAUUUAAUUAAAAAAAAGUUCCGUUUGCUUAAUACUAAAAUGUCACGCGCAAGUUGUCCUGGACUAGAGAGUCGUUCACCCGUACUUACACUGUCACUGCAUUUGCUUGAAAAAUGAUUUUACUAGCAAUAGGUUCUCGUGUUUCGAUAGCUUUCUAAGUGGUUUAUUUACAGGUAUUCAAAAUAUAAAUUAUUGCUAUGAUUUUAGAAAAUAUUGUAUUUUUUUUUUGUAAUUUAUAUUAAAAUUUUGCGACAAUUGUUUGGCUGGAAUUUUUUUUAAUAAGAAAAAUAGUGAUCUCACACUGAUCCAUAGUUGAGCCAAUUACCUAGUUAAAAGCUACCUCCAUAUUUUUUAUUUUUUACCCUAAUGCAUGUCUGAUUCUUUUAAAAUUUUACGUUAUAUAUAUUAAACAAAAAUUAUAAUUUUAAUCAUUGAAAAAUUCAUGACAGACAUCAUUUGAAUAAUUUUUUUUUUUUUUGAAAAAUACAGAGCUAGAGAUAAUGCUAUAAUUGAUUGAAUAAGAAGGCUACAACUUGAUGAUAACUUUAUUGCAAUGUUGCGUGAUCUCAAUAUAUUAUUGGCUUUUGUGUGAGUAAAAGUUGCUGGCUCGUGUUUUACUAAUUUGCCUUUGUAUUUGACUGGCUCGACAAAGAAUCGAUUUACCUCAUACCCAAAUUACAAACAUCGAAACCGGAUCUGUCAUUACGUUAAUUGGCCUCCUAAAAUAAUCAAUCACUUUCUCUUUAGUCUACCAUCCACUCUUUCCAGUCGCUUACUUUCAUUCUAAUCAUCUAAACGGCUCUUUGCUACUGUUUCUUCUAUUCGUCAUUGUUCUUGUUCUGUUAUUAUUUAGCUUUGCUCACUCCUCAGUCUCAUUUCUUAUUCUGUACCCAUCAGCUCUUUUACUUUCCUUUGGCUUUCUUCGCUUCUAUGUUUUUCUCAGGAUUCGAGAUGCUGGAAAUCAUUGUGACUAUCGUCUUGGAACUUGUAAAAUGCUUGGCUCCUCCAACUGAACGCCAACUUGUGCAUUUGCGAAAGCGGAACUACAAUGCCAACUUUGAGAAUAUCAAGGCGGAAAUGGAGAAGUUGAAGGUUGAACGUACGAGCAUUCAGCACAGAGUUUCAGAGGCGGAAGAAAAAGGGGAAGAGAUUGAAGAGAAGGUUGAAAAGUGGCUGGUUAGUGCGAAGUGCGAACGGCAUCAUUGACCGGGCAGCCAAAUUCAUUGAAGAUGAGGAGUCAACGAAUAAGCGCUGUGUCAAGGGCUUGAGUCCUAUUUGGAAGAGUCGCUAUCAGCUUAGCAAGAAAGCAGAGACGGAGGUGAAGGGCAUUAUUGAACUAGGAGAAGAAGUUAGGAAGUUUGAUACUGUUUCCCACCGUACCAUUCGGGAGGAGAUAUGGCUUAAGUCUAGCAAUGGUUACGAGGCCUUCGAAUCAAGACUUUCUACUUUGCAGUCUAUAAAAAAUGCAUUGACGGAGGCGAAUGUCAGCAUUAUUGGGGUGCACGGCAUAGGCGGCAUUGGAAAGACCACACUGGUGAAGGAGUUUGCUAGGCAAGCCAGGGAAAAGAAGCUGUUUUAUCGGGUGGUUUUAUCAGAGGUUUCAUAAACUCCAGAGACAAAAAAGAUUCAAGGGGAAAUUGCAGAGAAGUUAGGUCUGGAGUUGUCCGAUGAAGCUGAAUAUAGAAGAGCUAGCAAGCUGUAUGACCGAUUGAAGAGUGAGAAUAAGAUUCUUGUGAUUCUACAUAAUAUCUGGAAACAUCUUGAAUUGGAGACGGUUGGAAUUCCUUUUGGAAAUAAUCAUAAAGGAUGUAGACUGUUGCUGACAGCACGAGAUAAUACUGUGCUUUUAGGUAUGGGCUCCAAAGAUAACUUUUUGAUUGGCAAUCUAACUGAACAAGAAGCCUGGAGAUUGUUUAAGAUAAUGAAUGGUGAUGAUGUUGAAAAUUGUAAGUUCAAGUCUACAGCAAUUAAUGUAGUUAAGGCAUGUGGAGGUUUGCCCAUUGCGUUGAGGGCACUGAGAAACAAGAGUCUCCAUGAAUGGAAGAAUGCCUUGCGAGAGCUCCGAACGCCUUCAAUGGUAAACUUCGAAGGUGUGUCUGCAGAGACUUAUUCAAGUAUUGAGCUGAGUUUCAAUUAUUUAAAAGGUGAGCAAGUCAAGAAAAUUUUUCUGCUUUGUCGUCUAGUAGGUAACAGUGUUUGGUUUUCAGACUUAUUUAGAUACUCCAUGGGUUUGGGCAUAUUUCAAGGAGUCAACAUUCCCUUCAUAUUUACCAAAGGUAAGUGAUAAAUCCUACAUAUCCCGCUCAAGAAUGCAUAUGUUUUUUCAAUCUCAAGUACCUAAAGUUUUCUUCUAAGUUUAUAAAAAUUUCAGCACCAUCUCCCUAUAAUUCUCCAAGCUCACGACAAAGCUAUAUAAGUGAUGCGUUAUGCCAAAACAACACAUGACACCCAUUCACCUAGUACGUACCCAGAGAACACGAGGAGAAGCUACCGUAAAAGCCAUUUUUACGUGGGAAGAAAACUUCAGCUACUAGCUACCAGAGAGAACUAUGCAUUCCCAAACUGUCCAAGCCUGGACAAUUCAAGAAUUAUUAAUAGACAUAUGAUCCUCACUAUCAUCCAAAGAUGACACUAAUACAACAUGUGUCUAUUAAUAAUUUCUUAAACAAGUCUAAGCUUUCAAUGCACGUAUCAAAAGUUUAAAAUUGAAUCUGAAAUUUGAAUAACACAUAAAUAUCAUAAAUCUCUUCAAUUUAUUCCUGAUACAAUGUAGCAUUAUUUCACAUAUCAUUUCUUAAGCAAAACCAUAAAAAAUACAAACAAUAAAUACAUUUUCCCACUGAUGCAGAUUAUGUUUACUGAGCAAUAAGUUUUAUGUCAUUCAUGUUGAAAUACUUCUGCCUAUUCUUUCAACAUAUAACUAGUACAUACACAAAAAAAAAACCUGGUGGUGAAUCUUGCAAAAUCUUCCUUUUUUCUUUUUUUUUUCUUUUUCUUCUUUUUUUGGGGUGGGGUGUUGGGGGAACUAUGAAUCUUGCAAAUCCUCAAGAAGCCAUGUUAAGACAAGGCCAGCUUACUAUUGGGGUAUGAAAGAUAAAACCUUUUAUUUCCUUUUCAAAAUAAAAAGGACAUUGACAGUGUUAAAAAAAAUCUAGAGGAUUUCAGGCCUCCAGAUCCUUACAAAUCAAGGAUAUUAAAAAAAAUUACUUAGAGGAGAAAGGUUAUGCUCAUUUGUAUCUUGUUAGAAGAAAUUGAUCCAAAGCCUCAGUUUUAAUUUGCUUCAUAUAGCCAAUGACUAGGUGUUUAAAAACCAAUGAAUAUUUUUAUAAGAAAUCAACAAUAUUGUUGAAAGAAAAACCAAAUAAAAAUAAUAAAGCCAAUGAAUAGAUCAAGGCUCUUUGUGGUCUAAAACUAAUCAAACUAAGUUGUGGGCAAAGGCAAAUAUGUUUGUUUGGUCAAUAAUAAGCUCAACAAGUCACUAAUAACCACCUAAUCACUAUUCCUUAUGCUAUGCAAUAUAAUGGCCUGGGUAAUGGCGCCAAGGCAGACAAUAAGUAGCUAGCCAGUUAUGAUAGUUGAUUAACUUAACCUACUGGAAAUCUGAAGACCAAAACGAAGAAGCUUUGUCUAGAACUAGAAUAGGAACAUUCGUACCCAAAACUAAUAUACACAAUUAAGAAACUUGAUUAUAUGUAUAUUUCUGUUGGCCACACUUAAAGAGAAUUUCCAAAAGAUGCUAAGGUACACCAAAUCCCACUAUUUCAUACUCAUAAACACAAAAAACCAUGGUAAAAAUUAAUGACUAUAUCAAAUAAAAUCGGUGAUAGGACAUUGAGAUUAGGACAACUUGAUUUGUAUACCGUAAAAUAACUAUAUCUGCAUGGUGAACUAUAUUUCUGUUAGAAGUCUGAAGUUUUCUAUUAAAUUUUUUUCUCUGUUGGGUAAACCACUUAACUGAAGUGCUUAAGCCAAUUUUGACAAUCAUAGACAUAAAAGUAUUAAUAGGCUCAUUCAAGUGAAAUGAGCAUUAUUUCACACAUCCUUUAGGUUUUUAAGUCAUUUAGAAGUCAUUCAUGUUAAAAAAAAAAUUCAUAUACUUUCAAUAUAAUUAGAACAUACACAAUUAAUUAAUUAAAUAAAUCUGUUUCAGCUAGUAUAGGAACUUAAUUAAUCAAAGCUAGUAGUUAUAGCUAGGACUUGAACGAGGCACCUUUCAAAGUUCAAGAAGAGCAUCUGAACAUAAUGAAAGCACUUUGUAGAUAUGGUAAUGAUGCUUUACAUCUACAUGCUCUUACACAGCAUGAACUUUCAUUUACUCCAAGCUCUUAUUCUACAAGUCAAUUCAGUUUGUAGAUGCACGCCAUUGUAAAAACUUUUGUAUUAUAAUUUCUGAAAAUAGAAUGUAACAUUAUUAAUAUAGAAUCAGCAAUGUAUAUAACUUAUCAGACAAUAUAACAAGCACUUGGUGAGCAUACAAGAUAAACUAAAACAAGUCAUCCAGAAAAUGAAACUAAAACCCAAGCUCCGCUAUUCAUUGUAGAUGCUUUAAACAUAAAAUUAAACUAAAUCUAAUAGCAAAACAUUAGAAUGGAUGUUGGAAUUAAAGCUAAAUUCAAUAGUAAUUCAAAUGAAUCCAUUUGAACUUUGUAAAUUCCGCAGAACAAAAUUAAUUUGAGUGAGCAAACUCACCAAUGGAACAAGAACACAGGGGCUUCAACUUGUAGGAAUAAAAAAAUAUUGCUGGCGGGACAAAAAUUGACAAUAAUGGCUACAAUACGAAUUUAAAAAAAAUUCAAAAUCUAUAAUUACAAGCUAAGUAAGAGAAGAAACUCAUAAUCACAAGCUUACCUCAAAAGAUGAAGGGAGAAUACGAUGAAGAAGAAGAUGCCCGGUGUUUUACGCCGUUCGCCGGCAACCAGUUAGGUUUACGAUGGUGGCUAGUCCAGCGAAUAGUUUUCUAACUGGAAAUAAAUUUAAAUUUCUAAAAUAGUGCUAUGCCGAACGGCUCUUUACCGUCACGUGGUUAGUAACAUAUGUGACAGCAGUGUGGCCGUCACAUAAAGGGUAACAAAAGCAACUCGAGGUUACAAAGUUAGAAGUUAGUGGCAUGCGUAAUGGCUGCUUUUGCAAAUUUGCAUUCACAUUAGGGGUCACAUAUACCCUAUUUUCUUGUAGUACAUGGUAAAUUCUAUUUCAAAAUUGCUAAGUAUUUUAGAUUUGUAUGAAUUCAUUUUUGUGUGCUCGUUGGAUAAUAAUAUAUUAUUUAAUAAAUUAAAUUUUUGUUGUAAUUUUCACAAUAUUGUAUUAUAAAUAUGUCUCGUUGAAAGGUUUUGAAAUCGUUUUUAUUGAUCAUAAGGCGAAAGCUACUGUGCAACUGUGAUACGGUAUCACCGUUGCACCCAGCCGUUGGAUCCCACUUGAUCUAUUCAUCCGCGUGGAUCCAACGGCUGGAUGCAACAGUGAUACCGUAUCACCGUUGCACCGUAGCCGGACCCUGAUCAUAAUUGAUAUUUCCACAGUUGCAAAAGAUACCAGAGAAAAUUUGAUUAUCUUAAGAAAUGAGGGAAUGAGAUCUGAAAUCAACCAUACCAUAAAAUCAAAUUUUAUCAUGUCAUCCUUCUCGGUUCAAAUUUAUGGAAACAAUAAUCAAAUGCAUCCAUGAACUAGUAUAUUCCGAGAUAUGUACCAUCAAAUUUUUGCUAUAUCAUACUUAUAUAUGUAUAUUGAAAUUUUAAUAACAACAAUUGGGCCAAGCAUAUGUUGGUACUUGAAGAUUUAUAAGCUCCAUCCUUGAAAAAAUAAAGCUUGACUGUUUUCAAUCUGAUUCUUUUUGUUUUAAGUUCUUAAUUAAGCUUUCUUACUUGUUUUCAAGAGCCAGUUUUGUAAUGAUCCACAAACAUGAUUUGCAUAUACAGUAUUGCAGUUGGCAUUUAUGUAUCACUUAUUAAUUAGAUUUAAAUUUUAUAAAUUAAUUAAGCUGAUUAAUAUUUUAUAUGUGCACUAAAUGAUAGAUACAACAUAAAUUGGGACACUAUAACUACGUAUCCUUACUAUGUAAUAUUUGUUUGUCUCAAACCCAAUCAUGGCUUGAUAUUCUGAAUACUAUUUAGGAUAACAUUUCAAGCCCCAUGAGGGCUCUUUCCGUUUAAAAAAAAAAGUAUGAAAUAGAUGUAGAUUUUUCUUUAGAUAUUAUUAGUGAAAGUACCUUUGAUGGCAAUGGUUCAAGAUGAUUUGAGAUUUGACAAUUCCGCUCUCAUCUUAAUUAUCAAAUGGAAUGUAAGUAGAGAUAAACUCGUCCUGUUUAUAUAUUUGUGAUCAAAAUUAGGACCAAUAUCAAACCGCUCACAAUCAUGUCCCAUCCUAACUAUCUUGAAUGUCUUGAUUGCCUCCCUUAAUUAUCUUUUUAAUUCUCAUUAACAUAUUAGCAAAAUUUCCAUAUAUUAAAAAAUUAGGGUCCGACUAUCUAUACUUUAAAAAUCAUUAUGAACACUCAAUUAUUUAUGCACUCAGCAAAUAAAUUUAAAAAAUUAAGUUUUACUUUCUACACUUUUUAAAAUAACAAAAACAUCUUUACAUGAACCUAAUAAGUUUAUUUAAAAAAAUUAAAUCAACUAUUUUUAUUUAUUCAAAAUACUAAUAAAAAUAUUUAGCAAACCGUGAAAGAAAUUUUUUAAGAAAUUUAACACGAUUUUAGUUAUUACUUGUUGUUUAUUAAAGAAUGUGUUCACUAUUGUUUUUAAUUUUGUUAGUAAAAAAAAUAGAAGAAGAAGUUUGGGUUUAAGAUACAUUUAAUUUUAGUGUAACAGUUGUACUAUAUAGCUUUAUUUACCCAAGUGGGCAAUACAUUUAAUUUUUAGUGUAACAGUUUUAUUCAUACAACGCUUUUAAAACUAAAAGUACUUUUAAAAAUAAAUUUUACUAAAUAUUCAGCUUAUUCUCUUGACGAUUGAUCAAUUUCUACAAUAUAACUAAUUGUAAUUAUUUUAAAAGCUACAGGAUUACCAAAUUGACCCUAAAUCAAACCAAUAAAAAUGUUUAAAAAUAAUAAUUAUAAACCAAAGUAAACGUACAAAAAUUCAUGCAUAAUUUGAUAAUCAACAAAAACAUCCACAAGUUUACCUCCAAGUUUUCUACUCAAUUGACAUAACCCUUAAAUUUCAAAAGGCAUAAUCAAUUUUGUGUCUAAUCCUAUAAAAUUAGAAAAUUAAAGAAUAUUAUAUACUGAUAAUUAAAUAAUAUGCACUUAACAAUGUUAAAAAAAUAAUGUUAAACACAUUGUCAACUAAAAUAAUUGGGAGAAUUGGAGUUCCAAGAUAAAUUCUUAUCUAGUCCCAAAUCAAUAAUUGGGAUUAACAAGCUGCUAUUGAAAUUAAUGUUAACAACUAAAAUAGAUGCAAAAGGAGAAACAGGCAUCAUGUGCAGUACCCACUGUGAACUGCUCACAAGUUGUUGGCAGCUGGUCAAAAAUUCAAUGUUGAUUUUGAUCCCACUAAAUUAAGUCAUCAAAAAUUGCUGGGAAGGGAGUAAUAUCUAUUUAUAACUGGAAAUUACUCACCGUACAACGAUGAUUGGAGCUGCAUAUAUCAUUUAUUAUUAACAACUAACUUAUGAAAUGCUUUGAAUGUAUCUCCUAGGUCGUAUUAUUCACUAUACUAGUUAGGAGAAAUUGCAAUGUUAAAUUAUUUGAUAAAUACUUAUUAUAAUUUGAAAAUAUGUUAAUUUUGUCCUCCAUUUAUGAUAAAAAAAAUUAUAAUAUAUAAAAAUCAUUCAUUCUAUAAUCUUGAACUUUAUUAAAGUUUGAAAAACUAUUACUCUAUAUGAUAUAAUUGUGUGAUGUUAUUACACUAUUAUACCAUAUAAAAUAUAUUUGCUUUCUUAAAUUUUAAUAAAGUCUAGGUCUUGGACAGAAGCACUUUAUAUAUGUAUAUAUAAUGAUUCUCUAGUAACAACAUUCUCAUUUUAACAAAAUAAUGAUAUCACUAACAAACUAAAUAACACGUAUUUCAAUACACCAAUAGAUAAAAAAAAAUAUAAUUUUUAAUGUGUUAAAAUAUGUCUUUUGUAUAUUAUUGAUAUUUUCACUUUAACAAAGUGAGGGUGUCCACACUACAGAAGUACUUUAUAAAUAUUCUUUGUAUUUUUGUGAAAAUUAUUAUUUAAAUGUCAUAUCUUACCAAAGACUAUUAGUUUUUAUUUUAUUACUACACUAUACUUUUCAAGAUAGAACACCUUAAUACCAUGACCUUAAUUUUUGAACUCUCUUGUGCAAAGUUGUUGGCUGGUCUAUUUAGCUUAGUCUUUCAAUUAUUUGUCGUUUGAACUCAAAUGAUCCGAAUAAAGCUAUGUAUCAAUAAUUUCCUAGUGAAACUUCGGGAAAAAAUAAAAAUCCUCUCAUACAGUAGCAUUAUUUUAAUUCUCAGCUUGAUUAUGUUUUGAGUUAACUUAUAGAUUAUUUGAAAUGAAAAUAAUAUAAUUUAUUUUUUCCAACUGAAAUUUUUAAAUAAUUUUAUUAGUUUGAUGAGUAAGUAUACACUUACAAAGUUAUGAUAUAAAAUUAUAUCCCAGAAUCUGAAUAAUAUGACACCAAUUAACUACUGCUAUUUGUUUCUUAGUAUUAAAAUUUUCAUACCAUUAUUAAUGAGAUAAUUAACUUCAACACCAAUAAACAAAUUUUAUAUUAAUACAUCCUCUAGCUUUAUUAUCAAAUAAUCAUAUGUCAUAAUCAAACCAAGCUACCAGAGCCUACCACUAAAAGAUUGAUUGAAGGGUUUUCCAAGUUUGAAAAUGUUAGUAGCAUUGGCAAAUGGCAACUUCCAGGAAUCUUCCUGCUACAAUCAAUCAUUUAGUGAAAUGCCCAAAUGACACAAAGGACCCCGCCAAACAUGAAGUCACAUCAUUUAUUUAUUUGUAAAUGAAAAAUAAGGUUCCGAUCGGAAGAAAUCAGCACCUUAUAAUGCAUGAUUACUCGUAUGUCAAGUUUGGCGAUUAUAAGUCAUCAUCACAAUAACUUUGGACUUUGAUAUUUAAGUCUCCAUUUGGGACCAAUGUAUGUGUUGUGAAUUUGGCUUUGAUAAGAUUAACCAAAUUCUCCCCAAGACACUUAGUUCUGUAUCGAUGGUUUUAAGAAUGAUUAACACAGACUAUUCAGCAACAAAUACACACACGAAUCAAAGUUUUAAAGAUCACAAACAAGACACCAAGCAUAAGUGGUUCAGCACCAAGAAGUGGUGCUUACAUCCACUGGAAACAAAGCAACAGUCUUUCACUAUUUCGUUCACAAAACAAUACAAGAAUAGGAAUUGAUUUACAGAGAACAAGAACUUGUAAACCCCUUUCUCUCUCUAUCUUCUCUCUACUCUUAGUGUUUCCCAAAUCAUGUGAAGACGAUGACAAAGCCUGCACCUUUUUAUCCUCUGUUUCUGGGUUGUUACGCCAACUACCAUUCCCGCCAAAUCUAUCCAAGAAGCUCUGCCUCACGUGCCUGUCGCACGCUGAUUUAAGUGUGAUUAAGAAACGGCACUCAGAGACGUCGUUUCUUGACCCAAGCAAGAGUUAGCUUCAACACAUGUGCAAACCACGUGUACUACUAAAGAUAGAACAGAUGACUGAGAUUAUGUCGGAUCUGGCUUCAGGAACUUCUACAAGUGACAAGUCAUCCGAGACUGAAUCCUCUAAACGACUUGUAGUACUUGAGUUUCGAGUUCACUGUUUAUCAGUAUGGCAGUUGGACAACACAUCACUCAAUUAUAGAGUGUGAAAUAUUGAUAUUGUUCUUAUUAUUUUAUGUAAUGUAUAAACUUUUCCUUUUAUUUGUGUUUGUUUAUUUUUUUUAUACUUAAUAAAUAUAAAUUUAUUUUUUAAAUAUUUAACAAAUAGUCACGACCAGACAAUAUUGCCAGAGAAUAACAAACAAUGACCCAAAUCCUUUUAUCUUACAGAAAUAAUUUCAAGUAGUCACGGCCAAACAAUAUUGCCAGAGAAUAACAAACGAUGACCCAAAUCCUUUUAUCUUACAUAAAUAAUUUCAAUUCACAACAACUAUGACAUUACAUUACCAAAUAAACACUAAAUAUUUUGAUGAUUGUAGUUUAUCUUUCAUUCAUAGCAUGAAGAGUUUGAAAUAUGAUCUCAAAACAAAGAGUACGACAUGUCGUGUUCGGUUUACAGAAGAAGUGUACCCCAUGUCAUCCGAAAACUAAAAGGCGCGUAUGACAACCAGACGCUGUCAUCUCUUAUUUGCUUACACUUUAAGGAAGAAUUCUGGGUUUUGAGUGACAAUUAAAAGCUAGAGUGAGAAUUAGAGAGAGAGUUAUAUAUUCUUAUUUAUUCCUAGUCACUUGCUAUAUUGUGUAGGUCUUUUGUGAUUCCAAUAAUAAAAACGCUCAAUAUUUUUUUUUAUAGAGCAAUAUUUGUUAAAGCAUGAAGAAAGACAGAAAUAUUGUAAAUCCAUCUCAACUUUUCUGUUUAUUGUGGUCGCUGCUAGAGCUAGCUGUUUUCUUAUUUAACAUUGUUCUCUUUUGCCAUCAGCUCUUAGCAUUUUCAUUCAAUCAAGCGACCCUUUUCUUGCUUCAAUUUUUUUUUAUCUCAAAAGCACUUUGAUUCUCUUCAGUUACACUGAUUUUCUCCUUGUUUUGCACAAAUAUCAUUUCUCUUUCCCAUUUAGCCUUGAUUUGCUUCUACUUGACUAUCAAUUGCCCAGUCGUUGAACCUGUUGUAUUUUUAUUUCGUUCACUUCAAAUAGACAAAAAAAAAAAAAAAAGAUGUUGGAUAAAAGCCUAAAAUCUAAUUUGGUUUUUAAUUUGAUUUAGCUAAGAUGUCCAAUUUAAUACUAAGAGCAAUGUUAAGGAUCCCAAUAAUUGAGUCUCAAUUGAUAUGAUAGUCAUUUAUUAGAUGAUCGAAAUAUUAAUUUUACUAGUUAUGAAAUUCAUUAUCCAAUAAAAAAAUGAUACAUAACAAUUGGAUCUCAAAUUAGAAUUCUACUAUCGAAAUUCCUAACAUUAUUCUAAUAUUAAAAAUUCAUCAAAAUAAUAUCUAUUAUCUAAAAAAAUAAAAUAAAAAUCUAAAACCAUAGAUUUACUCUUCAAUCUUCGUGAUUUGGCUGAUUUCUUUUAAAGCUUUGGUUUCUUUAUAUUUUUAUCGGUCAUUUUAACGGUACUGGCGUUUGAUUUUCUGACUAAGCUACUGUUUAGUUCCAAGUUUUGGCAAUUACCCGGACUGCUUUCUUUUGUGUAACAUCGACACAAUGAGGCUUUGCAUCUAAAAGUCGGCAGCCAUGCAACUUCUUGGAAUCUUCGUGCAAGUGUUGGAUAUCGACCGUUCGAUAAUGACGGCAGCAUUGGUCUGGAGUGUUAGAUAUUUUAUUGAUUAAGGAUCACAAAUAAUGGAUAUUGGAUGAGGAUCACAUGUUUUAUGACAAUCGUAAUGUUACUAAUAUAAGUCAAGCAAUUAUUUUUAAAUAAUGAUAUUAUAAUUAAAAAUAAAAAAAUAUUUAUAAUACUUAAACACUAAUUCAGAGUAUUAAUUUUUUUAUAUGAAUUAAUUAUUUGCUGACAAAUAAUUAAAAGGUCAUAGAACAAUAUUUUCAGCUCAAAUUUUUAUUCUAAUAUGACACAACUUGGUACUUUCAUUCCUAUGCUAAAAUAUAUCUAACCUACUAAUAGUCAAGAAAUAUAUCUAUUCAACACAUAUUUGUUAGAAAGAUUAUCUACUAAUUAAUCAUUGAGACGAGAUUACGAAUCUCAACAUAAAUUAGGAUAAAAAUUAAUAUAUUGAAAUUCAGAAUAUUUCAAGCUUGUAAAACUACUUUCAAGCGAAUCUGAUAAAAUUAUUUCAAUACUCGUGGGUGACUCCUUUUUAAACCGCAGAAGGAAAUGAUUUUCUCCUUGUUUGUACAAAUAUAAUUUCUUUUUUCAAUUUUGCCUUGUUUUGCUUCUACUUGAUUAUCAAUUGCACAGCCGUUGACCCUGUUCUAUUUCUAUUUCGUUCACUUCCCUAAAAAAAAAAAAAAGAUGGACAUUUUGAAAAGCAUUGUUCCAGGAGUUGUAAACUGCUUGUCCCCUCACGCACAACGCGAAUUUAGUUACUGGUAUAACUCCGGUGCCAACUUUGAGAAUCUCAAGGCAGAACUCCAUAGGCUCAAGGUUGAAAGAGAAAGCAUUCAGCGCAGAGUUUCUGAGGCUGAAAGAAAAGGUGAAAAGAUUGAAGAGAAUGUUGAGAAAUGGCUGGUUAAUGCGAACGAGAGCAUUGAGCAGGCAGCCAAAUUCAUUCAAGACGAAGAGAAAGCAAAUGAUGGCCGAUGUCUCAUGGGGCUGUUUCCUGAUUGGUUUGCUCGCUAUCAUCAUGGAAAGAAAGCAGAAACAGAGAAGGAGGCCCUUUUUAAACUCCGAGAAGAAGCUGGGAGAUUUGAUGAUAGAAUUUCCUACCGUACCGUUCCGGAGGAUAUAUGGCUCAAGUCUCACAAAGGCUACGAGGCCUUCGAAUCAAGACUUUCUACUUUGAAAGCCAUACAAAAUGCAUUGAUCGUUGUUGAUGUCAGCAUCAUUGGGGUCUACGGCAUGGGCGGCAUUGGAAAGACGACACUGGUGCAGGAGGUCGCCAGGCAAGCUAUGGCAGACAAGCUCUUUGAUACGGUGGUCUUUUCAGAGGUUUCGCAAACUCCAGACAUAAAAAAGAUUCAACAGGAAAUUGCCGAGAAGUUGGGCCUGGAGUUGCACGAGGAAGUUGAAUCUAGAAGAGCAAGUAGGCUAUGUGAGCGAUUGAAAAAUGAGAAAAAGAUCCUUGUGAUUCUGGAUAACAUCUGGAAACCUCUUGAUUUGGGGACUAUUGGAAUUCCUUUUGGAGUUGAGCACAGAGGAUGCAAAUUAUUAUUCACAACAAGAGAUCUUGAUGUGCUGUUAAGGACAGAAUCUGAAAAAAACUUCUCGAUUGGCAUUUUAAAUGAACAAGAAGCCUGGAGAUUGUUCAAGAUAAUGGCUGGUGAUUAUGUUGAAAACCGUGAGUUAAAACCUAUAGCAACAAGGGUAGCCAAGGCAUGUGGAGGUUUGCCUAUUGCCCUUAACCACAGUAGCAAAGGCACUGAGAAACAAAGAGCUGCCUGUGUGGAAGAAUGCGUUGCAAGAACUCCAAACGCCUUCAGAGGCAAGCUUCGACGGAGGAGUACCAGCAGAGGCAUACUCAACAAUUGAGCUGAGUUACAAGUACUUAAGAGGUGAGCAACUCAAGAAAACGUUUUUACUGUGUAGUCUUAUUACGCCAGCACCAAUUAUGGAUUUGUUCAAAUACAGCAUGGGCUUGGGUGUAUUUAAAAGUGUCCAUAAACUAAGAGACUCUUGUUUGUUGCUUGAGGAUGGUGGCAGUAAAUACAUUUCUAUGCACGAUGUUGUUCGCGAUGUUGCCAUUUCAAUUGCAUGUCGUGACAAAAUUGGAUUUGUGGUGAGAAAUGAGGAUGUGUGGAACUGGCCAGAUGCAGAUGCACUAAAAAAAUAUCUUGCAAUUUCUUUUAAAGAUAGUAUUGUUAAUGACAUUCCUGAAGGGUCCGAAUCUCUACAACUUCAACUUCUAGUCAUGUCUCCCAAGAACUCUUUUUCUGUGCCUAAUAUUCCUAAGAACUUCUUCAAAAGGACGAAAAAGCUUCGGGUUUUGGAUUUGACUAGAAUGCGGUUAUUGUCAUUGCCAUCUUCAAUUGGUCUUCUAGUAAAUCUUCAGACACUCUGUCUUAAUCAAAGCAUUUUGGGAGGCAUAGACAUAGCCAUUAUUGGAAAGUUGGAAAAUCUAGAAAUCCUCAGCUUUUUGCAAUCUGAUAUUGUAGAGUUGCCUAAAGCACUGGGUCAACUGACUAACCUAAGGCUGUUAGAUUUCACAGACUGUUUCCGUCUGAAAGUUAUUGCCCCAAAUGUCAUAUCAAGCUUAACCCGAUUAGAAGAAUUGUAUAUGGGUAAUUGCUCCAUUGAAUGGGAGGUUGAAAGAGCCAACAGCAAAAGAAGUAAUGCUAGCCUUGAUGAAUUGAUGCAUUUACCUCGGCUAACCACUCUAGAAAUUGACGUUAAAAAUGACAGUAUGUUACCAGAACGUUUUUUGGCCAGAAAGCUUGAAAGGUUCAAAAUACAUAUUGGAAAUGAGUCAUUCACGCAUCCCAUGAGAGUCAGACAAGCUUGGUUUAAAAGUCGGCGACACUUUUAUAUCGACAGUGAUUGCAAGAGUUUAAGAGCAUUGAAGCUCAAGCUUGCUUUUACGGACAUUUGCUCCAUGAAAUUGCAGGGCGUCAAUAGCGUUGAAUACUUAUUGUUGGACAAGCUGCGAGGUAUCAAGAACGUUCUUUUCAAUUUGGACACGGAGGGCUUUUCACAAUUGAAGGUUCUCUGGGUUCAAAAUAAUCCUGACUUCUUUUGCAUCGUCGAUUCAAGGGCGAUGGUCGCUUGUGAUGCCUUUCCUCUUUUGGAGUCACUUGGCCUUCACAAUUUGAUCAACAUGGAGAGGAUAUGUAUUGAUCGGCUCAAAGUAGAGUCCUUCAACGAACUCAAAAAUAUAGAAGUAUAUAAUUGUGAUAAGUUGAGUAAUAUCUUUUGGCUCUCUACUAAAAAAUGCCUUCCAAGACUUGAGAGAAUUGCAGUUGUUAAUUGCAGCAAGAUGAAAGAGAUUUUUGCAAUUGGGGAAGAAGUUGAUAAUGCAAUUGAGAAGAUAGAGUUUGCUCAAUUAAGAUCUUUGAGUCUGGGGAAUCUUCCAGAGGUUACAAGUUUUUGCCGGGAAGUAAAGACUCCUUCAGCAUCACCAAACAGACCAGCGUCGCAAGAGGAAUCGACGACUAUGUAUAGCUCCAGCGAAAUCACUUUGGAUAUUUCAACUCUGCUUUUCAACGAGAAGGUGCGUAGUGUUGCGGACCGCCCAAUUCGCUAGCCCAAUUGCCCACAAUUUCGGGCUAGAGAGCCAACACAAGGCCAAGAGUGCUAGCUUGGCCCAAUUCCGGAAGGUUCUAGGCAACUCUAGCACAUGUGAACAUGUAAAUAUUCUAGAAUACUUUAUACAAUUCCAGCACAUGUAAAUAGCUAGGAAAUUGUAUAAUACUCUAGAGUUUGACCAAGUUUGGCAAAGUUAGGCAAAGUUAGGCAAAGUUAGGCAAAGCCUCCCCUAUAACUAUGGGAUGGCAUUAGGCAUUUGUAUCCAACAAGCAUUGUAAUCUCUCUUUGUGCAAUACAAGUUUCUUUGGCUCAAUUGCUCUCUUCUCUUGUUCGAGAAUCUCUAGGCUUACUUAGCAACAUUCGGCAAAGUUGUCUAAGUGCCGCACGGGUUAGCUGCGCAAAACACUCAUCCCGUGACAAGUGGUAUCAGAGCUAAGGUUUGCACGCACGCAAAUUAGCUCACGAAGCAAUGGCCAACCCUUCGAACGUAGCACAAGAGGGUGUUGUUGGUGUGGAUGUUCCACCGGAACCAAGCCGUGGCCGAGAGGGAGAACGCGCCCAAGGCAAGACUCGCGGCAAGUCCAAGGCCCUAUCCGUGGAUGCGUUGGAGCCUCGUGUAGGCACUCUCGAAAUAGCAUUGUCCGCCGCUCAAGAUAGCCUCGUGGGAUUGGAGGAAAGAGUGGAUGGUCUCGAGGGAGAAUACGCCAAGUUCACGGUGGCCACAAAAGCUCUCAUCCAUGAGCAAGCGAACAUUCUCCGAGGUGAGUUUCGUUCUUUCCAUGAUGAGUUGCUCAAACUUCGUAGUUUUGUUCAGGACGAACUACGUGCUGUCCGUGCGGAAGUGGAUGAAGUCCGCUCGGAUUGGGCAUGGCACAAGCGCACACUCUCCACAAGUCCAGCUUCCGCAAACUCGAGUGAUGCGCGCCGCAUUGACGUGCCAAAGCCCGACACCUACGAUGGCACACGCAAUGCCACCAUCGUGGACAAUUUCCUCUUUGGGCUGGAUCAAUACUUCGAUGCCAUGGGUGUCCGAGAUGAGGCAUCGAAAGUGGGCACUGCACCCACCUAUCUUAGAGGCGCUGCACAACUAUGGUGGCGUCGCAAGCAUGGCGAGAUGGGCAAGGGCAUUUGCGCCAUCAACACUUGGGCCGACUUCAAGCAAGAACUCCGAAAGCAGUUCGCCCCAAGCAAUGCGGAGAAGGAAGCGCGAGUGCGCUUACGUCGCCUCAAGCAAUCGGGUAGCAUUCGGGACUACAUCAACGAGUUCACUACCCUCAUGUUGGAGAUAAGCGACAUGUCCAACAAGGAUUCACUCUUCUACUUCCAAGAUGGCCUCAAGGAUUGGGCCAAGACCGAGCUUGAUAGGCGUGGUAUUCAAACACUUGACGACGCCAUUGCCGUUGCGGAGUCGCUCACCGAAUACUCUACCCAAUCCAAGGACAAAAAGGCCAACCAAGGCAAAGGUGGGGGAGAGAGUCGCAAGGACAAGGGCAACAACCGCAAAGAUUGGGGGCAGAAAAAGCCGCCUAGCAACAAGAGUUGGCAAGGAAAAUUGGAGGGCAAGAAGGAGGCGCCAAAGCCGCGAAGCCCAUGCUUCAUAUGCAAUGGUCCUCAUUGGGUACGCGACUGUCCGGAGAAGAGGUUGCUUAAUGCUCUUGCUGCCCAACUCAAGAGCAACCCCACAAUGUCCACGGAGGAACCCCAACUCAGCAUGGGUUCUCUCCAACGCCUCGGCGCCCUCAAUCGCCAACAGCCCGCACUCGUCAAGAAAGGGCUCAUGUAUGUAAGCGCAAAGGUAAACGGUCAGUCCGUUCGCGCGCUGCUAGACACGGGAGCAACACACAAUUUCGUGUCCGUAGACGAGGCCAAGCGCUUAGGCCUCAAGGCCACCAAGGAAGGAGGCACAAUGAAGGCUGUGAACUCACCCGCCAAGCCAAUUGCGGGAAUCGCACAAGGCGUGCACAUCACACUUGGUACGUGGAGCGGAAAGCUUGACUUCUCCAUCGUGCCCAUGGACGACUUCAAGAUGGUCCUCGGCAUGGAAUUCUUCGACCAAGUCCAUGCCUUCCCACUGCCCGCUACAAACUCCCUAAGCAUCCUCGACGGGAGUAAAGCAUGCAUGGUACCCACGGAGCGAGGCAAGUCCGAGGAGAAGACACUCUCCGCCAUGCAAUUCAAAAGGGCUUUCAAGAAGGACCCAAGCUUCUUGGUCUCCAUUCGGGAACUAAAUGAGGAAGGAAAUAGCGGAACGUCGCCAAGCCAAGUCCCUCCACAAAUUCAAGCCGUCCUCGAAGAUUACAAGGAUGUGAUGCCUCCAGAACUUCCAAAGAAGCUCCCACCUCCGCGAGAGGUAGAUCAUGCGAUUGAGCUAGAACAAGGCGCGAAGCCACCAGCCUUGGCACCCUACCGCAUGGCGCCACCCGAAUUAGAGGAGUUGCGGAGACAACUCAAAGACUUGCUGGAUGCCGGCUACAUUCGCCCCUCAAAGGCCCCAUUCGGUGCACCGGUCCUCUUCCAAAAGAAAAAUGAUGGAUCGCUGCGGAUGUGCAUCAACUAUAGAGCGCUCAACAAGAUCACCAUCAAGAACAAGUAUCCGAUUCCAUUGAUUGCGGACUUGUUCGACCAGCUUGGCAAAGCGCGGUACUUCACCAAACUUGACUUGCGCUCCGGGUACUACCAAGUGCGCAUCGCCAAGGGAGACGAACCGAAGACAGCGUGCACAACAAGGUACGGGUCUUUCGAAUUCCUUGUGAUGCCUUUUGGCCUUACUAAUGCACCCGCCACAUUUUGCACACUCAUGAACAAGGUACUCCAACCAUUCCUCGACCGCUUCGUGGUCGUGUACUUGGACGACAUUGUGGUGUAUAGCACCACACUCGAGGAUCAUGCCCAACACUUGCAACAAGUCCUCCAAGUACUUCGAGACAAUGAGCUCUUCCUCAAACUAGAGAAGUGCUCGUUUGCCCAACAAGAGGUGGAGUUCCUUGGCCACAAGAUUGCGGGCGGGAAGAUCAUGAUGGAAAAUGACAAAGUAAAGGCCAUCCUCGAUUGGGAGCCUCCCUCGAAAGUACCCGAGCUUCGCUCAUUCCUUGGGCUGGUGAAUUACUACCGCCGCUUCAUUAAGGGCUAUUCAGCCAAGGCGGCACCCUUGACGGAUAUGCUCAAGAAAAACAGAACGUGGCAUUGGUCCGAAGAGUGCUAACGUGCAUUCGAGGAGUUGAAGGCAAUUUCGGAGGAACCAGUCCUCGCUCUUCCGGACCACACCAAGCCCUUCGAAGUUCAAACGGAUGCCUCGGAUUUCGCCAUAGGUGGAGUCCUUAUGCAAGAAGGCCACCCAAUAGCGUUCGAGAGUCGAAAGCUAAAUGACACGGAACGCCGCUACACGGUGCAAGAAAAGGAGAUGACAGCCAUCAUCCAUUGUCUAAGAGUGUGGCGACAUUACUUGCUUGGCUCACACUUCACGAUCAUGACGGACAACGUGGCGACAAGCUACUUUCAAACUCAAAAGAAGUUGAGUCCGAAGCAAGCACGGUGGCAAGAUUUCCUUGCGGAAUUCGACUAUCGGCUAGAGUACAAACCGGGGAAAGCCAAUGUUGUUGCGGACGCUCUAAGCCGCAAGGCGGAAUUGGCAACACUUAGCAUGAGCCAACCGAAGUCCGACCUUGUCUCACGCAUCAAGGAAGGCCUCCAACAAGAUCCGCUAGCAAAGGAUUUGCUGGAGAAGGUGCUCGAGGGAAAGACAAGGCGGUUUUGGCAAGAGGAAGGCAUCCUCCUCACCAAGGGAGAUCGGCUGUUCGUGCCAAGGUGGGGAAACUUGCGGAAGGAAGUAAUCAAGGAGUGCCACGACUCUAAGUGGGCUGGUCACCCAGGAAUCGAGCGCACCACCGCACUAGUUCAAGCCUCGUAUUUUUGGCCGCACAUGAGGGACGACAUUGAGGCAUAUGUGCGAACUUGUCUUGUGUGCCAACAAGACAAAGUGGAUCAUCAACUUCCAGCGGGAUUGUUGGAGCCGCUACCACUAGCAACAAGGCCAUGGGAAAGUGUCUCCAUGGACUUCAUCACAUCGCUGCCCAAGUCCGAAGGUUGCGGAAGUAUCAUGGUCAUUGUCGACCGAUACAGCAAGUACGCCACAUUCAUUGCUGCACCAGUCGAUUGCAAAGCGGACGAGGCAGCCCGCCUAUUUGUCAAGCACAUUGUGAAGCUUUGGGGAGUACCGAAGAGCAUUGUGAGCGACCGAGACCCUCGGUUCACUGGACGCUUUUGGACGGAACUCUUCAAAAUGUUGGGGACCGAUCUCAAGUUCUCGACAAGCUUCCACCCACAAACGGAUGGGCAGACCGAGCGCAUUAAUGGCCUCCUCGAGAUGUACCUGAGGCAUUAUGUGAGCGCUCACCAGCGGGAUUGGGCGAAGCUACUCGACAUCGCCCAAUUUUCUUAUAACUUGCAGCGAAGUGAGGCUACGGGCAAGAGUCCGUUCGAGAUCAUCAUGGGAUUCCAGCCCAUGACCCCCAAUGCCAUAGCCUCGACUUACGGAGGGAAAAGCCCCGCGGUACACAAGCUCGCCCGCGAACGGCAUGAGGAAGCGGACAUCACACGAGCCUACCUCGACAAAGCCGCGAGGAAGAUGAAGAAAUGGACGGAUACAAGGAGACGACAUGUUGAGUACAAGGAAGGUGAUCAAGUCAUGAUCAAGCUCCUACCCCAACAAUUCAAGACUUUGCGGAAAGUUCACAAGGGGUUAGUGAGGCGCUACGAGGGACCCUUCCGAGUUGUUCGACGUGUGGGCAACGUCUCGUAUCAACUCCAACUUCCGCCAAGACUCAAGAUCCAUCCGGUCUUCCAUGUGAGCCUUCUCAAGCCAUAUCACGAAGACAUGGGAGAACCAAGUCGCGGAGAAUCGAGGCGCGCGCCAACUGCCGUUGUCACCGCGUUCGACAAAGAUGUGGACUACAUCAUUGCGGACCGAACGGUUUCGAGGAGGGGCGUGCCAGCACAUAGCGAGUACUUGGUGAAGUGGAAAAACCUCCCCGAGAGCGAAGCCACUUAUCGCUGAGCACAUCCAGCACUUCAAGCACGAGACCGCGACGAGGACGCCACGAGCUUAGGUGGGGGAGGAUGUUGCGGACCGCCCAAUUCGCUAGCCCAAUUGCCCACAAUUUCGGGCUAGAGAGCCAACACAAGGCCAAGAGUGCUAGCUUGGCCCAAUUCCGGAAGGUUCUAGGCAACUCUAGCACAUGUGAACAUGUAAAUAUUCUAGAAUACUUUAUACAAUUCCAGCACAUGUAAAUAGCUAGGAAAUUGUAUAAUACUCUAGAGUUUGACCAAGUUUGGCAAAGUUAGGCAAAGCCUCCCCUAUAAAUAUGGGAUGGCAUUAGGCAUUUGUAUCCAACAAGCAUUGUAAUCUCUCUUUGUGCAAUACAAGUUUCUUUGGCUCAAUUGCUCUCUUCUCUUGUUCGAGAAUCUCUAGGCUUACUUAGCAACAUUCGGCAAAGUUGUCUAAGUGCCGCACGGGUUAGCUGCGCAAAACACUCAUCCCGUGACAGUAGGCUAACAUUUUCUUUAUUCUAUCAUGCGUUCUGUUUUGAUGUCAUACGUGGAAAAUAAUUAAAUCAUUUAAAGAAUUGAAAGAAAAUGAAAAAAAAAGGAUAAAAAGAAUCUCACGCGCUCACUAAUUGAGCUCUUAACAAGUAGUAUGAAUUAGAAUGCGUACUCAGCUGUCAGUUGGAAAUUGAUUCAGACUUGUAUUAAUUUGUAAUCAAAGAAGAAAAUUUCAACAAGUGCUUCCCAUAUGGAUAUUGGAUCUAACGAGAAAUUCUUAUUUUUUUAGGUUGCGUUGCCUAACUUGGAGGCUUUGGAGAUAUCUGCAAUUAAUGUCGACAAGAUUUGGCACUACAAUCAUCUUCCGGCGGCCGUGUUUCCUCACUUUCAAAGUUUAACACGAUUGAUUGUGUGGCGUUGUCACAAAUUAAAAUACAUAUUUUCAGCGUCUAUGAUCAGAAGCCUUAAGCAGCUCCAACACCUACGUAUACACUACUGUAAGAAUUUACAGGAGAUCAUUUCUGAAAACAGAACAGAUGAAGUGAUCCCUCAUUUUGUCUUUCCACAGCUCACCACUCUGAGACUCGAAGGUCUACCAAAACUUAGAUGUUUGUACCCUGGAAAGCAUACUUCGGAAUGGCCCGCACUAGAAAUUCUUGUAGUGUAUCGUUGUGACAAAUUAAAGAUAUUCGCUGCAGAUUUAUCGCAGAAUAAUGAGAAUGAUCAACUUGGCAUUCCUGCACAACGGCCCCCAUUGCCAUUGGAAAAGGUAUGAAGCCAAGUUCUAGAUUUUUUAUCAAUAGCUUAUUUUUAACUUCGAAAAAUAUGACAAAGCAUCGAUAAAUUAAUACUCAAUAAAUUGAAAACUUUUAUUAUACAAUAAUCUUUGCUAGUCUAGAUUAAGAGAUCAAUGUGGUAGAUUAAUAAUUAUAUGAACUUUUUUUGGUAUAGCAUUUGUAAAAGAAUCUUGAGUCUUUCCAUAUAGAAGAACUUACAAAAUAAAUUAGUAAUUUAUUAUUGUGCAAUAAAAUAAUUUCGAGUCAGUAUAAAUCAACCUUUUUUCCCUAAUUUCUUUUUUACCUCUAAAAUUAACAUAUAAAAAAUCAUUUAAUAAAUUUUAUCAAUAAUUCAAUUUUUUUUUUAAAAAUAUAAUAUAAAACAAAUACUAUAAAGUCACUGCGUGUCAUUGGAUUACUCAAAAUCAUUUGAGAGAUCAUCAAUUGACCUUAUCAGUUAUUAUGAUUGACGAUGAUCAGAUCUUACCCAACUUGAUGGAACUAUCACUAAGUGGAAAAGACGUGGAGAUGAUUUUGCAGGCCGAUUUCCCACAACACCUUUUUGGCAGUCUUAGAGAACUAGAGAUUGCUGCAGAUGACUCAGCUUGUUUUCCAAUCUGGAACGUACUGGAGAGAUUUCACAAUCUCGAAAUACUCACACUGUGUGAUUUUUCAUCCCACGAAGAGCUAUUUUCGAUGGAAGGAUGCUUAGAGAAACAUGUGGGGAAGUUGGCAAUGAUAAAAGAAUUAGAGCUGUACCGGCACUAUCAUCUGAAGCAGCUGUGCAAACAAGACUCCAAACUUGGCCCCAUUUUUCAGUAUCUUGAAAUUCUAAGAGUAUAUCAUUGUCAAAGUCUGUUAAUUCUAUUGCCAUCAUCAUCGGUAUCUUUUGGGAACCUAACAAAACUUGUAGCUUUCGGUUGCAAGGGAUUGAUACACUUGGUAACAUCCUGCACAGCAAAAACUCUAGUGCAACUCGUCACGGUGCGUAUACAAGGAUGCAGAGCAAUGACAGAGGUGGUAAUAAAUGACAAAGAAGGAGUUGAAAAAGAAGAGAUUGUUUUCAGCAAAUUGAAGGCGUUGAUUCUGUGUGAUUUAGAAAGUCUCACAAGUUUCUGCUCUGCCAAUUACACCUUCAGAUUCCCAUCUUUGGAAUAUCUGGAAGUGAUUGGUUGUCCCAAGAUGAAGAUUUUCACUACAGGAGAAUCAAUCACGCCUCCGAGAGUAGACGUCCAGUAUGGAGAGACAUCGAAUCAACGGCGUUGGGCUAAUAAUGAUCUAAACACAACCAUACAACAAUUACAUGCUGAGAAGGUACGGAUAUACAUAUUACUCUCUAUCUCCCAUGAUAAAUUUUUACAAAAUUUGCUUUUUCUUUUUAAAUAAAAUAUAGAUAAAAUGUUUGUUAUAAAGUAAAAGUUUAAAUUGAUGAAUAAGAAUUUUAUUUUCAGCUGUUGGCGGGGUCGUCGAUAUACUCUACGCAGUACGACUAAUUUCAUAGGCUUCUUAUGACUUGGAGUUGCGAAUUUUAUUUAAUUUAUUUAAUCCCAUGGCUUGUUUCGCAAUUUCAUCUUAAUUAUUUAGAAUAGGUCCCUCGGUUUACUGUUAAACUAGGAAAUAGAACCGCGCUUCGCGCGGCUUUAAAAAUAUCAAAUUAAAAAUAAAAAAUUUGAUGAAAUUCAAAUUUCUUAAGAUAACCUUCUGAUCUCUUCUCAAAAGGAAGAUUAAACAAGUUAAUUUUGUAUGUUUAUUUCAAUAAUAAUAACGAUCGCACAUAAUAAUAAUAAUAAUAAAAAUAAUAAUAAUAAUAAUAAUUGGCACCUGACGACGUUGAGGCUCAUGAGCAUUCCACAAAAUAUAAGUUUCAAUUGCAUCGAGCCCUCCAUCCUUUGCCUUCUGUAUAAGAUCUGGCCACAUCUGCACAAAUAUAACGCAUAUAGAAAUAAAUCAUAUCAAAUUUUACAUAUUUUAAGAAUAAUAAUGCUGUUGGAUCCAAAAAUAUUGCCCAUAAUUUUUCCUAAACAUGAAAGCGCACCGUUUUGAAUGUGGGAUCAUGUUUGGCUUGUUAGGAAAAAAAAUUAAGAUAAUAUUUUUGCAACAAAGUAGCUUUUUUUUUUUUGGUUAAAAGAAGAAGAAAAUGUGAAAGUGCAAGUGAUUUGAGAAAUUGUAAAUUAAUUAUUUGCAUACAGUACUUGUGGACUACUGCGAAAAUAUAAUGAAUUGCACCAGAGAAGAUAACUCGUCGUUCUCCAUUAAUUAUAAUGGUAGUUGCAUCAUAAUCGACUUGUGUUGCUGAUGAUGACAAGCAACUUAAAUUUAGAAUAAGAAGAAUUAUGCCUUAGUGGCAUUGUUGAGGGAAGAUGAAAGAACCUCUCUUCCUAUGUUAAUUAAUUAAUGUAUUUUAAGCCGCUAAAGUUUAAUUGCUAGUAUAAUAAAAUUUGAAGAAGCCAAAAGACACUAAAUAAAAGGUUGCAUAAUUAAAUAUGAGAUUAUGGCAUUAAAAUUAGGCCCUUAUGACAUUGUUGAAGGAAGAUGAAAGAGCCUCUCUUCAUAUGUUAAUUAAUUGAUGUAUUUUAAGCUACUAAAGUUUAAUUGCUAGCAUAAUAAAAUAAAUGAAUGUUUCAAAAGAUUUAUUAUUAAUUAUUAUUCAUGAUUAUAUAUUGUUGGAUUUCAAUAGAAAGAGGAAGAGACAUGAAAAUUAAACUUAGGCCCUAGCUGCAUUAUUGAGGGAAGAUGAAAGAACCCCUCUUCCUAUGUUAAUUAAUUGAUGUAUUUUAAGCAACUAAAGUUUAAUUGCUAGCAUAAUAAAAUAAAUGAAUAUUUCAAAAGACUUAUAAUUAAUUGUUAUUAAUGGUUACAUAUUGUUGGAUUUAAAUAGAAAGAGGAAGAAAUAAUGAUGCCACAAAUCUUAAAUAUUUAAUGUUUAUAGAGUUUGAAGAAGCCAAAAGGCACUAAACAAAAUAUUGAAUAAUUAAAUAUGGGAUCAUGACAUUAAAAUUGGGCUCUAAUGGCAUUGUUGACAUUAAAAUUGGACUUAUAAUUAAUUAUUAUUAAUGAUUACAUAUUGUUGAAUUUAAAUAGAAAGAGAAAAAAAGUACAAAGAAUAUUCACCAAUAUUUUAGAUAUUUUAGAUAAUAGAAAAUAUAAAAAGAUGAGGAAUGAUAUAUAUUAAUAAAGUUACUAUUUAUUAAAUGAGUUAAAUACAAUCAAAUUAAUUAUGAGAAGAUGAAAAGCUAAAUCUAAAAAAAAUUCUCUAUUUAUUAGAUAAUAGAGAAUAUACAAAGAAGCAAAAUGGUGAUGCCACAUCACCUCCUCAAGUCCUAGCUUUAUAUAGAUAUAUAGAUAUAUAGAUAGAUAGAUAUAGAUUUGCAAUGCAAUUUUAAUGAUCCCUUCAGACUUUUAUGGACAGAUUUUGCAUAAUUGAAUGUCUUUUUAGUCUAGUUUAAUUUGAGUCUUUUUCUUCUUCUUUUUUUUUUUUUUUUGGGAGCUCCCCUCGUCUUCUAAAAUUUUAUAACUCCUUGCAUACGUUUUUAUGAUAAAAUUUCAUUAAAAGCCUUCGUAUUUUAUAAUUCGUUGAAAACAUGCAUACUUUUUCCAUUCUUUCUUUGCCAAUUAUUUAUUCUCAUCAUUGCUGUUCUUUUAUUUUAGUUUGUGUUCUGUUUGUUCAUUGGGUUUGCUUUUCUUCACGCCUAUAUUUCCUUGGAAAGUUAGAAGGCAAGGAAAGUACUUAGAAAAUGUUCUUGUUCUUCCCUAUGAACACAUAAUUAAAGAACAGCUGAAUAUCAUUCAUCGGACUAAAAAAAUUUAAAAAAAAAAACGUAAUCAGUGCAUUGUUCCUAUAACAAAUGCUUAAACCAUCAAAUGUUAGCUAUGAACAAGUAUAUUGUGGAAAUAUUGUUUGAAAAUAUUUCAUAAAAAAUCAAGUUUUCACAAACCAAAAAGGGACUAAUUUGGUCUAGCAUAUUCAUAAUAUUUUCUCCACUGUUCCUGUUAAAAUUUCUCUACUCUAUGAUUGCAGAAUGUUUGGAUACUGAUGACGAUUUAAGUCACUCUUCUUCUGUGCGCAAUUUGAAAUAAGGUCGUUUUUCUUUUUUCCUCUAUUCAAAGUUUACAUUCUGAGGGGUUCCCGUUUCCAUCUUCGUGAUCUUCUUGUGAUUCACUGCAUCGUGUCGCUACAUCUGUGAUAGUGUGAGUUGCAACCUGUCUGUUUUCUUUGUUUGAUCAUUGUAUGUAUUAAAAAAGUUUACAUUUCAUUCUAGAUAAGCUCUUUGUAUGUAUUAAAAAAAUUUUAUUCUCAAUAUAUAUGACUCAAUGAGAGGUCUUUUAUUAUAUAUAUGUCAUGAAUUUCUAUUGUAUUUUGAGAUUUGAUGGUGUAUUAUUGUCUCAUUGCAAGGUCUUGUAAUCACUCUGAUUCUCAUUUGAGGAGGUUGGUCUCGUCUAUGUGUAUGUAUUUAUAUCCACAAGAAAUUUGAUAAAUGGUCUUGUCGUUUUCUCAUUAAAACAUCUAGUGCUUCAUGGGUUGGAGGGCUACUAGGCAUCAGGGCCAGAUCUUUAAACUCAAAGUUCUUCGUGUCAUUUACCCAUUUGAUUAUCAAAUAGUCAUAAAAGCAUAUAAAUUCAAGUUAGUGUAUCAUUUUUACACAAUAUACUAAAACUAACACAAGAACUUGGCCGACAUUUUCAGUUGAAUAACUCAGACCCCCGAACUUCCUCGGGCUGACAUCCCAAAGUGAAAAUGUCUAAAAAAAUAGUUGCAACAUUUACCCAUUUGAUUAUGAUUCAAAAAAAAACACAAACGGAGAAAUUAUUGGGAUUGUUAAGAUAGUUAAAAUGGUUAGUUAUUGUUUCAGUUUGUUAAGCAAGAUAGGUAGAGUUACUGACGUGUUAGCUGAGCUGGCAUAAGUUAUUCAACUCUCAGGUGCUUAGAAACCUUGUAUAAAUACAUUUGUAAUCAGCUAAAGAAUGGAUGAUUCAGAUUUAUUCAUCAAAUCCAGCUCUUAGAUGAUCUCUGUUCUUUCUUUCAUUUUCUCUCAUUUUCUUACUUAUCAAACAGAUUAGAAACUUUAACUUGGUAUCAGAGCCUGAAAGGUUUGGUAGUUGUUCUGUUUUAUCUUCAGUUUCAUUUUGUGAUCACAGAAACGUUAGGACUUGCUUGCAUGAACGCACAUUAAACCACGGAAAUUUUGUCAGACAUGCACGCAAAUGAAAUUUUAUCAGCAGUCUUGUAAUUUUCUAUUUUUGUUGUUGUCGUCAUUUUUUUACUACUAGUACUGUUUGAAAUUCUAGUAUUUUGGAUGUGAAAUUUAUUAUAUUAUGAUAGGUCCCAGUCAGAAUUAGCGGAAACAACAAGUAAAUAAUUUGUUCUUCUUAGGGUAAGAACUACCGCAAUUGCUAAUUGAAUUAGAUAAAAGUCUGAUAUCUUUUUAUUGAAUUAUUCGAGUCUAUUUAUAGAACAAAAUUAAUGAAAUAAAGUAGUUAAAAUCAAUUAAACCACUUAGCUAUAAUUUCGAAGUAAAUAAUAAUCUUAAAGGAAUCAUGAUUAAAUCUGAAUUCUUCAUCAAUACGGCUUGACUUAGUAAGCUUUCCGUUGAUUUUGUGAAGAGUCCUUGAAGGAACGUGAUGCCCACCUCAUGCAUGGCUUGCAUGUUACUUGCAUGUGCCCAUACAUUUUCGUUAUUGGCUUGCAUGGUUGCUUGCAUGUGCCCAUGCAUAUUCGUCAUAUUUGUUGUUGGGUUUUGCUUCUCACUUGGACUUGCGUAUACUCUUAUCAUAUUAGAUAUUCGACAUAUAUAUGAUGCUGAAUACAGGGUAUGUGUUGUCUAAAUUUAUUUUAUUUUGUUUGCUUCACAUCCAAUUUUCAAAAGCUUUGAAGAAUGCUAAGAGAAGGAGCAAAGGGCUAAAGAGUCAAAUGUAACAUUGCUAUUAAUUUGUUAAUUGCCAUCAUUUUUAAUUUUUGCCCUGCUUGUUCUGUUUACUCAUUUAUUUCACUUGGUUUUGCUCCACGUCUAUCUUUCCUAACUUAGGAAGGCAAGGAUUUUGAAAGUUCUGAAGAAGAUUCAGGUCACUCGUGUGAAUAAGAGCUGUGUUACUGUUUAAAAGUUUUCAUGCUCUGGAAUAAAAUUUGCUUUACUGUGUUACUGGUCAACUUCAUUAUUCUACUAAUGCUUUACUUCAUCUUCAUUGUAUCACUACAUUGACAGCGUUGACAGUGUAAGAGUCGUUUUCACGAUUUUUAAGAAAUUUUGAUCACAUUAAACUUUUGAUCUGAGUUCAUAACAAAAAUCAAAACGGCGCAUGACAUCAAGAUUAUGAUGAAUCAAAUUGAACUCCCAAUACGUUAGUUCAUAAAAAAUGCUUUUCUUCUUCCAAGUAAUCUUAUCAUUUCUUUCAUUUUAUUCAUUCUCCUCUUUUCUCCUCUUUUCAAGUCUUCAAUCUUAUACUCAGUAAGUACAUUACUGAACUGCUUUUUCACCUCAGCUCCAGACAACCGAGAAGGUGCUUGUCCGGUUGUCCCCACUCUCUAGUUUUAUCAGAUGGCACUAUAUUUUCGGAACCUAUGAUUUGUUGGUAAAAAUCGACGGUGACCCACGUGACAAUUUUCUACUAUGUAUCAACCAAUUAGAUCUAGUGUUUUGUUGGCAAACAAGAAAUGCUUAUUUACCUUUAAUACUCCACCCAAACAAGUUGGCAUAUGCUAGAAAGUCGGAGAUAGUCCAUAACAAUGCUGCGUGUGACUUGAACAUUUGAUUAUGUGAUGCAUUAUGCAUCAUUCCAACCAUACUAGCAUCACUACCCGAGUCAUGACUAACCUGUUUCUUAGUUAGAUUUCAAAGAUGAAGAUGGCUCACCCUCCAAUAUCCAGUUUUAAUACUUUAACCAAUAGCCAUUUAUAAUGAUAUGGUCUCUUGCCACUUUCCUUAUAAGGAAAUAUCGAUAUUACGACACUUCUUAGAAGGACAAUAAAUUCUUUUAUCACCAACAACAUUCUCAAAUGCAAAAUCUAUAAAUUUUUUGACCCAUCAGUAUAUGAAUUGGAUAUCUAUUUGGCAAACCAACCCAACUCUGGUCCAUGACUAUGUCCUUUUAAUGCACUAGAAAAAUUAGUUAAAUAAAUCACUUUAAUUCUUCAUUUCUACUACUAAACAAGAUAUUUUCAUGUGUGCGCAGUUUCGCAAUAUAAUAAAAAAAAUUAUUAUACAAUUUUAUGGUUAAUCUCAUUAGAACGUUUAUAUAUAUGGAAGCAAGCAAAGCCACAAGAAUCAGAGAAAAAGAUGUGAAAAUUAAAGUAUAUAUACAACAAUAAUUAAUCUAAAAAACAGUUUGCAAUACCUUCUGUAAAGAAAUAUCCUCACCCACUGCUGAGAACUUCACUUGGCUAUCAAUUACAGAUAUAUAAAGCCUGUUACCUAGAAACAAAAAAUUAGGUCAGCCAGCUAAAACAUAUUUAUAAACCAACAUUGGAGAUAGUACUCCAUUUAUAAACAAAAUUACAAGACUCAAAACCAAGUCGACUCAGCAAAAUCAUAACCGAUUACAUUCAUCCCACUCAGCUCCUCCACUCCCAUCAAUAUAUCCAACAUUCCCUUCAUAUUUACAAAAGGUAAGUGGUCCUAUAUAUCCCACUCAAGAAUGCAUAAGUUUCUUCAAUCUUAAGUAUCUAAAGUUUUCCUCUACGUUUAUAGAAACUUCGGAAGCAUCUCCCUAUAGUUCUUCAAGUACACGACAUAGAUAUAUGAAUGUUUAUGUGUUAUGCCAAAACAACACAUGACACCCAUUUGUCUAGUAUGCACCCAGAGAACAUGAGGAGCAGCUGCUGAAAAACCCAUUUUUACGUGGGAAAAAAAUUUCAGGCACUAGCUGCCAUAGAAAUCUAUGCAUUACCAAACUGUCCAAGCCUAGAUAUUUCAAGAAUUAUUAAUAGACAUAAGAUCCUCACUAUCAUCCAAAAGAUGACACUAAUAAAACAUGUGUCUAUUAAUAAUUUCUUAAAGGAGUUUAAGCUUUCAAUGCAUGUAUCAAAAGUUUAAAAUUGAAUCUGAAACUUGAAUAACACAUAAAAAUCAUAAAUCUCUUCAAUUUAUUCCUAAUAAAAUGUAGCAUUUUUUCACAUUUCAUUUCUUAAGCAAAACCAUAAAAAAUUACAAACAAUAAAUACAUUUUCUAGCACUGAUGCACAUUAUGUUUACUGAGCAAUAAGUUUUAAGUCAUUCAUAUUAAAAUACUUCUUCCUAUUCUAUCAACAAAUAACUAGUACGUACACACAAUUAAUAAAUUAAAUGUAACCUGGUUGUGAAUCUUGCAAAGUCUUCCUAUUUUUUUUUUUUUUUUUUGGUGGGGGGGGGGGGGGAGGGGGGAGGGGGUGGUUAUGCUCAUUUGUGUGUUGUUAACAGAAAUUGAUCCAAAGCCUCAGUUUUAAUUAGCUUCAUUAUAGCCAAUGAUUAGGUGUUUAAAAACCAAUGAAUAUUUUUUAUAAGAAAUCAACAAUAUUGUUGAAAGAAAAACCAAAUAAAAAUAAUAAAGCAAUGCAUAGAUUAAGGCUCUUUAUUAUCUAAUAACUAAUCAAACUAAGUUGUGGGUAAAGGAGAAUAUGUUUGUUUGGCCAAUAAUAAACUCAAGGAAUCACCAAUAAUCACCUAGUUACUAUUCCUUAUGCCAUGCAAUGUAAUGGCGUCGGUAAUGGCGACAAGGCAGGCAAUAACUAGCUAGCUAGUUAUGAUAGUUGCUUAACUUAACCUACUGGAAAUCUGAAGACCAAAAUGAAGAAACUUUGCCUAGAACUAGAAUAGGAAAACAUUCAUACCCAAAACCAAUAUACAUGAUUAAGAAACUUGAUUAUAUGUAUAUUUUUGUUUGCCACACCAAAUCCCACUAUUUCCAUACUCAUAAGCACAAAAAACCAUCGCAAAAAUGAAUGACCAUAUAAAAUAAAAUAGGUCGCAGGACAUUGAGAAUAGGACAAUAUGAUUUAUGUACUGUAAAAUAACUAUAUCUGCAGUCAACUAUAUUUCUGUUAGAACUCUAAAGUUUUCCAUUAAAUUUUUUUCCCUGUUAGGUAAACCACUUAACUGAAACACUUAAGCAAGAUUGACAAUCAUAGACAUAAAAGUAUUAAUAGGCUCAUUCAAGUGAAAUGAGCAUUAUUUCACAUAUCCUUUAGGCUUUUAAGUCAUUUAGAAGUCAUUCAUGUUAAACAAUUUCUUCAUAUACUUUCAAUAUAAUUAGUACAUACACAAUUAAUUAAUUAAAUAAAUCUGUUUCAGCUAGCACAGGAACUUAAGCAAUCAGAGCUAUUAGUUAUAGCUAGGACUUGAAUGAGGCACCUUUCAAAGUUCAAGAGGAGCAUCUGAACAGAAUGAAAGCAGUUUGUAGAAAUGGUAGUGAUGCUUUACAUCUACAUGCUCUUACACAAUAUGAACUUUCAUUUAUUCAAGAACAUAACACUAAUCCAAGCUCUUACUCUACAAGUCAAUUCAGUUUGUAGAUGCAAGCCAUUGUAAAAACUUUUGUGUUAUAAUUUCCGUAAAUGGAACAUGACAUUACUAAUAUAGAAUCAGCAAUGUUAUAUAACUUAUCAGACAAUAUAACAAGCACUUGGCGAGCAUAUAAGAUAAACUAAAACAAGUUAAUUAGAAAAUGAAACUAAAACCCAAGCUCCGCUAUUCAUUGUAGAAGCUUUAAACAUAAAAUUAAACUAAAUCUAAUGCCAAAACAUUAGAAUGGAUGUUGGAAUUAAAGCUAAAUUCAAUAGUAAUCCAAAUGAAUCCAUUUGAACUUUGUAAACUCCGCAGAACAAAAUUAAUUUGAGUGAGCAAACUCACCAAUGGCACAAGAACAGAAGGGCUUCAACUUCUAGGAACAAAAAACAUUGCCGGUGGGACAAAAAUUGACAUUAAUGGCUACAAUACGAAUUAAAGAGAUCAAAACCUAUAAUUACAAGCUAAGAAAGAGAGGAAACUCAUAAUCACAAGCUUACCUGAAACGAAGAGAGAGAAUAAGAUGAAGAAGAAGAUCGCUGCCGUUUUACGCCAUUCUCCGGCUACCAGUAAGGUUUAGGAUGCUGGCCAGGCACGAGAGAGAAUUUGGGACUUUGGUCUUCAAAAUAUUGACUCCAGCAAAUAGUUUUCUAUUUAGAAACAAAUUUAUAACUCUACCGUCACUCUCUACCGUCACGUGGUUAGUAACAUAAGUGAGAGCAGUCUAGCCGUCACAUAAACGGUCACAAAAGCAACUGGCUGUUACAAGUUUAGGAAUGGCAGAUAUUGCCGCGGGGACAUGACCCUCGAGAUUUUCCCAAUUCAGGUGGGUACAUAAUUUUUUACUUAAUUUUUUAUUUGAAAAGGAGACGGAGAUAGUUUUUUUACCUAAUUUCUUAUUCAGAGAAAGAAUGGGGGAUCGGCAGAAUCCCUAUUCUCUUCUAAUUUUUUGAUUUAAUUUUAUUUUUUAAAAUUAUUUGUAAAUAAAUAAUAAAAUAUAAAUAAUAAAAUAUUAAAUAUUAGUAUAAAUAAAAAAAUAAAAUAAUUAUAUUAUUAAAAUUUAGGCCUAAUUGACUACAUUAAUAUUUGGAUGAGAAAGUUAUGCUUAGGAUGAAAGAUUUUAAUAUUUUGAGUUGGUGUAAAAUAAAUGUCUAUAGAUAUCCUAUACUGGCAUGAAUUGCUAGAGAUAUUUUGGCAAUUCUAAUUACAAAUGUUGCUUCUGAAUUAGCUUUUAGCACCAGUGGUAGAGUACCGUAACACGCUUUAUUCAAGCACAUUGGAGGCUUUAAUAUGUUGUCAAAGUUGACUACAAGCUUACAAUGACAGUAUGAGUUUAUUUUACAUUGUAAUUAUAUUAUAUAAUUAUUAAUAUUUUCACUUAGAAUUUACAUUACUUAUAUUAUUUUUGUUGUUUUAAAUUUGAAAUCUGAGGCUAUCUCUCAAUUUGUCACAUUCCUCGAGGAAGAACAAGAAGAGUAGGAGACACAAGAGGUAAAUACUUUUAUUAGAAAUAUUGAUUAAGUAUCUAUAUUCAUUUCAUUUAUCUCAUUGUUGAUAUAAAAGUAAUUUCUUUUUUUUUAUUAUAUGAUUUUGAAGAUUGCCGAAGAUAAUUAUUAUGGUGAUUUAUACUUUGUAAUGUGACUUUUGUAAUAGAUUAAUGUUAAUGUAAGAUAUAUCGUCAAACUUUAUUUUUAUUUUUAUUUUUUAUUUUAAUAUGAUUAAAUUAAAAUUUAAAACUAAAAACGUAUCAGUUAUUCGAGAAUCGAGGACCUUUAAGGAUCCCCUAUUAUUAUUUGGGGAGGGGAGGGGGAUUCCCUAAAGCAAUUUUGUGAAUGGGAAGAGGCCAGGGAUAUAUACAGAAUAUCGAGAAUGGGUACGGGGAGGUCGGUCUCUUCCCCUCCCCUUCCCAUUGCCAUUCCUAACAAAGUUGGCAAUACAUGUACGGGCCGCUUUUGUAAAAUUGCUUUAAGGGUCGUUUGGGAUUGCUUUUGGGAAUAGCAUGCAAGAUAUAUAUAAAAAAUAAAAUCGUAGAAUAACUUUUACCUCUAAUUCGAUUUUUUCUUCUUUUUUGUAAAUUAUUAUGCAUUUAUAUUAAAGUCACUGUGUAUGAUUGGAUUAUUAAAAGUUAUUUGAGAGAAUAUGAAUUGACUUAAUAAGUUAUUACGUGAUUGAUGAUGAUCAGAGCUUACCCAACUGGCAUUAAGUGGAAAAGACUCGAGGAUGACUUUGCAGAGCGAUUUCCCACAACACCUUUUUGGCAGUCUUAAACUACUACAAACAGUGGAUGAUGACUCAACUUGUUUUCCACUUGAUUUACUUGAGAGAUUUCAUAAUCUGGAAACUCUCAUACGGCGUCGUUGUUCAUGCGAAGAGGUAUUUUCGAAUGGAGGAUACUUGAAGAAACAUGUGAGGAAGUUUACAAUGAUAAAACAUUUAGAUCUGCACAAAUUUAAUCAUCUGAAGCAAUUGUGGAAACAAGACUCCAAAUUGGACUCGUUUGUUCAAUGCCUUGAAAUUCUAAAUGUACAUUAUUGUCAAAAUCUGUUAAUUCUUUUGUCUUUGCUGCUAAUUCUUUAAUUCUUUUCGGUUCUUAAGUUUCUCUGUGAUUUGUUCUGGAUUGAUUCUUUUUGCAUCUUGGUUGUUUGAUUUGCGAUCUUGGCGAGUAUUUGGAGUUGAUCAUUAUCGAAUCUGUCACUCCAAACUCUACAGCGACUCUUAUCAAUGUUGGUAUAUGGAUGCAGAGCAAUGAGAGAGGUGGUGAUAAAUGACGAAGAUGGAGCAGCAAAUUUUGAAGAAGAGAUUGUUUUCACCAAAUUGAAGAUUUUGUAUCUGUAUGAUUUGGAUAGUCUCACAAGUUUCUGCUCUGCCAAUUACACCUUCAAAUUCCCAUCUUUGGAAGAUUUAUCUAUAAUUGGUUGUCCCAAGAUGAAGAUUUUCACUAAAGGAGAAUUAAACGCGCCUCUCAGAGUAAACUUCUACUAUGGAGAGAGAGACGAUCAACAGCCUUGGGCUAAUAAUGAUCUUAACACAAUCAUACAGCAUUUACAUGCUGAGAAGGUACGAAUAACUCACUAUCACCAGUGGAAAAAUUUUAUAAAAUUUCUCUUUUAAAUAAAAUGCACCAAAUAGAUCAGAUAUUUGUUAUAAAGUAAGUUUAUGAUCACGUACUGGCAGAUGGGAUACAUAUGUGCUUCAUUCUUGAAACUCUACCCUAUUUAAAAUUGAUAUUUUCACAAGAGUUAGAGAAUCCUAUUCAUUCAAUUAUCCAAAAUCAGAGAAUCUUAUUCAUUCAAUUACAAAAUUUCGUUAAUCGUUAGUUUUUAACUUCAUUACUGUAUGGAAGUCCUGUCAAAUUAAAUUGCUGUUGUUAAAUUUAUUAAAUCUCUUGCUUCCCUGCAAAUCUCUGCGUGCUUUACUUUUAAUUGAAACUAAUGAAUGAAAAUUUUACUUUCAGCUGUUGGAGGGGUCCUCAUCUUAUUCAAUGAUGUAUAUGUCCUAAUGGCAUUGGCCUUUUACUUUAAUUACAAGCGAGUUGUGAAUUUGAAAAACAAAGUCCCAGGUAAUUCAAUUUCAUUUCAUUUUAUUUUAUUUCUUGGCUUGUUUUAUCGCUUCAUCUAAAUUGUUUGGAAUACACCACUAGUUUAUUUUUACUUUUAGAAUGAGUUUUAAUGUUUUGUUCUGAGAUUUAUAUGCUGAUUUUAUAUCAUUAAAGGUCUUAGUGACUUAGUUUGGUCUUCACUUAUUUAUUUAUUUAUUUUUUUGACGUCGUGGCUUUAUAAUGUGUUUUUUUUUUUAAUUUUGAAUUUUAUAAUUCCUUGAAAAUGUCAUUGAAAGGGCCAGCACUUUUAUGUGGAAACCAUCUCAUCCUCCUUAUUUCAAACUAUUAAACAACCAAAUGUAUCCUAACAUAUAUGUUUAGAAUCAAUCUACUCAUUAAGAUAUAUGGUAAUGGUGUCAUCUGUUUGCUAUAGUUUGAUUACAAGAGAACUUUUCCAUUUGUUAGUUGCCAUCUUUGUUGAUCUGUUAAUUCAGUCUUCUUCUGUUUGUCCUGUUUAUCUGUUUAUUUCAACCUUUCUUUCAAAACUUAGAAGGUAUGGAAAGAGCAAGUACUUAGAAAUUGCGAGAAUUAUAUCAAAUCAUGCAUAUAUGCCCCUGCCUAUGAACUCUUAGGAACAAUCGAAUAUCUUUCCUUGAAUAGCAUAAAACAAAAUCUACAGAUCAUUAAACCAUCAAAAGUUAGCUAUGAACAACUAUAUAAAAAUCAUUUGUUUCUCACCUUUUCGUGAGUCUGAGAAGUUGUAAAUUCUACUGAGUUUCUCACCUUUUUUUUUUUUUGGACAAUUGGAGUUUUUAGUUUAUGAAACUUAAUGCCUAUAUUUCUCACAUUGUAAAAGUGUUUUGAAAAGAUGGUUUAUAUUGCACCAUAAAAAUGUGGUCUGAUAAACCAACAGGGGAGUAGUUUGAUCCAGUUACGUGAAAUGCAUGCAAAAUAAUAUUUUCUCUAUAGUUACUGAAGAGAAUUUUGGUCACUUUGGUGUGCAUUAUCUGGAAUAAAGUCGUUUUCCAGUUUCUUCAAAGUUUAUGUGCGGAGGACUUCCGGUUUCCAUCUCAAGUUCAAAUACUAAUAAAGAUGAGUAAAUUCAUCAUCCGUGUGUCUGCUCUUUCUAUGCAUUUUGACAUUUUUUAUUAAUGCGUCUUUAACAGUAGUUUUUUUUCACAGAAAAAAUUGUCAGUAUUUUGUGUCAAAUAAAAAAUUAAAAAAUAUAUAUGUAUUUUGGGCGAAACUUUUUGCGAAAAAUAAUGAGUGCCAACACUUUAUAACUUAAUAUGUAUUUUGGGCUUGGCGAAGUUACGGUUCAUGUAACUAAUCAAUUUAAUCAUUACCGGAUAAAAUUGAAUACACCAGUAGUGUUUUUCCACGGAGAUAUUGCCAAAUUUUGUGUCAAAUAAAGAAUAAAAACCAUAAAUACCAGUAGUGUCCGAUUUUGAAAGCAAAGCAGCAUACAUAUUAACUACUAGGCUUUGAUGGUGGUUGCAGUAAAAAGGAUUAAAAGAGAGAGAGAGAGAGAACUUGAAAACUAUGGAAUGGAAGAUAAAUCAAAGUUAUAAAUUUGGACUCAAUAGUUUUGAUGUUCAAUCAAAUAUGGAGGGGCGAUUAGAAAUUAUCAAAAAUUUAGAGGGAUUUCAACCGUUCAAUUCAUUAUUAGGCGUUGUAGACUGCAGGGAUGCAGAAAUUUCCACAGGGACGAUGGCCCCGAGGGAUCUUCCUCAUUCGGGAGUUUGAUAAUUUUAGAUCUAAUUUUUCUAUGUGGAGACAAGACUGUGAUCAAUUAAUAUGUGUGGGUGUAAGUUACAUGAAAUAUAACUUAGUGUUUGCCCUAAUAUUUUAUUUGGCUCCACAUUUUUCUAUUUCUAUCUUUAGUUCUAUUUUUAAUUAAUUUAUUUCAAAUUUAUAGUAAAUACAUUUAAAAUUUCAAUUAUAAUAGUGUGAUGUAAAUAAAAAAUAUCACAAUACAUUUAUAAAAAUAAUAUAAAUAACAGCCAAUAUAAAGUAAAUAUAAACAUUUUAAAAUUGACAAAGAUAAUUUAAUUGAUGGUUUAUACUAUAUGACAUUUAUGGAUGAGUUCAACUUUGAAGAUUUACUUUUGCUUAAUUAGUUCAAAGAUUAUCUUCUAAUUUGAUGACAUUGACUUAAUUUGAUGGAAAUGAUUUUAAUCACUUUAGUUAAUUUGAUAUUUUUUGUGUUAAUAUGAUUUUAUAUUUUUACUUUAAGAUGAUUAAAUUAAGAAAAAAAAGAAAUUAAAUAAUCAGAGAUCGGAUAGCAUCGGAGAUCCCUUUGUAUUAUUUAGAAACAUCCAUCCCCUUCUUUCAAGUGAUUUUGAAGGAAAUGUCUAGAGUACAAAGAGAUAGACAGAGUAUUAAAGAUGAGUAUGGGGAAAUCAAUCCCCUCUCCUUCCCUUCUUAUUGACAUCUUUACAUGUGAGCCCAAGGGGAAAUGCACCAUGCCUGAUAAAAGUAAAAUUAAAAAUAAAAAUUUUCUUUUAUCAAAUCACUCUAUGUGGUGGAGAUUAUUGUAUAAUCAAGUACACAUGGCAUUUUUAAAAGCUUUUUCUUUAUUUAAAGCUCUAAAGGUUUGCCUAAGAGUCAAGGUUGGUGCCGUUCUUCUAGAAGAACAACCCGUAUCUUUUGAUAUUCAAAGUUUGAAUAUCAAGUUCAAACUUUAAAUUUUGAAAUAAUAAUAAUAAUAAAUAUAAAAAGUGCCAAAUUUUUAGCUAUAAAUAGAGGGGUUCACCCCCUCAUUUCACUCAUUCCAUUCUUUUCUUCUUUAGUUCUAUAAUGAGAGAGUAAGAGUUUUAUACUCUUGAGUGACUAGUGUUUAGAGAGAUUGGGUGUAUUAAGGUUUUGAUAAGUGAAACAAAAUACUAAAAUACUUAUAAUUCUCAUUUCACUAGUAAAGUUUUAUCCUUUUGUCCUUGCCUAUGGGCAUAAGUUAAAAGCCGAACCAAAUAAUUUAUGGUGUCCUCUGUGUGCUUGUUCUUCAUUUUCUUCCAAUUUCAUUUUAGUCGUGGCCCUACUUCACCAAUCAAUUUUCUAAUAGUGGUAUUAGAGCCGGGUUGUAUUUUUUGGGGUCGAGAUACUAUUUACAUAUAUUGUAUUGUUCAUGUAUAUGAUAUUGUUUCUGUAUACGACACUUUAUUCAUAUAUACAGUUACUGCUCAUGUGAAAUGGUAGGAAUCGAUCUUAGCAAAGGUAGCUCGUGGUGAAAAGUGAUGGCGGAAAAAUACAAAAUUGAGAAGUUCAACAGAAAUAAUUUUUCGUCAUGAAAAAUGAAGAUGAAGGUUGUAUUGAGGAAAAGUAAUUGCUUGGCAGCAAUUGAAGAGAGGCUCACAAAGAUAACUAAUGAUGGCAAGUGGAAUGAGAUAGACAAUAAUGCCAUUGCAUAUCUACACUUACCACUUUCAGAUAGGGUAUUUUUCAAUAUGGUAGAGUAAAAGAGAGUAAAGGAAAUAUGGUUUACUCUCACAAGACUAUACGAGGUCAAAUCACUACAAAAUAAAAUCUUCUUAAAGAUGAGGCUUUAUACUCUUCAAAUGGAGGAAUCUACAUCAGUGAUCGACCAUAUCAACACUUUAAAGACUUUAUUUUCAUAACUUACAACGUUGGGUCAUAAAAUAGAGGAAAAUAAACAUAUAGAGCUUUUACUUCAAGGUUUACCAGAUUCGUAUGAUCAAUUCGUCAUUAAUAUAACUAAUAACAAUCGAGCAAACAAGUUAGUCUUUGACAAUAUGGCAGCCUCCGUAUUAAAUGAGGAGAGUAGCAAAAAAUAAAAAAGAUAGACAGAAGAGUUCGCAACAAGUAGAAGCGCUAUUGGUGAUGAAAGGAAGAUCCAUGGAACGUGGCCCUAGUGAGAGCCACAGUCACGGUAGAUCAAAAUCUAGAAGUAAAAAGAAUGUCAAAUGCAACAACUGUUGCAAGAAAGGGCAUGUCAAGGAAGAGUUUUGGAACAACUAGAAGAGAAGAGAUGGUAAAGAUUCUGAGUCAUCAAAUGCUCAAGGGUAUGUAGUAAGUACCUCGUAUGAUGGCAAAAUUCUCUACAGUAAGGCAACAACUGCUUCAGAAGAUAGAAAACCACUAUAUGACAUCUGGCUUAUAGACUUAAUAGUUGCCUGGCACAUGAUCUCUCCAAGAGAAUGAUUUCACAAAUAUGAACCUAUUUCAAGAGAAUUUGUAUACAUAGGUGAUGAUUAUGCCUUUGAGAUUACUGAUAUUGGUACUGUCAAAAUAAAUAUGUUUAAUGGUAUGGUUCGCACAAUUGAGAAGGUAAGACAUGUCAAAGACUUGAAAAAUAUCUCUUGUCUUUAGGACAAAUAGAUAGUCUUACGCGCAAAACUCAUGUAGAAAAUGGGAUCAUAAAGAUAGUCAAAGGCGCACUUGCAUUAAUGAAGGUGGAAAAGAUCGGUGAUAAUUUAUUCAUGCUUAAAGGGAAACACUACAGAAAGCUUUUGUGUCAGUCACAUCAAAUAGAGAAAAUUCAGUGAUGAUGUGGCAUCUUAAACUUGGCCACAUGUCAAAACAAGGAAGCAACAUAGAUGAAAGUUUAGCAGAUCCACUUUCAAAAGUAAAUGUAUUUUAGACUUGAUUCAUUCUAAUGUUUGGGAAUCAAUUGAUAUAUCUAUGGGAGGUGCAAAGUACUUGGUGACUUUUAUUAAUGAUUAUUCUAGGAGAUAUUUGGUGUAUCCAAUCAAGAAAAGGUCAAAUGUAUUUCCAUUGUUCAAAGAAUUCAAAGCGUAGAUUGAACUUAAAUCAGGGCAAGGGAUCAAGUGCCUGAGGACAGACAAUGGUGGAGAGUAUACAAAUAGCAUGUUUCUUGCAUAUGUAAGCAAGAAAGUAUCUAGAGAUAGUUCACGGUGGCAUACACUCCUCAAUAAAAUAGAGUAGUAGAGUGAAAGGGCAUGACUCUUAUAAAAAAAAAAAGAGUUAUGUUGAGAAAUGCUGGUCUACCAACUCAUUCUAGGUGGAAGUAGCAAAAACUACUUAUUAUGUGGUAAGUGGGUCAUCAUUCAAUGCAACCGGGUUGAAAAUUCCAAUGGAAAAAAUAGACAGGAAAGCCAGUUGAUUACUCUCAUCUCAGGCAUUUUGAUGUCCUUUUACGUGAUAUACAAUACCCAAGUGAGAUUAAAGAUGGAUCCAAAAUCCAAGAGAUGUAUCUUCUUAGGAUAUAUUGAUGGAGUGAAAGGGUAUUAUCUGUGGGACCUCAAUGCCCAUAAGAUCGUUAUCAGUAGAGAUAUUAUCUUUGUAGAAGAUCAAAUGCAAAAGAGAGAUAUGGAUGAUAGCACUAUAAAAAUUCAGAGAUUGUGCUAAUAUAUGUUGAAAAUAAUCUGGAAAAUGAAGAUUUAGAUUUUUUUGAAGCAGCACCAAAGUAUGAGAACAAGAACCAAUCGAGUCUGAGGCCCCAAAAGUUUGUUGGUCAACUCGUGAUAGAUAAUUGUCAGUGUGGCAUUUGGAUUAUGUCACAGAUAUCAAUUUUGCAUACUGUCUUUUAAUAGAGAAUGGAAAGCCAUCAACUUUUCAUGAAACCUUAAACAGCUCAGAUGUUACUUUGUGAAUGAUAGCAAUGCAGGAAGAAAUUAAGGCUCUACACAAGAAUAUGACAUAGGAACUCGUACUACUACUAUAUGAAAAAAAAAAGACCCAUUGGUUGGAAAUGGGUCCAUAAGAUCAAACGUGAUGGUAAUAACCUAGUGGAGCGGUAUCAUGAAAGAUUGGUGAUGGAAGAAUAUCCUUAGAAAGAAUGUAUUAACUUCAAUGAGAUAUUUUCUCCAGUGAUUUGACUCAGGACAGUCAGAGUGGUCUUGUCGAUGUGUGCUACAUUUGACCUAUAUUUGGAGCAGUUAGAUGUGAAAAUUUCAUUUCUUUAUGGAGAACUUGAAGAAAAGAUUUCUAUGCUCUAACUAGAAGGUUUUACUAAAAAGGGACACUUGGUUUGCAAGUUAAACAAAUCUCUAUACGAUCUCAAACAUGCACCGAGAUGUUGAUAUAAGAGAUUUGAUCCAUUCAUCAUAAACCUUGGAUACAAUAGAAUCAGUUCAGACUGUUGUACAUAUUACAACAAGUUUGAUAAUAAUAAUUUCAUCAUUCUACUGUGGUAUGUUGAUGACAUAUUAGUAGCAGGCCCCAACAAAGAUCGAGUCCAAGAACUAAAGCACAGUUAACUAGGGAGUUUGAAAUAAAAGACUUAGAACCAGCAAACAAGAUUUUAGGGAUGCAAAUUCACCGAGAUAGUAAUAGCAAAAAGAUUUGGCUUUCUACCCCGCCUCCCAUUAAUUUCAAGUUAUUCUUAAGUAUUCAUCUAGUAAUGAAGUAGAGAAGAAGAGAUGUCUUGAGUACUGUAUGCAUCAGCAGUGGAAAAUUUAAGGUUCGCUAUGAUUUGUACAAGUAGUGGGAGAGGUUAGUCGAUACAUAGCGAAUCCUUGCAAAGAACAUUGGAAGACUAUUAAGAGGAUUCUGAGAUAUAUCAUAGGAACAUCAGAUGUUGCAUUAUGUUACGAAGGAUACUGUCAAGGGCCAUGUGCAUUCAGAUUUUGCAGAAAAUCUUAAUAAAAAAAAAUCCACUACUGGCUAAGUAUUUGCACCAGAAUGAGAAAUUGUUAGUUGGAUUUCAAAAUUGCAGACCAUUGUGGCUUUAUCAACAACAGAAGCAGAUUACAUAGCAGCUACACAAGCUUGGAUGAGCUAUUUAGAUACAAAGGUUACUGAAGGAGCUUGGGCAUAAAAUUUUUUAUGGCUUGUGAUAGUUAGAAUGCAAGGAAUCCAACCUUUUAUUUUAGGACAAAGAAUAUAGGAGUACAAUAUCACUUCUUCGUGAAGUAGUGAAAGAUAUAAGAGUGGAUACCAAGGAGAACUUAACAAAUGUUUUGCCCAAGCCUAUCAAUGCUGAUAAAUUUGUUUGGAGUAGAUCAUUUUACGGCCUAGUAGAGACAUAAACAACAUGACAGCGGCGAAGUAGAAAGGAUGGUGUGGAGAUUGAUUGAUUCUCAAUCAAAUUUCUAAGUGGGAGAAUAUCAAAGUCAAUGUCGCUUUUCUAGAAGAGCGACCAAUACCUUUUGAUAUUCAAAGUUUGAAUGUCAAGUUCAAACUUUGAAUUUAAUAUAUAUAUAUAUAUAUAUAUAUAUAUAUAUAUAUAUAUAUAUAUAUAUAUAUAUAUAAAUAGUGCCCAAAAUUUUAACUAUAAAUGAGGGGUUCACCCCUGCAUUUCAUUCUUUUCUUCUUCAAUUCUAGUGUGAGAGACUAAGAGUUUUAAUGCUCUUGAGUGAUUAGUGUUUUAAGAGAUUGAGUGGAUUGGGGUUCUGGGAAGUGAAACAAAAUAUUAUAAUACUAGUAAUCCUCAUUUCACCACUAAAGUUUUAUCUUUUGUCUUUACCCAUAGACGUAGGUUAAAAGUCGAACCACGUAAUUUUUAGUGUCCUCUGUGUGCUUGCUCUUCAUUUUCUUCCAAUUUUAUUUUAGCUAUGGACCUACUUCACCAGUAAAUUGAAGACGUUGGAACUGCGUGAUUUAGAUAGCCUCACAAGUUUCUGCUCUACCAAUUACACCUUCAAAUUCCCAUCUUUGCAAGAGUUAUGUGUGAUUGGUUGUCCCAAGAUGAAGAUUUUCACUACAGGAGAAUCAAUCACGCCGAGUAAACGUCUGCUAUGGAGAGACAGCGGAUCAACGGCGCUGGGCUAAUAAUGAUCUAAACACAACCAUACAACAAUUACAUGCUGAGAAGGUACGUAUAUACAUAUUACUCUCUAUCUCCCAUGAUAAAUUUUUACAAAAUUUGCUUUCUUAAAUACAAUAUAGAUAAGAUAUUUGAUGAAUAAGAAUUUUAUUUUAAGCUGUUGGCGGUGUCGUCGUCAUACUCUACGCAGUAGUACGACUAAUGUCAUAGGCUUCUUAUGACCUGGAGUUGCGAAUUUUUAGAAGAAAGUCUCAACUGGUAAUUAAUUUUUAUUUCAUUUAUUUAAUCCCAUGGCUUGUUUCGCAAUUUCAUCUGAAUUAUUUAGAAUGGGUCCCUCGGUUUACUGUUAAAUUUGCAAUGCAAUUUUAAUGAUCCUUUCAGACUUUUAUGGACAGAUUUUGCAAAAUUGAAUGUCUUUUAGUCUAGUUUAAUUUGAGUUUUUCUUUUUUUUUUUAGAGCUCCCCAUGUUUUCUAAAAUUUUAUAAUUCCUUGCAUACUUUUUAGGAUAAAAUUUCAUUAAAAGCCUUCAUAUUUUAUAAUUCCUUGAAAACUUGCAUACUUUUUCCUUUUUUUUUCUUGCCAAUUAUUUAUUGUCAUCAUUGCUGUUCUUUUAUUUUAGUUUGUGCUCUGUUUGUUCAUUGGGUUUGCUUUUCGGAAAGUUAGAAGGCAAGGAAAGUACUUAGAAAAUGUUCUUCCCUAUGAACACAUAAUUAACAGCUGAAUAUCAUUCAUUGGAUUAAAAAAAAUUAAAAUAAAAAAAAGUAAUAAGCCCAUUAUUCCUAGAACAAAUCCUUAAACCAUCAAACGUUAGCUAUGAACAAGUAUAUUGGUCUAUAGCAUAUUCAUAAUAUUUUCUCUGCUGUUCCUGUUAAAAUUUCUCUACUCAAUGAUCGCAGAAUAUCUGGAUACUGAUGAAGAUUUAAGUCACUCUUCUUCUAUGAAUAAGGUCGUUUUUCUUUUUUCUUCUAUUCAAAGUUUCCAUUCUGAGCAGUUCCCAUUUCCAUCUUCGUGAUCUUCUUGUGAUAGUGUGAGUUACAACCUGUCUGUUUCCUUUGUUUGAUCAUUGCAAGUUCAAAGACAUUUUAUUCUAGCUAAGCUCUUUGUAUGUAUUAUAACAUUUUUAUUCUCAAUAUAUAUAUGACUCAAUGAGAGGUCUUUUAUUAUAUUUAUGUCGUGAAUUUCUAUUGUAUUGUGACAUUUGAUGGUGUAUCAUUGUCUCAUUGCAAGGUCUUGUAAUCACUCUGAUUCUCAUUUGAGGAGGUUGGUCUCGUCUAUGUGUAUGUAUUUAUAUCCACAAGAAAUUUGAUAAAUGGUCUUGUCAUUUUCUCAUCAAAACAUCUAGUGCUUCAUAUGUUGGAGGGCUACCAGGCAUCAGGGCCAGUUUUUUAAACUCAAAGUUCUUCCUGUCAUUUUUUAACAAUAAUAAGGAAAGCCCAAGAGAAAAUCUAGAAGUCCUAAUAAGGACCGCUUCUGCAUAUAUUGUUCAUUUUCUUAAUUACCUUCAUUAUUAUUUUCGUUUUCAAUCGAUCAAACUUCAGUUUCUUAGCAUUAAUCUAAUUAUGUACUUCAUCUUGAAAUCCUUAAAUUACCCAUCAAAAUGUGAACGAUUAGUGUAUCAUUUUUGCACUAUAAGAAAUAGUUGUAUUACCGACCAGACAUUUCCACAAUAUACUAUUGAAAAUAAGUACUUUUUACAAAGGUAUUGUCAUUGAUGAGCCGUUGGAUAAAUAUGAAAAGUAUCAUACCUCGGUGAUAAAGAAAAUUCGUUUGUCGGAAAUGGAAUGUCGAGCCCAAAAUUACUCUAAACUUGGUAAAGUUAGAUUUUGGCCCAAUUUGUUUGAAAGUUUUAUACAUAAAGCACUUUUUUUUUUAUGUAAUUUGUGCAAUCUGAAGGGAGGUAUUGUAAAAUUAACAUAAAUAAAUGUAAUAUGCCAAUACCGUUUAAAACAAAAAAGAUAUCAUGAAAUUGAAAAAAAAUAAAUAAUAAUAAUAAUAACAACAUUAAAAGAAAAAGGAAAUUACGGAGAAGAAUAAUCGCUUCUUGAUCUCAACUCUCAAUUUGAAUACAAUCUCUGAAUCUCACUUCUCGAUCUGUCUCCAUUCUUCAUUCGCAUUUACUCGGUGGUAAUUAAUUCUUCACUCUCACUCGCCUUAUUUCCUGCAGAUUUCUUCAUUUUCCUUCACUGUUCGUUUUUAAGGUUCCAUUGUAUUUCCAUUGAGUUUGCAACUGUUCAAUUGCUCGAUCCACAUUAGUUUUAAGGUACGAUUGUUGGUUAUUUUCCUAAUCAAUAGACAACCCUAGAUACGAUCAUAGGAUUUAAUCAAUUGACAGUCUGAAAAAUCAGAGAGACCCAAAUCCUAAUCAACAAACGCAUACGAUGAUUCAUUUAAAUUAGAUUGUUUAUUCUCAUAACACAAUGCACUGCUAUGCUAUUUGUCACAAACAUUAAAAUCUUCAUACGAUAAAUCUUUUAAUUGACAAUAGAUUAAGUUGAUAAUUAAAUAGUAGCCAAUUAUCUAAUUAACAAACAUAAUCAUGACAAUAAUUCAGAGAAUAAACAAAUACCCAAAAAGUAAUAAAAUAAUUAAAGUAUAAGAAAGAUCUCACAGCAGUGAUGAAUCAAAGUUUCAUUAACCUUCAACCAGAAUAAUAGAUUUAGUUUUUCAUAGACAGGAGAGAAAAAUUUAGAUCUAGGGUUUCUUUCUCUUCAAAAAUCUCCGUCUUUGACAAUAGAUUCCUCCCUUAAAUUCUCUUCUCUCUCUUCUCCUCUAGAGUUCUUUUUAAAAUAAAAUACUAAUUUCUAAAAUAUUAUCUAAAUAUUAAAUGCGUAAUUACAAAAAUAACUAAAAAUACAAAACACGUUAAACUAAAAACUGCAGGUCCGUAGUAGACAGCAUGCGCCCACACCUUAUCAACAAAGUUCUUCUGAAGCUCAUAAUUUCUUCAAGAAAACAAUCAUCCUCAAACAUCAUCUUGUAGCUCAAUUUUAGCACCAAUCAAUAAAAUUGCACCUACCAAAAUAAAACACAAGUAAAUCACUAUUAUUAAGUGCAAAACAUCGAUAUUAAAAGAAGUAAAUAAUGCAAAACUAGUGCAUAAAUUGUACUCUAACACUUCAUUCCGAUCCCUUGAUCAUUACUCAUUUAUUUAUUUAUUCUUUGCUUCACUUCUAAGCUUAGCAAAGGAACUUGAACUUUGGCUUUUCAAAUAGGUCACUUUUGCUUUUAAUCUCGCCCAUGAUCUUCAUCAUGAAGAUGACAAACCAUUAUUCUUUAUUCUUCACUUUUGCUUUUAAUCUCGCCCAUGAUCUUCAUCGUGAAGAUGACAAACCAUUAUUCUUUAUUCUUCACUUGUUGAAUUUACAGAAUAUAUAGCAUUCUUAAAAUUUUAGCAAAUCGUUAUUCUUCAGCUUCAGCACCUCAUUAAAAAGUCAUUCUUUGAACUUAUUCUCAAUCAAGAAAAACAUAUGCGUUCGUUCGUUGUAGUCACUGUUGUUUUGUUAUUAAUGUUUGCUCCCUAUUGCCGUUAACUCUCUUGAGCUUCACAGGAUCAGGAAACCCUUUUCUCUUGGCAUCUGUUUUGUUGUAAUCUCUCAGUCCUUGUUGAUUAGUUUCUCUCCGCUCCCAAUUUAGUUGUGUCCUGCUGUUGUCUCUGUUUUGUUCCAUAUCUACUCUCUGCACUUCUGCUGUGUCAAGACAUCUUCUUUUGUUCAUUCGGUUGUGGUCUAUAAUAUAUUUUUCAUCUUUCUUUUGGUCUAUACUUAAGUUAUUUUGAUUGGUUCCUUUCUCCUUUAUUAUCUAAAUCCCUCCUUAUAUUUAUUCAAUCAGUUGUUACGCUUUCUUUCAUUUCUCCGCUUCCACAACCAGAUAAACUGUCCAUCUUUGUUGUUUCUUCUUUUUUCUCUUCUGUGGUUGGCUCUUGUUUAUUUGCUUUUCAGAACUCAAAAAAAAAAAAAAAAUAGAAGGAUCAAAGAUGGUGGAAACCAUUAUUACUGUUGUUUUGGAAGUUGUGAAAUGCUUGGCUCCUCUAGCAGAACGCCAACUUGGUUAUUUACGUAACUAUAAAACCAACUUUGAGAAUCUCAGGGCAAAAUUUGAUGAACUCAAGGAUGAAAGUAGGAGCAUUCAGCACAGAGUUUCUGAGGCUGAAAGAAAAGGAGAAAAGAUUGAAGAGAAGGUUGAAAAGUGGCUGGUUAGUGCAAACGACAUCAUUGACAGCGCAGCCAAAUUCAUUGAAAAUGAGGAGUCAACGAAUAAGCGUUGUCUCAAGGGCUUGUGUCCUAAUUUGAAGACCCGCUAUCAGCUUAGCAAGAAAGCAGAGACAGAAAUGAAGGCCCUUGUUGAACUUGGAGAAGAAGUAAAGAAGUUUGAUAUUGUUUCCCACCGUACCAUUCCGGAGGAGAUUUGGCUCAAGUCUCACAUAGGCUACGAGGCCUUCGAAUCAAGACGUUCUACUUUGGAGGCUAUAAAAAAAGCAUUGAUCGAUGUUAGCAUCAUUGGGGUGUACGGCAUGGGCGGCAUUGGAAAGACGACACUGGUGAAGGAGGUCUCCAGGCAAGCUAUGGAAGCCAAGCUCUUUGAUAUGGUGGUCUUUUCAGAGGUUUCGCAAACUCCAGACAUAAAAAAGAUUCAACAGGAAAUUGCCGAGAAGUUGGGCCUGGAGUUGCGCGAGGAAGUUGAAUCUGGAAGAGCAAGUAGACUAUUUGAGCGAUUGAGAAAUGAGAAGAAGAUCCUUGUGGUUUUAGAUAACAUCUGGAAACACCUUAAUUUGGAGACUGUUGGAAUUCCUUUUGCAGAAGAUCAUAAAGGAUGCAAACUACUGCUGACAGCAAGAGAUCGUAGUGUCCUCUUACAAAUGGGAUCCAAAGACAACUUUUUGAUAAACAACUUAAAAGAAGAAGAAGCCGGGAGAUUGUUUAAGAUGAUGGCCGGUGAUGAUGUUGAAAAUCGUGAGUUGAAAUCUACAGCAAUAGACGUCGCCAGGGCAUGUGGAGGUUUGCCCAUUGCCUUGAGUACGGUAGCAAAGGCAUUGAGAGGCAAGAGUCUGCAUGAAUGGAAGAAUUCCUUGCGAGAACUCCGAACGCCUUCAAUGGUAAACUUCGAAGGAGUAUCUGCAGAGACUUAUGCAAGUAUUGAGCUGAGUUUCAACCAAUUAAAAGGUGAACGCAAGGAAAUUUUUCAGCUCUGCAGUCUAAUGGGUAACCGUAUUUUUACUUUCGACUUGUUUAAGUACUCCAUGGGUUUGGGUAUAUUUAAAGGAGUCAAUAAGAUGGAAGAUGCACGAGACAAAUUAUAUGCAUUGGUCCAUGAACUUAGAGACUCUUGUUUGUUGCUUGAGGGUGAGAGCAAUGAACAAUUGUCAAUGCAUGAUGUUGUUCGCGAUGUCGCGAUAUCAAUUGCAUGCCGCCAGCAACAUGUGUUUUCGGUGAGGAAUGAGGAUGUGUGGGACUGGCCAGAUAAGGAUGCACUUCGAAAUUGCAAAGCUAUCUCUUUAAUAAAAAAUAGUAAUCGUGAAUUUCCUGAAGGAUUAGAAUGCCCAAACCUUGAAUUUUUAUAUAUCUCUCUCAAAGAUUUUUCUCUUGAAAUCAAUAUUCCUGAGAACUUUUUUGUAGGGAUGAAAAAGCUUAGAGUUCUAGAUUUUACUCGAAUGCAGUUUUCUUCUUUUCCAUCUUCAAUUGAUCUUCUAGUAAAUCUUCACACACUAUGUCUGGAUAAAAGUGCGUUGGGCGACAUAGCAAUCAUUGGGAAGUUGAAGAAUCUAGAAGUCCUUAGCUUUUUGAAGUCUGAUAUAACGCAGUUGCCAGAAGAACUAGGUCAAUUGAAUAAGUUGAGAUUGUUAGAUUUAACCAAUUGUUUCCGUCUGAAAGUUAUUGCCCCAAAUGUCAUAUCAAGCUUAAUCCGAUUAGAAGAGCUGUAUAUGGGUAAUUGCUCCAUUGAAUGGGAGGUUGAAAGAGCCAACAGCAAAAGAAGUAAUGCUAGCCUUGAUGAAUUGAUGCAUUUACCUCGGCUAACCACUCUAGAAAUUGAUGUUAAAAAUGACAGUAUGUUACCAGAAGGUUUUUUGGCCAGAAAGCUCGAAAGGUUCAAAAUAUCUAUUGGAAAUGGGUUAUUCACACAUCCCAUGAUUGCUGAACAAAAUUGGUUCCAAAGUCUGCGGCGCUUUUCUCGCAAAAGUGAUCGCAAGAGUUUAAGAGCAUUGAAGCUCAAGCUUGCUUUUAUGGACAUUUGCUCCAUGAAAUUGCAGGGCAUCAAUAACGUAGAAUGCUUAUGGUUGGACAAGCUGCAAGGCAUCGAGAAUGUUCUUUUCAAUUUGGACACAGAGGGCUUUUCACAAUUGAAGCUUCUCUGGGUUCAAAAUAAUCCUGACAUCUUUUGUAUCGUCGAUUCAAGGGCGAUGGUCGCUUGUGAUGCCUUUCCUCUUUUGGAGUCACUUGGCCUUCACAAUUUGAUCAACAUGGAGAGGAUAUGUAUUGAUCGGCUCAAAGUAGAGUCCUUCAACGAACUCAAAAUCAUACAAGCAUAUAAUUGUGAUAAAUUGAGUAAUAUCUUUUGGCUCUCUACAACAAAAUGCCUUCCAAGACUUGAGAGAAUUGCAGUUAUUAAUUGCAGCAAGAUGAAAGAGAUUUUUGCAAUUGGGGAAGAAGUUGAUAAUGCAAUUGAGAAGAUAGAGUUUGCUCAAUUAAGAUCUUUGAGUCUGGGGAAUCUUCCAGAGUUUACAAGUUUUUGCCGUGAGGUGAAGACUCCUUCAGCAUCACCAAACAGACCAGCGUCGCAGGAGGAAUCGACGACUACGUAUAGCUCCAGCGAAAUCACUUUGGAUACUUCAACUCUGCUUUUCAACGAGAAGGUGCGUAGGCUAACAUUUUCUUUAUUCUAUCAUGCGUUCUGUUUUGAUGUCAUACGUGGAAAAUAAUUAAAUCAUUUAAAGAAUUGAAAGAAAAUGGAAAAAAGGAUAAAAAGAAUCUCACGCGCUCACUAAUUGAGCUCUUAACAAGUAGUAUGAAUUAGAAUGCAUACUCAGCUGUCAGUUGGAAAUUGAUUCAGACUUGCAUUAAUUUGUAAUCAAAGAAGAAAAUUUCAACAAGUGCUUCCCAUAUGGAUAUUGGAUCUAACGAGAAAUUCUUCUUUUUUUAGGUUGCGUUGCCUAACUUGGAGGCUUUGGAGAUAUCUGCAAUUAAUGUCGACAAGAUUUGGCACUACAAUCAAAUUCCAGCGGCCGUGCUUCCUCACUUUCAAAGUUUAACACGAUUGAUUGUGUGGGGUUGUCACAAAUUAAAAUACAUAUUUUCAGCGUCUAUGAUCGGAAGCCUUAAGCAGCUCCGACACCUAGAUAUACGCUUCUGUGAGGAUUUAGAGGAGAUCAUUUCUGAAAACAGAGCAGAUGAAGUUAUCCCUUAUUUUGUCUUUCCACAGCUCACCACUCUAAGACUCGAAUGUCUACCAAAACUUAGAUGUUUGUACCCUGGAAUGCAUACUUCGGAAUGGCCCGCACUAGAAAUUCUUUUAGUGGGUCGUUGUGACAAAUUAAAGAUAUUCGAUGCAGAUUUAUCGCAGAAUAAUGAGAAUGAUCAACUUGGUAUUCCUGCACAACAGCCCCUAUUGCCGUUGGAAAAGGUACGAAGCCAUUUUCUAGAUUUUUUAUCAAUAGCGUAUUUUUAACUUCGAAAAAAAUGACAAAGCAUCGAUAAAUUAACACUCAAUAAAUUGAAAACUUUUAUUAUACAAUAAUCUUUGCUAGUCUAGAUUAAGAGAUCAAUGUGGUAGAUUAAUAAUUAUAUGAACUUUUUAAGGUAUAGCAUUUAUAAAAGAAUCCUUAGUCUUUCCAUAUAGAAGAACUUACAAAAUAAAUUAGUAAUUUAUUAUUGUGCAAUAAAAUAAUUUCAAACCAGUAUAAAUCAACCUUUUUUCCCUAAUUUCUUUUUUACCUCUAAAAUUAACAUAUAAAAUAAAUUUUAUCAAUAAUUCAUUUUUUUUUUAAAAUAUAAUAUAAAACAAAUACUAUAAAGUCACUGCGUGUGACCGUAGAUCAUCAAUUGACCUCAUUAGUUAUUAUGAUUGAUGAUGAUCAGAUCGUACCCAACUUGAAGGAACUAUCACUAAGUGGAAAAGAUGUGAAGAUGAUUUUGCAGGCCGAUUUCCCACAACACCUUUUUGGCAGUCUUAGAGAACUAGAGAUUGCUGCAGAUGACUCAGCUGGUUUUACAAUCUGGAACGUACUGGAGAGAUUUCACAAUCUCGAAAUACUCACACUGUUGUUUUUUUCAUCCCACGAAGAGCUAUUUUCGAUGGAAGGAUGCUUACAGAAACAUGUGGGGAAGUUGGCAAUGAUAAAAGAAUUACAGCUGCGCUGGCACUAUCAUCUGGAGCAGCUGUGCAAGCAAGACUCCAAACUUGGCCCCAUUUUUCAGUAUCUUGAAAUUCUAAAAGUAUAUCAUUGUCAAAGUCUGUUAAUUCUAUUGCCAUCAUCAUCGGUAUCUUUUGGGAACCUAACAAAACUUGUAGCUUUCGGUUGCAAGGAAUUGAUACACUUGGUAACAUCCUCCACAGCAAAAACUCUGGUGCGACUCAUAGCAAUAGAAAUAUAUGGAUGCAGAGCAAUGACAGAGGUGGUAAUAAAUGACAAAGAUGGAGUUGAAAAAGAAGAGAUUGUUUUUAGCAAAUUGAAGACGUUGGGACUGUUUGAUUUAGAUAGCCUCACAAGUUUCUGUUCUGCCAAUUACACCUUCAAAUUCCCAUCUUUGGAAUAUCUGGAUGUGAUUGGUUGUCCCAAGAUGAAGAUUUUCACUACAGGAGAAUCAAUCACGCCUCUAAGAGUAAACGUCUGCUAUGGAGAGACAGCGGAUCAACGGCGCUGGGCUAAUAAUGAUCUAAACACAAACAUACAACAAUUACAUGCUGAGAAGGUACGUAUAUACAUAUUACUCUCUAUCUCCCAUGAUAAAUUUUUACAAAAUUUGCUUUCUUAAAUACAAUAUAGAUAAGAUAUUUGUUAUAAAGUAAGUUUAAAUUGAUGAAUAAGAAUUUUACUUUCAGCUGUUGGCGGUGUCGUCGUCAUACUCUACGCAGUACGACUAAUUUCAUAGGCUUCUUAUGACUUGGAGUUGCGAAUUUUUAGAAGAAAGUCUCAACUGGUAAUUAAUUUUUAUUUCAUUUAUUUAAUCCCAUGUCUUGUUUCACAAUUUCAUCUGAAUUAUUUAGAAUGGGUCCCUCGGUUUACUGUUAAAUUUGCAAUGCAAUUUUAAUGAUCCUUUCAGACAUUUAUGGACAGAUUUUGCAAAAUUGAAUGUCUUUUAGUCUAGUUUAAUUUGAGUUUUUCAUUUUUUUUUUAGAGCUCCCCUUGUUUUCUAAAAUUUUAUAAUUCCUUGCAUACUUUUUAUGAUAAAGUUUCAUUAAAAGCCUUCAUAUUUUAUAAUUCCUUGAAAACGUGCAUACUUUUUCCUUUUUUUCUUUGCCAAUUAUUUAUUGUCAUCAUUGCUGUUCUUUUAUUUUAGUUUGUGCUCUAUUUGUUCAUUGGGUUUGCUUUUCGGAAAGUUAGAAGGCAAGGAAAGUACUUAGAAAAUAUUCUUCCCUAUGAACACAUAAUUAACAGCUGAAUAUCAUUCAUUGGAUUAAAAAAAAUUUAAAAUAAAAAGAAAGUAAUCAGCCCAUUAUUCCUAGAACAAAUCCUUAAACCAUCAAACGUUAGCUAUGAACAAGUAUAUUGGUCUAUAGCAUAUUCAUAAUAUUUUCUCUGCUGUUCCUGUUAAAAUUUCUCUACUCUAUGAUUGCAAAAUGUCUGGAUACUGAUGAAGAUUUAAGUCACUCUUCUUCUGUGAAUAAGGUCGUUUUUCUUUUUUCCUCUAUUCAAAGUUUCCAUUCUGAUGGGUUCCCAUUUCCAUCUUCGUGAUCUUCUUGUGAUAGUGUGAGUUACAACCUGUCUGUUUCCUUUGUUUGAUCAUCACAAGUUCAAAGACAUUUUAUUCUAGCUAAGCUCUGUGUAUGUAUUAUAACAUUUUUAUUCUCAAUAUAUAUGACUCAAUGAGAGGUCUUUUAUUAUAUAUAUGUCGUGAAUUUCUAUUGUAUUUUGACAUUUGAUGGUGUAUCAUUGUCUCAUUGCAAGGUCUUUUAAUCACUCUGAUUCUCAUUUGAGGAGGUUGGUCUCGUCUAUGUGUAUGUAUUUAUAUCCACAAGAAAUUUGAUAAAUGGUCUUGUCAUUUUCUCAUCAAAACAUCUGGUGCUUCAUAUGUUGGAGGGUUACCAGGCAUCAGGGCCAGAUUUUUAAACUCAAAGUUCUUCGUGUCAUUUUUUAACAAUAAUAAGGAAAGCCCAAGAGAAAAUCUAGAAGUCCUAAUAAGGACCGCUUCUACAUAUAUUGUUCAUUUUCUUAAUUACCUUCAUUAUUAUUUUCGUUUUCAAUCGAUCAAACUUCAGUUUCUUCAUCUUGAAAUCCUUAAUUUACUCAUCAAAAUGUGAACGCUUAGUGUAUCAUUUUUACACUAUAAGAAAUAGUCGUAUUACCGACCAGACAUUUCCACAAUAUACUAUUCAAAAUAAGUACUUUUUACGAAGGUAUUGUCAUUGACGAGCCGUUGGAUAAAUAUGAAAAGUAUCAUUCCUUGGUGAUAAAGAAAAUUCGUUUGUCGGAAAUGGAAUGUCGAGCCCAAAAUUACUCUAAACUUGGUAAAGUUAGAUUUUGGCCCAAUUUGUUUGAAAGUUUUAUACAUAAAGCACUUUUUUUUUUUUAUGUAAUUUGUGCAAUCUGAAGGGAGGUAUUGUAAAAUUAACAUAAAUAAAUGUAAUAUGCCAAUACCGUUUAAAACAAAAAAGAAAUCAUGAAAUUGAAAAUAUAUAUAUAAUAAUAAUAAUAACAACAUUAAAAGAAAAAAGGGGAUUACGGAGAAGAAGAAUCUCUUCUGGAUCACAACUCUCAAUUUCACUCAGUGGUAAUUAAUUCUUCACUCUCACUCGCCUUAUUUCCUGCGGAUUUCUUCAUUUUCCUUCACUGUUCAUUUUUAAGGUUCCAUUGUAUUUCCAUUGAGUUUGCAACUGUUCAAUUGAUCGAUCCUUAUUAGUUUUGGGACUUCAAUGACCAUAGAAGAAGAUUCUCACAGACAACUCUUCCUUCUUUUGUCUUUGUUUUUUUUUUUAUUUGUUUAUGCAUGUUUCCUUUGCUGAUUUAUUUACUUAUUUCUUUCUCUGAUGUCCCAAUUUAUCCUAUGAUAUUUCAAUUGAUGUAUUACGUUCAUGUUAUGUUUAUGGAUGCUUGCUCUACUGUCCUAAUUUACAAUUAAAUUUUACUCCGUCCUUAGCUAUCGAUUCACAGUGGUGUGUCAUUAAUAUGUACUUGUCUUAUUUUAUAUUUCAUUAACUAUUAUUUCAACAAUUGCUGCAGGUGUCAAAUAAUGAAUUUGUAUGAGCUUCAGUCCAAGGUAAUUAUCUUUUUCAUUUCAUGUUAUUUGAUCUCUAGGUUUAUUUUAUCGUUUCAUCUAAAUUAUUUGGAAUGCAUCAGCUGGUUUAUUCUUAAUUUUGGAACGAAUUUGAUGCAGCAGAUGGUUGCGAAGGAUGAGUGGAGUAUCUCUCUAGGGUAACAACUUGAGCUAUAAGUAUCUAUUUAGGGUGCAUAAUAUACAUUUCGAAGUUCGCGACGAGGGGAAUCUAAUCUAAUACUGUAGCGCCGCAUUAGUCUCGUGGUUCGAUUGAAAAUUAUAUUUAUUUCAUAUUAUUUUACAAGUUUAAGAUCUAUUUUCCUAUUGUUUUCGGGAUUUUUAUCUUUUUUUUUUUUCUAGAUAUAGAAUUUGAGUAACAUUUAUCUUAUUUCAGUUAGGAGAAUGUUAUUAUGUAGUAAUAUGUAGGUUUACUUAUUUUGGUAAAUUUGUGAUAUUUAAGUUUAGUUUAAAAGAAGUCCAAAACCUUAAUUUUGUUAUUCAGACUUUCAUUAAUAAAAUAUAAAACUUUCUAAAAAAGAAAAUGCUCGUCUGGUACCUAUAUUUUAACUUCAAUGCUCGUUUAGUUUUUAUAUUUUAAAAAAUACCUCAAUAUACCUUGAUAUUAAAUACGUUACAUUUUUCCUUAAAUUUUAUUUACUUUUACAAUAAUAUCUUGGCAAUAAUAUUCUUAAAUUAAUUAAUUUAUUUAUAAAAAAGUUAAUUGGAAAAUUAAUCAAGAAAUAUCAAUAUGAAAUAACCAGUAUUUUUUGUACUUUUACAACAAUCUUGCCAAUAAUUCUUUAUAAAUAAAUUAAUAGCAGCCAUCUUAAAGUAAUGUUUAAUAUUCUUAAAGCAAUCUUACUAAUAAAUGCAUAAAAAAUUUAAUUUACGAAAUUAGUCCUAAAACUAAAAUAAUAACAUAAAAGUUUUUAUUAAUAUUUAUUUUGUUUAAGGCUGGCUAGAUGAAUUACCAUUUUUUUCUUUUCAUUGAUAUUCCCAAAAAUAUUAUUCCAACACAGUAGGGGUGUCUUGAGGUUAGGGAUGGCAAUGGGGAGGGGAGGGGAGGGGACUAAUCUCCCCGUACCCAUCCCCGAUAUUUUGCGUAUGUCCUCGUCCCCUCCCCGUCCCCGUCCCCGUCAGAAUUACUUGAGAGAAUCUUCAUCCCCUCCCCGAAUAAUAACAGAGGAUCCCCGAUCCCCGAAUAACUAAUACAUUUUUUUUUUUCAAUUUUGAGUUAAUUAUAUUAAAAUAAAAAAAUUCAAAUAAAAGUAAAUUUCGAAAUAUAUCUUACAUGAAUAUCUAUUUCAAAAGUCACAUACAUUAAAUUAGUAAGUAACGCAGCAUGCAAGGGAUACAAACUAUCAUGAACAAAUUAAUAGUCUAAUACAAAAUUGUUACAAAUAAAAUCGAAUUUAGAUUCAAAAUUAACUUUUUCAAUGGUGGCGUGGGCACUUUAUAAAUGUGGACUAUUCCCUUUACAGCACAAUAGUUAAGUCCGAGCAAAUCAAGAGCAAAUAUUAGAUUAGAUUAGAUAUUAAAAUUGUGAUUCGCUGUGGGCAAUUAUAACAUCUAAAAAUAAAUAAAUAAAUAGAUUUAAGUUUAAAAUAUUUAAUGAAUAUUAAAAUUAAAACAAAAUUUUUGGGCUAAUAGAAUCUACUGGUCUUUUUAAUGUCCUAAAUAAAAAUUUAAGACUUUAAUUUGUUAAUUAGGCCUAAAAGUUUAAUAAUAUAAAUAUUUUGAUAUUUGUUAUUUUUACCAAUAUUUAUAAUUUUAUAAUUUAUUUACUAGUAAUUUUAAAAAAUAAAAAUAAAAUUAAAAAUUAAAAUGGGGAAAUGGGUAGGGUAUGGGGAUUCCACCUCAUCGCCGUCCCCUCCCUAAAUAAGAAAUUGGGUAAAAAAAUUUGCCCGUCCCUUCCCCGAAUAAGAAAUUGGGUAUGAAAUUAUCCUCAUACCCUCCCCGAAUAGGGAAAAUCCCCGAUGGUACCCGUCCCCGUGGGGAUUUUUGCCAUCCCUACUUGAGGUUGAGGCACUUUUUAAAAUAUAAGAACUAAAUGCGCUCUCAAGUCAAAAUAUAGAGACUAAAUGAACAUUUAUUCCUUUUAAAAAGCUUGUGUUUCUCUAUCUUUUCAAUCUCAAUGUUUUUGUUUCCGUUUCAUCAUAAGUUCUAAUGUUUGGUUCUCAUCUUAAUGUGCAAAUUUUACAUCAUUGAAGGUCUUUUGAUCUGAGUUAAGAUCAUAAAAUUAUACUUGCAUUGGUCAGGUUAUACGAAAAUUGUACAAAAUAAUAUUCUUAUAUAACUGUUGUCCUCUGUUAUUACGGAAUCCCCAAGUUCUGAAGAAGGUCGAAAUCAGGUCUCUCUACUGUGAAGCCCCUGGAAUAAGAGCUACAAAUGUGUUACCGUUGAAAGCAUGGCAGAAAACUUAGUACUUAAUUCAGACUCUUUGUGGCUUCAAUAUUUUACUUAACAUGAAAAAUUCUUUCUAGCUUGCAUCAUUGUAAAGAUAAAUUGUCGCAGUUCUGACAAUGAACAAGUAUAAAUGUCCACAGAGAAAAGUACUGAACAAUUAAUGUUAACAGCAAUCGAUUGGUGUGAGCGCCAACCACCAUUUUCAUAUUUAAGCCUUUAGAACAGCAAAACAAAAUACGGCAAGUGGCAACCACAUCAAAUAAUCAAAUUGUUGAUAGAUUUUGAAAGCUUUAAUUUGCUUGAUAUAUAUUUAAAUAUUUCAACAGAUGAUCUUUUCGCUACUCACGGGGCACGCUGAGUUAGAAACGGUUUGGAUGUCAAUAUUACUCCAAGUGCCUCAACCAAAUUCAGAAUGAAAAAAAACCAUCUGGUUACCUGCACUUUUGUUUAAGCAGCUAAUGAAGCUAAUUAGCACGAAAUAGUACACAAACUCGCGAGAAAUUUCAUUAGUAGAUCAUCAUCCUGGGAGGAAACCAGCAUCUUGACGCUUUUGUGAUCAAGAAAAUCUGCCAGAACCCCAAUUAAUGAAAAAGAAAUUAUAACAUCAUUUACGUAUAGUUUUACAAAAUCAACAGGACACUCACAGAGCACCUCCUACAGCUGGACCGGCAGUUUUGGUAAGCGACACUACAGUCAUAGCAAGUCCAUUAGCAGCUCCUCUUUGAUGCUGUUCCUUUUGUUGUGGCAUAAACCAACAAAUUAAAUUUAAACUUUGACACAUACAAAAUUUGAAAAAGCUGAAAGCAUGUAAAUGUACUAAACAAACAAAAGAAAAAAAAUAUUUACCACUGCUCUGUUUUGCAGAAGGAAUAAUCUAGUUAUUAUAGACACCUGAUAUUAUAAUUCAGGAAUAGUAAAAUAGAAUUACAACAUUUCUAAUAAAAAAAGACACAAAAUAAUUUUAUACAUACUUGAUGGAUAAUAUAACCUAAGUAUAUGGAUCAAUGAUUAGGAUAUCCACUUACAGCUAAAACAUUCUUCAUCACAGAAGCACAGUUUAUCAAAAAGGCAAGGCUGAACCCAGAUAGCAUUGCUAUGUAAGUGUAACUUGUCAAAAGCGGUAUCGAUAAAACCUGUACAUACAUAGAAAAUUAUGGGACCAAAACCAUGAAGAAAAGUAUUUUAUAAACAAAUAUGUUUGAAACAAACUAUCAAAUGGUCUAAAUGCCACAUGGUGUGUUCAAAAUUAUUGUUCUGUUUUAGUGACAAAACACUCAUCCCAUGACAUUGAGCUAUCAAUUCUCAUGGAUUCGUCACGCUUGAAAGGUUUGGUAGUUGUUCUGUUUUAUCUUCAGUUUCAUUUGUGAUCACAGAAACGUUAGGACUUGCGUGCAUGAAAGCACAUUAAAAUUUGAAAGUUCUGAAGAAGAUUCAGGUCACUCGCGUGCAGCCUCUGGAAUAAGAGCUGUGUUACUGUUUAAAAGUUUUCAUGCUGUGGGGCUUCCAUCUUCAUUAUUCUACGAAUGCUUAACUUCACUAUUCUACGAAUGCUUCACUUCACUACAUUGACAGCGUUGAAAGUGUAACUAAAACCCUUGCUUUCACAAGCAAGCAUCGGUGAAUGAAAAAGAAAGUCUCUCUCGAAGGUAAUUGACAGAGGAGCAAUCUUCUUACUCUUUAACUAAAUAUCAGAAAUACAAGGUUAAGGCAGCUAGGGUUGCGAAGGAGAAGGAUCGUUCCCGGAUUUUGCCUGCUUCAAGUUGUUGGGCUUGGUGAACCAAGUUGUGUACACGAAUUGCUUAUGAGGGCCCACAUGGUUGCAGACAAGCCUGAGCUUUUGUCUCUCCCUCAUGUCUCACAUUUUAUGAUGAAUCAAAUUGAACUCCCAACACGGUAGUUCAUAAAAUAUGCUUUUCUUCUUCCAAGUAAUCUUAUCAUUUCUCUCAUUUUAUUCAUUCUCCACUUUUCAAGUCUUCAAUCUUAAACUCAGUAAGGAUAUUAUUCAACUGCUUUUUCACUUCAGCUCCAGACAUCCGAGAAGGUGCUUGUCCCCACUCUCUAGAUUUAUCAAAAGGCACUAUAUUUUCGAAACCUAUGAUUCGUCAGUAAAAAUCGACGUUACCGACGUGACAAAAUUUUCUACUAUGUAUCAACCAAUUAGAUCUAGUGUUUUGUUGGCAAACAAGAAAUGCUUAUUUACCUUUAAUACUCCACUCAGACAAGUUGGCAUGUGCUAGAAAGUCACUGAUAGUCCAUAACAAUGCUGUGUGUGAAUUGAAUAUUUGAUUACGUGAUGUAUCAUGUAUCAUUCCAACCAUAUCAUCAUCAGCACCCGAGUCAUGACUAACCUGUUUCUUGGUUAGAUUCCAAAGAUGAAGAUGGCUCACCAUGCAAUAUCCAGUUUUAAUACUUUAACCAAAAACCAUUUAUAAUGAUAUGGUCUCUUGCUACUUCCCUUAAAACGAAAUAUUCGACACUUCUUACAAGGAUAAUAAAUUCUUGCAUCACCAACAACAUUCUCAAAUGCAAAAUCUAUAACUUAGAUAUCUAUUUGCCAAACCAACCCAACUCUUCUCCAUUACCAUCUCCUUUUAAUGCACUACAAAAAUUAGUUAGAUAAAUCAUUUUAGUUUUUCAUUUCUACUACUGACCAAGAUAUUUUCGUGUGUGCACAGUUUUGCAAUAUAAUUAAAAAAUCAUUAUACAAUUUUAUGGUUAAUUUCAUUAGAAUUUAUAUAUAUGAAAGCAAGUAAAGCGACAAGAAUCAGAGAAAAAGACGUGAAAAUUAAAGUAUAUAUACAACAAUAAUUAAUGUAAAAAACAGUUUCCAAUACCUUCUGUAAAGAAAUAUCCUCACCCACAGCUGAGAACUUCAGUUGGUUAUCAAUUACAGAUACAAAGCAUGUUACCUAGAAACAAAAAAAAAGGUCAGCCAGCUGAAACAUAUUUAUAAACCAACAUUGGAGAUAGUACUCCAUUUAUAAACAAAAUUACAAGCUCAAAACCAAGUUAACUCAGCAAAACUAUAACCGAUUACGUCCAUCCAACUCAGCUCCUCCACUCCCAUCAAUAUGUCCAACACUCCCUUCAUAUUUACAAAAGGUAAGUGGUCCCGUAUAUCCCUCUCAAGAAUGCAUAAGUUUCUUCAAUCUCAAGUACUUUAAAGUUUUCUUCUACGUUUAUAGAAAUUUCGGCAGCAUCUCCCUUUAGUUCUCCAAGCAACGACAUAGAUAUAUGAGUGUUUAUGUGUUAUCUAGUAUGCACCCAAAGAAGAUGAGAAGCAGCUUGCGAAAAACUCAUUUUUACGUGGGAAAAAAACUUCAGCUACUAGCUACCAUAGAAAACUAUGCAUUCCCAAACAGUUCAAGCCUAGACAAUUCAAGAAUUAUUAAUAGGCAUAUGAUCCUCACUAUCAUCCAAAGAUGACACUAAUAAAACAUGUGUCUAUUAAUAAUUUCUUAAACGAUCUAAGCUUUCAAUGCAUGUAUUGAAAGUUUAAAAUUCAAUCUGAAAUUUGAAUAACACAUAAAUAUCAUAAAUCUCUUCAAUUUGUUCCUAAUACAAUGUAGCAUUAUUACGCGCAUCAUUUCUUAAGCAAAUCCAUAAAAAAUACAAACAAUAAAUACAUUUUCUAGCACUGAUGCAGAUUAUGUUUACUAAGCAAUAAGUUUUAAGUCAUUCAUGUUAAAAUACUUUUUCCUAUUCUUUCAACAUAUAACUAGUACGUGCACACAAUUAAUAAAUUAAAUAUAACCUGGUUGUGAAUCUCGCAAAAAUCUUCCUAUUUUUUUUUUUUUGGUUGGGGGGGGGGGGGGGGGGUGUGAGCUGCUUGUGAAUCUUGCAAAUCCUCGGGAAGGCAUGUUAAGUCAAGGCCAACUUACUAUUAGGGUAUGAAAGAUAUAACCUUUUUUUUCCCUUUUCAGAGUAAAAAGAACAUUGACAGUGUUAAAAAAAUCUAGAGGAUUUCAGGCCCAUAUCCUAACAAAUCAAGGAUAUUAGAAAAAUUUACUGAGGAUAUAGUUUAUGCUCAAUUGUAUCUUGCAGGAAGAAAUUGAUAAGCCUCAGUUUCAAUUAGCUUCAUUAUAGCCAAUGAUUAGGUGUUUAAAAACCAAUGAAUAUUUUUAUAAGAAAUCAACCGUAUUGUCGGAAGAAAAACCAAAUAAAAAUAACAAAGCCAAUGAACAGACUAAUGCUCUUUAUGGUCUAAUAACUAAAAACCAAUGAGUAUUUUUAUAAGAAAUCAACAGUAUUGUUGGAAGAAAAACCAAAUAAAAAUAACAAAGCCAAUGAACAGAUUAACGCUCUUUAUGGUCUAAUAACUAAUCAAACUAAGUUGUGGGUAAAGGCGAAUAUGUUUGUUUGGUCAAUAAUAAGCUCAACGAAUCACUAAUAAGCACCUAAUCACUAUUCCUUAUGCUAUGCAAUGUAAUGGCCUGGGUAAUGGCAGCAAGGCAGGCAAGAACUAGCUAGCCAGUUAUGAUAGUUGAUUAAGAAACUUGAUUAUAUGUAUAUUUUUGUUUGCCACAUUUAAAGAGAAUUUUCCAAAGAUGCUAAGAUACACCAAAUCCCACUAUUUCCAUACUCAUAAAAACAAAAAGCCAUGGCAAAAAUGAAUGACUAUAUAAAAUAAAAUAGGUCAUAGGACAUUGAGAUUAAGGCAACAUGAUUUGUAUACCAUAAAAUAACUAUAUCUGCAUAGUCAAUUAUAUUUCUGUUAGAACUCUAAAGUUUUCAUUUAAAUUUUUUUCCCUGUUAUGUAAACCAUUUAACUGAAAUGCUUAAGCCAAUAUUAACAAUCAUAGACAUACAAGUAUUAAUAGGCUCGUUCAAGUGAAAUGAGCAUUAUUUCUCAUAUCCUUUAGGUUUUUAAGUCAUUUAGAAGUCAUUCAUGUUAAAAAAUUUCUUCAUAUACUUUCAUUAUAAUUAGUACAUAGACAAUUAUUUAAAUAAAUAAAUCUGUUUCUGCUAGUACAGGAAAUUAAUUAAUCAAAGCUAGUAGUUAUAGCUAGGACUUGAAUGAGGCACCUUUCAGAGUUCAAGAGGAGCAUCUGAACAGAACCUUUAUAGAAAUGGCAAUGACGCUUUACAUCUACAUGCUCUUACACAAUAUGGACUUUCAUUUAUUCAAGAACAUAACACUACUCCAAGCUCUUAUUCUACAAGUUAAUUCAGUUUAUAUUAUAAUUUCUGAAAAUAGAACGUAACAUUAUUAAUAUAGAAUCAGCAAUAUAUAUAACUUAUCAGACAAUAUAACAUGCACUUGGUGAGCAUACAAGAUAAACAAGUUAUCUAGAAAAUGAAACUAAAACCCAAGCUCCGCUAUUCAUUGUAGAAGCUUUAAACAUAAAAUUAAAGUAAAUCUAAUAGCAAAACAUUAGAAUGGAUGUUGGAAUUAAAGCUAAAUUCAAUAGUAAUUCAAAUGAAUCCAUUUGAACUUUGUAGAACAAAAUUAAUUUGAGUGAGCAAACACACCAAUGGAACAAGAACACAGGGCUUCAACUUGUAGGAAUAAAAACAAUUGCUGGCGAGACAAAAAUUGACAAUAACGACUACAAUACGAAUUAAAAAGAAUCAAAAUCUAUAAUUACAAGCUAAGUAAGAGAAGAAACUCAUAAUCACAAGCUUAACUCAAAAGAUGAAGGGAGAAUACGAUGAAGAAGAAGAUGCCCGGUGUUUUACGCCGUUCGCCGGCAACCAGUUAGGUUUACGAUGGAGUCCAGCGAAUAGUUUUCUAACUGGAAAUAAAUUUAAAAUUCUAAAAUAGUAGUAUACCGAACGGCUCUUUACCGUCACGUGGUUAGUAACAUAUGUGACAGCAGUGUGGCUGUCACAUAAAGGGUAACAAAAGCAACUCGGGGUUACAAAGAAGUUAGUGAUAUACGUAAUGGCUGCUUUUGCAUUCGCAUUAGGGGUCACAUAUACCAUAUUUUCUUGUAGUACAUGGUAAAUUCUAUUUGAAAAUUGCUAAGUAUUUUAGAUUUGUAUGAAUUCAUUUUUGUGUGCUCGUUGGAUAAUAAUAUAUAAUAAAUCAAAUUUUUGGUGUAAUUUUCACAAUAUUGUAUUAUAAAUAUGUCUCGUUGAAAGGUUUUGAAAUCGUUUUGAUUGAUCAUAAUUGAUAUUUCCACAUUUGCAAAAGAUGCCAGAGAAAAUCUGAUUAUCUUAAGAAAUGAGUGCAUGAGAUAUGAAAUCAACCAUAUAAUAAAAUCAAAUUUUAUUGUGUCAUCCUUCUUGGUUCAAAUUUAUGGAAACAAUAAUCAAAUGCAUCCAUGAACUAGCUAGUAUAUUCCGACACAUGUACCAUCAAAUUUUUGCUAUGUCAUACUUAUAUUUUGAAAUUUUAAUAACAACAAUUGGGCCAAGCAUAUGUUGGUACUUGAAGAUUUAUAAGCUCCAUCCUUGAAAAAAUAAGGCUUGACUGUCCUCAAUCUAAUUCUUUUUGUUUUAAGUUCCUAAUUAAGCUUUCUUGCUUGUUUUCAAGAGCCAGUUUUGUAAUGAUCGACAAACAUGAUUUGCAUAUAUUGCACUUGGUAUUUAUGUGUCACUUAUUAAUUAGAUUUAAAUUUUAUAAAUUAAUUAAGCUGAUUAAUACUUUAUGUUGAUGCAGAAAUCUAGUUGAGUUGGUUGUUGACUCAAAACCACAUCCCCGCAUCAGUAAUAAAUUUGUUUGGUGAAGAAGCGGCUUAUUAAUCUUCAAGAAAAUCCUCUAACCAUGAGCAGAUAAUUCAUGAGCCGAUAAUCUAUGAGCUGUUGAUUAGUGAGCACCAUGAGCAGAUAAUCCACGAGCUGCUGAUCAGUGAGCACCGUGAGCAGAUGUUCUAUGAGCAGAUGAUCCAUGAGCAGAUAACCCGCGAGCAUGCAAGCACAAAGAACAGUCAGGGGGCGCUAGAAGUUUUUCUGGUGAAAACCCUCCGACGCUCAAGUCACAAUAUUGUAUCCAACCAAUAAAAACUAAAAGAUCCAAAAGUUACAAGUUCUAACACCACCCAAAUAAAGGCAUGUUAGGAUUGUUUUUGGGAAGCUCAAAAGUGAUUUUAAAAACUAAAAGCUAAUUUUUAAUGUUUUAUAAAUUUAAAAACUAAAAGUUCUAACACCACCCAAAUAAAGGCAUGUUAGGAUUGUUUUUGGGAAUCUCAAAAGUGAUUUUAAAUAUUAAUGGUGCGUUUACUUCUUGGAAUAGGAAUGAGGUGGAAUGGGAAUGGACUGGAAAGGAAAUGAGGAAUGGGAAUGAGAUUUCAAUGUUUACUUGGCAAAAAUAAAUGGGAAUGGGAAUGUGCUGGAAUGCAAUUGAUGUGUUUACUUGGAAAAAUAAAUGAGAAUGAGAAUCAAUUUACCAUAAUACCCAUAGUAUUAAUAAUUAAUAAAAAUAAUUAAUUUAUCAUUAUUGUUGUUAUUAUUACUAUUAUUACUAUUAAAAAUAAUAUUAACAAUAAUUAAUAAUAACUAAAAUAAUAAAGUUAAUAAAAUAUUAUUAAAUUUUAUUAACUCUAUUAUUUUAGUUAUUAUUAAUUAUUGUUAAUAUUAUUUUUAUUAAUAUUAUCAUUAUUAACAUUUAUUAUUAUUAUUAAUAUUAUUAUUAUAUUUUAUUAACUUUAUUAUUUUAGUUAUUAUUAAUUACUGUUAAUAUUAUUUUCAUUAAUAUUAUCAUUAUUAACAUUUAUUAUUAUUAUUAUUAUUAUUAAAUUUUAUUAAAUUUAUUACUUUAGUUACUAUUAAUUAUUGCUAUUUUUAUUUUUAUUAAUAUUAUCAUUAUUAAAUUUUAUUAUUAUUAUUUUAAUUAAUAUCAUUUUAAUAAUAAUAUUUAUACAUGUAUCUAGAUAAUGAAAAUUACAUUAUUAUUAUUAUUAUUAUUAUUAUUAUUAAAUUUUAUUAACUUUAUUAUUUUAGUUAUUAUUACUUAUUGUUAUUAUUAUUAUUAAUAAUAAUAAUAAUAAUAACAAAAAUAAUGAUAAUAUUGUUAAUAAUGAUAAAUUAAUUAUUUUUUAUUAAUUAUUAUUUUUAUCAUUAUUUUUAUUGUUAAUAAUAAUAAUAUUAAUAAAAAUAAUUAAUAAUAACUAAAAUAAUAAAGUUAAUAAAAUUUAAUAAUAAUAAUAUUAUUAUUAUUAUUAAUGAAAUUUUAAAUAAUAAAAUUAAUUGUGAUUUGAAUGAGGGUAAUUUGGGAAAUAUGAAAAAAUUAGAGGGAUACAAAAGUAAAUAUAUAUUUCAUUCUCAUUCCCUCAUUUUUAUUCCCAACCCCUCAUGGGCUUGGGAUUCCCAUUCUUUAUUCCCAAAUUGUGUGAGACCCACACAUUUUAUUCUCAUUCCCAAAUUAUAUUUUGCCAAGUAAACAUGGGUUUCAUUCUCAUUCUUUCAUUCACAUUCCUCAUUCCAUGAAGUAAACAUACCAUAAAAGCUAAGUUUUAGUGUUUUAUAAAUUUUUUUAGUAAUUACUUUUGGUAAAAUCAUCUCAUCAUACAGUAGAUUUUGAAAAGUAGUGAAUGAAUAGUUUUUCAAAAUUUGAUUUUGAGAAUUACUUUUAUACUUAAUCCAAUUCUAUAUAUAUCCUCAUUAUAUAAUAAAAAUCCAAAAUUAUCUUUAUGAAUUAAGAAAUAAAAUCAUUAACUUAAAAUAGAUUAUUAUUAUUAUUACCAAUUAUAUUGAGAUAACAAAAUAGAGAAUACAAUUUAAUAAUAUAAAAUAUUUAUUUUAGUUAUCAAUAAUUAUAUGUACAUAAUAAAAAUAUUUUAUAUACAUGUUUGUAAAUGUGUAAAUAAAUUUUAUUUAGCAUUAUGUUCAAUUCAGUCAUUUAUAUUUUUUCACCAGUUUAAUAAUAAAAUUUACGAAACACAUACGUCUGCUUUUAAAACUAAAAGUACUUUUAAAAAUAAAUUUUACUAAAUGUUCAGCUGAUUCUCUUCACAAUUGAUCAAUUUCUACAGCAUAACUAACUGAAAUUAUUUUAAAAAUAAAAUUACCAAACUGACCCUAAAUCAAACCAAUAAAAAUGUUUAAAAGUAAUAAAAAUAAACCAAAGUAAAUGUACAAAAAUUCAUGCAUAAAUUGAUAAUCAACAAAAACAACCAAAAGUUUAACUCCAAGUUUUCUGUUCAAUUGACAUAACCCUUAAAUUUCAAAAGGCAUAAUCAAUUUUGUGUCUAAUCCUAUAAAAUUAGAAAAUUAAUGAAUUCAAGGGCAAAGCUACAUUGCAACAUGCCUUUGGUACCCCUCUCUUUUGUCUUUUUAAAGGUCAAUUAUAAUAGUGUCCUGGUAUUUGUUAUAAAAAUGAAAAUGUUGAAAAUUUUUAAAAUUUUACGCAUUAGUCCUACACCUACACAGUAUCAUUUUUCUCAUCCAUUUUGCACCAUCAAUGACAUCAUUUUUCUCACCCAUUUUAAUUAAAAGGUAAUUAAAAUUAUUUUCCAUAUAGAAACAGAAUAAUAAAAUAAAUUUUUUAUUCUUAUUUUUUAAUUAAUUAUAAAAAGAUAUUUUGUAUUAAAACAAUCACUAGUGACUACUGUUUCUUCGCGUGCAAUGAUAUUUUUAAUCGAAAGGGGACAUGAAGGGUUCCAUUAUAUUUGAAAUUGGAUGAUUUACAUAAAGAUAGUCUCAAUGCUAGCAAAUGGUGAUAUGUAAAGUUGCAUGCUCCUUCUAAAAUAACUGCAACAAUAACUAUACCACAAAAACACAAGGAGUUACAUUACACUACCACCUUUUCUUUUCUUUUCUUUUCUUUUUUUUUUUAAAUUUAGAGACCCUCAAUUUGGUUGUUAAAGGCAAUGAACCUUAAAACGUGAUGUAGGAAGCAUAUUAGAUAAAAUGAAUUAGAAUUUACUAGAAAUUAUAAUAUUUGGGUCAAUUUAAAAUUUAAUAUUUUAUUAAAAUUUAUCUUAUUUAUUAAGCUUACUUGAGUCAUAUUUGUAAUUCUAACCUAAUUAGGAUUUCAGAUUAUUUCUCUUAUUUGAGAAAGAUUAGCUACUAUUAUAUAUAUAAACUUGUUAUUCUUAAUUUAUGAUAACAGACACAAACUUCUUAUUAAUAAUUUUUAAUUUUUUCAUAAUUGAGAUAUCUUCUCCUUGGUGAGAGCAUCUUUUUAAAGUUUUCAAGACAUAAAUCAUAUUAGAGUUUUUUUCUGUACCAGGCAGAGCAUUCUCGACCACCAACUCCAUACAUUAGUUCCAUCAAGUUAAAAAAAAAAAACCCAACAAAACCCGAAGCCACCAUCACAUCCGUGCCACACGGCUGCCGCCGCCACUGGUUUCUCUUCUUUUUGGUCGAUCCUCUCUCCCAUCCAAAAGCCCUCACGUCGCCAAUCAUAACCCAACCCAUAACACCACCAUCCCGUCACCGUAGCCACGGGAAACUAGCCAAAACAGCCGCUGAACCACCACGAAAAUCCACCUCUCUAUUCGCUGCAAUCCGUUGCGAUUCACAUCCUCCACCACCACCCAUUCGUCCACGAUCAUCAGCUCUUUCUUUUCAACCCACUCACGCUGCCAACCCUCGGCCGGAUCGCCAGAAACUGAAACCAACCUCCACCCACUACUUUAACUCAACUUUUCAAUCAAAUCACAACUAUUUGAGACAAAUCACCACCAGCAUCACACUCAACACCAUCAAAUCUUCUAGAUCCACCUAUCCUAGGCCAAAUUUUCGACCAUCGUCGCUGGCAACACCAACUUUUGCCUAUUUAUAAUUUUGCCCCUUUACUUUUCUAUACUUAUACUAUUACCUAUAAUUUUAUGUUCUUUAAAAAACACCCAAAAACCAAACAAACUUAUAAAAAAAUAAAUAAAUUAGAAUUUACUAGGAAUUAUAAUAUUUGGGUCAAUUUAAAAUUUUGUAUUUUAUUAGGAUUUAUCUUAUUUUAUUAAGCUUACUUGAGUCAUAUUUGUAAUUCUAAUCUAAUUAGGAUUUUAGAUUAUUUCUCUUAUUUGAGAAAGAUAAGGAUUAAUUUAGCUACUAUUAUAUAUAUAGGCUUUUUAUUCUUAAUUUAUGAUAACAGACACAAGCUUCUCAUUAAUAAUAUUCAGUUUUUUCUCAAUUAAAAUAUCUCCUCUUUGAUGAGAGUCUCUUUCUUGAGUUUUCAAGACGUAUAAUAGAACGAAAUCUAGUAUCGCUUCCGCCCUGCGUUAAAAUGUCAUCUAAUCAUAGGGUCUUGUUAUAGUUGUUUGCAUUGGAAGGCUCAUCUAUCGCCGACAUAUCUAUUUAUCCGGCAACAUUGCCACCAUUACAUUGAUCAGAGAAUUUUGAAUACGUUGAUAGUUUUUUGUUUUUCUGUUCACUCACGUCUAUUUCUUAGUGAUGAUACCGUCAUUGUUGUCAUUGGUGGUGCAAUAAUUUUUAGCAAUAUUAUUUUGAUUUUUCAUUUGAUUUACAAAACUUAAAUAUUAAAUAUAAUACUUAAUUUUAGUCUCAUACACUUAAAUAUUACUAAUAUUCAAGUUCAUGGAUGGAUAUUGAAUAAAUCAAAUUCAGAGUAUUUUAUAUGGAUACUAUCCAAUCUAUUCAGAUCAGAUACUUAGACAUCCAACUUGAAUGGAUUUGUUUGCUCUUUCUAGCUGUUAACUUGAUUAAUAAUUCUAUUGGGUUUGGUUUUAAAACUCCUAAUAUGAUAAUUCAUUCAUGACACAAUUAAUUAUUCACUUAAUUAUAUUAAUUGACUUCUAUUUUAAUUGAUAGAUAUGUGUUGAAUUGUCAUCUCUAUUGUUAUCCAUGUGUGAUGUUAGCAAGAAAGAAGAAAGAAUAGAAAAUACUUAUUUUUAGUUUUUUUUAAAGAAAUAUUUAAAUUAUUUUCAAAUAGAGUAAUUGUUUAGAAUUUUUUUACCCUUCUCUCCGAUAAGUUAAUGACUAUUUAAAUAGUUGGGGUGGAGUAACAAAUACCAAUUUAUUUAAGCGUGCAAUUAAAUUAUUAUUAUUUAUUUAAGGACAAAAACUCAUUGUUAAAAAAAAGAUUUUACAAGUUAAUAAACUAACAUUUUAUUAUUAUUAGUAAAUUAACAUAUUUUUACUAUAUAAUUAAAUAGUUGAUAGUAUGUUUAAUAAAUAUUAUGUUACAAAAAAAAUUAACUACAUAGAAUAUGAAAUUAAGUUUAUUUUUGUAUUUUGUAUAUUUCAUCUACUUGAGAUAAUAAAAUCUCUUGUGUUGAAAAACAAAAUUAUGGGUUUUGAACCUUGUUCACAUAGGUGAGAGAUAAUUGGUUGCCAUUAUGUUAAAUUAAAAAAAAAAGAUCAUAUUUAUACUUAUCACUAAUUAUGGUUAGUAAAUAAUAUACAUGCAUUGUUUAACUAUAUAACAAAGUAGUUAAUUAAUUAAUUAAUUAAUUAAUUAAUUAAUUUAAAUAGAUAUUAAUAUAUGUAAGAAUAAGUCAUUUAAUUGGAAACCUAUUUCAAUGGAGUUAAAAAAAAAAGAGAGAAUAUUAUGGACUUAUAUGUCAAAUUUCAAAACUUUUGAUUUUGUUUAUUUUGCAUGAACAAUAAGGGUCUUUGAUGUUAAUAACCCAAUAAUCACAUCUCAGCCAUUACGCAAUUCUUACAUUAAAUCCAACGGUAGGUUUGAAAAAGACAAAAAAUAGGGUACCAAACCCCACGGGUAUUGUAGUUGGACCCUGAAAUUCAAACUCCUUUCACUUUUCUGUUGUUUGGUUUUCACUAAUAUAUGGGAAUUUAAUUUCUAUUUAAAUUUAAUUUUCAUCAAAUUGUGCAUUUUGGAUUCCCCACCGAAGGCUGUAAAAUUCAAAUUCUCCUCCUAUUAGAAAUCGAAUCUUCCAAAAUUGCUCCUCUCAAAUAUUUAUCAAUUAUUUUAAUUCUUAUCAAAUAAUUCUUAUUUAUGAUUUUAUUUUUUCAAUUUAAAUUGUCACUAAGGAGCCUGACUUACUACCACAGAAAAGCAAAAAUACAAUUUAUAGAUUAUGAUAAUUCCAUGUAUUGUAUGAGAAUUGCAAUCUAAAAAUUUUCCCUACAAAACUUUAAAGAAAUUAUUAUUAUUACCAAUUAUAUGGACAUAACAAAAUAGAGAAUAAAAUUUAAUAAUAUAAAAUAUUUAUUUUAGUUAUCAAUAAUUAUAUGUACGUAAUAAAAAUAUUUUAUAUACGUGUUUGUAAAUGUCUAAAUAAAUUUUAUUUAGCAUUAUGUCCGAUUCAGUCAUUUACAUUCUUGCACUGAUUUAACAAUAAGAUUUAUGAAACACAUACGACUGCUUUUAAAACUAAAUGUACUUUUUAAAAUAAAAUUUACUAAAUGUUCGGUUGAUUCUUUUCACAAUUUAUCAAUUUCUACAGCAUAGCUAACUGUAAUUAAUUUUAAAGAUAUAGGAUUACCAAACUAACCCUAAAUCAAACCAAUAAAAAUGUUUAAAAGUAAUAAUAAGAAACCAAAAUAAACGUACAAAAAUUCAUGCAUAAAUUGAUAAUCAACAAAAGCAUCCAAAAGUUUUACUCCAAGUUUUCUAUUCAAUUGACAUAACACUUAAAUUUCAAAAGGCAUAAUCAAUUUUGUGUCUAAUCCUAUAAAAUUAGAAAAUUAAAUAAUAUUAUAUACUAAUAAUUAAAUAAUAUGCAAUUAAUAAUGUUUAAAAAAUAAUGUUAAACAUAUUGUCAACUAAAAUAAUUGGGAGAAUUGGAGUUCCAAGAUAAAUUCUUAUCGAGUCCCAAAUCAACAAUUGGGAUUAAUUUCAAUCUUAAACUCCGAAACUCCGACUGCUUUUAAAAUUGGUCCUAAUAAUAUGAACAAAUCCCAUUCUGAUCAGUAUGGGAUCCCAAUCCCAUACCUUUGGAUUUCGAUGGUAUUUAGUUGGAGGGAGAAGAGAGGAAGGAAAUGAAUUCAAAUUCCUUUCACUUUUCUGUUGUUUGGUUUUCACUAAUAAAUGGGAAUUCAAUUUCUAUUGAAAUUUAAUUUUCAUCAAAUUGUGCAUUUUGGAUUCGUCACCGAAGGCUGUAAAAUUCAAAUUCCCCUCCGAUUAGAAAUCGAAUCUUCCAAAAUUGCUCCUCUCAAAUAUUUAUCAAUUAUUUUAAUUCUUGUCAAAUAAUUCUUAUUUAUGAUUUUAUUUUUUCAAUUUAAAUCGUCACUAAGGAGUCUAACUUACUACCACAGAAAAUCAAAAAUACAAUUUAUAGAUUAUGAUAAUUUUACGUAUUGUAUGAGAAUUGCAAUCCAAAAAUUUUCCCUACAAAACGCUUUUUAAUCGACAGCAAAUACAUGCUUUCAAAUUUAGUCAGCUGAACUAAUUUUUGUUUUUUUGGAUUAAUUUUGAAAUGUUGCAUCCAUAACGAGCUGGUAUUGAAAUUAAUGUUAACAACAAAAAUAGAUGCAAAAGGAGAAAUAAGCAUCAUGGCCAUUAAUAUUUUGACAUUCAAUGUUGAUUUUGAUCCCACUAAAUUAAGCCAUCAAAAAUUGCUGGGAAGGGAGUAAUAUCUAUUUAUAACUGGAAAUUACUCACCGUACAAUGAUGAUUGGAGCUGCAUGUAUCAUUUAUUAUUAACAAUUAACUUAUGAAAUGCUUUGAAUGUACCUCCUAGGUCGUAUUUACUACACUAGUUAGGAGAAAUUACGAUGUUAAAUUAUUUGAUAAAUACUUAUUAUAAUUUGAAAAAUAUGUCACAUUUGUCCUCCACUUUAUGAUAAAAAAUUUAAAAUAUAUAUAAAUCAUUCAUUUUAUAAUCUUGAACUUUAUUAAAGUUCGAAAAACUAGUAUUACUCUAUAUGAUAUAAUAGUGUGAUGUUGUUACACUAUUUUACCAUAUAAAAUAUAUUUGCUUUCUUAUAUAUAAUGGUUCUGACAUCCUUAUUUUAACAAAGUGAUGAUAUCACUAACAAACUAAAUAACACAUAUUUCAAUACACCAAUAGAUUAAAAAGAUACAGUUCUUAAUGUGUUAAAAUAUAUGUUUCUUGUAUAUUAUUGAUAUUUUCACUUUAACAAAGCGAGGGUCUCCUCACUAUAGAAGUACUUUAUAAAUAUUCUUUGUAUUUUUGUGAAAAUUAUUAUUUAAAAGUCAUAUCUUACCAAAGACUAAUAGUUUUUAUUUUAUCACUAUACCGUACUUUUGAAGAUAGAACACCUCAAUACCAUGACCUUAAUUUUUGAACUCUGCUGUACAAAGUUGUUGGCUGGUCUAUUUAGUUUAGUCUUUCAAUUAUUUGUCGUUUGAACUGAGAUGAUCCGAAUAAAGCUAUAUAUCAAUAAUUUCCUAGUGAAACUUCGGGAAAAAAAAUAAAAAUCCUCUCAUAUAGUGGCAUUAUUUUAAUUCUCAGCUUGAUUAUGUUUUGAGUUAACUUAUAGAUUAUUUGAAAUAAAAAGAAUAUAAUUUAUUUUUCUAACUAAAUAUUUUUAAAUAAUUUUGUUAAUUUAAUGAGUAAUUAUACACUUACAAAGUUAUGAUAUAAAAUUUAAUCUAAUUUAGCUAAGAUGUCCAAUUUAAUACUAAGAGCAAUGUUAAGGAUCCCAAUAAUUGAGUCUCAGCUGAUAUGAUAGUCAUUUAUUAGAUAAUCGAAAUAUUAAUUUUAUUAGUUAUGAAAUUUAUUAUCUAAUAAAAAAAUAACACAUAACAAUUGGGUCUCAAGUUAGAAUUCUACUAUCGAAAUUCCUAACAUUAUUCUCAAAUUAAAAAUUCAUCAAAAUAAUAUCUAUUAUCUAAAAAUAUAAAUAUAAAUAUAAAACCAUAGAUUUACUCUUCAAUCUUCGUGAUUUGGCCGAUUUCUCUUAAAGCUUUGGUUUCUUUAUAAGUGCAACGAGAAAUAGUAAGAAGAUUAAAAAAGCAAUAAAGUAAAACUUUAAAAUUUUUAUUUCUUUAUAUUUUUAUCGGUCAUUUGACCGGUACUGGCGUUUGAUUUUCUGACCGAGCUACUGUUUAGUUCUAAGUUUUGGCAAUUAGAACUGGUGGAUGUCGACUGUUCAAUAAUGAUGGCAGCAUUGACGCAGUGGAAUAAGGAUCACAUAUCUCAAACUUUAGGUGAUGAUAUUGUUAGAUAUUUCAUUGAUUGAGGAUCACAUGUUUUAUGACCACUAUUGUUAGAUAUUUUAUUGACUUACUAUGUAAGUCAAGCAAUUAUUUUUAAAUAAUGAUAUUAUAAUUAAAAAUCAAGAAAUAUUUAUAAUACUUAAAGACUAAUUCAGAUUAUUAUUAUUUUAUAUGACUUAAUUAUUAGCUGACAAAUAAUUAAAAGGUCAUAGAACAAUAUUUUUAGGUCAAAUUUGUAUUCUAAUAUGACACAACUUGUACUUUCAUUCCUAUGCUAAAAUAUAUCUAACCUACUAAUAGUCAAGAAAUAUAUCUAUUCAUCACAUACUUGUUAGAAAGAUUAUCUACUAAUUAAUCAUUGAGACGAGAUUACGAGUCUCAACAUAAAUUAGGAUAAAAAUUAAUACAUUGAAAUUCAGAACAUUUCUUUUUCCUCCUUCUGCAGUUUAAAAAGGAGUCGCCCACGAGUACUGAAAUAAUUUUAUCAGAUUCGCUUGAAAGUAGUUUUACGAGCAAGCAGUUUUUCCCUCUUGAUCCCCGUAUUCGUCAGCUCCUACUCUUUGCCUUCAAUUCUCAGUCAAGUAGUAUCAGUUUUUGUUGUCAGCUCUCUUGAAUUUCACUGGAUCAAGUUUUCUCUUGGCAUCUGUUUUGUUGUAAUCUCCAGUCUUUGUUAAUUAGUUUCUCUCCAUUCCCAAUCUUGUUGUGGCCUGCUGUUGUCUCUGUUUGGUUCCAUAUCUACCCUUUGUACUUCUACCGUGUCAAGAUACCUUCAUUUUUUCCAUCUCUAUUACCAGUCAAUAUUUUUUCCGUCUUUCUUCUGGUCAAUUCUUCAGUUAUUCUGAUUGGUUCCCUUCGCCUCUAUUAUCUAAAUCAUUCCUUAUAUUAAUUCAAUCAGUUCUCGAACUAGAAAUUUUUUCCUUGUUUCCAUCUUCUCACCAGAUCCAUAACAGCUUUUACUCUUUCUUUCAUUUCUCCGCUUCCAAAACCGGAUAAACUGUCCAUCUUCGUUGUUUCGUUUUUUUUUUUUUUCACUCCCUCUUUGUUUCGCUCGUUUUCUAUUUUCUUGUCAGAACUUUGAAAAAAAAAAAAAAAGGGAUCCAGGAUGGUGGAAAGCAUUGUUACUGUUGUUUUAGAAUUUUUGAAAUGCUUGGCUCCUCCAACAGAACGCCGAUUUGGUUAUUUGCGUAACUAUAAAGCCAACGUUGAGAAUCUCAAGGCAGAAAUAGACAAGCUCAAGGAUGAAAGGAGAAGCAUUCAGCACAGGAUUUCUGAGGCUGAAAGAAAAGGGGAAAAGAUUGAAGAGAAGGUUGAGAAGUGGCUGGUUCGUGCGAACAACACCAUUGAGCAGUCAGCCAAAUUCAUUGACGAUGAGGAGACAACAAAUAAACGAUGUCUCAUGGGCUUGUGUCCUAAUUUGAAGACCCGCUAUCAGCUUAGCAAGGAAGGAGAAACAAAGGUGAAGGCCAUUGUUGAACUCAAAGAAGAAGCUGGGAAAUUUGAUGAUAGAAUUUCCUACCGUACCAUUCCGGAGGAUAUAUGGCUCAAGUCUCACAAAGGCUACGAGGCCUUCGAAUCAAGACUUUCUACUUUGAAGGCCAUACAAAAUGCAUUGAUCGAUGUUGAUGUCAGCAUCAUUGGGGUCUACGGCAUGGGCGGCAUUGGAAAGACGACACUGGUGAAGGAGUUUGCAAGGCGAGCCAUUGAAGACAAGCUUUACGAUAUGGUGGCUUUUUCGGAGGUUACCCAAAGUCCAGACAUAAAAAAGAUCCAAGAGGAAAUUGCGGAAACGUUAGGCCUACAGUUGUCCGAGGAAGCUGAGUCUAGAAGAGCUGGUAGACUAUAUGAAAGAUUGAAGAAUGAGAAGAAGAUCCUUGUGAUUCUGGAUAACAUCUGGAACCCUCUUGAUUUGGGGACUAUUGGAAUUCCUUUUGGAGUUGAGCACAGAGGAUGCAAAUUAUUAUUCACAACAAGAGAUCUUGAUGUGCUGUUAAGGAUGGGAUCUGAAAAAAACUUCUCGAUUGGCAUUUUAAAUGAACAAGAAGCCUGGAGAUUGUUCAAGAUAAUGGCUGGUGAUUAUGUUGAAAAUCGUGAGUUAAAAUCUACAGCAACAAGUGUAGCCAAGGCAUGCGGAGGUUUGCCUAUUGCCCUAACCACAGUAGCAAAGGCACUGAGAAAAAAAGAGCUGCCUGUGUGGAAGAAUGCCUUGCAAGAACUCCAAACGCCUUCAGAGGCGAGCUUCGACGAAGGAGUACCAGCAGAGGCAUACUCAACAAUUGAGCUGAGUUACAAGUACUUAAGAGGUGAGCAACUCAAGAAAACUUUUUUACUGUGUAGUCUUAUUACGCCAGCACCAAUUAUGGACUUGUUCAAAUAUAGCAUGGGCUGGGGUGUAUUUAAAAGUGUCCACAAGCUAGAAGAUGCACAUAACAAAUUACAUGCAUGGGUCCAUCAACUAAGAGACUCUUGUUUGUUGCUUGAGGAUGGUGGCAGUAAAUACUUUUCUAUGCACGACGUUGUUCGCGAUGUUGCCAUUUCAAUUGCAUGUCGUGACAAAAUUGGAUUUGUGGUGACAAAUGAGGAUGAUUGGAAAUGGCCAAAUGCAGAUGAAUUAAAAAAAUAUCUUGCAAUUUCUUUAAAAGAUAGUAUUAUUAAUGACAUUCCUGAAGGGUCCGAAUCUCUACAACUUGAACUUCUAGUCAUGUCUCCCAAGAACUCUUUUGCUGUGCCUAAUAUUCCUGAGAACUUCUUCAAAAGGACGAAAAAGCUUCGGGUUUUGGAUUUUACUGGAAUGCGGUUAUUGUCAUUGCCAUCUUCAAUUGGUCUUCUAGUAAAUCUUCAGGCACUCUGUCUUAAUCAAAGCAUUUUGGGAGGCAUAGACAUAGCCAUUAUUGGAAAGUUGGAAAAUCUAGAAAUCCUCAGCUUUUUGCAAUCUGAUAUUGUAGAGUUGCCUAAAGCACUGGGUCAACUGACUAAGCUAAGGCUGUUAGAUUUAACAGACUGUUUCCGUCUGAAAGUUAUUGCCCCAAAUGUCAUAUCAAGCUUAAUCCGAUUAGAAGAAUUGUAUAUGGGUAAUUGCUCCAUUGAAUGGGAGGUUGAAAGAGCCAACAGCAAAAGAAGUAAUGCUAGCCUUGAUGAAUUGAUGCAUUUACCUCGGCUAACCACUCUAGAAAUUGAUGUUAAAAAUGAUAGUAUUUUACCAGGAGGCUUUUUGGCCAGAAAGCUCGAAAGGUUCCAAAUACAUAUUGGAAAUGGGUUAUUCACACAUCCCAUGCUUUUUAGACACAGAUGGUUUAAAAGUUGGCAGCACUUUGUGAUCGACAGAGAUCGCAAGAGUUUAAGAGCAUUGAAGCUCAAGCUUGAUUUUAUGGACAUUUGCUCCAUGAAAUUGCAGGGCAUCAAUAACGUUGAAUGCUUAUGGUUGGACAAGCUGCAAGGCAUCGAGAGUGUUCUUUUCAAUUUGGACACGGAGGGCUUUUCACAAUUGAAGCUUCUCUGGGUUCAAAAUAAUCCUGACAUCUUUUGUAUCGUCGAUUCCAGGGAGAUGGUCGCUUGUGAUGCCUUUCCUCUUUUGGAGUCACUUAUCCUUCACAACUUGAUCAACAUGGAGAGGAUAUGUAUUGAUCGGCUCAAAGUAGAGUCUUUCAACAAACUCAAAACCAUAGAAGCAUAUAGUUGUGAUAAAUUGAGUAAUAUCUUUUGGCUCUCUACUACAAAAUGCCUUCCAAGACUUGAGAGAAUUGCAGUUAUUAAUUGCAGCAAGAUGAAAGAGAUUUUUGCAAUUGGGGAAGAAGUUGAUAAUGCAAUUGAGAAGAUAGAGUUUGCUCAAUUAAGAUAUUUGAGUCUGGGGAAUCUUCCAGAGGUUACAAAUUUCUGCCGUGAAGUAAAGACUCCUUCAGCAUCACCAAACAGACCAGCGUCGCAGGAGGAAUCGACGACUACGUAUAGCUCCAGCGAAAUCACUUUGGAUACUUCAACUCUGCUUUUCAACGAGAAGGUGCGUAGGCUAACAUUUUCUUCAUAUAUAACAGAUUUUAUUCAUAUAAUUAAGAAAAUUGGUCAACUCAAAUGGACUUAAUCAUUUAAUUUUUCGUAAUUAAAUCAUUUAAAGAAUGGAAAGAAAAUGGAAAAAAAAGGAUAAAAAGAAUCUCACGCGCUCACUAAUUGAGCUCUUAACAAGUAGUAUGAAUUAGAAUGCAUACUCAGCUGUCAGUUGGAAAUUGAUUCAGACUUGCAUUAAUUUGUAAUCAAAGAAGAAAAUUUCAACAAGUGCUUCCCAUAUGGAUAUUGGAUCUAACGAGAAAUUCUUAUUUUUUUAGGUUGUGUUGCCUAACUUGGAGGCUUUGGAGAUAUAUGAAAUUAAUGUCGACAAGAUUUGGCACUACAAUAAUCUUCCGGUCAUGUUUCCUCGCUUUCAAAAUUUAACACGAUUGACUGUGCAUCGUUGUCAUAAAUUAAAAUACAUAUUUUCAGCGUCUAUGAUCGGAAGCCUUAAGCAGCUCCAACACCUAGAUAUACGACUCUGUAAGGAAUUACAGGAGAUCAUUUCUGAAAACAGAGCAGAUCAAGUGACCCCUCAUUUUGUCUUUCCACCGCUCACCACUCUGAGACUCGAUGGUCUACCAAAACUUAGAUGUUUGUACCCUGGAAUGCAUACUUCGGAAUGGCCCGCGCUAGAAAUUCUUUAUGUGUAUGGUUGUGACAAAUUAAAGAUAUUCGCUGCAGAUUUAUCGCAGAAUAAUGAGAAUGAUCAACUUGGUAUUCCUGCACAACUGCCCCCCUUGCCGUUGGAAAAGGUAUGAAGCCAUUUUCUAGAUUUUUUAUCAAUAGCUUAUUUUUAACUUUGAAAAAUAUGACAAAGUAUCGAUAAAUUAAUACUCAAUAAAUUAAAAACUUUUAUUAUACAAUAAUCUUUGUUAGUCUAGACUAAGGGAUCAAUGUGGUAGAUUAAUAAUUAUAUGAAUUGUUUUAGGUAUAGCAUUUGUAAAAGAAUCCUCAGUCUUUCCAUAUAGAAGAACUUACAAAAUAAAUUAGUAAUUUAUUAUUGUGCAAUAAAAUAAUUUCGAGCCUGUAUAAAUCAACAUUUUUUCCCUAAUUUCUUUUUUACCUCUAAAAUUAACAUAUAAAAAAUCAUUUAAUAAAUUUUAUCAAUAAUUCAAUCUUUUUUUUUUUUUUUGAGAAUGAUGAACUUGAUACUCCUGCACAACAGGCCCUAUUGCCGUUGGAAAAUGUAUGAAGCCAUUUUCUAGAUUUCUAUCAAUAGCUUAGUUUGAACUUUAAAAAAUAUGACAAAGCAUCAAUAAAUUAAUACUCAAUAAAUUGAAAACUUUUAUUAUACAAUAAUCUUUGCUAGUCUAGACUAAGGGAUUUAUUGAUAGAUUAAUAAUUAUAUGAACUUUUUUAGGUAUAGCAUUUAUAAAAGAAUCCUUAGAGCAUCACCAAAAGACUCUUUAAAUAAGAUUUUAUUACUUAUUUGAAGAGCCACAUCAGCAUUUAAAGUUCCAAAAGAUACUCCAAUUAAGAUUCUUCAAAUAAGAAAUGAUCAUCUCUCUUCAAAUUUGGAGAGUUGCAUUCCCCCUCUUCAAUUUAUAUUUUAUUACUUUUUGUUGGAGAAAGAGAGAGAGGUGUUUUAAUUACUAUUGACUUUUUAUUUUUUAAAAAUAGUUAUUUAAUUAAAAUAAUAUUAAUUCAUUUCUAUUUGAAGAGUCUUUUGGAGAAUAACAUAUUUUUUCACUUUUCUAUUUGCCACAUAGGUAAGCAAAUAGAAAUUUGAAAGAGUAAAAUUUAUAGAGCCUUUUGGAGAUACUUAGUCUUUCCAUAUAUAAGAACUUACAAAAUAAAUUAGUAAUUUAUUAUUGUGCAAUAAAAUAAUUUCCAGCCAGUAUAAAUCAAAAUUUUUUCCUUAAUUUCUUUUUUACCUCUAAAAUUAACAUAUAAAAAAUCUAAAAUAUAAUAUAAAACAAAUACUAUAAAGUCACUGCGUGUGAUUGGAUUACUUAAAAUCAUUUGAGAGAACAUCAAUUGACCUUAAUAAUUAUUAUGAUUGAUGAUGAUCAGAUCUUACCCAACUUGAAGGACCUAACAUUAAAUGGAAAAGACGUGAAGAUGAUUUUGCAGGCCGAUUUCCCCCAACCCCUUUUUGGCAGUCUUAAACAACUAAAUAUUGUUGGCGAUGACUCAGCUUGUUUUCCAAUCUGGAAUGUACUUGAGAGAUUUCACAGUCUCGAAAUACUCAUACUGUGUUAUUUUUCAUUCCACGAAGAGGUAUUUUCGAUGGAAGGAUGCUUAGAGAAACAUGUGGGGAAGUUGGCAAUGAUAAAAGAAUUACAGCUGCACCAGCACUAUCAUCUUGAGCAGCUGUGCAAACAAGACUCCAAACUUGGCCCCAUUUUUCAGUAUCUUGAAAUUCUAAAAGUAUAUGAUUGUCAAAGUCUGUUAAUUCUAUUGCCAUCAUCAUCGGUAUCUUUUCGGAACCUAACGGAAAUUGUAGCUUUCGGUUGCAAGGAAUUGAUACACUUGGUAACAUCCUCCACAGCAAAAACUCUAGUGCAACUCGUCACAGUGCGUAUGCGUGAAUGCAGAGCGAUGACAGAGGUGGUAAUAAAUGACAAAGAAGGAGUUGAAAAAGAAGAGAUUGUUUUCCGCAAAUUGAAGACGUUGGAACUGCGUGAUUUAGAUAGCCUCACAAGUUUCUGCUCUGCCAAUUACACCUUCAAAUUCCCAUCUUUGCAAGAUUUGUGGGUGAUUGGUUGUCCCAAGAUGAAGAUUUUCACUACAGGAGAAUCAAUCAUGCCUCUAAGAGUAAACGUCUGCUAUGGAGAGACAGCGGAUCAACGGCGCUGGGCUAAUAAUGAUCUAAACACAACCAUACAACAAUUACAUGCUGAGAAGGUACGUAUAUACAUAUUACUCUCUAUCUCCCAUGAUAAAUUUUUACAAAAUUUGCUUUCUUAAAUACAAUAUAGAUAAGAUAUUUUUUAUAAAGUAAAAGUUUAAAUUGAUGAAUAAGAAUUUUACUUUCAGCUGUUGGCGGUGUCGUCGUCAUACUCUACGCAGUACGACUAAUUUCAUAGGCUUCUUAUGACUUGGAGUUGCGAAUUUUUAGAAGAAAGUCUCAACUGGUAAUUAAUUUUUAUUUCAUUUAUUUAAUCCCAUGGCUUGUUUCGCAAUUUCAUCUGAAUUAUUUAGAAUGGAUCCCUCGGUUUACUGUUAAAUUUGCAAUGCAAUUUUAAUGAUCCUUUCAGACUUUUAUGGACAGAUUUUGCAUAAUUGAAUGUCUUUUUAGUCUAGUUUAAUUUGAGUCUUUUUUUUUUUUUUGGCGAGCUCCCCUCGUCUUCUAAAAUUUUGUAACUCCUUGCAUACGUUUUGAUGAUAAAAUUUCAUUAAAAGCCUUCGUAUUUUUUAAAUCCUUGAAAACGUGCAUACUUUUUCCUUUCUUUCUUUGCCAAUUAUUUAUCGUCAUCAUUGCUGUUCUUUUAUUUUACUUUGUGCUCUGUUUGUUCAUUGGGUUUGCUUUUCUUCACACCUAUAUUUCCUUGGAAAGUUAGAAGGCAAGGAAAGUACUUAGAAAAUGUUCUUCCCUAUGAACACAUAAUUAAAGAACAGCUGAAUAUCAUUAAUCGGAUUAAAAAAAUUAAAAAAAAAAAGUAAUCAGUGCAUAUUCAUAAUAUUUUCUCUGUUGUUCCUGUUAAAAUUUCUCUACUCUAUGAUUGCAGAAUGUUUGGAUACUGAUGAAGAUUUAAGUCACUCGUCCUCUGUGAAUAAGGUCGUUUUCCUUUUUUCCUCUAUUCAAAGUUUACAUUCUGAGGGGUUCCCGUUUCCAUCUUCGUGAUCUUCUUGUGAUUCACUGCAUUGUGUCGCUACAUCUGUGAUAGUGUGAGUUGCAACAUGUCUGUUUCCUUUGUUUGAUCAUCGCAAGUCCAAAGACAUUUCAUUCUAGCUAAGCUCUUUGUAUGUAUUAAAAAAAAUUUAUUCUCAAUAUAUAUGACUCAAUGAGUGGUCUUUUAUUAUAUAUAUGUCAUGAAUUUCUAUUGUAUUUUGAGAUUUGAUGGUGUAUUAUUGUCUCAUUGAAAGGUCUUGUAAUCACUCUGAUUCUCAUUUGAGGAGGUUGGUCUCGUCUAUGUGUAUGUAUUUAUAUCCACAAGAAAUUUGAUAAAUGGUCUUGUCGUUUUAUCAUUAAAACAUCUAGUGCUUCAUAGGUUGGAGGGCUACCAGGCAUCAGGGCCAGAUUUUUAAACUCAAAGUUAUUCGUGUCAUUUACCCAUUUGAUUAUCAAAUAGUCAUAAAAGCAUAUAAAUUCAAGUCAGUGUAUCAUUUGUACACAAUAUACUAAAACUAACACAAGAACUUGGCCGACAUUUUCAGUUGAAUAACUCAGACCCCCCUACUUCCUCGGGCUGACAGCCCAAAGUGAAAAUAUCUAAAAAAAAUAGUUUGCUCCACAUCUAUCUUUCCUAACUUAGGAAGGCAAGGAUUUUGAAAGCUUUGCUUGAUAAAAUCUGAAAGUUCUGAAGAAGAUUCAGGUCACUCGCGUGCAGCCUCUGGAAUAAGAGCUGUGUUACUGUUUAAAAGUUUUCAUGCUCUGGAAUAAAAUUUGCUUUACUGUGUUACUGGUCAACUUCAUUAUUCUACUAAUGCUUUACUUCAUCUUCAUUGUAUCACUACAUUGACAGCGUUGACAGUGUAACUAAAACCCUUGCGUUCACAAGCAAUUUUGAUCACAUUAAACUUUUAAGAAAUUAUCUUUUAUAGCCAUCUUCCAUAUUAUUAGGAGGAGUCGUUUUCACUAUUUUUAAGAAAUUUUGAUCACAUUAAACUUUUGAUCUGAGUUCAUAACAAAAAUCAAAACGGUGCAUGACAUCAAGAUUAUGAUGAAUCAAAUUGAACUCCCAAUAUGUUAGUUCAUAAAAAAUGCUUUUCUUCUUCCAAGUAAUCUUAUCAUUUCUUUCAUUUUAUUCAUUCUCCUCUUUUCUCCUCUUUUCAAGUCUUCAAUCUUAAGUACAUUACUGAACUGGUUUUUCACCUCGGCUCCAGACAACCGAGAAGGUGCUUGUCCCCACUCUCUAGUUUUAUCAGAUGGCACUAUAUUUUCGGAACCUAUGAUUUGUUGGUAAAAAUCGACGGUGACCCACGUGACAAUUUUCUACUAUGUAUCAACCAAUUAGAUCUAGUGUUUUGUUGGCAAACAAGAAAUGCUUAUUUACCUUUAAUACUCCACCCAAACAAGUUGGCAUAUGCUAGAAAGUCGGAGAUAGUCCAUAACAAUGCUGCGUGUGACUUGAACAUUUGAUUACGUGAUGCAUUAUGCACCAUUCCAACCAUACUAGCAUCACUACCCGAGUCAUGACUAACCUGUUUCUUAGUUAGAUUUCAAAGAUGAAGAUGGCUCACCCUCCAAUAUCCAGUUUUAAUACUUUAACCAAUAGCCAUUUAUAAUGAUAUGGUCUCUUGCCACUUUCCUUAUAAUGAAAUAUCGAUAUUACAACACCUCUUAGAAGGACAAUAAAUUCUUUUAUCACCAACAACAUUCUCAAAUGCAAAAUCUAUAAAUUUUUUGACCCCCAUCAGUAUAUGAAUUGGAUAUCUAUUUGGCAAACCAACCCAACUCUGGUCCAUGACUAUCUCCUUUUAUUGCACUAGAAAAAUUAGUUAAAUAAAUCACUUUAAUUCUUCAUUUCUACUACUAAACAAGAUAUUUUCAUGCGUGCGCAGUUUCGCAAUAUAAUAAAAAAAAUUAUUAUACAAUUUUAUGGUUUUAUAUAUAUGGAAGCAAGCAAAGCCACAAGAAUCAGAGAAAAAGAUGUGAAAAUUAAAGUAUAUAUACAAUAAUAAUUAAUCUAAAAAACAGUUUGCAAUACCUUCUGUAAAGAAAUAUCCUCACCCACAGCUGAGAACUUCACUUGGCUAUCAAUUACAGAUAUAUAAAGCCUGUUACCUAGAAACAAAAAAUUAGGUCAGCCAGCUGAAACAUAUUUAUAAACCAACAUUGGAGAUAGUACUCCAUUUAUAAAAAAAAUUACAAGACUCAAAACCAAGUCGACUCAGCAAAAUCAUAACCGAUUACAUUCAUCCCACUCAGCUCCUCCAAUAUAUCCAACAUUCCCUUCAUAUUUACAAAAGGUAAGUGGUCCUAUAUAUCCCACUCAAGAAUGCAUAAGUUUCUUCAAUCUUAAGUAUCUAAAGUUUUCCUCUACGUUUAUAGAAACUUCGGAAGCAUCUCCCUAUAGUUCUUCAAGUACACGACAUAGAUAUAUGAGUGUUUAUGUGUUAUGCCAAAACAAUACAUGACACCCAUUUGUCUAGUAUGCACCCAGAGAACAUGAGGAGCAGCUGCUGAAAAACCCAUUUUUACGUGGGAAAAAAAUUUCAGGCACUAGCUACCAUAGAAAUCUAUGCAUUACCAAACUGUCCAAGCCUAGAUAAUUCAAGAAUUAUUAAUAGACAUAAGAUCCUCACUAUCAUCCAAAAGAUGACACUAAUAAAACAUGUGUCUAUUAAUAAUUUCUUAAAGGAGUUUAAGCUUUCAAUGCAUGUAUCAAAAGUUUAAAAUUGAAUCUGAAACUUGAAUAACACAUAAAAAUCAUAAAUCUCUUCAAUUUAUUCCUAAUAAAAUGUAGCAUUUUUUCACAUUUCAUUUCUUAAGCAAAACCAUAAAAAAUUACAAACAACAAAUACAUUUUCUAGCACUGAUGCACAUUAUGUUUACUGAGCAAUAAGUUUUAAGUCAUUCAUAUUAAAAUACUUCUUCCUAUUCUAUCAACAAAUAACUAGUAUGUACACACAAUUAAUAAAUUAAAUGUAACCUGGUUGUGAAUCUUGCAAAGUCUUCCUAUUUGGUUUUUUUUUUUUUGGUGGUGGUUGGGGGGGGGGGGGGUGGUUAUGCUCAUUUGUAUGUUGUUAACAGAAAUUGAUCCAAAGCCUCCGUUUUAAUUAGCUUCAUUAUAGCCAAUGAUUAGGUGUUUAAAAACCAAUGAAUAUUUUUUAUAAGAAAUCAACAAUAUUGUUGAAAGAAAAACCAAAUAAAAAUAAUAAAGCAAUGCAUAGAUUAAGGCUCUUUAUUAUCUAAUAACUAAUCAAACUAAGUUGUGGGUAAAGGCGAAUAUGUUUGUUUGGCCAAUAAUAAACUCAAGGAAUCACCAAUAAUCACCUAGUUACUAUUCCUUAUGCCAUGCAAUGUAAUGGCGUCGGUAAUGGCGACAAGGCAGGCAAUAACUAGCUAGCUAGUUAUGAUAGUUGCUUAACUUAACCUACUGGAAAUCUGAAGACCAAAAUGAAGAAACUUUGUCUAGAACUAGAAUAGGAAAACAUUCAUACCCAAAACCAAUAUACAUGAUUAAGAAACUUGAUUAUAUGUAUAUUUUUGUUUGCCACACCAAAUCCCACUAUUUCCAUACUCAUAAGCACAAAAAACCAUCGCAAAAAUGAAUGACCAUAUAAAAUAAAAUAGGUCGUAGGACAUUGAGUAUAGGACAAUAUGAUUUAUGUACCGUAAAAUAACUAUAUCUGCAGUCAACUAUAUUUCUGUUCGAACUCUAAAGUUUUCCAUUAAAUUUUUUCCCCUGUUAGGUAAACCACUUAACUGAAACACUUAAGCAAGAUUGACAAUCAUAGACAUAAAAGUAUUAGGCUCGUUCAAGUGAAAUGAGCAUUAUUUGACAUAUCCUUUAGGCUUUUAAGUCAUUUAGAAGUCAUUCAUGUUAAACAAUUUCUUCAUAUACUUUCAAUAUAAUUAGUACAUACACAAUUAAUUAAUUAAAUAAAUCUGUUUCAGCUAGCACAGGAACUUAAGCAAUCAGAGCUAUUAGUUAUAGCUAGGACUUGAAUGAGGCACCUUUCAAAGUUCAAGAGGAGCAUCUGAACAGAAUGAAAGCAUUUUGUAGAAAUGGUAGUGAUGCUUUACAUCUACAUGCUCUUACACAAUAUGAACUUUCAUUUAUUCAAGAACAUAACACUAAUCCAAGCUCUUACUCUACAAGUCAAUUCAGUUUGUAGAUGCAAGCCAUUGUAAAAACUUUUGUGUUAUAAUUUCCGUAAAUGGAACAUGACAUUACUAAUAUAGAAUCAGCAAUGUUAUAUAACUUAUCAGACAAUAUAACAAGCACUUGGCGAGCAUAUAAGAUAAACUAAAACAAGUUAAUUAGAAAAUGAAACUAAAACCCAAGCUCCGCUAUUCAUUGUAGAAGCUUUAAACAUAAAAUAAAAGUAAAUCUAAAUACAUGAUUGUAAAACAUUAGAAUGAAUGUUGAAAUGAAAGCUAAAUUCAAUAGUAAUCCAAAUGAAUCCAUUUGAACUUUGUAAAUUCCGCAGAACAAAAUUAAUUUGAGUGAGCAAAGUCACCAAUGGAACAAGAACAGAAGGGCUUCAACUUCUAGGAACAAGAAAUAUUGCCGGCGGGACAAAAAUUGACAUUAAUGGUUACAAUACGAAUUAAAGAAAUCAAAACCUAUAAUUACAAGCUAAGAAAGAGAAGAAACUCAUAAUCACAAGCUUACCUGAAACGAUGAGAGAGAUAAUAAGAUGAAGAAGAAGAUCGCCGCCGUUUUACGCCAUUCUCCGGCUACCAGUAAGGUUUAGGAUGGCCAGGCACGCACGAGAGAGAAUUUGGGACUUUGGUUUUGAAAAUAUUGACUUCAGCAAAUAGUUUUCUAUUUAGAAACAAAUUUAUAACUCUACCGUCAAAAUAAUAGUAUGCCAAUUGGCUCUCUACCGUCACGUGGUUAGUAACAUAAGUGAGAGCAGUCUAGCAGAUAUUCCCGCGGGGACAUGACCCUCGAGAUUUUCCCAAUUCAGGAGGGUAUAUGAAUUGCUAGAGAUAUUUUGGCAAUUCUAAUUACAAAUGUUGCUUCUGAAUUAGUUUUUAGCACCAGUGUUAGAGUACUGUAACACGUUUUAUUCAAGCACAUUGGAGGCUUUAAUAUGUUGUCAAAGUUGACUACAAGCUUACAAUGGCAAUAUGAGUUUAUUUUACAUUGUAAUUAUAUUAUAUAAUUAUUAAUAUUUUCACUUAGAAUUUACAUUACUUAUAUUAUUUUUGUUGUUUUAAAUUUGAAAUCUGAGGCUAUCUCUCAAUUUGUCACAUUUCUCGAGGAAGAACAAGAAGAGUAGGAGACACAAGAGGUAAAUACUUUUAUUAGAAAUAUUGAUUAAGUAUCUAUAUUCAUUUCAUUUAUCUCAUUGUUGAUAUAAAAGUAAUUUCUUUUUUUUUUAUUAUAUGAUUUUGAAGAUUGCCGAAGAUAAUUAUUAUGGUGAUUUAUACUUUGUAAUGUGACUUUUGUAAUAGAUUAAUGUUAAUGUAAGAUAUAUCGUCAAACUUUAUUUUUAUUUUUUAUUUUAAUAUGAUUAAAUUAAAAUUUAAAACUAAAAACGUAUCAGUUAUUCGACAAUCGAGGACCUUUAAGGAUCCCCUAUUAUUAUUUGGGGAGGGGAGGGGGAUUCCCUAAAGUAAUUUUGUCGGGAAUGGGAAGAGGACAUGGAUAUAUGCAGAAUAUCGGGAAUGGGUACGGGGAGAUCAGUCUCUUCCCCUCCCCUUUCCAUUGCCAUUCCUAACAAAGUUGGCAAUACAUGUACGGGCCGCUUUUGUAAAAUUGCUUUAAGGGUCGUUUGGGAUUGCUUUUGGGAAUAGCAUGCAAGAUAUAUAUAAAAAAUAAAAUCGUAGAAUAACUUUUACCUCUAAUUCGAUUUUUUCUUCUUUUUUGUAAAUUAUUAUGCAUUUAUAUUAAAGUCACUGUGUAUGAUUGGAUUAUUAAAAGUUAUUUGAGAGAAUAUGAAUUGACUUAAUAAGUUAUUACGUGAUUGAUGAUGAUCAGAGCUUACCCAACUUAGGAGGAACGGGCAUUAAGUGGAAAAGACUCGAGGAUGACUUUGCAGAGCGAUUUCCCACAACACCUUUUUGGCAGUCUUAAACUACUACAAACAGUGAAUAUGAGAUUGUUUUCACCAAAUUGAAGAUUUUGUAUCUGUAUGAUUUGGGUAGUCUCACAAGUUUCUGCUGAUAGUCUCAGAAGUUUCUGCUCUGCCAAUUACACCUUCAAGGAAUCUUUGGAAGAUUUAUCUAUAAUUGGUUGUCCCAAGAUGAAGAUUUUCACUAAAGGAGAAUUAAACGCGCCUCUGAGAGUAAACUUCUACUAUGGAGAGAGAGAUGAUCAACAGCUUUGGGACCAAACUAAAUUCGUUAAUCAUUAGUUUUUAACUUCAUUACUGUAUGGAAGUCCUGUCAAAUUAAAUUGCUGCUGUUAAAUUUAUUAAAUCUCUUGCUUCCCUGCAAAUCUCUGUGUGCUUUAAUUUUAAUUGAAACUAAUGAAUGAAAAUUUUACUUUCAGCUGUUGGAGGGGUCCUCAUCUUAUUCAACGAUGUAUGUGUCCUAAUGGCAUUGGCAUUUUACUUUAAUUACAAGCGAGUUGUGAAUUUGAAAAACAAAGUCCCGGUUAAUUCAAUUUCAUUUCAUUUUAUUUGAUUUCUUGGCUUGUUUUAUUGCUUCAUCUAAAUUGUUUGGAAUACACCACUAGUUUAUUUUUACUUUUAGAAUGAGUUUUAAUGUUUUGUUAUGAGAUUUAUAUGCUUAUUUUAUAUCAUUAAAGGUCUUAGUGACUUAUCUAUUUAUUUAUUUUUAUAUCAUUAAAGGUCUUCACUUAUUUAUUUAUUUAUUUUUUUGACGGUGUGGCUUUAUAAUGUGCUAUUUUUUUUUUAAUUUUGAAUUUUAUAAUUCCUUGAAAAUGUCAUUGAAAGGCCCAGCACUUUUAUGUGGAAACCAUCUCAUCCUCUUUAUUUCGAACUAUUAAACAACCAAAUGUAUCCUAACAUAUAUGUUGAGAAUCAAUCUACUGAUUAAGAUAUAUGGCAAUGGUAUUGUCUGUUUGCUAUAGUUUGAUUACAAGAGAACUUUUCCAUUUGUUAGUUGCCAUCUUUGUUGAUCUGUUAAUUCAGUCUUCUUCUGUUUGUCCUGUUUCUCUGUUUAUUUCAACCUUUCUUUCAAAACUUAGAAGGUAUGGAAAGAGCAAGUACUUAGAAAUUGCAAGAAUUAUAUCAAAUCAUGCAUAUAUGCCCCUGCCUAUGAACUCUUAGGAACAAUCGAAUAUCUUUCCUUGAAUAACAUAAAACAAAAUCUACAGAUCAUUAAACCAUCAAAAGUUAGCUAUGAACAACAAUAUUGACCCCACAAAAGAGUUUUCUAUUUAGAAACAAAUUUAUAACUUUAAAAUAAUGGCAUGCCAAUUGGCUCUCUACCGUCACGUGGUUAGUAACAUAAGUGAGAGCAGUCUAGCCGUCACAUAAACAGUCACAAAAGCAACUGGCUGUUGCAAAGUAAGGGGUGGCAGAAAUUCCUGCAGUGAUAGGGAUUCUCGGAAAUUUUCUCCAUUUGGAUAGGAUAAAGAGAUAAUUUUUUAUUUAAUUUCUUAUGCAGAGAAGGGAUGAAAAUAAUUUUUUUAUCUAAUUUUUUAUUCGAAAAAAGGAUGAGGAUACAGCGGAAUCCUCAUCCCCUCCUAAUUUCUUGAUUUUAAUUUUAUUUUUAUUUUUAUUUUUUAAAUUAUUUAUAAAUAAAUAAUAAAAUGUAAAUUAUAAAAUAUUAAAUAUUAGUAUAAAUAAAAAAUAUCAAAAUAAUUAUAUUAUUAAACUUUAAGGCCUAACUUACUGCAUUAAUAUUUGGAUGAGAAAGUUAUCCUACGGAUGAAAGAUUUUAAUAUUUUAAGUUGGUGAAAAACAAAUGCUCAUAGGUAUCCUAUAUUGGCACGAAUUGCUGGAGAUAUUUUAACAAUUCUAAUUACAAUUGUUGCUCCUGAAUAAGCUUUUAACACAGUGGUAGAGUAUUGUAACACGCUUCAUUCAAGCACAUUGGAGGCUUUAAUGUGUUGUCAAAAUUAGUUACAAGCUUAAAAUGGCAGUAUGAAUUUAUUUUACAUUGUAAUUAUAUUAUAUAAUAAUUAAUAUUUUCACUUAUAAGUUACAUUACUUAUAUUAUUUUUAUUGUUUUAAAUUUAAAAUCUGAGGCUAUCUUUCAAUUUGCCACAUUCAUCGAGGAAGAACAAGAGGAGCAAGAGACGCAAGAGGUAAAUACUUUUAUUAGAAAUAUUGAUUAAGUAUCUAUAUUCAUUUCAUUUAUCUCAUUGUUGAUAUAAAAGUAAUUUCUUUUUUUUUAUUGUAGGAUUUUGAAAAUUGACGAAGAUAAUUAUUGUGGUGAUUUGUACUUUGUAGUGAGAUUUUUGUAAUGGAUUAAUAUUAAUGUGAGAUAUAUCGUCAAACUUUAUUUUAUUUAAAAUUUUAUUUUAAUACGAUUAAAUUAAAAUUAAAAACUAAAAACAUAUCAUUUAUUCAGGGAUCGAGGACCCACAGAGAUCCCCUAUUAUUAUUCAGGGAGAGGAGGGGAUUCUCUAAAGCAAUUUUGUCGAAGAUGGGAAGAGAGUAAGGAUAUAUGCAAAAUAUCGAGGAUAGGUACGGUGAGAUUGGUCUCCUCCCCAUUAUUAUCCCUAACAAAGUUGGUGAUACAAGUAACGGCCGCUUUUUGUAAAAUUGUUUUAAGGGCCGUUUAUGAUUGCUUUUGGUAAUAGCAUGCAAGAUAUAUAUAAAAAAUAAAAUGGUAGAAUAACUUUUACCUCUAAUUCGAUUUUUUCCCCUUUUUUUUUGUAAAAUAUUAUGCAUUUAUAUUAAAGUUACUGUAUAUGAUUGGAUUAUUAAAAGUUAUUUGAGAGAAUAUGAAUUGACUUAAUAAGUUAUUGCGUGAUUGAUAAUGAUCAGAGCUUACCCAACUUGGAGGAACGGGCAUUAAGUGGAAAAGACUCGAGGAUGACUUUGCAAAGCGAUUUCCCACGACACCUUUUUGGCAGUCUUAAACUGCCACAAACAAUGGAUGAUGCCUCAACUUGUUUUCCACAUGGUUUACUUGAGAGAUUUCAUAAUCUGGAAACUCUCAUACCGGGUCGUUGUUCAUGCGAAGAGGUAUUUUCAAACGGAGGAUACUUGAGAAAACAUGUGAGGAAGUUUGCAAUGAUAAAACAUUUAGAUCUGCACAAAUUUAAUCAUCUGAAGCAAUUGUGGAAACAAGACUCCAAAUUGCACUUCUUUUUUCAAUGUCUUGAAAUUCUAAAUGUACAUUUUUGUCAAAAUCUGUUAGGUCUAUGGCCAUCAUAUCAUCGGUAUCUUUUGGGAAUGUAAAAGAACUUCUAGUUCUUUUUGCAAGGAAUUGAUGAGCUUAGCAACAUCCCCCACAGCAAAAAGUCUAGAGCGACUCUUAUCAAUGGUGGUAUGUGGAUGCAGAGAAAUGAGAGAGGUGGUGAUAAAUGACGAAGAUGGAGCAGCAAAUUUAAAAGAAGAGUUGUUUUCACCAAAUUGAAGAUUUUGUAUCUGUAUGAUUUGGAUAGUCUCAGAAGUUUCUGCUGAUAGUCUCAGAAGUUUCUGCUCUGCCAAUAACACCUUCAAAUUCCCAUCUUUGGAAGAUUUAUUUUUACUUUUGGAAUGAGUUUUAAUGUUUUGUUCUGAGAUUUAUAUGCUUAUUUUAUAUCAUUAAAGGUCUUAGUGACUUAUCUAUUUAUUUAUUUUUAUAUCAUUAAAGGUCUUAAUUUAUCUAUUUGUUUAUUUUUUUUGACGGUGUGGCUUUAUAAUUUGCUAAUUUUUUUUAAUUUUGAAUUUUAUAAUUCUUUGAAAAUGUCAUUGAAAGGCCCAGCACUUUUAUGUGAAACCAUCUCAUCCUCUUUAUUUCGAACUAUUAAACAACCAAAUGUAUCCUAACAUAUAUGUUGAGAAUCAAUCUGCUGAUUAAGAUAUAUGGCAAUGGUAUUGUCUGUUUGCUAUAGUUUGAUUACAAGAGAACUUUUCCAUUUGUUAGUUGCCAUCUUUGUUGAUCUGUUAAUUCAGUCUUCUUCUGUUUGUCCUGUUUCUCUGUUUAUUUCAACCUUUCUUUCAAAACUUAGAAGGUAUGGAAAGAGCAAGUACUUAGAAAUUGCAAGAAUUAUAUCAAAUCAUGCAUAUAUGCCCCUGCCUAUGAACUCUUAGGAACAAUCGAAUAUCUUUCCUUGAAUAACAUAAAACAAAAUGUACAAAUCAUUAAACCACCAAAAGUUAGCUAUGAACAACUAUAUAAAAAUCAUUUGUUUCUCACCUUUUCGUGAGUCUGAGAAGUUGUAAAUUCUACUGAGUUUCUCACCUUUUUUUUGACAAUUGGAGUUUUUAGUUUAUGAAAUUUAAUGCCUAUAUUUCUCACAUUGUAGAAGUGUUUUGAAAAGAUGGUUUAUAUUGCACCAUAAAAAUGUGGUCUGAUAAACCAACAGGGGAGUAGUUUGAUCCAGUUACGUGAAAUGCAUGCAAAAUAAUAUUUUCUCUAUAGUUACUGAAGAGAAUUUUGGUCACUCUGGUGUGCAUUAUCUGGAAUAAAGUCGUUUUCCAGUUUCUUCAAAGUUUAUGUGCGGAGGACUUCCGGUUUCCAUCUUUAUGAUAUUCUUGACAUGCACUUCAUCCUGUCUCUCAAGUUCAAAUACUAAUAAAGAUGAGUAAAUUCAUCAUCCGUGUGUCUGCUCUUUCUAUGCAUUUUGACAUUUUUUAUUAAUGCGUCUCAAUGAGAUAUCUUGAUUAUAUGUAGCGAAUUAAUAUUCUGGCGUUUUUUGAGAUUUGAAGACGUAAUAAUUUCUCAUUGGAAAGCCUUUAAUUAUUGAUUUUCAUCAAAGGGGAUUGGUCUUGAAUGCAAAUGAAAUUUGAUAAAGGACCUUGACAUUUUUUAAAAUCAUCUAGCCUAGUAGUACUUUAUGUGUUGGAAGUGUCCCAGACCGAGAAAGAUUUCAACUUGGAGGAAUUGACAUAAAGCAAAAUGGUCUUCAUCAUCAUUUGUAUGGCAGCAGGGCCAGCUUCGUAAACUGUCAUUUUCCACGAACCAGCUGUUUUUCAAGUUGGAUUGCUCCGGAAUACUCACAAUCUGGAAAAGCUUGUAACCGUACAUAGAAAUAUUUUCACGUGCGGAGGUUGGGGAACGUGCUGAGAGGCUCACACAUAAAAACCUUAAAAGCUAAAAAUGGACUUUGGUGCAUUAAAAUUUUUAAAAUAUAUCAGAAGUAUCAUAUCAAUCAUACGAUAAGUAGAUAAUGUUAUAACAUGUGUUUAUUUAUUCUGAAAAAUUACUAAUCUGUAAUGUAUUUUAGAAUUCCUCCUGGUGGAUAGUGGAGCACUUAUGGAAAACAGAUUCCAUUUAUUUCUUCAAAAUCUUGAAAUUCUAAAGGUAUAAAAAUGUCGCCACAAUUUGAUAAAUCUUGUACCAUCCUCAGCAUCUCUCCGAAAUCUAACAGCAUUUACGCGGCUGUGCGGGACGAAUAAGCUAAUUAGUAUUUACUAACCCCAAACAAUUGAGAAGGAUACUAAAAUUUGGACCCUAUCACUUCAUUCGGUGUAAAUAACUAACUAAAAGUAGAUAAAUAAAUAGCUGAAAAUAUCACAAACUAUUUUAAAUUGAUUAUUAAAGUAAUGGAAUAUAUUAAAAUGAUAUAUAUAUAUGCGAGCGCGCGCACGUAUGUAUAUAUAAAAUAAAUAAUAUAUAUAGUCCUUUUUUGGUACAGACGCGUUCAUUUUUUCAUGCUAACAUGCUUUUAAGCCGUACAAUUUAAGAGAGCUAGUUGAAAGUUAGUUUUUAAUGUUAUUAAACCCUACGGCUUAAAAGGGUGUUUGCAUUAAAAAAAAAAAGAGAACACUAGCACCUAAUAAUGAUUAUAUAUAUAUAUAUCAAUUCAAGAUUUUAAAGUGCAAGAAAGUCCAAAAAAACUUUAAACAGUGGGGUUUUAAAAAUUUUCCGGACCUUUCUUGCACUUUAAGAUCCCGGAGGCUCUUGAUUAAAUCUUCAUCAUACUUGGAGAAAAUUAAAAAUGUAUGGAAGGAUAUUUUCAAGCUUGGUAAGGUCAAAUAAUUGUGGAGUUAAAAAAUUGAAUGAUGGGCAAGUUCAAACUACAAUACAAUUUAGAAACUUUUAGCGAAAAAUAAUAAGUGGAAAAACUUUAAAUUUCAUACAAAUAUGAAAUAUGUAUUAUGGGCUUGGCUAAGUUACGGUUUGUGUUAAUUUAAGGUUCAUGUAACUAACAACUUUAAUGAUAAAAUUGAAUAUAACAGUAGUUUUUUUCACAGAAAAAAUUAAAAAAAUAUAUGUAUUUUGGGCGAAACUUUUUGCGAAAAAUAAUGAGUGCCACGCUUUAUAACUUAAUAUGUAUUUUGGGCUUGGCGAAGUUACGGUUCAUGUAAUAAUCAAUUUAAUCAUUACCGGAUAAAAUUGAAUACACCAGUAGUGUUUUUCCGCGGAGAUAUCGCCAAAUUUUGUGUCAAAUAAAGAAUAAAAACCAUAAAUACCAGUAGUGUCCGAUUUUGAAAGCAAAGCAGCAUACAUAUUAACUACUAGGCUUUGAUGGUGGUUGCAGUAAAAAGGAUUAAAAGAGAGAGAGAGAGAGAACUUGAAAACUAUGGAAUGGAAGAUAAAUCAAAGUUAUAAAUUUGGACUCAAUAGUUUUGAUGUUCAAUCAAAUAUGGAGGGGCGAUUAGAAAUUAUCAAAAAUUUAGAGGGAUUUCAACCGUUCAAUUCAUUAUUAGGCGUUGUAGACUGCGGGGAUGCAGAAAUUUCCACAGGGACGAUGGCCCCGAGGGAUCUUCCUCAUUCGGGAGUUUGAUAAUUUUAGAUCUAAUUUUUCUAUGUGGAGACAAGAAUCUGAUAAAUUAAUAUGUGUGGGUGUAUAAUUUAGUGUUUGCCCUAAUAUUUUAUUUGGCUCCACAUUUUUCUAUUUCCAUCUUUAGUUUCUAUUUUUAAUUCUUUUUUUUUUCAAAUUUAUAGUAAAUACAUUUAAAAUUUCAAUUGUAAUAGUGUGAUGUAAAUAAAAAAUAUCAUAAUACAUUUAUAAAAAUAAUAUAAAUAACAGCCAAUAUAAAGUAAAUAUAAACACUUUAAAAUUGACAAAGAUAAUUUAAUUGAUGGUUUAUACUAUAUGACAUUUAUGGAUGAGUUCAACUUUGAAGAUUUACUUUUGCUUAAUUAGUUCAAAGAUUAUCUUCUCAUUUGAUGACAUUGACUUAAUUUGAUGGAAAUGAUUUUAAUCACUUUAGUUAAUUUGAUAUUUUUUGUGUUAAUAUGAUUUUAUAUUUUUACUUUAAGAUGAUUAAAUUAAGAAAAAAAAGAAAUUAAAUAAUCAGAGAUCGGAUGCCAUAAGAGAUCCCUUUGUAUUAUUUAGAAACAUCCAUCCCCUCGUUUCAAGUAAUUUUGAAGGAAAUGUCUAGAGUACAAAGAGAUAGACAGAGUAUUAAAGAUGAGUAUGGGGAAAUCAAUCCCCUCUCCUUCGCAUCUUAUUGACAUCCUUACAUAUGAGCCCAAGGGGAAAUGCACCGUGCCUGAUAAAAGUAAAAUUAAAAAUAAAAAAUUUCUUUUAUCAAAUCAUUCUAUGUGGUGGAGAUUAUUGUAUAAUCAAGUACACAUGGCAUUUUUAAAAGCUUUUUCUUUAUUUAAAGCUCUAAAGGUCUGCCUAAGAGUCAAGGUUGGUGCCGUUCUUCUAGAAGAACAACCCGUAUCUUUUGAUAUUCAAAGUUUGAAUAUCAAGUUCAAACUUUAAAUUUUGAAAUAAUAAUAAUAAUAAAUAUAAAAAGUGCCCAAAUUUUUAGCUAUAAAUAGAGGGGUUCACCCCCUCAUUUCAUUCAUUCUAUUCUUUUCUUCUUUAGUUCUAUAAUGAGAGAUUAAGAGUUUUAUACUCUUGAGUGACUAGUGUUUGGAGAGAUUGGGUGUAUUAAGGUUUUGAGAAGUGAAACAAAAUACUAAAAUACUUAUAAUCCUCAUUUCACUAGUAAAGUUUUAUCCUUUUGUCCUUACCUAUGGGCAUAAGUUAAAAGUCGAACCAAAUAAUUUAUGGUGUCCUCAGUGUGCUUGCUCUUCAUUUUCUUCCAAUUUCAUUUUACUCGCGGCCCUACUUCACAAAUUAAUUUUCUAAUAGUGGUAUCAGAGUCGGGUUGUAUUUUUUGGGGUCAAGAUACUGUUUACAUAUAUUGUACUGUUCAUGUAUAUGAUAUUGUUUCUGUAUACAACACUUUAUUCAUAUAUACAGUUACUGCUCAUAUGAAAUGGUAGGAAUCGAUCUUAGCAAAGGUAGCUCGUGGUGAACAAUGAUGGCGGAAAAAUACAAAAUUGAGAAGUUCAACAAAAAUAAUUUUUCGUCAUGAAAAAUGAAGAUGAAAGUUGUAUUGAGGAAGAGUAAUUGCUUGGCAACAAUUGAAGAGAGGCUCACAAAGAUAACUGAUGAUGACAAGUGGAAUGAGAUAGACAAUAAUGCCAUUGCAAAUCUGCACAUACCACUUUCAAAUAAGGUAUUAUUCAAUGUGGUAGAGUAAAAGAGAGCAAAGGAAAUAUGGUUUACUCUCACAAGACUAUACGAGGUCAAAUCACUACAAAAUAAAAUCUUUUUAAAGAGGAGGCUUUAUACUCUUCGAAUGACGGAAUCUACAUCAGUGAUCGACCAUAUCAACACUUUAAAGACUUUAUUUUCAUAACUUACAACGUUGGGUCAUAAAAUAGAGGAAAAUGAUCAUGUAGAGCUUUUACUUCAAGGUUUACCAGAUUCGUAUGAUUAAUUCGUCAUUAAUCUAACUAAUAACAAUCGAGCAAACAAGUUAGUCUUUGACAAUAUGGCAGCCUCCGUAUUAAAUGAGGAGAGUAGCAAAAAAUAAAAAAGAUAGACAGACAAGUUCGCAGCAAGUAGAAGCGCUAUUGAUGAUGAAAGGAAGAUCCAUGGAACGUGGCCCUAGUGAGAGCCACAAUCACAGUAGAUCGAAAUCAAGAAGUAAGAAGAAUGUUAAAUGCAACAACUGUGGCAAGAAAGAGCAUGUCAAGGAAGAGUAUUGGAACAACUAGAAGAGAAGAGAGGGUAAAGAUCCUGAGUCAUCAAAUGCUCAAGGGUAUGUAGUAAGUACCUCGUAUAAUGGAAAAAUUCUCUACAGUAAGGCAACAACUGCUUCAAAAGGCAGAAAACCACUAUAUGACGUCUGGCUUAUAGACUUAAUAGUUGUUUGGCACAUGAUCUCUCCAAGAGAAUGAUUUCACAAAUAUGAACCUAUUUCAAGAGAAUCUGUAUACAUAGGUGAUAAUCAUGCCUUUGAGAUCAUUGAUAUUGGUACUGUCAAAAUAAAUAUGUUUAAUGGUAUGGUUCGCACAAUUGAGAAGGUAAGACAUGUCAAAGACUUGAAAAAUAUCUCUUGUCUUUAGGACAAAUAGAUAGCCUUGUGCACAAAACUCAUGUAGAAAAUGGGAUCAUAAAGAUAGUCAAAGGCACACUUGCAUUAAUGAAGGUGGAAAAGAUCGGUGCUAAUCUAUUCAUGCUUAAAUGGAAACACUACAGAAAGCUUUUGUGUGUGUCACAUCAAAUAGAGAAAAUUCAGCGAUGAUGUGGCAUCUUAAACUUGGCCACAUGUCGAAACAAGGAAGCAACAUAGAUGAAAGUUUAGCAGAUCCACUUUCAAAAGUAAAUGUAUUUUAGACUUGAUUCAUUCUAAUGUUUGGGAAUCAAUUGAUAUAUCUAUGGGAGGUGCAAAGUAUUUGGUGACUUUUAUUGAUGAUUAUUCUAGGAGAUAUUUAGUGUAUCCAAUCAAGAAAAGGUCAAAUGUAUUUCCAUUGUUCAAAGAAUUCAAAGAAUAGAUUGAACUUAAAUCAGGGCAAGGGAUCAAGUGCCUGAGGACAGACAAUGGUGGAGAGUAUACAGAUAGCAUGUUUCUUGCAUAUGUAAGUAAGAAAGUAUCUAGAGAUAAUUUACAGUGGCAUACACUCCUCAAUAAAAUAGAGUAGUAGAGUGAAAGAACAUGACUCUUAUAGAAAAAAUAAGAGUUAUGUUGAGAACUGCUGGUCUACCAACUCAUUCUAGGCGGAAGUAGCAAAAACUACUUAUUAUGUGGUAAGUGGGUCAUCAUUCAAGGCAAUCGGGUUGAAGAUUCCAAUGGAAAAAUGGACAGGAAAGCCAACUGAUUACUCUCAUCUCAGGCAUUUUGAUGUCCUUUUACGUGAUAUACGAUACCCAAGUGAGAUUAAAAAUGGAUCCAAAAUCCAAGAGAUGUAUCUUCUUAGAAUCUAUUGAUGGAGUGAAAGGGUAUUAUCUGUGGGACCUCAAUGCCCACAAGAUCGUUAUUAGCAGAGAUAUUGUCUUUGUAGAAGAUCAAAUGCAAAAGAGAGAUAUGGAUGAUAGCACUAUUAAAAUUUAGAGAUUGUGCUAAUAUAUGUUGAAAAUAAUCUGGAAAAUGAAGAUUCAGAUUUUUUUGAAGCAGCACCAAAGUAUGAGAACAAGAACCAAUCAAGUCUGAGGCCCCAAAAGUUUGUUGGUCAACUCGUGAUAGAUAAAUGUAUGUGUGGCAUUUGGAUUAUGUCACAGAUAUCAAUUUUGCAUACUGUCUUUUAAUAGAGAAUGGAAAGCCAUCAACUUUCUAUGAAAUUUUAAACAGCUCAGAUGUUACUUUGUGAAUGAUAGCAAUGCAGGAAGAAAUUAAGGCUCUACACAAGAUUAUGACAUAGGAACUCGUACUACUACCAUAUAAAAAAAAACCAUUGGUUGCAAAUGGGUUCACAAGAUCAAACGUGAUGGUAAUAACCUAGUGGAGCGAUAUCGUGAAAGAUUGGUGGUGAAAGAAUGUAUUAACGUCAAUGAGAUAUUUUCUCCAGUGAUUUGACCCAGGACAGUCAGAGUGGUCUUGUCGAUGUGUGCUACAUUUGACCUAUAUUUGGAGCAGUUAGAUGUGAAAUUUUCAUUUCUUCAUGGAGAACUUGAAGGAAAGAUUUAUAUGCUCUAACUAGAAGGUUUUACUAAAAAGGGACACUUGGUUUGCAAGUUGAACAAAUCUCUAUACGAUCUCAAACAUGCACCGAGAUGUUGAUAUAAGAGAAUUGGUCAUUUCAUCAUAAACCUUGGAUACAAUAGAAUCAUUUCAUACUGUUGUACAUAUUACAACAAGUUUUAUAAUAAUGAUUUCAUCAUUCUACUGUGGUAUGUGGAUGACAUAUUGGUAGCAAGCCCCAACAAAGAUCGAGUCCAAGAACUGAAGGCACAGUUAACUAGGGAGUUUGAAAUAAAAGACUUAGAACCAGCAAACAAGAUUUUAGGGAUGCAAAUUCACCGAGAUAGUAAUAGCAAGAAGAUUUGGCUUUCUACCCCGCUUCUUAUUAAUUUCAAGUUAUUCUUAAGUAUUCAUCUAGUAAUGAAGUAGAGAAGAAGAGAUGUCUUGAGUACUGUAUGCAUCAGCAGUGGAAAAUUUAAGGUUUGCUAUGAUUUGUACAAGUAGUGGGAGCAGUUAGUCGAUACAUAGCGAAUCCUUGCAAAGAACAUUGGAAGACUAUUAAGAGGAUUCUGAGAAAUAUCAGAGGAACAUCAGAUGUUGCAUUAUGCUGCGAAGGAUUAGAAUUUACUGUCAAGGGCUUUGUGCAUUCAGAUUUUGCAGAAAAUCUUAAUAAAAGGAAACCCACUACUGGCUAAGUAUUUACACCAGAAGGCGAAAUUGUUAGUUGGAUUUCAAAAUUGCAGACCAUUGUGGCUUUAUCAACAACAGAAGCAGAUUACAUAGCAGCUACACAAGCUUGGAAGGGCUAUUUGGAUACAAAGGUUACUGAAAGAGCUUGGGCAUAAAAAUUUUUAUGGUUUGUGAUAGUUAGAAUGCAAGGAAUCCAACCUUUUAUUUCAGGACAAAGAAUAUAGGAGUACAAUAUCACUUCUUCGUGAAGUAGUGAAAGAUACAAGAGUGGAUACCAAGGAGAACUUAACAAAUGUUUUGCCCAAGCCUAUCAAUGCUGAUAAAUUUGUUUGGAGUAGAUCAUUUUAUGGCCUAGUAGAGACAUAAGCAACAUGAUAGCGACGAAGCAGAAAGGAUGGUGUGGAGAUUGAUUGAUUCUCAAUCAAAUUUCUAAGUGGGAGAAUGUCAAAGUCAAUGUCACUUUUCUAGAAGAGUGACCAAUACCUUUUGAUAUUCAAAGUUUGAAUGUCAAGUUCAAACUUUUAAUUUAAAAAAAAUAUAUAAAAAUAUAAAUAGUGCCCAAAUUUUUAACUAUAAAUGAGGGGUUCACCCCUGCAUUUCAUUCUUUUCUUCUUCAAUUCUAGAGUGAGAGACUAAGAGUUUUAAUGCUCUUGAGUGAUUAGUGUUUUAAGAGAUUGAGUGGAUUGGGGUUCUAGGAAGUGAAACAAAAUAUUAUAAUACUAGUAAUCCUCAUUUCACCAGUAAAGUUUUAUCCUUUUGUCUUUACCCGUAGACGUAGGCUAAAAGUCGAACCAUGUAAUUUUUGGUGUCCUCUAUGUGCUUGUUCUUCAUUUUCUUCCAAUUUCAUUUUAGCUGUGAACCUACUUCACCAGUCAAUUUCCUAACACUGAUAGGGGCGGAUCUGCAUUGGGAGUUAAAUAUAUGAAAUUUUAUUAAUUUAUGACUUUUUCUAAAAUUUAUUUUUUUUGUGACUUAUAUAUGAUUUUUAAGCAUUUACAUUUGAAUAGAAAAAGUAACUUUUGUGACUUUUAUUGAAUAGGAAAAAGUCUAAAUAAGAAUUAAAUAUAUAUUCUAAAAAUAUUUUUAUAAAAUAUAUUUAUUUCUUAAACUAUAAAAUCUAACUACUUUUUUUUGUUUUUAUUUGUAAAAAUAUAAAUAUCAAAUAACCAUAUUUAAGAUAAAUAAGAUGUCACUUAUAUUUGGGUAUUAAGAAAAAGAAAAAUAAAUAUAUCAUUCAUAUAUUUGUACUCAGCUCAUUCAUGCUUACGAAAAAUUUAUACCUAUUCAGAUUAUAAAAACAAACAAACAAAUAAACAAACGCCUUAGCCUAGCGUGGGCAAUUGACUUUACUGAAAAAUAGUUUUCAUUUAAUUUUAUUUUAAUUUAUGGAAAAUUUUUCUUUUAAUGUGGCAAUUUCGUAGACGACUUUCUUAGUGGGAUUAAUUUUAUAACGCAAGUUUAUUUUUCUCACAUUUGAAAUCUGUAAUUGUUUUUAUUUUUAUUCAAAAGAUUAUCUUAUAAAUCAAUCUCCAGGCUCCGCCCUUAUUUCUAAGUAUGAGACGUUCGCAUCAUUAAAAAUGGGGAAGCAGCAACAACCUACUGGCCAAUAGUAUAGGAUAGGAGUUAUUAAUGCAUAUCAGCUAUUUGGUGAAAUGCUCACAAGAAAUGGAAAUUUGACAUGUAUGCAUUUCUCGAACUUUACCAACAAAACUUUUAUAAAAGCAUAUUUGUGAAUGAUUUUCCUGAAAUUUAAUGUUUAUCAUCUCCAAUCUUUUUACUCCUCCAGUCUUGAGUAAUUAUGGUGUUGCCACCCAUGCAUGCUUAUAGAUGCUUUGGUUCCUGAGAUAAUUAGUUCAUCAAAUUAGCAGCCUUAGCCUUAUAUUUGCAUUUUAUUUUUGUCAACGUUAACUGGUUAAAUUGAAUCAGUAGUGAAACUGAAAUGAAAGUAACUGAAUGACCCGAAUUUAAAAAUAAUAAUAAUUUUGUCAACUAAAUGAUCCUUCUGUUUGCUUUAGUAUUAUUUUUUUCCCCCUUAUCAAUUCAAGUUUGAAAGACAAGCAAUGUAUAUACCUAAACUGAAGUUUAUGGUUUCUCCGUGCUCCUUGUAUUACAAGUAUCAAAGCUGUGACUUCACAUGAACCUUAGCAGAAGCUUCUGUGAUAUUAUUUAUGUAGCUUUUAACUUUAACAAAAGCAUAUGGAUUUUUAUUUUUUGACUUGAUUUGCCAAGAUGACGAUGAGUGGAAUUCAAUUCAUUUUCUAUUUUUGUAUUUUUUUUUUUUCAUUCUUUAAAACCAAUAAUUGUGUUUUGUUGUUGCAAUUUAAUACAUCAAUAACAUUUAUUGAAAAAUUGGCUAAAUUAAAAUGUGUUAACAUAAUGUACAAAGUAAAAUGCAACUUAUAAUUCAUAAAAUUUUAGAUGCUGAUCAGUCUAAAUAGAAAGGAUGUGUUUCACCUACUCUGUUUUGUACUAAUAAUCAACUACGCUUACCAAAUAAUAAUCUUUCUGCAACUGUCUGGGGGUGACUUUAUUCCCAUCCCUUGAUCUUUAUUUAUUUAUUCUUUGCUUCACUUCUGAACUUAGCCAAGGAACUUGAACUUUGGCUUUUCAAAUGGACUAGUUUUAGCUUUUAAUCUCGGCCAUGAUCUUCAUUGUGAAGAUGACGAACUAUUAUUCUUUUAUUCUUCACUUGUUGAAGUUACGAAAUAUAUAACUUUCUCAAAAUUUUAGCAAAUCGUUAUCCGUCAGCUUCAGAACCUCAUUAAAAAGUCAUCCUUUGCACUCGUUCUCAAUCAAGAAACACAUAUGCUCCCUUUUGCUGUCAACUCACUUGAAUUUCACUGGAUGAAGAAACCCUUUUCUCUUGGCAUCUGUUCUGUUGUAAUCUCCAGUCUUUGUUAAUUUGUUUCUCUCCAUUCCCAAUCUAGUUGUGGCAUGUUGUUGUCUCUGUUUGGUUCCAUAUCUACCCUUUGUACUUCCGCCGUGUGAAGAUAUAUCUUUUUCUCCAUCUCUUUUACCAGUCAAUAGCGCGUGUUUGGUAACGGAAAAAGGAGGAAAAAAAGGAGAGUGGGGGCAUUACUUUUAUCUCAUCCUUAACUUCCGAAAGUGGGAGAGAACAAGGGGGGAAAGAGGGGAGUGGGGAGUUAGCUAGGGGGGCUUUUUGGGCUCUCUUCCUCUCAUGGAAAAUUCUUUCUUUGACACUCUGCUUUACUUUCUGUAAAUUACUCGAAAAGCCUUGGGUUUUAAGGCAAUGUUUAUUAAGCCACAUGAGUGGUGGCACAAGUUUUUCCGAAAGGCCUAGAAACUAACUUGAGUGUCGGAGGGUUCACGCCGGAAAAACUUCCGGCGCCUCUAACCUUCUUCUAUGAUUUCAGGUAUUCCUAGGUUAAUCGCUAGUGGUUGCAGGACAUCUUGACGAUUGACCAAUCGAUUCUCUACCAAAUAAAUCUAAUACUGGUGUAGAAAUCUGACAUUAAGUCGCUGAUAGACUAGAUCAGAUUUGGGCAUCAACAGCGCGGUUGUUGUCUCUAAUAUUGUUUGCAUCUUUCUUCUGGUCAAUACAUAAGUUAUUUUGACUGAUUCACUUUUCCUCUAUUAUCUAAAUCAUUCCUUAUAUCAAUUCAAUCACUUUUGAACUAGAAACCUUUUCCUUGUUUCCAUCUUCUCACCAGAUUCACAACAGUUUUUAAGCUUUCUUUGAUUUCUCCGCUUCCACAACCAGAUACACUUGUCAUCUUUGUUGUUUCAUUUUCUUUUUUUCGUUUUUCUUUUUUUUUUUUUUUGCCUCUCUUUCUCUUUGUGUUUCGCUCGUCGUUUAUUUUCAUUUCGGAACUUUGAAAAAAAGAGGAUCGAAGAUGGUGGAAAGCAUUGUUACUGUUCUGUUAGAAGUUGUGAAAUGCUUCGCUCCUCCAACAGAACGCCAACUUUGUUAUUUGCGUAACUAUAAAGCCAACUUUGAGAAUCUCAAGGCAGAAAUAGACAAGCUCAAGGAUGAAAGUAAGAGCAUUCAGCACAGAGUUUCUGAGGCUGAAAGAAAAGGAGAAAAGAUUGAAGAGAAGGUUGAGAACUGGCUGGUUAGUGCGAACAACACCAUUGAGCAGGCAGCCAAAUUCAUUGAAGAUGGGGAGACAACAAGUAAGCGAUGUUUCAAGGGCUUGUGUCCUAAUUUCAAGACCCGCUAUCAGCUUAGCAAGAAAGCAGAAACAGAGGUGAAGGCCCUUGUUGAACUCAAAGAAGAAGCUAGGAGAUUUGAUGAUAGAAUUUUCUACCGUACCAUUGCGGAGGAGGUAUGGCUAAAGUCUAACAAAGGUUACGAGGCCUUUAAAUCAAGACUUUCUACUCUGAAGUCUAGACAAGAUGCAUUGACUGAUGUCAAUGUCAGCAUCGUUGGGGUAUACGGCAUGGGCGGCAUUGGAAAGACAACACUGGUGAAGGAGUUUGCAACGCAAGCCAGUGAAGAGAAACUCUUUGAUCAGGUGGUUUUUUCAGAGGUUUCCCAAACUCCAGACAUAAAAAAGAUUCAAGGGGAAAUUGCAGAGAAACUAGGUCUGGAGUUGUCCGAGGAGGCUGAAUCUAGAAGAGCUAGUAGACUUUAUGAACGAUUGAAGAAAGAGAAGAUGAUCCUUGUGAUUCUGGAUAACAUCUGGAAAUAUCUUGAUUUAGAGACUGUUGGAAUUCCUUUUGACGAUGAUCAUAGAGGAUGCAAAUUAUUAUUAACAGCAAGGGAUCGUAAUGUCUUGUUAAGUAUGGGAUCUGAAAAUAACUUCUUGAUUGGCAUUCUAAAUGAGCAUGAAGCUUGGAGGUUGUUCAAGAUAAUGGCUGGUAAUUUUGUUGAAAAUCGUGAGUUAAAAUCUACAGCAACAAAUGUAGCCAAGGCAUGUGGAGGUUUGCCUAUUGCUCUAACCACAGUAGCAAAGGCACUGAGAAACAAAGAGCUGCCUGUGUGGAAGAACGCCUUGCAAGAACUCCAAACGCCUUCAGAGGCAAGCUUCGAUGAAGGAGUACCAGUAGAGGCAUACUCAACAAUUGAGCUAAGUUACAAGUAUUUAAGAGGUGAGCAACUAAAGAAAACUUUUUUACUGUGUAGUCUAAUUACACCAACUUCAAUUAUGGACUUGUUCAAAUAUAGCAUAGGCUUGGGUGCAUUUGAAAGUGUCCAUAAGAUAGAAGAUGCACAUAACAAAUUACAUGCAUGGGUCCAUCAACUAAGAGACUCUUGUUUGUUGCUUGAGGAUGGUGGCAGUAAAUUCUUUUCCAUGCAUGAUGUUGUUCGCGAUGUUGCCAUUUCAAUAGCACGUCGUGACAAAAUUGCAUUUGCGGUGAGAAAUGAGGAUGUGUGGAACUGGCCAGAUGCAGAUGCACUAAAAAAAUAUUUUGCAAUUUGUUUAAAAGAUAGUAUUAUUAAUGACAUUCCUGAAGUGUUGGAAUCUACACAACUUGAAUUUUUAUUCAUGUCACCCAAGAACUCUUUUGUUGGGCCCAAUGUUCCUGAGAACUUCUUCAAAAGGACGAAAAAGCUUCGGGUUUUGGAUUUGACUAGAAUGCGGUUAUUGUCAUUGCCAUCUUCAAUUGAUCUUCUAGUAAAUCUUCGGACACUUUGUCUUAAUCAAAGCAUUUGGGAGACAUGGACACAGCCAUUAUUGGAAAGUUGGAAAAUCUAGAAAUCCUUGGCUUUGUGCGGUCUGAUAUUGUACAGUUACCUAAAGCACUAGGGCAACUGACUAAGCUAAGGCUGUUAGAUUUAAGAGACUGUUUCCAUCUAAAAGUUAUUGCCCCAAAUGUCUUAUCGAGCUUAAUCCGAUUAGAAGAAUUGUAUAUGGGUAAUUGCUCCGUUGAAUGGGAGGUUGAAAGAGCCAACAGUGAAAGAAGUAAUGCUAGCCUUGAUGAAUUGAUGCUUUUACCUUGGCCAACCAAUCUAGAAAUUGAUGUUAAAAAUGACAGUAUUUUACCGGAAGGCUUUUUGGCCAGAAAGCUCGAAAGGUUCAAAAUAUCCAUUGGAAAUGAGUCAUUCAUGCCUCCCAAGAGUAUUACAAGAGAAUGGUUUCAAAGCCGGCCGCACUUUUUGAUCAACAGUAAUCGUGAGAGUUUAAGAGAAUUGAAGCUCAAGCUUGAUUUUAUGGACAUUUUCUCCAUGAAAUUGCAGGGCAUCAAUAACGUUGAAUACCUAUGGUUGGACAAGCUGCAAGGUGUCAAGAAUGUUCUUUUUGAUUUGGACACAGAAGGUUUUUCACAAUUGAAGCAUCUCCAUGUUCAAAAUAAUCCUAACUUCCUGUGUAUCGUGGACUCAAUGGAGAUGGUAGCUUGUGAAGCCUUUCCUCUUUUGGAGUCACUUAUCCUUCACAAUUUGAUCAACAUGGAGAGGAUAUGUAUUGAUCAGCUCAAAGUAGAGUCUUUCAACGAACUCAAAAUCAUACAAGCAUAUAAUUGUGAUAAAUUGAGUAAUAUCUUUUGGCUCUCUACUACAAAAUGCCUUCCAAGACUUGAGAGAAUUGCAGUUGUUGAUUGCAGCAAGAUGAAAGAGAUUUUUGCAAUUGGGGAAGAAGUUGAUAAUGCAAUUGAGAAGAUAGAGUUUGCUCAAUUAAGAUCUUUGAGUCUGGGGAAUCUUCCAGAGGUUACAAAUUUCUGCCGUGAAGUAAAGACUCCUUCAGCAUCACCAAACAGACCAUCGUCACACACAAGCUCGCCCGCGAAUGGCAUGAGGAAGCGGACAUCACGCGAGCCUACCUCGACAAUGCCGCGAGGAAAAUGAAGAAAUGGGCAGAUACAAGGAGACGGCAUGUUGAAUACAAGGAAGGAGAUCAAGUCAUGAUCAAGCUCCUACCCCAACAAUUCAAGACGUUGCGGAAAGUCCACAAGGGGUUAGUGAGGCGCUACGAGGGACCCUUCCGAGUUGUUCGACGUGUGGGCAACGUCUCAUAUCAACUCCAACUUCCGCCAAGACUCAAGAUCCAUCCGGUCUUCCAUGUGAGCCUUCUCAAGCCAUAUCACGAAGACAUGGGAGAACCAAGUCGCGGAGAAUCGAGGCGCGUGCCAACUGCCGUUGUCACCGCAUUCGACAAAGAUGUGGACUACAUCAUUGCGGACCGCACGGUUUCGAGGAGGGGCGUGCCAGCACAUAGCAAGUACUUGGUGAAGUGGAAAAACCUCCCCGAGAGCGAAGCCACUUGGGAACGUGAAGAUGACUUAUGGCAAUUCGCUGAGCACAUCCAGAAUUUCAAGCACGAGAGCGCGACGAGGACGCCGCGAGCUUAGGUGGGGGAGGAUGUUGCGGACCGCCCAAUUCGCUAGCCCAAUUGCCCACAAUUUCGGGCUAGAGAGCCAACACAAGGCCAAGAGUGCUAGCUUGGCCCAAUUCCGGAAAGUUCUAGGCAAUUCUAGCACAUGUGAGCUUGCAAAUACUCUAGAAUUCUCCUUACAAUUCCAGCACAUGUAAAUAGCUAGGAAAUGGUAGAAUUCUCUAGAAUCUCUAGAGCUUGGCAAGCCUCCCCUAUAAAUAUGGGAUGGCAUUAGGCAUUUGUAUCCAACAAACACAACAACAAGCAUUGUAAUCUCUCUUUGUGCAAUACAAUUUCUCUUAUUCGGCUCAAUUGCUCUCUUCUCUAGUUCGAGAAGCUCUAGGCUUACUUAGCAACAUUCGGCAAAGUUGUCUAAGUGCCGCACGGGUUAGCUGCGCAAAAUACUCAUCCCGUGACAAGUGGUAUCGGAGCUAAGGUUUGCACGCACGCAAGUUAGCUCACGAAGCACAAUGAAGGCAGUAAACUCACCCGCCAAGCCAAUUGCGGGAAUUGCACAAGGCGUGCACUUAACACUCGGUACGUGGAGCGGAAAGCUUGAUUUCUCCAUCAUCCCCAUGGAUGACUUCAAGAUAGUCCUCGGCAUGGAAUUUUUCGACCAAGUCCAUGCCUUCCCACUGCCCGCUACAAACUCCCUAAGCAUCCUCGACGGGAGCAAAGCAUGCAUGGUACCCACGGAGCGAGGCAAGUCCGAGGAGAAGACACUCUCCGCCAUGCAAUUCAAAAGGGCUUUCAAGAAGGACCCAAGCUUCUUGGUCUCCAUCCGGGAACUAAACAAGGAAGGAAAGAGCAGAACGUCGCCAAGCCAAGUCCCUUCGCGAAUUCAAGCCGUUCUCAAUGAAUACAAGGACGUGAUGCCUCUGGAACUUCCGAAGAAGCUCCCACCUCGGCGAGAGGUAGAUCAUGCGAUCGAGCUGGAACAAGGCGCGAAGCCACCAGCCUUGGCGCCCUACCGCAUGGCGCCACCCGAAUUAGAGGAGUUGCGGAGACAACUCAAAGACUUGCUGGACGCAGGCUACAUUCACCCCUCAAAGGCCCUAUUCGGUGCACCGGUCCUCUUCCAAAAGAAAAAGGAUGGAUCGCUGCGGAUGUGCAUCGACUAUAGAUCGCUCAACAAGAUCACCAUCAAGAACAAGUAUCUGAUUCCCUUGAUCGCGGACUUGUUCGACCAACUUGGCAAAGUGCGGUACUUCACCAAACUUGACUUGCGCUCCGGGUACUAUCAAGUGCGCAUCGCCAAGGGAGACGAACCGAAGACAGCGUGCACUACAAGGUAUGGGUCUUUCGAAUUCCUUGUGAUGCCUUUUGGCCUUACUAAUGCACCUGUUACAUUUUGCACGCUCAUGAACAAGAUACUCCAACCAUUCCUCGACCGCUUCGUGGUCGUGUACUUGGACGACAUAGUGGUGUAUAGCACCACACUCGAGGAUCAUGCCCAACACUUACGACAAGUCCUCCAAGUACUCCGAGACAACGAGCUCUUCCUCAAGUUGGAGAAGUGCUCGUUUGCCCAACAAGAAGUGGAGUUCCUUAGCCACAAGGUUGCGGGCGGAAAGAUCAUGAUGGAGAAUGCCAAAGUAAAGGCCAUCCUCGAAUGGGAACCUCCCUCGAAAGUACCCGAGCUUCGCUCAUUCCUUGGGUUGGUGAACUGCUACCGCCGCUUCAUCGAGGGCUACUCAGCCAAGGCAGCACCCUUGACGGAUAUGCUCAAGAAAAACAGAACGUGGCAUUGGUCCGAAGAGUGCCAACGCGCAUUCGAGCAGUUGAAGAAGGCAAUUUCGGAGGAACCCGUCCACGCUCUUCUGGACCACACUAAACCCUUCGAAGUUCAAACGGAUGCCUCGGAUUUCGCCAUAGGUGGAGUCCUUAUGCAAGAAGGCCAUCCCAUAGCGUUCGAGAGUCGAAAGCUAAACGAUACGAAACGCCGCUACACGGUGCAAGAGAAGGAGAUGACCGCAAUCAUACAUUGCUUGCGGGUGUGGCGACAUUACUUGCUAGGCUCUCACUUCAUGACUAUGACGGACAACGUAGCGACGAGCUACUUUCAAACACAAAAAAAGUUGAGCCCGAAGCAAGCACGGUGGCAAGAUUUCCUUACGGAAUUCGACUAUUGGCUCGAGUACAAACCGAGGAAAGCCAAUGUCGUUGCAGACGCUCUAAGCCGUAAGGCCGAAUUGGCAACAAUUAGCAUGAGCCAACCAAAGUCCGACCUUGUCUCACGCAUCAAGGAAGGCCUCCAACAAGAUCCGCUAGCAAAGGAUUUGCUGGAGAAGGUGCUCGAAGGCAAGACAAGGCGAUUUUGGCAAGAGGAAGGCAUCCUCCACACCAAGGGAGAUCGGCUGUUCGUGCCAAGGUGGGGAAACUUACGGAAGGAGGUAAUCAAGGAGUGCCACGACUCUAAGUGGGCUGGUCACCCAGGAAUCGAGCGCACCACCGCACUAGUUCAAGCCUCGUAUUUUUGGCCGUACAUGAGGGACGACAUCGAAGCAGAUGUGCGAACUUGUCUUGUGUGCCAACAAGACAAGGUGGAUCAUCAACUUCCAGCGGGAUUAUUGGAGCCGCUACCACUAGCAACAAGGCCAUGGGAAAAUGUCUCCAUGGACUUCAUUACUUCGCUGCCCAAAUCCGAAGGUUGCGGAAGCAUCAUGGUCGUUGUCGACCGAUACAGCAAGUACGCCACAUUCAUUGCCGCACCAAUCGAUUGUAAAGCGGAUGAGGCAGCCUGCCUAUUCAUCAAGCACAUUGUGAAGCUUUGGGGAGUUCCAAGGAGCAUUGUGAGACCCUCGGUUCACUGGGCGUUUUUGGACGGAGCUCUUCAAGAUGUUGGGGACCGAUCUCAAGUUCUCGACAAGCUUCCACCCACAAACGGAUGGGCAGACCGAGUGCAUCAAUGGCCUCCUCGAAAUGUACUUGAGGCAUUAUGUGAGCGCUCAUCAGUGGGAUUGGGCGAAGCUACUCGACAUCGUCCAAUUUUCUUAUAACUUGCAGCGAAGUGAGGCUACGGGCAAGAGUCCGUUCGAGAUCAUCGUGGGAUUCCAGCCCAUGACCCCCAACGCCAUAGCCUCGACUUACGGCGGGAAAAGCCCCGCGGCACACAAGUUCGCCCGCGAAUGGCAUGAGGAAGCGGACAUCACGCGAGCCUACCUCGACAAAGCCGCGAGGAAAAUGAAGAAAUGGGCGGAUACAAGGAGACGGCAUGUUGAGUACAAUGAAUGAGAUCAAGUCAUGAUCAAGCUCCUACCCCAACAAUUCAAGACAUUGCGGAAAGUCCACAAGGGGUUAGUGAGGCGCUAUGAGGGACCCUUCCGAGUUGUUCGACGUGUGGGCAACGUCUCAUAUCAACUCCAACUUCCGCCAAGACUCAAGAUCCAUCCGGUCUUCCAUGUGAGCCUUCUCAAGCCAUAUCACGAAGACAUGGGAGAACCAAGUCGCGGAGAAUCGAGGCGCGUGCCAACUGCUUGUCACCGCAUUCGACAAAGAUGUGGACUACAUCAUUGCGGACCGCACGGUUUCGAGGAGGGGCGUGCCAGCACAUAGCAAGUACUUGGUGAAGUGGAAAAACCUCCCCGAGAGCGAAGCCACUUGGGAACGUGAAGAUGACUUAUGGCAAUUCGCUGAGCACAUCUAGAAUUUCAAGCACGAGAGCGCGACGAGGACGCCGCGAGCUUAGGUGGGGGAGGAUGUUGCGGACCGCCCAAUUCGCUAGCCCAAUUGCCAACAAUUUCGGGCUAGAGAGCCAACACAAGGCCAAGAGUGCUAGCUUGGCCCAAUUCCGGAAAGUUCUUGGCAAUUCUAGCACAUGUGAGCUUGCAAAUACUCUAGAAUUCUCCUUACAAUUCCAGCACAUGUAAAUAGCUAGGAAAUGGUAGAAUUCUCUAGAAUCUCUAGAGCCUCUAGCUUGGCAAGCCUCCCCUAUAAAUAUGGGAUGGCAUUAGGCAUUUGUAUCCAACAAACACAACAACAAGCAUUGUAAUCUCUCUUUGUGCAAUACAAUGUCUCUUAUUCGGCUCAAUUGCUCUCUUCUCUAGUUCGAGAAGCUCUAGGCUUACUUAGCAACAUUCGGCAAAGUUGUCUAAGUACCGCACGGGUUAGCUGCGCAAAAUACUCAUCCCGUGAUAGUAGGCUAACAUUUUCUUCAUAUAUAUAUAUAUAUAUAUAACAGAUUUUAUUCUAUCAUGCGUUCUCUUUUGACGUCAUACGUGGAAAAUAAUUAAAUCAUUUAAGAAUUGAAAGAAAAUGGAAAAAAGGAUAAAAAGAAUCUCACACGCUCACUAAUUGAGCUCUUAACAAGUAGUAUGAAUUAGAAUGCAUCAAACUCAGCUGUCAGUUGGAAAUUGAUUCUGACUUGCAUUAAUUUGUAAUCAAAGAAGAAAAUUUCAACAAUUUGUAAUCAAAGAAGAAAAUUUCAACAAGUGCUUCCUAUAUGGAUAUUGGAUCUAACGAGAAAUUCUUAUUUUUUUAGGUUGCGUUGCCUAACUUGGUGGCUUUGGAGAUAUCUGCAAUUAAUGUCGACAAGAUUUGGCAUUACAAUCAAAUUCUGGCGGCCGUGUUUCCUCACUUUCAAAGUUUAACACGAUUAGUUGUGUGGUACUGUGACAAACUGAAAUACAUAUUUUCAGCGUCUAUGAUCGGAAACCUCAAGCAGCUCCAGCACUUAGAUAUACGCUUCUGUGAGGAUUUACAGGAGAUCGUUUCUGAAAACAGAGCAGAUGAAGUGAUCCCUUAUUUUGUCUUUCCACAGCUCACCGUUCUGAUACUCCAAGGUCUACCAAAACUUAGAUGUUUAUACCCAGGAAUGCAUACUUCGGAAUGGCCAGCACUAGAAAAUUUUGCAGUGUGUCGUUGUGACAAAUUAAAAAUAUUUGCUGAAGAUUUAUCGCAGAAUAAAGAGAAUAAUCAACUUGAUAUUCCUGCACAACAGCCCUUAUUGCCGUUCGAAAAGGUAUGAAGUCAUUUUCUAGAUAUUUUUUUUUCAAUAGCUCAUUGACGACUUUUGACUUUGAAAAAUGUAACAAAACAUUGAUAAAUUAAUACUUAAUAAAUUAAAAAUUUUUAUUACAUAAUAAUCUUUGCUAGUCUUGACUAAGGGAUCAAUGUGGGAGAUUAAUAAUUAUAUGAACUUUUUUAGGUAUAGCAUUAUAAAAGAAUCCUUAGUUUUUCUUUAUACAACGACUUACAAAAUAAAUUAAUAAUUUAUUGUUGUGAAAUAAAAUAUUUUCAUGCAAAUAUAAAUCAACCAUUUUUCCCUAAUUUCUUUUUUACCUCUAAAAUUAACAUAUAAAAAAUCAUAUAAUGAAUUUUAUCACUAAUUCAAUUUUUUUUGGGGGUAAAAUUAAUAUAAAACAGAUACUAUAAAGUCACUGCUUGUGAUUGGAUUACUCAAAAUCAUUUGAGAGAACAUCAAUUGACCUCAUUAGUUAUUAUGAUUUAUGAUGAUCAGAUCUUACCCAACUUGAAGGACCUAUCAUUGAAUGGAAAAGAGGUGAAGAUGAUUUUGCAGGCCGAUUUCCCACAACACCUUUUUGGCAGUCUUAAACAACUAGAGAUUGCCGAAGAUAACUCAGCUUGUUUUCCAAUCUGGAAUGUACUUGAGAGAUUUCACAAUCUUGAAAUACUCUCACUGUUUCAAUUUUCAUUCCACGAAGAGGUAUUUUCGGAGGAAGGAAGCUUAGAGAAACAUGCGGGGAAGUUGGCAAUGAUAAAAACAUUAGAGCUGCGCUGGCACUAUCAUCUGAAGCAGCUGUGCAAACAAGACUCCAAACUUGGCCCCACUUUUCAGUAUCUUGAAAUUCUAAAAGCAUAUCGUUGUCAAAGUCUGUUAAUUCUAUUGCCAUCAUCAUCGGUAUCUUUUCAGAACCUAACAGCUCUGGUGGCUUUCGGUUGCAAGAAAUUGUUACACAUGGUAACAUCCUCCACAGCAAAAACUCUGGUGCGACUCGUAGCAAUAGAAAUAUAUGGAUGCAGAGCAAUGACAGAGGUGGUAAUAAAUGACAAAGAUGGAGUUGAAAAAGAAGAGAUUGUUUUCCGCAAAUUGAAGACGUUGGAACUGCGUGAUUUAGAUAGCCUCACAAGUUUCUGCUCUGCCAAUUACACCUUCCAAUUCCCAUCUUUGCAAGAGUUGUGGGUGAUUGGUUGUCCCAAGAUGAAGAUUUUCACUACAGGAGAAGCAAUCACGCCUCCAAGAGUAAAUGUCUGGUAUGGAGAGACAGCGGAUCAACGGCGCUGGGCUAAUAAUUAUCUAAACACAACCAUACAACAUUACAUGCUGAGAAGGUACGUAUAUACAUAUUACUCUUAUCUCCCAUGAUAAAUUUUUACAAAAUUUGCUUUCUUAAAUACAAUAUUGAUAAGAUAUUUGAUGAAUAAGAAUUUUACUUUCAGCUGUUGGCGGUGUCGUCGUCAUACUCUACGCAGUACGACUAAUUUCAUAGGCUUCUUAUGACUUGGAGUUGCAAAUUUUUAGAAGAAAGUCUCAACUGGUAAUUAAUUUUUAUUUCAUUUAUUUAAUCCCAUGGCUUGUUUCGCAAUUUCAUCUGAAUUAUUUAGAAUGGGUCCCUCGGUUUACUGUUAAAUUUGCAAUGCAAUUUUAAUGAUCCUUUCAGACUUUUAUGGACAGAUUUUGCAUAGUUGAAUGUCUUUUUAGUCUACUUUAAUUUGAGUUUUUCAUUUUUUUUUUAGAGAUCCCUUGUUUUCUAAAAUUUUAUAAUUCCUUGCAUACUUUUUAUGAUAAAAUUUCAUUAAAAGCCUUCAUAUUUUAUAAUUCCUUGAAAACGUGCAUACUUUUUCCUUUUUUUCUUUGCCAAUUAUUUAUUGUUAUCAUUGCUGUUCUUUUAUUUUAGUUUGUGCUCUGUUUGUUCAUUGGGUUUGCUUUUCGGAAAGUUAGAAGGCAAGGAAAGUACUUAGAAAAUGUUCUUCCCUAUGAACACAUAAUUAACAGCUGAAUAUCAUUCAUUGGAUUAAAAAAAAAUUAAAAUAAAAAGAAAGUAAUCAGCCCAUUAUUCCUAGAACAAAUCCUUAAACCAUCAAACGUUAGCUAUGAACAAGUAUAUUGGUCUAUAGCAUAUUCAUAAUAUUUUCUCUGCUGUUCCUGUUAAAAUUUCUCUACUCUAUGAUUGCAAAAUGUCUGGAUACUGAUGAAGAUUUAAGUCACUCUUCUUCUGUGAAUAAGGUCGUUUUUCUUUUUUCAUCUAUUCAAAGUUUCCAUUCUGAUGGGUUCCCAUUUCCAUCUUCGUGAUCUUCUUGUGAUAGUGUGAGUUACAACCUGUCUGUUUCCUUUGUUUGAUCAUCGCAAGUUCAAAGACAUUUUAUUCUAGCUAAGCUCUGUGUAUGUAUUAUAACAUUUUUAUUCUCAAUAUAUAUGACUCAAUGAGAGGUCUUUUAUUAUAUAUAUGUCGUGAAUUUCUAUUGUAUUUUGACAUUUGAUGGUGUAUCAUUGUCUCAUUGCAAGGUCUUUUAAUCACUCUGAUUCUCAUUUGAGGAGGUUGGUCUCGUCUAUGUGUAUGUAUUUAUAUCCACAAGAAAUUUGAUAAAUGGUCUUGUCAUUUUCUCAUCAAAACAUCUGGUGCUUCAUGGAGGGCUACCAGGCAUCAGGGCCAGAUUUUUAAACUCAAAGUUCUUCGUGUCAUUUUUUAACAAUAAUAAGGAAAGCCCAAGAGAAAAUCUAGAAGUCCUAAUAGGACCGCUUCUGCAUAUAUUGUUCAUUUUCUUAAUUACCUUCAUUAUUAUUUUCAUUUUCAAUCGAUCAAACUUCAGUUUCUUAGCAUUAAUCUAAUUAUGUACUUCAUCUUGAAAUCCUUAAUUUACUCAUCAAAAUGUGAACGCUAGUGUAUCAGUUUUACACUAUAAGAAAUAGUUGUAUUACCGACCAGACAUUUCCACAAUAUAAUAUUCAAAAUAAGUACUUUUUACAAAGGUAUUGUCAUUGACGAGCCGUUGGAUAAAUAUGAAAAGUAUAAAGAAAAAUCAAACGCCAAGAAAAAUCGUUUGUCGGAAAUGGAAUGUCGAGCCCAAAAUUACUCUAAACUUGGUAAAGUUAGAUUUUGGCCCAAUUUGUUUGAAAGUUUUAUACAUAAAGCACUUUUUUUUUUUAAUGUAAUUUGUGCAAUCUGAAGUGAGGUAUUGUAAAAUUAACAUAAAUAAAUGUAAUAUGCCAAUACUGUUUAAAACAAAAAAGAUAUCAUGAAAUUGAAAAAAAAAAAAAAUAAUAAUAAUAACAACAUUAAAAGAAAAAGGAAAUUACGGAGAAGAAGAAUCGCUUCUUGAUCUCAACUCUCAAUUUCAAUGCAAUCUAUGAAUCUCACUUCUCAAUGGGGCGAAGAAGGAUCUGUCUCCAUUCUUCAUUCGCAUUUACUCAGUGGUAAUUAAUUCUUCACUCUCACUCGUCUUAUUUCCUGCAGAUUUCUUCAUUUUCCUUCACUGUUCAUUUUUAAGGUUCCAUUGUAUUUCCAUUGAGUUUGCAACCGUUCAAUUGCUCGAUCCUUAUUAGUUUUUGGACUUCAAUGACCAUAGAAGAAAAUUAUCACAAACUCUUCCUUAUUUUGUCUUUGUUUUUUUAUUUGUUUAUGCAUGUUUCCUUUGCUGAUUUAUUUACUUAUUUCUUUCUCUGAUGUCCCAAUUUAUCCUAUGAUAUUUCAAUUGAUGUAUUACGUUCAUGUUAUGUUUAUGGAUGCUUGCUCUACUGUCCUAAUUUACAAUUAAAUUUUACUCCGUCCUUAGCUAUCGAUUCACAGUGGUGUUUCAUUAAUAUGUACUUGUCUUAUUUUAUAUUUCAUUAACUAUUAUUUCAACAAUUGCCGCAGGUGUCAAAUAAUGAAUUUGUAUGAGCUUCAGUCCAAGGUAAUUAUCUUUUUCAUUUCAUGUUAUUUGAUCUCUAGGUUUAUUUUAUCGUUUCAUCUAAAUUAUUUGGAAUGCAUCAGCUGGUUUAUUCUUAAUUUUGGAACGAAUUUGAUGCAGCGGAUGGUUGCGUAGGAUGAGUGGAGUAUCUCUCUAGGUUGCGUAGGAUGAGUGGAGUAUCUCUCUAGGGUAACAACUUGAGCUAUAAGUAUCUAUUUAGGGUGUAUAAUAUACAUUUCGAAGUUCGCGACGAGGGGAAACUAAUCUAAUACUGUAGCGCCGCAUUAGUCUCGUGGUUCGAUUGAAAAUUAUAUUUAUUUCAUAUUAUUUUACAAGUUUAAGAUCUAUUUUCCUAUUGUUUUUAGGAUUUUUAUCUUUUUUUUUUCUAGAUAUAGAAUUUGAGUAACAUUUAUCUUAUUUCAGUUAGGAGAAUGUUAUUAUGUAGUAAUAUGUUAGGUUUAGUUAUUUUGGUAAAUUUGUUAUAUUUAAGUUUAGUUUAAAAGAAGUCCAAAACCUUAAUUUUGUUAUUCAGACUUUCAUUAAUAAAAUAUAAAACUUUCUAAAAGAGAAAAUGUUCGUCUGGUACCUAUAUUUUAACUUCAAUGCUCGUUUAGUUAUUAUAUUUUAAAAAAUACCUCAAUAUACCUUGAUAUUAAAUACGUUACAUUUUUCCUUAAAUUUUAUUUACUUUUACAAUAAUAUCUUGGCAAUAAUAUUCUUAAAUUAAUUUCAUUUAUUUAUAAAAAAUUUAAUUGGAAAAUUAAUCAAUAAAUAUCAAUAUGAAAUAACCAGUAUUUUUUUGUACUUUUACAACAAUCUUGCCAAUAAUUCUUUAUAAAUAAAUCAAUAGCAGCCAUCUUAAAGUAAUGUUUAAUAUUCUUAAAGCAAUCUUACUAAUAAAUGCAUAAAAAAAUUAAUUUACGAAAUUAGUCCUAAAACUAAAAUAAUAACAUAAAAGUUUUUAUUAAUAUUUAUUUUGUUUAAGGCUGGUUAGAUGAAUUACCAUUUUUUUCUUUUCAUUGAUAUUCCCAAAAAUAUUAUUCCAACACAGUAGGGGUGUCUUGAGGUUAGGGAUGGCAAUGGGGAGGGGAGGGGAGGGGACUAAUCUCCCCGUACCCAUCCCCGAUAUUUUGCGUAUGUCCUCGUCCCCUCCCCGUCCCCGUCCCCGUCAGAAUUACUUGAGAGAAUCUUCAUCCCCUCCCCGAAUAAUAACAGAGGAUCCUCGAGGGUCCCCGAUCCCCGAAUAACUAAUACAUUUUUUUUAUUUUCAAUUUUGAGUUAAUUAUAUUAAAAUAAAAAAAUUCAAAUAAAAGUAAAUUUCGAAAUAUAUCUUACAUGAAUAUCUAUUUCAAAAGUCACAUACAUUAAAUUAGUAAGUAACGCAGCAUGCAAGGGAUACAAACUAUCAUGAACAAAUUAAUAGUCUAAUACAAAAUUGUUACAAAUAAAAUCGAAUUUAGAUUCAAAAUUAACUUUUUCAAUGGUGGCGUGGGCACUUUAUAAAUGUGGACUAUUCCCUUUACAGCACAAUAGUUAAGUCCGAGCAAAUCAAGAGCAAAUAUUAGAUUAGAUUAGAUAUUAAAAUUGUGAUUCGCUGUGGGCAAUUAUAACAUCUAAAAAUAAAUAAAUAAAUAGAUUUAAGUUUAAAAUAUUUAAUGAAUAUUAAAAUUAAAACAAAAUUUUUGGGCUAAUAGAAUCUACUGGUCUUUUUAAUGUCCUAAAUAAAAAUUUAAGACUUUAAUUUGUUAAUUAGGCCUAAAAGUUUAAUAAUAUAAAUAUUUUGAUAUUUGUUAUUUUUACCAAUAUUUAUAAUUUUAUAAUUUAUUUACUAGUAAUUUUAAAAAAUUAAAAUAAAAUUAAAAAUUAAAAUGGGGAAAUGGGUAGGGUAUGGGGAUUCCACCUCAUCGCCGUCCCCUCCCCAAAUAAGAAAUUGGGUAUGAAAUUAUCCCCAUACCCUCCCCAAAUAGGGAAAAUCCCCGAUGGUACCCGUCCCCGUGGGGAUUUUUGCCAUCCCUACUUGAGGUUGAGGCACUUUUUAAAAUAUAAGAACUAAAUGCGCUCUCAAGUCAAAAUAUAGAGACUAAAUGAACAUUUAUUCCUUUUAAAAAGCUUGUGUUUCUCUAUCUUUUCAAUCUCAAUGUUUUUGUUUCCGUUUCAUCAUAAGUUCUAAUGUUUGGUUCUCAUCUUAAUGUGCAAAUUUUACAUCAUUGAAGGUCUUUUGAUCUGAGUUAAGAUCAUAAAAUUAUACUUGCAUUGGUCAGGUUAUACGAAAAUUGUACAAAAUAAUAUUCUUAUAUAACUGUUGUCCUCUGUUAUUACGGAAUCCCCAAGUUCUGAAGAAGGUCGAAAUCAGGUCUCUCUACUGUGAAGCCCCUGGAAUAAGAGCUACAAAUGUGUUACCGUUGAAAGCAUGGCAGAAAACUUAGUACUUAAUUCAGACUCUUUGUGGCUUCAAUAUUUUACUUAACAUGAAAAAUUCUUUCUAGCUUGCAUCAUUGUAAAGAUAAAUUGUCGCAGUUCUGACAAUGAACAAGUAUAAAUGUCCACAGAGAAAAGUACUGAACAAUUAAUGUUAACAGCAAUCGAUUGGUGUGAGCGCCAACCACCAUUUUCAUAUUUAAGCCUUUAGAACAGCAAAACAAAAUACGGCAAGUGGCAACCACAUCAAAUAAUCAAAUUGUUGAUAGAUUUUGAAAGCUUUAAUUUGCUUGAUAUAUAUUUAAAUAUUUCAACAGAUGAUCUUUUCGCUACUCACGGGGCACGCUGAGUUAGAAACGGUUUGGAUGUCAAUAUUACUCCAAGUGCCUCAACCAAAUUCAGAAUGAAAAAAAACCAUCUGGUUACCUGCACUUUUGUUUAAGCAGCUAAUGAAGCUAAUUAGCACGAAAUAGUACACAAACUCGCGAGAAAUUUCAUUAGUAGAUCAUCAUCCUGGGAGGAAACCAGCAUCUUGACGCUUUUGUGAUCAAGAAAAUCUGCCAGAACCCCAAUUAAUGAAAAAAAAAUUAUAACAUCAUUUACAUGUAGUUUUACAAAAUCAACAGGACACUCACAGAGCACCUCCUACAGCUGGACCGGCAGUUUUGGUAAGCGACACUACAGUCAUAGCAAGUCCAUUAGCAGCUCCUCUUUGAUGCUGUUCCUUUUGUUGUGGCAUAAACCAACAAAUUAAAUUUAAACUUUGACACAUACAAAAUUUGAAAAAGCUGAAAGCAUGUAAAUGUACUAAACAAACAAAAGAAAAAAAAUAUUUACCACUGCUCUGUUUUGCAGAAGGAAUAAUCUAGUUAUUAUCGACACCUGAUGUUAUAAUUCAGGAAGAGUAAAAUAGAAUUACAACAUUUCUAAUAAAAAAAGACAUAAAAUAAUUUUAUACAUACUUGCUGAUGGAUAAUAUAACCUAAGUAUAUGGAUCAAUGAUUAGGAUAUCCACUUACAGCUAAAACAUUCUUCAUCACAGAAGCACAGUUUAUCAAAAAGGCAAGGCUGAACCCAGAUAGCAUUGCUAUGUAAGUGUAACUUGUCAAAAGCGGUAUCGAUAAAACCUGUACAUACAUAGAAAAUUAUGGGACCAAAACCAUGAAGAAAAGUAUUUUAUAAACAAAUAUGUUUGAAACAAACUAUCAAAUGGUCUAAAUGCCACAUGGUGUGUUCAAAAUUAUUGUUCUGUUUUAGUGACAAAACACUCAUCCCAUGACAUUGAGCUAUCAAUUCUCAUGGCUUCGUCACGCUUGAAAGGUUUGGUAGUUGUUCUGUUUUAUCUUCAGUUUCAUUUGUGAUCACAGAAACGUUAGGACUUGCGUGCAUGAAAGCACAUUAAAUCACAGAAAUUUUGUGAGAAAUGCCUGCAAGUGAAAUUUUAUCAGCAGUCUUGUAAUUUUCUAUUUUUGUUGUUGUCGUCAUUUUUUUACUACUAUUACUGUUUGAAAUUCUAGUAUUUUAGAUGUGAAAUUUAUUAUAUUAGAUAUUCGAGAUAUCUAUGAUGCUGAAUACAGGGCAUGUGUUGUCUAAAUUUAUUUUAUUUUGUUUGCUUCACUUCCAAUUUUCAAAAACUUUGAAGAAUGCUAAGAGAAGGAGCAAAGGGCUAAAGAGUCAAAUGUAACAUUGCUAUUAAUUUGUUAAUUGCCAUCAUUUUUAAUUUUUGCACUGUUUGUUCUGUUUACCCAUUUAUUUCAUUUGGUUUGCUUCACAUCUAUAUUUCCUAACUUAGGAGGGCAAGGAUUUUGUACUUGAGAACAAAUAGCAGUUACUCAAAAUGUGGCAACCACACCAAAUAAUCAAUUUGUUGAGAAAUUUUGAAAGCUUUGCUUGAUAAAAUUUGAAAGUUCUGAAGAAGAUUCAGGUCACUCGCGUGCAGCCUCUGGAAUAAGAGCUGUGUUACUGUUUAAAAGUUUUCAUGCUGUGGGGCUUCCAUCUUCAUUAUUCUACGAAUGCUUUACUUCACUACAUUGACAGCGUUGAAAGUGUAACUAAAACCCUUGCUUUCACAAGCAAGCAUCGAUUAAUGAAAAAGAAAGUCUCUCUCGAAGGUAAUUGACAGAGGAGCAAUCUUCUUACUCUUUAACUAAAUAUCAGAAAUACAAGGUUAAGGCUGCCAGGGUUGCGAAGGAGAAGGAUCGUUCCCGGAUUUUGCCUGCUUCAAGUUGUUGGGCUUGGUGAACCAAGUUGUGUACACGAAUUGCUUAUGAGGGCCCACAUGGUUGCAGACAAGCCUGAGCUUUUGUCUCUCCCUCAUGUCUCACAUUUUAUGAUGAAUCAAAUUGAACUCCCAACACGGUAGUUCAUAAAAUAUGAUUUUCUUCUUCCAAGUAAUCUUGUCAUUUCUCUCAUUUUAUUCAUUCUCCACUUUUCAAGUCUUCAAUCUUAAACUCAGUAAGGAUAUUAUUCAACUGCUUUUUCACUUCAGCUCCAGACAUCCGAGAAGGUGCUUGUCCCCACUCUCUAGAUUUAUCAAAAGGCACUAUAUUUUCGAAACCUAUGAUUCGUCGGUAAAAAUCGACGUUACCGACGUGACAAACCGAAAACUGAACCAAUUGAUUUUACUAUUUUUUUUAUAUUACUAUUUCGGUUUUUUAGAGAUAAAAAAACCACACAAAAACCGAACCGAACCGAUCGAUUCGGUUCGGUUUUUAAUUAAUCAGCUUUUUUUGCCCACCCAUAUCAUUAUGGAGGAGAGUUGAAGAAGAAUGGGAAAAUAAAAUUAUCGUUAUAACUAAAUUGUAAAUAAGAAAGAAUGCAAGGGAUUCAAUCAAAAAAAGACAAAAGAGGGGUACGGUGUCAUAGGGGUACCAAAGCUUUGCCCUUCUUGUUGAGCUUAAUAUUUAUUUUUAGUUAUUUUUUUAUUUUUUGUCCUUUACAAAGAUAUGAUGACUCUAAGUAUUUUAGACAUUUUUAACCCUAGUGGCAAAUGUUAGUUUAGUACAUAUAUUUUGAUUUAAGUGUCCAUUUAAUUUUAUAUUUAUAAGUUACCUAAAACACCCCUGCUAUUAAAUAUGUCACAUGCUUACCCUUACUUUUUCAUUUCUUUUAUAAUAAUACCUUUACAAAACUUUUUUAUUAUUCUUUUACUUUUAAAAUUCAUUUGGUAAAAUAAUUAUUAGUAAAAUUAUUGUAAAAAUAUUAGACAUUACUUUAAGUAGGCUAAUAUUAAUUUAUUUAUAAAAAAUUAUUAGUAAGAUUGUUUAACAGAUACAAAAAAUAUUAGUUCUUUCACACUUAUAUUUAUUGGUUAAUUUGCUAAUUAAUUUUUUUAUAAAUAAAUUAAUUAAUGUCAAGAAUAUUGUUGCAAUAUUAUUAUUGUAAAAGAAAAGAAACAAACAAUGAUAAGAAUGUAACAUAUUGAACAAUAAGAGUGUUUUUACGCACUUUUUAAAAUUUGGAGAUUAAACGGACACUUAUAUCAAAAUUUAGGGAUUAAACGAGUAUUUACCCAAUCAAUUACACUCAUAAUUUAUAAUGUUGAUAUUUGAGAUUAAUUACACUCAUAAGAGGCCAACUAUAAUGAAAGGGCACUGCUAUACCAACAAAUUUUAGUAACAUUGUAAAAAUGGCAAUAAGAUAGCCUGGAACAGCUAAUAGGUACAAAGAAAAUUAGCAAUAAUCAAUUGGCGAGAGCAUCAUCAUCAUCAUCAUCAUCAUAAGUUUAUGGCUACCCCAAAAACUGAUGUGGAACCCCAAAGAAAUAACUUGGUUGAAGCAUUCCGAAAACUUAAUUGGCUUGAAAAUUAAAAGGAUCUUUCUCUAGUUGCGGCGUUGAACUAAAAACGGCUUGAAUGUUAUCAAUACUCCAAUUGCCUAACCACGUUUAAAAUGAAGAAAACCACUGGGAACCUGAACUCAAACUACUGGCAUAAAAUAAUAGCAUUGGUAGGACCUAGCUGGCAUUACAAUUGAAAAACUACUGGAAUAAAAUAAUUUUUGGCGAGUGGAAGAGUAUUUAUGCUUUCAGUAAAAACUAAUGAAUAAAUAAAUAUUGGAUCGACAACUAUAAAUAUCUUGAACAAAAAGAAUAGAACACAGAAGAAAAGCAAAAGCACCAUCUGCAUAAAGAACCAAGAAUAACAACUGAAUCUCUCUACUUUUAUUAAUUAAUAACAACCAAAUUUAGAUAGAAAAAAAAAACAAUAAGUUUUCUGCAUCAUAAAAAGUAGACCCGAAUGAGGCAAUUCAUCAAGCACUAAACCUGCAUUCGAAACACAAACGAAUAACACUUAAGAGAAAGCGGAUUUCAAAUCAAAAAGUAAAUACAUAAAAUCAACAUUUAAUUCGCCAGUACACCUAAAUUACUCUAGAAAUUCAAAUUUAUUGCUAAUUAAACACUAUAAAAUAUAAAAAAAAAAAAAUCUAAAAACAAAAAUAUGUCGACAAUCAAAUCAAAAUCAAUACCUCUAAUUCGAUUCCAAGAGUCUCAGGCACGGGUCGCACGAUAGAGUGAACGAGCUUGCUAAUUGUUCUGCCUCUAUUUACAAGCUUAACUAUUCUUUUGCUCAAGUCAAUGUGACCUUUUAGCUUGUCACACAGACCAUGACGGCUCGACGCGGCUGACUUUGAUGAUGCUAAGAAUACGACUCUAUAAGAUCUCCAAGAAAAUGAUAAAUCCUUUUGAAGUUGUUGUGCUUGAGAAGGCGAGCAUUUAGGGUUUAGACUUUGAUGAAGUCGAAAGAAAAAACUACAAAAAUUGAGAAAGAGAGAGUGUGUUUUGACCUAGAGCUUCGAUCUUCAACUCAACUGUUUUGCUUCUGGUUCGAUCUAUCAUUAUUCAUUAAGAGGCUAGAGAGGUUGAGCUGCUUGAUCUGUUUCUGCUUUUGGUUUUGGCCUUUGUUUUAUUUUGGUAUUUUGUUUUGUUGAGAUACUGUGUCAGGAAAGAGAGGGAAACGAUUUUGUGAAGAAAGAGAAGAUGAAGACUUAAUAAUUUAUCUAAAUUUUAUGUCCAAAACGACAUCGUUAAGAAUAAAUGAAAUAAUAAAUUUCAAAAUAAAAUAAAAUAUAAAAUCUUCGCAUGAGUGAAGGUUUAUGAUCCUAUAAUAUCAAUAACUGUUGAUGCUGGUACGUUAAAAAUGUUAAAAACUACGUAAGUCAUCAAAUACUGAUAUUUUUUUAUUUAACAUUAAACAUAAUAUCAGCGAAUUGAGAAAUUUUAUAAUUCAUUAGUAGUAAUAUAAUCGAUUGAUGUAUGCAUAACAUGUAUAAUUAAAUUUAAUGUAACCAUUAUUUUACAUAAUGAUCUUUCACAAUAAAUACAUAAAUAUCACAGUAUCAUUUACUUGUUAUAUAACUGUUAUAAUACUUCUAAUGCAUUAUAGAAUUUAUCCAAAAAAUGUGAUUUUUCUUCUACCAAUAAUGUAUACUUAAUAUUAAUAUUUUCGUUCAAUCAUACAAGGUUGGUAACUUUAAUUGCAGUAACUGAUUCAAAUUCAGUAGAUGUUUCCAUUAGAUAUGUUUUUUUACUGCAUUGCAUAAAUCGAUGAAGACCCGUGUUGGGCUUACAUAUUGCUUCCAUUGGGCUGGACUAUAUCUGAACAGCGGCCUACACAAGUAUACAACAUAAAUCAAACCCGGCUCCCGCCUGUUUUUAGACAUGUUUGCACUAUAUUUAUUUGAUGAUGAUGAUGAUAAUAAUAAGAUCUCCCUAAGUUACAUGCAUGUAACUUACAACCAUCUCACAUUAAUAGUGAGUGGACCAACAUUAUUCACUAUUUAUGUGAGAGGGUUAUAAGUCACAUGCAUGUAACUUAGCAUUAGCCUAAUAAUAAUAGUUUAAAAACAUAUGUUUAUAUUUUUCAAAUAUUGUAUUGGUCAGCAUAUCUUUGCUCGCUCCUCAACUAAACUUUUCUUAUAAUUGUUCGUUUGCAUGCGGUCGUUAAACUCAUUUCAUAGCAAAUUUAGUACCACUUCAGUCUUCCUCUUUCGAGCUACGUAGUGGUACAAGAAUCUCCCGUAACAAUUUUUAGUUUAGUAUAGAUCUACCAUCAAAGUUUUAAAAUCGACAUAAAAAAUUUAUUCUUCCCCAAGAAUGCCUGAGAAUAGGCUUGGUCUUUUAGAUUUUCUAUUAAAUGAAAGUGUUGACCAAUUUGACCAAAUAAAAUUAUAAUUUCAUCCUUUAAUUAUAACGAAUAAUUAAUGUAAAAUGAUAAAUGUCCAUAAACUUUAUUUUAAUUUUCUUUUCUUACCCUUUGCUUUCUCUCUCCCCUUUCUAAUAAAUGUUGUCCAGUUAAAAAAUUUCGAAAGACUUCAUUUUUAAUCGAUUAUAUAUUUUCACAGUCAAUCUUUUUUUUUUCCUGGUCUAGUGAAUCGGUUGGUUCGAAAGAGAGUGCUUUCGACACACGAACCAUUUAAAGAAGCUUUAGACUACUAGGAUUAGGCAUUACUUGAACAUUGGGUCGUUAUAACUUGAAGGUACGUGAUUCAGAAAUGUAUAAUGGAGGUUUUCUAAGGUUGAUAAUUCAGUACUGUAUUUAUUUAUUAACUCUUUAGCAACAACAAAGGCAUCUUUUUUUUUUUUUUUCUACCUGAGGUAAAAUUCUUUGAUUAACAAAACAAGGAUCUAACAAAAGGGUACAAUUUCCAGCCAAACCAAUCACGGGUUGAACUAUUAAUUUUUCGUGGCUUUUCAAUUACUCGAGGCACCAAAUCAAAAAGUGAAAAAAAAAAAAAAUACUUAAGGCACAAUCCUGUGACUUUUCAACCUAUUAAUCCAUGUGAUAAACGAAUUCUUAGAGUUCCUGAAACCCAAGAACCCGUGCUCCUUACUCUUGUUCAUGCUAACAAAAUAACCCGCACCAAUAUUCAACACCACAUCUGCAUAUGACCAAACAGCAACCUCAUUCAAUUUUGUUGGCUGCAGCUGAUUCUCUCUCACAAUCUCCUCCCACGCACUUUCUUUACCUUUCAUAACUUCCUCCAAUCUCACCCUCUCACUACCCAUUUCUUCUCCAAACCCAUAAUUCUCAAUCUCAAACUGCUCAGCCAACACUUUCCAUAAAUGCUUCCACUUAAAAACAUCUCCAUUGGUGCAAUUGAAAGCUUCGUUUCUUGCAUUAGGAGCCACUGCCGCCCAAAUUUCCUGCUCCGCAACCAACUCUGCGUCUGAAAAUUCUUGGAAACCUUCCCAAGCAUCUCUAGUCCCAUGAAAUACAAGAGGAGCACCUUCGUGUUUACAAAUAGCUGCGUACACGCAGAGAAUGCCUAUAAUAUUCAUCAAACUAUAAGGUGAAAACCCAAAUAUUCCGGAAGGUCGGUGUAUGGACCAAGUCAAACCCCGUCUUUUGUCAACUUCUUCAAACAAUAUAUCUUCCUGAUUAUAGUAAAAAAGUGGUACGUUUAGUCUUGGCAAAUCCUCAGUAAAAGGCGGAUCGUGAGACGGUAUCUUGCCAAUACACUCGAAUGGACCGACGUAAUGUUUGCCUCCCGUUUGGAGACAGAUGUGGCGGAGAUUAGGCGCAUUCGGGAUUACAGAACGGAGCACGUUACGAAACAUGGCGCCGUUGAUCUGACAAUUCUCGGCUUCAGUGGGACGGCUGGCCCACGUCACAUAGAAUAUGUGGGUGACGUCAGCGAGUUUUGAGAGCUUGGCUUGCGUAUCGUCUGGGUCGGAAACGUCGCAUUGGAUGUAAUCAAUAGGGUACUUGGCGUUCCAGUUAGGCCUGGGACGUCUCGCCACCCCGUAGAUCUUCCACGGGCCACCGGGGGUAUCUGAUCGGGGCAAAAUCUCAGCUAGGCUGUUGCCUACAAUUCCUGUCACGCCUACUACAAGUCCCACGUUCUGGUAGUCUUGAAUUCGCGCAUCUUCUUCCAAUUUGUUCUGUACAGCGAAAAUUAAACAAACAUUAUUUUAAAUAUCAGCAUGUUACGUGUAUCUAUAAGCUUUUCAAGUGAAGAGACUUAAUUAGAGGGUUGAUCUUUACCUUAGCAGCGCCAAUACUACCUGCCCAGCGCCAGCUCAUUUUUCGGUGAAUCUGGAAAAUUGAUGAGAAGUUUGGAGACUGCUUAUAUAUAAACAAUUAUACGAGCACUUUCUAGAAGGUAAUUUUCCGUUGAAGUUAGAUAAUGUGAAUAUGUGAUCAAUAAUGAAAGAUCUAAUAUCAUAAUGUGUGGUGAAAUGUGGUUCCGGCCAAAGGCCAAGCUUCGUAUUGUCAUUGUCAGUCAGUUUGCUUUCCCGCAGUUUUCAAGCUCGGUGCCAACUCAAAUAAAUAAGUAGGCCAGUGUAGGUGACCAUUGCAAUAAAAUCGCCCUAUGUUUAUUACGGAAGUUUCAGUACGUGGACCCUGAGUUUUAAACCUAAAAUCAAAUAUGUCUCUUCACUUUUAUAAUUUGCUUAAGACACACCAUUUCUGUAACUUUUCGGAUUUCAAUAUCAGUUUUGGGACAAAAAGAGUCCUUCAAUUUGUAUUUUCAAUAUCACAACAACUAUUAUAUACUAAAUAGCUGUAACUUUUAAGAUAUAACUGCCCAACUUUAGUAUCAAAUAAGACCUUGAAGCCCGUUUGAAAUUGCUUUUGGGAGUUCCCAAAAGUAAUUUUAAAAAACUAAAUGUCAAUUUUGGUGUUUGACAAUUUUUUUUUAAAAUUACUUUUAGCUAAAUCACCCCGUCCUAUAGCAGGUUUUGAAAAGCGUGGAAGGAGUAUCUUUUCAUAAUUGGAUUUUGAAAAUCAGUUUUACAGUUAGUACAAUUUCAUAUAUAUAUAUUCAAUUAUAUUAUAAAAAUCUACAAUUAUCCUUAUUAAUUAGGAAAUAAAAUCAUUAAUUUAAAGAGAUUAUUAUUACCAAUUAUAUUAAGAUAACCAAAUAAAAAAAUAAAAUCAAUAAUUUAAAAUAUUUAUUUUAGUUAUCAAUUAUCAUAUAUACACAAUAAAAAAAAUUUCAUACAUGUUUAUAAAUGCGUAAAUAAAUUUUAUUCAAUAUUGUGUUCAAUUGAUUUAUUUAUAUUUUUACAGCAGUUUAAUAGUAAAAUUUACUAAACACAAACGACUACUUUUAAAAUUUGCAGUAAUUUUAAAAAGAAAUUUUAUCAAAUAUUUAACUGAUUCUUUUUACAACUAAUUAUUUUUACAGUACUGCUAACAGUAAUUAUUUUAAAAACUACAGCACUAUUAAACUGAUUUUUAAUUUGUUUGGCUUCUUAAAAGGUCUGAUAUUGAGACAAUUGACCUAUUUAUAUGGCAAUAAUUGACAUGAUUCUAGAAGCCAAAACAUCAAUUUUUUUUUUUCGUAUCAGAUGGUGUGAAAUGAACGCAACAUGCAUUUGUAGUCUAUUGAAAUAUCAAAAUUGUCCUCAAAUCGUAAAUCUCAGUCAUUUACACCCAGGAACCUAGUACGAGUGAUUAUGAAACUCGAUAUAUGAAUAAAUGAAGAAUUCAUUUUUUUCCUCCUAAAUUUUAGGAAAUAGUUAAAGAUGUUCAUAUGAAUGAAUGGAAGAAUUUUUUUUCCCUUUCUCAUCACAUAAAUUCAUGUGAAUAUUCAUGAGGUUUAUUUGAAUGAACACUUUUUUUCUCAAUAAAUCUGCCAUCAUGAAAAACGUUUUGGCUCUUGUGUAUAAUUUGAAAAUCAUAGAAAAAAUAUAUCAAUAAAAUAAUUCUACAUAAUUUAUGGUUACCAAUGCUCAUUUAAUCCACUAGGCAAACUUAUGCAAAUAAUAAGAAGAGAGACGUCGCAUUUAAUUUAGAAGUUGUUUCUCAUUUAAGCCCUAUUUGAUAUUGAAAUGCUAUAGCAUAGUAAGAAAAAAGAAAAAGAAGUUGCAACUAUUAAAUAAAAGUUGAUAAUGUAUAAUAAAAUAAUUAUUAAAUAAUAAUUUGACAAAAAUAAUAAAGACACUAUAGGUUUUGUCAUACAAGUGUGAGAUCAAAUCAACUUAAUUUCUAAGCGGCAAUAGCUAGUGUUUACUAAACACUUUGGUACUGUAACUUUUAAGCUACACCUGCCCAACUUUAAUACUAAACAAGGGUUUAAAUUGUUUCAGUUAUUGAGGUGUCAAAUUAUUGAGACAUUUGACUUGUUUACAAGGUAAUAAUAAUAGACAUGACUCUAUAAGCUAAACCAUCAAUUUUUUGUAAUGUACUGAUGAAUGUGUGUUUGAUUUUCUUCUUUCACAUUGGAAUCAUGCUUUGCCUAUGAUUUUGUAAUUUACUAGGGUUAUAAUCUUGGGUUCGUAAUCCGGAAAAAAUUCGUUUCCAUAUAAUUUUAAAAAUAUUAUAAUAAAUUUGUACUUUUUGAUAUAAAUUUUAUAAGUUGUAACGGUAUUUUAGUACUUAUAUACCCAAUUCAUUUCGAAAUGGGGGUAGUAUAGUCUUUUAAAUUUAUAACAGUAAUAGUGAGAAUUAGUUGAUUUUUUUAAUGAAAAUAGGGGCGAGGUGCACAUGGUCGAAAGAUGUGGGUGCGUUGUGUGAAAUACUGAACAAUUGGGGGCUGACGCUUAAUUACCCUUAAAUAAAUUAUUAGUUUAAUGGAAGGAACAUAAUUCAGGAAAAGAGGAAUCAAACUGCGAAAGGAAUUAGGAUACUUGAAAAGAAAGAAUGAAAAUAACUUUUUUUUAAAAAAAAUUAUUUAUUUGGACAUUGUUGACGUCCAAUUAAUCAUGACUCUUAAUGAGAAUAAUUUUUGGUGACAAGAAUAGCGGCAUCCUUGGACGUGGCAAAAUAAUCACAAAAAUCCCUUAUUUUAAAAAAUGAUCAUGAAAAUUUAUUGAGGGACACACAAAUUGAGGAUUUGUGUAACUAUUUUUAAAUACAAAAAAAGGUCUACAUGUAUUAAAAAAAGUUUGUAUGUUCAUUUUUUAAAAAUAAGGUCUACAUGUAUUAAAAAAGAGUUUGUAUCAUGUCGUGCUGUUUUCUAAUUUUUCAUGAAAUCUUUGUUACACGAUUUAAGAGAUGGUACCAAACAUAGUGACAAAACUAUCAUAGUACCGUCUAAUGAUGAAACAAAUUGUUAAUUAAUUAAUAAAAAUACUAAGUGAUUGUAACGGUUCCGGUCACAGUCACAGUCACAGUCAAAUACAACUAGGAUAAUUUAAUUUAAAUAAUGUGUAAUUUAGCGUUAGCCCCAAUUGUUUCGACAUUUUGCAUUGUGCCUCCAAUCUUCUGACCAUGUCCACCACCCCCAUUUCUUUCAAAUCUAACGUUAACGGAAAGAAGGGUAGAAUGGUAAUUAAUACAAGAUUAAAAUAAUUUAUAUAAUAAAAAAAAACCCCUUUUUCCUUCGCCGCCUCUAUAAUUUAAUUUAGGGUUUGAUAUCUUUAGUCUUAGGAUUUUUGAUUAUUGAGUUUCUUUUUAUUGAAUUUUCUUAGUAUGAAUUUAUUUUGUAAUAGAAUUUUACAAUGAAAUUUGUUGUCAUGGAUUUUGGUAUCAUUAGUUUCGGGUUUCUUUCUUAUUGGGUUUUAUUUGUUUUGGUGGGAUUAUUGGACUUAUUUUGUAAUGUAUUGAUGAAUGUGUGUUUGAUUUUUUUCUUUCACAUUGGAAUCAUGCUUUGCCUCUGAUUUUGUAAUUUACUAGGUUUAUAAUCUUGGGUUCGUAAUCCGGAAAAAAAAUUGUUUCCAUGUAAUUUUAAAAAUAUUAUAAUAAAUUUUUACUUUUUGAUUUAAAUUUUAUUAGUUGUAAGGGUAUUUUAGUACUUAUAUACCCAAUUCAUUUCAAAAUAGGGGUGGUAUAGUCUUUUAAAUUUAUAACAGCCUAAACAGUUAGAAUUAGUUGAUAGUUGAUUUUUUAACGGAAAUAAGGAAGAGGUGCACAUGGUCGAAAGAUGUGGGUGUGCUGUGUGAAAUACUAAACAAUUGGGGCUGACGCUUAAUUACCUUUAAAUAAAUUAUUAGUUUAAUGGAAGGAACAAAUUUCAGGAAAAGAGGAAUCAAACUGCGAAAGGAAUUAGGAUACUUGAAAAGAAAGAAUGAAAAUAACUUUUUUUUUUAAAAAAAAUUAUUUAUUUGGACAUUGUGACAAACAAGUGAUGGGCAAUGUCAUGUCUUGAAAAACGACAACAUUACAUGAUUCAUGAGAAGCCUAUCACUUUGAGAUUAAUUUAAUUUAAAAAAAUUCCGUUUGCUUAAUACUAAAAUGUCACGUGCAAGUUGUCCUGGACUAGAGAGUCGUUCACCCGUACUUACACAGUUACACCCAAAAGUCACGAGGAUCAAAACCAGAUCUGUCACUGCAUUUGCUUGAAAAAAUAUAUAUUUUAAAAAAUUAAUAUUCGUGUUUCGAUAGCUUUCUAAGUGGUUUAUUUACAGGUAUUCAAAAUAUAUAUAUUUUGUAAUUUCGAUUAAAAUUUUGCGACAAUUGUUUGGCUGGAAUAUUUUUUUUAUAAGAAAAAUAGCGAUCUCACACUGAUCCAUAGUUGAGCCAAUUGCCUAGUUAAAAGCUACCUCCAUAUUUUUUAUUUUUACCCUAAUGCAUGUCUGAUUCUUUUAAAAUUUUACGUUAUAUAUAUUAAACAAAAAUUAUAAUUUUAAUCAUUGAAAAACUAAUGACAGACAUCUUUUGAAUAAUUUUUUUUUGAAAAAUACAGAGCUAGAGAUAAUGCUAUAAUUGAUUGAAUAAGAAGGCUACAACUUGAUGAUAACUUUAUUGCAAUGUUGCGUGAUCUCAAUAUAUUAUUGCCUUAUGUGUGAGUAAAAGUUGCUGGCUCUUGUUUUACUAAUUUGCCUUUGUAUUUGACUGGCUCGACAAAGAAUCGAUUUACCUCAUACUCAAAUUACAAACAUCGAAACCGGAUCUGUCAUUACGUUAAUUGGCCUCAUAAAAUAAUCAAUCACUUUCUCUUUAGUCUACCAUCCACUCUUUCCAGUCGCUUAGUUUCAUUCUAAUCAUCUAAACGAAUCUUGCAAAUCCUCAAGAAGCCAUGUUAAGACAAGGCCAGCUUACUAUUAGGGUAUGAAAGAUAAAACCUUUUAUUUCCUUUUCAGAAUAAAAAGGACAUUGACAGUGUUAAAAAAAAUCUAGAGGAUUUCACGCCUCCAGAUCCUUACAAAUCAAGGAUAUUAAAAAAAAUUACUUAGAGGAGAAAGGUUAUGCUCAUUUGUAUCUUGUUAGAAGAAAUUGAUCCAAAGCCUAAGUUUUAAUUUGCUUCAUAUAGCCAAUGACUAGGUGUUUAAAAACCAAUGAAUAUUUUUAUAAGAAAUCAACAAUUAUGUUGAAAGAAAAACCAAAUAAAAAUAAUAAAGCCAAUGAAUAGAUCAAGGCUCUUUGUGGUCUAAAACUAAUCAAACUAAGUUGUGGGCAAAGGUGAAUAUGUUUGUUUGGUCAAUAAUAAGCUCAACAAAUCACUAAUAAUCACCUAAUCACUAUUCCUUAUGCUAUGCAAUAUAAUGGCCUGGGUAAUGGCGCCAAGGCAGACAAUAACUAGCUAGCCAGUUAUGAUAGUUGAUUAACUUAACCUACUGGAAAUCUGAAGACCAAAACGAAGAAGCUUUGUCUAGAACUAGAAUAGGAACAUUCGUACCCAAAACUAAUAUACACAAUUAAGAAACUUGAUUAUAUGUAUAUUUCUGUUGGCCACACUUAAAGAGAAUUUCCAAAAGAUGCUAAGGUACACCAAAUCCCACUAUUUCAUACUCAUAAACACAAAAAACCAUGGUAAAAAUUAAUGACUAUAUCAAAUAAAAUCGGUGAUAGGACAUUGAGAUUAGGACAACUUGAUUUGUAUACCGUAAAAUAACUAUAUCUGCAUGGUGAACUAUAUUUCUGUUAGAACUCUGAAGUUUCCUAUUAAAUUUUUUUCUCUGUUAGGUAAACCACUUAACUGAAGUGCUUAAGCCAAUUUUGACAAUCAUAGACAUAAAAGUAUUAAUAGGCUCAUUCAAGUGAAAUGAGCAUUAUUUCACACAUCCUUUAGGUUUUUAAGUCAUUUACAAGUCAUUCAUGUUAAAAAAAAAUUCAUAUACUUUUAAUAUAAUUAGAACAUACACAAUUAAUUAAUUAAAUAAAUCUAUUUCAGCUAGUAUAGGAACUUAAUUAAUCAAAGCUAGUAGUUAUAGCUAGGACUUGAACGAGGCACCUUUCAAAGUUCAAGAAGAGCAUCUGAACAUAAUGAAAGCACUUUGUAGAUAUGGUAAUGAUGCUUUACAUCUACAUGCUCUUACACAAUAUGAACUUUCAUUUACUCCAAGCUCUUAUUCUACAAGUCAAUUCAGUUUGUAGAUGCACGCCAUUGUAAAAACUUUUGUAUUAUAAUUUCUGAAAAUAGAACGUAACAUUAUUAAUAUAGAAUCAGCAAUGUAUAUAACUUAUCAGACAAUAUAACAAGCACUUGGUGACCAUACAAGAUAAACUAAAACAAGUUAUCCAGAAAAUGAAACUAAAACCCAAGCUCCGCUAUUCAUUGUAGAUGCUUUAAACAUAAAAUUAAACUAAAUCUAAUAGAAAAACAUUAGAAUGGAUGUUGGAAUUAAAGCUAAAUUCAAUAGUAAUUCAAAUGAAUCCAUUUGAACUUUGUAAAUUCCGCAGAACAAAAUUAAUUUGAGUGAGCAAACUCACCAAUGGAACAAGAACACAGGGGCUUCAACUUGUACGAAUAAAAAAAUAUUGCUGGCGGGACAAAAAUUGACAAUAAUGGCUACAAUACGAAUUUUAAAAAAAAUCAAAAUCUAUAAUUACAAGCUAAGUAAGAGAAGAAACUCAUAAUCACAAGCUUACCUCAAAAGAUGAAGGGAGAAUACGAUGAAGAAGAAGAUGCCCGGUGUUUUAUGUCGUUCGCCGGCAACCAGUUAGGUUUACGAUGGUGGCUAGUCCAGCGAAUAGUUUUCUAACUGGAAAUAAAUUUAAAUUUCUAAAAUAGUGCUAUACCGAACGGCUCUGUACCGUCACGUUGUUACGGUCUGCCCAAUUUGCUAGCCCAAUUGCCCACAAUUUCGGACUAGAGAACCAACACAAGACCAAGAGUGCUAUCUUGGCCCAAUUUCGGAAAGGUCUAGGCAACUCUAGCACAUGUGAGCUUGUAAAUACUCUAGAAUUCUCUUUACAUUUCCAGCACAUGUAAAUAGCUAGGAAGUAGUAGAAUUCUCUAGAAUCUCUAGAGCUUGGCAAGCCUCCCCUAUAAAUAUGGGAUGACAUUAGGCAUUUGCAUCCAACAAACUCACAACAACAAGCUUUGUAAGCAACUCAAGCAUUGUAUUCUCUCUUUGUGCAAUACAAGUUUUCUCAUUCGGCUCAAUUGCUCUCUUCUCUAGUUCGAGAAGCUCUAGACUUACUUAGCAACAUUUGGCAAUGUUAUCUAAGUGCCGCACGGGUUAGCUGCGCAAAAUACUCAUCCCGUGACAAGUGGUAUCAGAGCUAAGGUUUGCACGCACGCAAGUUAGCUCACGAGCAAUGGCCAACCCUUCGAACGUAGCACAAGAGGGUGUUGUUGGUGUGGAUGUUCCAUUGGAACCAAGCUGCAGCCGAGAGGGAGAACGCGCCCAAAGCAAGACUCGCGGCAAGUCCAAAGCCGCAUCAGUGGAUGCGUUGGAGCCUCGUGUGACUACUCUCGAAAUCGCAUUGUCCGUCGCUCAAGAUAGCCUCGAGGGAUUGGAGGAACGAGUGGACAGUCUCGAGGGGGAAUACGCCGAGUUCACGGUGGCAACAAAAGCUCUCAUCCAAGAGCAAGCGAACACUCUUCGAGGUGAGUUUCGUUCUUUCCAUGAUGAGUUGCUCAAACUUCGUAGUUUUGUUCAGGACGAACUACACGCUGUCCGUGCGGAAGUGGAUGAAGUCCGCUCAGAUUGGGCAUGGCACAAGCGCACACUCUCCGCAAGUCCAGCUUCCACAAACUCGAGUGAUGCGCACCGUAUUGAUGUGCCAAAGCCCGACACAUACGAUGGCACACACAAUGCCACAAUCGUGGACAACUUCCUAUUCGGGCUGGAUCAAUACUUCGAUGCCAUGGGUGUCCGUGAUGAGGCAUCGAAAGUGUGCACUGCACCCACCUAUCUUAGAGGCCCUGCACAACUAUGGUGGCGUCGCAAGCAUGGCGAGAUGGGCAAAGGCAUUUGUACCAUCGACACUUGGGCCGACUUCAAGCAAGAACUCCGAAAGCAGUUCGCCCCAAGCAAUGCGGAGAAGGAAGCGCGAGCGCGCUUACGUCGCCUCAAGCAUUCGGGUAGCAUUCGGGACUAUAUCAAUGAGUUCACUACCCUUAUGUUGGAGAUAAGCAACAUGUCCGACAAGGAUUCGCUCUUCUACUUCCAAGAUGGCCUCAAGGAUUGGGCUAAGACCGAGCUUGACAGGCGUGGCAUACAAACACUUGACGACGCCAUUGCUAUUGCGGAGUCUCUCACCGAAUACUCCGCCCAUCUCAAGGACAAGAGGUCUAGCUACGAUCAAGGUGGGGGAGAGAGCCAUGAGGACAACGACCGCAAUUGCAAGGAGUGGAGCAAGAAAAAGCUUCCAAGCGGCAAGGGCGGGCAAAGUAAAUCCGAGAAGUCACCCAAGCCGCGAAGCCCAUGCUUCAUAUGCAACGGUCCUCAUUGAGUGCGCGACUGCCUGGAUAAAAAGUCGCUGAGUGCCCUCGUGGCACAACUCAAGGGCCGACACACACCGCCUACGGAGGAACCUCAACACAACUUGGGUUCGCUCCAACGUCUUAGCACACUCGUGAGCCAACCACCAGCACCUACAAGGAAAGGGCUCAUGUUCGUAAGUGUGCUCAUCAAUGGUCAAACCGUUCGUGCGCUCCUUGACACCGAAGCAGCACACAACUUCAUCUCCGAAGAAGAGGCUAAAUGUCUAGGCCUUAAGGUAACGCAAGACGGAGGCACCAUCAAGGCUGUAAACUCACCCGCCAAGCCAUUUAGGGGAACCACACGAGGCGUACACGUUACGCUUGGGACAUGGAAUGGGAAGCUCGACUUCUCGAUUGUGCCGAUGGAUGACUUCGCAAUGAUCCUUGGCAUGGAAUUCUUCGACAAGGUACAUGCCUUCCCACUUCCAGCAACGAACUCCCUUAGCAUCUUCGAUGGGAGUAAGGCAUGCGUGGCACCGGUCGAGCGUGCACAACCCGUAAAAAAGGCGGUCUCGGUCAUGCAAUGCAGAUGAGGAUUCAAGAAGAAUUCGGACCACUUGGUCUCCAUCCGGCAACACCACAAGGGAGAGGAUUCCAAAAGCCCUCCAAGCCAAGUCCCACAACAAGCACGAACCGUCCAUGAUAAAGGCAAGGACGCCAUGCCUCCGAAGCUCCCAUCGAGACAAGUGGUUGAGCAACGCACAAAGCCAUCCGAGCAUGAUGAGUUGUGGAAACACAAGAGGGGACGCCGCAACACCAACCGAAAGAAGGAAACGAUCAUAUGCGGAGCAAGUGGCGGAACCUCCCCAAGAGUGAAGCACAAGAAGACUAACGACAAAUCGCGGAACAAGUCCCUAAAGGAGCAAGGACGAGAUCGCGACGAGGACGCCGCGAGCUUAGGUGGGGGAGGAUGUUACGGUCCGCCCAAUUCGCUAGCCCAAUUACCCACAAUUUUGGGCUAGAGAGCCAACACAAGGCCAAGAGUUCUAGCUUGGCCCAAUUCCGGAAAGUUCUAGGCAACUCUAGCACAUGUGAGCUUGUAAAUACUCUAGAAUUCUCUUUACAUUUCCAGCACAUGUAAAUAGCUAGGAAAUGGUAGAAUUCUCUAGAAUCUCUAGAGCUUGGCAAGCCUCCCCUAUAAAUAUGGGAUGGCAUUAGGCAUUUGCAUCCAACAAACUCACAACAACAAGCUUUGUAAGCAACUCAAGCAUUGUAUUCUCUCUUUGUGCAAUACAAGUUUUCUCAUUCAGCUCAAUUGCUCUCUUCUCUAGUUCGAGAAGCUCUAGGCUUACUUAGCAACAUUUGGUAAAGUUGUCUAAGUGCCGCACGGGUUAGCUGCGCAAAAUACUCAUCCCGUGACGAGUGGUUAGUAACAUAUGUGACAGCGGCCGUCACAUAAAGGGUAACAAAAGCAACUCGAGGUUACAAAGUUAGAAGUUAGUGGCAUGCGUAAUGGCUGCUUUUGCAAAUUUGCAUUCACAUUAGGGGUCACAUAUACCCUAUUUUCUUGUAGUACAUGGUAAAUUCUAUUUGAAAAUUGCUAAGUAUUUUAGAUUUGUACGAAUUCAUUUUUGUGUGCUUGUUGGAUAGUAAUAUAUUAUUUAAUAAAUUAAUUUUUUGUUGUAAUUUUCACAAUAUUGUAUUAUAAAUAUGUCUCAUUGAAAGGUUUUGAAAUCGUUUUGAUUGAUCAUAAUUGAUAUUUCCACAGUUGCAAAAGAUGCCAGAGAAAAUUUGAUUAUCUUAAGAAAUGAGGGCAUGAGAUCUGAAAUCAACCAUACCAUAAAAUCAAAUUUUAUCAUGUCAUCCUUCUCGGUUCAAAUUUAUGGAAAUAAUAAUCAAAUGCAUCCAUGAACUAGUAUAUUCCGAGAUAUGUACCAUCAAAUUUUUGCUAUAUCAUACUUAUAUAUGUAUAUUGAAAUUUUAAUAACAACAAUUGGGCCAAGUGUUGAGUGUUAGAAAAUGCAUAUUUAUAAAGGAGAAAACCGUUAUUUUACAUUUCAAGUCUUACUAACAACCCUUACUUUUAUGUAUUUAACCUUCUUGUGAUUUAAUUACAUGUGUUUUAUUUUAAUUAAAUAUUUUAUGUAUUUUAGGGGCAUUAUAGUCAUUUCACAAUAAAAGAGAGAUCAGACGGCAAAACGGACAUCACUUUUGAACUCAGGACGGUCGAAAACCUUACGAGGAGCAUAAAAGGAAAAAUGGCACUAUUCACAUGUACGGUACUGUCUACGUUACUGUUCACGACACUGUUUACAUAUACGGAUCGAUGACGUGGCAUUGACCGAUGAUGUGGCAUUGACUGAUGAGGUGUCACGAUCCUGUUGGGUUAAAAUUCUUAUGAAUUGUUGAUGGUGACGUGGCAGCAUAUCAGUGGACGAAAAAUCUCGCGUACGGUACAUGCAUCACACAGGAUUAUUUUCAACCAAACUGUGUUACUGUUCAUCCGGGUCAAACCGUGUUACUGUUCAUCCGCGUGGUCAAACCACGUACUGUUGACUGAUGACGUGGCGCAAUCCUGAGCGUCCAAACUGUUUUUAAUCCGAUGGCCAUGAUUUACUCCAUGUAUCUAUAAAAAGAGGGCCUCUCCCCCCUAAUUUGAGAUCUUUGAAUCCAUUUUUGGGAUCCAUUUUCUGUAAUUCCUUCUCCAUCUUGUAUUUUCUUCGUAUUUUAAUAAAUUCUCAUUUUGCCCCUAGUUCAAUUAUGAGUGGCUAAUUUUCUUUCAAGCUUGGGUUGAAGGUGAAGUCUCAACAUGUGUCAUGGGCUUUAUUUGGUAAAUUUAUUUUCUCUUCCCCUCUAGUUUUUGUGGAUGUUUUGACUUCUCGUCGACAAAUAAUACUAAUUUUGUCUAGUACCGCCUUGGUUUCACCGGCCCCCUAGUACAAGGUUAUUAUUAUUUGGCACGAUAAGCCCUUAGCACCAUAUUGAUUAGACCGUGGUUCAUGUGGUGUGGAUUCCCCCCUCAUGAUUUAAUUGGCAUUAAUAAGGAUUAUUUAGCCCAUGAUGCAUGUUGAUACGGAUCCAGAUUCCCAAGUACGUCAUUUCAAUAGAAUUCUCUUCAAUUUAUUCUCGCCAUUUCAAUACCAAUUUUAGAAUUUAUUCUUGCCAUUUUAAUUUAAGUUUUAGCAUAUUCCAAAUCAUUUCCACCACAAAUCCAAUCACCCAUUUACAAAAUUAAUUCUACACAAUUAAAAUCCACCUCCUCGUGGGAUCGACACUCGUCACCAUUGAUCUAUACUACAAUAGAUUCGUGCGCUUGCGAGUACAUUAAAAUUUGCACAACAAGUUUUUGGCGCCGCUGCCGGGGAGGUAAGUAAUUUUAAUUCAUAGAAUUAAUUUUUGUGAAUAAUUUCUUUUAUUUGUUUUCUUGUAUUUUUUUAAUUAUUAAAAAAAAAGAAAAAAAAAGUGAAUCUACAUAUAAAGGUUAGUAUUUCUUUUCUUUUUCUCUUCUUUAAAAUUCUGUAAUUUAAUUUUCAAUUUAUUUUUCUUUGUAAUUUUUGUUUAUUUUAUUAAUUUAAUUUUUAGUUAAUUUAUUUCACGUAUUUGUUUUUGUGUAUUUUUAUAGAAAUGUUGUAAUAGCGCAAUAAGGUUAGUAUCGUAAUAUCUCCCUCUUCUUUAUUUGUUUUGUUCUCAUCUUUAUUUUUAUUUUAUUUGUUUUGCAUGCAUGGUCGUAGGUCAUUAUUACCUAAUCUUGAACCUAUAGACCUUGAACUUGAGAAAACACUUCGCACACACAAACACGUUAAACAUAAAAUGGAUUUACAAGCACCACAUGAGAGGCCAUUUAAGGAUUAUUUUAGUCCUUUAGCUAAUUUGAGCACAUCAUGCAUAAGAUACCCAAAUGUAGCUGCUAGGAGUUUUGAACUAAAACCUAGUGUGCUAAAUUGUCUCCCAACAUUUUAUAGCCUAGAAAAUGAGGACCCAUAUAAUCAUUUGAAUGAUUUUCAUGCCAUUUGUCAAACAUUUAAAUAUGAAAAUUUUUCAGACGAUGAUGUUAAACUUAGACUAUUCCCAUUUUCUUUAAAGGAUAGAUCUUGUUCAUGGCUUAAUACAUUGCCUGCUAAUAGCAUUGCAUCAUGGGGAAUAAAUGGUUACAAAAUUUUUGAAUAAAUAUUUCCCAGUGCAUAAAACCAAUGCUAUUCGCAAGGAAAUCUCGGAGUUUACCCAGAGAGAGGACGAGCAACUCACGAGAAUACGUUCCCAAAGCUCCAUUUCCUCAGAGGUUAGCUAAAAGCAAAAAGGGAAAAUCCACAGGUGAGAUUCUUGAAAUCUUCAAACAGGUAAGUGUUAACAUCCCUUUACUUGAUGCUAUAAAGCAAGUUCCAUCUUAUGCCAAGUUUCUUAAAGACCUUUGUACUAAAAAGAGAAAUAUGCAUGUUCAAAAGAAGGCAUUUUUAACAGAAAACGUUAGUUCUAUCCUCCAACAUAAAAUUCCUCUAAAAUGCAAAGACCCAGGCUCUCCCACUAUCUCAUGUAGCAUAGGGAACCACACAAUUGAGAAUGCUUUGUUGGAUUUAGGAGCUAGUGUAAAUUUUUUGCCUUACUCUGUAUUCGUGAAACUUGGACUUGGAGAAUUACACCUAACCCCAGUGGUGUUACAGCUUGCAGAUCGGUCCACGAAAAUACCUUGUGGCAUUGUGGAGGACGUGCUUAUCCAGGUAGACAAAUUUUAUUUUCUUGUUGAUUUCAUUGUAAUUGACACUCAACCAAUACAGGAUUCAAGGAAGCACAUCCCCAUUAUUCUAGGCCGACCUUUCUUGGCAACUGCGGAUGCUCACAUUCAAUGCAGGACAGGAAAUAUGCAGUUGUCCUUCGGCAACAUGACUAUGGAACUGAACAUCUUCAACAUUGCCAAACAACCUCACAGUGCAGAUGAUGGAAUUGUUGAUGUGGAUUUAAUAGAAACAAUAGUUGAUAAUACUUUUCUUUCAAACAUUAGUGAUGAUCCUUUACAAACAUGUUUAACUCACUUUGGUUUGGAUUUUGAUAUUGACAGAUCAGUUGAUGAGGUCAACGCCCUACUUGACUCAGCACCAUCCAUGGAUACUAAUAAAUGAAAGUCAAGAGUUGAACAACUAGCACCAUCAGAGAAGAAACUCAUCCCAUCAUCAGAAUCACCACCGAAACUUGAGCUCAAACCAUUACCCAACACUCCGGAAUAUGCAUUUUUGGGAGAAGAAAGUACUCUGCCGGUAAUCAUAUCAUCAUCCCUAAAUGACGAACAAAAAGGUAAGUUGUUGGAUAUUUUAAAAGAGCAUAAAGGAGCAUUAGGAUGGACCAUAGCAGACAUAAAAGUUAUAAACCCAAUAGACUGCAUGCAUUACAUUCACCUUGAUGAAAAUGCUAAAUCUACUAGGGAAAUGCAACGUCGGUUAAAUCCUAACAUGAAAGAAGUUGUUAGAACUGAAGUCCUUAAGCUAUUAGAUGCAGGUAUCAUUUACCCCAUUUCUGAUAGUUCAUGGGUCAGUCAUGUACAAGUUGUCCCCAAAAAGUCAGGAGUCACAGUAGUUACCAAUGCUGAUAAUGAAUUGAUACCAACUAGAGUAACUACAGGAUGGCGUGUAUGCAUUGAUUAUAGAAAAUUGAAUUCUAUCACACGUAAAGACCAUUUUCCUUUACCAUUUAUCGAUCAAAUGCUUGAUAGAUUGGUAGGCCAUGAAUUUUAUUGCUUUCUAGAUGGCUACUCAGGAUAUAAUCAGAUUCCCAUAACACCAAAAUAUCAAGAGAAAACUACUUUCACUUGCCCUUUUGGCACAUUUGCAUAUAAGAGAAUGCCAUUUGGAUUAUGUAAUGCACCUGCUACAUUUCAACGAUGCAUGUUGAACAUUUUUUCUGAUAUGUUUGAACGAUUCCUUGAAGUCUUUAUGGAUGAUUUUUCUGUCUUUGGUGACUCGUUUGAUCAAUGUUUACAUCAUCUAACAUUAGUUCUGCAGAGAUGUAUCGAGAAGAACUUGGUCUUAAAUGGGGAGAAGUGUCAUUUUAUGGUAAAACAAAGUAUUGUUCUCGGUCACAUCAUUUCGAGCAAAGGUAUUGAGGUUGACAAAGCCAAGGUGGAUCUCAUUUCUAAUCUUCCUCCACCCAAAACAGUCAGAGAGGUAAGAUCUUUCCUUGGGCAUGCUGGUUUCUAUAGACGUUUCAUUAAAGAUUUUAGCAAAGUUUCUAGACCCUUAUGCAAUUUACUUGCUAAGGAUGUACCUUUUAUCUUUGAUGAUUUAUGUCUUGUGGCAUUUGAAAAACUAAAGCAGUUGUUGACAUCAUCACCCAUUAUUCAGCCCCCAAACUGGAGCUUACCAUUUGAGCUCAUGUGUGAUGCAUCUGAUUAUGCAGUAGGAGCAGUAUUAGGACAAAGAGUUGAUCGAAUUCCCCACAUUAUUUACUAUGCUAGUAUGACAUUGAAUGAUGCACAGUUGAACUAUUCAACUACUGAAAAAAAAAUGCUAGCAGUAGUGUUUGCAUUAGAGAAAUUUCGAUCUUAUCUCAUUGGUUGUAAAAUAAUUGUAUUCACAGAUCAUGCUGCUCUUAAAUAUCUUCUCACAAAGAAAGAUGCAAAAACUAGACUAAUUCGUUGGGUGUUACUUUUGCAGGAAUUUGACUUGGAAUUCAAAGAUAAGAAAGGGACAGAAAAUGUUGUGGCGGACCACCUCUCUCGUCUCCAUUUUGACACAAUUACAGAGCCAUUAAUAUUGAAUGAGUCAUUUCCAGAUGAACAAUUAAUGAAUGUGGAAGUAUUACCAUGGUAUGCUGAUAUAGUUAAUUAUCUUGUUACAGGUAAACUUGCAGAGCAUUGGACCAAGCAAGAUAAGGCUAAAUUCUUUGCAGAGAUAAAGAAUUUCUUUUGGGAUGACCCGUAUUUGUUCAAGUAUUGUGCAGACCAAAUUGUUAGACGAUGUGUCCCAGAAAGUGAAAUUCAGAAUAUCCUUUCAUUCUGCCAUGAACAAGCUUGUGGAGGCCAUUUUAGUGCUAAGAAAACAGCAACUAAAGUUUUACAAUGUGGUUUCUAUUGGCCAACUAUAUUUCGAGAUGCUUACACUUUCUGUUCUUCAUGUGAUAGGUGUCAACGAAUGGGGAGCAUUACACGAAGGAACAUGAUGCCACUAAAUCCAAUUUUAGUGGUUGAGAUUUUUGACAUAUGGGGUAUCGACUUUAUGGGACCCUUUCCCCCUUCUUUUGGCCAUCAAUACAUAUUGGUUGGUGUUGACUACGUAUCGAAAUGGGUAGAAACAAUUCCAUGUAGAACCAAUGAUCACAAGGUGGUGAUAGGAUUUUUGAAAAGCAACAUUGUUUCGCGCUUUGGAUUCCCUCGAGCAAUAAUCAGUGAUGGUGGUGCCCACUUUUGUAACAAAGCAUUCAAAACUCUUUUGACAAAGUAUUCAAUCACACACAAAGUGGCGACCCCGUAUCAUCCGCAAACCAGUGGCCAAGUUGAGAUCUCCAAUCGAGAAAUAAAGCACAUAUUAGAAAAGACGGUGAAGCCGGACAGAAAAGAUUGGUCAUUAAGACUUGAUGAUGCAUUAUGGGCAUAUAGAACGGCUUUCAAGACCCCGAUUGGGAUGUCACCCUACAGGCUAGUGUAUGGAAAAGCUUGCCACCCACCUGUGGAACUCGAGCAUCGUGCGUAUUGGGCCAUCAAGAAAUUCAACUUUGACAUGCAGCAAGCCAGCUCAGAAAGAAGAUUACAACUGGCAGAACUUGAAGAAAUUCGCAAUGACGCAUACGAAAAUACCAAGAUUUACAAGCAACGGAUGAAAGUCUUCCAUGACAAGCAAAUUAUGAGAAAAUCAUUCACUCCAGGUUAGAAAGUGCUUUUAUUCAAUUCUCGCUUGCACCUAUUCCCAGGUAAGUUACGCUCUCGAUGGUCUGGUCCCUUUAUUGGUCAUACUGUUUUUCCACAUGGGGCAAUUGAAAUUAAGGACCCAAACAACGGUGUCACGUUUAAAGUUAAUGGUCAAAGAUUAAAGCCAUAUCUAGAGUACCAACCACAUGGAGAAGACACCGAAAUAAAUUUGAGUGACCCACCAGAUUUGAAUUGAUUUUUUUUCUUUUCGUUGAUUUGAUUUUUUUUUCUUUAUAUUAUUCUUCUGCUAAUUGAAAUUAUUUUUGCAUAAAUGUGUUUGUUUAACUAUUAAGUUUUCUUUUAUCGUUUUUAAUCAUGAGUACCUUACUUAGACCGUUCCUCCUGAACAUUCUUAAACCACUUCAACGUGUCAAAACUCAUCUCAAAAGGCAGAUUCAAUUUUGUAAAACACAUCGCAUUUGGGCUCUACAACCACCAGAGUUAGUAGCCUAUGUUGAGGGUUUAGAAAGACAACUCAGAGACAUUGAGAGAAGUGUUUACGACAUCCAGUUGGAGCUUGAGGUAAAUUCAAUAAGAGGACAAUUUUAAUUUUCUUUGUGUGUUUUAAUUUAUUUUUCUGUUUGUGUGCUUUAGUUUGUUACCCCGGUGAAGUGGCGGAUAACGGUACUCCGUGACAAUCAAGUCGGUUACUUCAGUUUCUCAUAAUAACUGAUAUUCUGAGGUGAAAGUAUGGACAGAAACGAGAUUCUAGCGAAGCUUCACAAGCGAUUCCCUUCACUUCCUCAGAAUGCCCUCCUUACGAUCUAUAAAGCUCGGUCCGAACGCAUGCGAUUACUCAUGAGGAAUAACAUACCUGCUGACAUCCGUUGGUUAAUCGAGGCUAAAGUACGAUCGGCAGGUGAGUUACCUCCAAAAUUUAUUGCAUACAUGCCUGGUUGUGGUAAAGGAAAUUAUGCAAGAAAACGACGAGCUCGAAGAAUUUCUGUUGCUUGUCAUAAGUGUGCCAGAAUGAGCAGGAAUAAAAACCCAUGUUCUUUAGGAAUGGUGUCUGAUAACAGGGAAUAUAAGAUUCAAUUAAUUAGGGAUGGCUUGAAUAAGGAGUCAUUGGAUGAUAUCCUUUUAUCUCUUGAAACGCAUCCCAAUGGAUAUGUGCAAGGAGCGAUUCUCCAGUUAUGGCCAUUAUUCCAGAAAGAGCAUGCACGAUAUAGUCUCGGGAAUCUGACUAUAAACGACCCUGUUUGCCAGUUUAUAAGAAAACUAGAUAGGAAGCCUAUCCUCGACCCAUAGAGGGCGUUUAAGCCGUUUCUGGACGUAAAACCAGAGGAAGAUGUGAGCUACAGUCGCAACUACCUGUAAAUAUCCUUUCACUUUACUGUUAUUUUAUUUCACUAUUGUUUUAUUGUGUGCAUUAUUGUCUUUAAUAAUUUUAUUACUGUUUACUUUUUCCUUAUUACUGUUUGCUUUUUCCUUUUUACUGUUUCCUUUUUGACUCGCGAGCCACGUGCUUUACGCGUUAUUUGACACUGACGUGUUACCUCAUACACAACUGUGACCCACUGUCACCAAGACUCUUAAAUGUGAUUUUUUUUUGUCAAGCACUCACAAAUUAUUUUUUGAGAAGUAUCACAAUGGUAGCUCCUCCAAAUAGACAAUUCAAGAACAUUUGUGUGAUUUCUGGAUUUACCUAUGGCAAACAUAAAGAGUUCGUUGAGGCAGCCAUCGAUCUUGGUCGAAGUAUAGCAGAGAGAAAAUUACACUUGGUGUAUGGAGGAGGUAAUCGAGGGUUAUCAAAAAUGGUCUCAGAAGCAGCUUUUAUCAGAGGCAGCCAAGUGUUAGGCAUCAUCCCAAGAGCCCUAAAACCUUUGGACAGUUCGUCUGACUCAUCAACUGGAGAAGAGUUAGUCGUCUCAAGUAUGCAUGAAAGAAUAACUGAAAUGCUUAAUCAUUUUAUUUUCCUUCCAGGAGAUCUUGCAACACUAGAGGCACUUAUCACACUAGCAUCUUGGGCCCAUCUGCACAUCCACCAGAAACCCAUUGGUUUGUUAAAUGUCAAUAACUUUUAUGAUGGCUUUAUCGCAUUUCUUAACCAUGCAAUAAAAAACUAUUUCAUUCCCUCUAAUGCGAAAAAACUCUUUAUUUGUGCUCACACUGCUAAUGAGCUACUUGAUAUGUUACAAGCUUAUAGACCGGAGCCAGACCCCUGGACCUUUGUGUUGGAGCAUCCAAAUAAUGAUGGUAACAGUAGCCGCAGUAAGAAGUACAAAUUAGAUUUAACUCUCCACUUGUAAAUAUUGUUUUCUGUGUUGCACCACCCAGUUGAUGUCUUCUAAACUCUACUUCUUUCCUUUCAAACAUUGAGGACAAUGUUUCGUUCUGGUUGGGGGGAGGGAAUAGUCGACAAUUGUGAAAUUUUGGUUAAGUUUUUACUAAUUUUUUGUUGUAGAAACUAACUGUUGCUAACUUUUUGUGUUGAAGAUGGCUGAAUAUGGAGUGUAGUGACUCUAGAAACGCAUCUUCAUCGUUUAAAAAAAAAUUAAAAAACUAAAAAAAAAAUUCAGACAUUUUCUUUUUCUUUAUUCUGUUUUUAUGUUUAUUUUUCUUCUUUUUAAUUUCUCCUCUAUAAAUAUACAUUUUCCAACUUAUGAGUCGAAGAUGGCUGAAUAUGGAGUGUAGUGCCUCUAGAAACACAUCUUCUUAAAAAAAAAAAACCAUUUUCGUUUUCUAUCAUUUUACGUGUAACUUUUUUUAAUUAGUUUUUAUGCAUCAUUUUCACAUUUCUGCAUGCAUAUUUUCCUUUCACGUUUAGAAUAGGUUGGGGGGUAGAAUGUUGUUUAAAAAAAAAAUUGUGUGAUUUGUUUUAACAUUGGAUGACAUGAUUAAUUUCAAAUUUUAGUAUUUGUAUUAUCUUUGGUCUUAAGUGAUGUUACAUUAUGUUUGCUACUCUACAUGUUGAUGUCGGAGACAAAUAUGAGUUGCUUGAAGGAAUGAACAUGUCAUAAUAAGUACCAAGUGAGUUUUUGAGAUUAUCAUUUUUCUUGGAGAGUAACCCUUUUGCCCAUUCUUUAUACAGCUUAACAGUUUAUUAUUGUAUACACGAUCUCUAGAUUUCUUUUGAGUUAACCCUUAAAAAAAAAAUUAUAAAAUUAAAAAAAAAAGAAAAAAAAUGUGUGUAGCUACAUUUGGAGGCCCAUCUAACUAGUAGAUAUAGAUGAUUAUUUAGAGCCCUAAAAGACGAUGGAAAGGCCAUCUUUGAUCCGUUUGAGCCUUUCUAACCAUCCCUUUUAUUAAAUAUCCAUAGUUAACCCUUUUGAGCCUUUAAAAAAAUAUAUAUAUAUUUUCUUUGUCAACUUAUCAUCUUGACCCACUCCGAUUUGGAGUAUUACCCGAUGUCUUAUAAGUUCCAUCACCUAUUUAUGUUUGAGAAAAUGUAAAUAAUUAUUUUAUUUAGUGACGUUGUGCCAAGCAAAAGCAAAAAAAAAAUAAUAAUAAUAAUAAUAACAAUAAUAGGUGAAAUCCACCUUGUAACUUCCAAAAAAAAAAAAAUUUCCUCUGCAUUUUUCUCAAACAUACACUUUGUUUUCCUUAUUUCCCUUCUUUGUUAACCAUGUCCCUAGCCUACGUUACAUCCUAAUAAAAGUCCUUCCCGAUUUUAGGGAACUAUAAUCUGAAGUAGAAACUAGUUAUAUGGGCUAAAAAGAUGUAGUGGUGCAUAAUAAAAAUAAAUAAAUAAAUAAAAGAAAAAAAAAAGAUAAAUAAAUUGGGUUGACUAGCAUUUUUAUUUGACUUGAGAUCGUAUUAUUUCUAAGCUGGGGGCAUAUUUAUUUCAUCUUGGUGAGAGCAUGUGAUAUCACUUUUUUAUUAUUUUCUCUCUCAAUUACAUUCAUUGGAGUGACUAUUUUUAUUGGUUUUAAUUUCUUUGUGAGAGUGUCACUACUUCCAGUGAGAUUUUGGGGUUUGACAUGUCAUUCUUGAAAGUAGCUAUAACGAAGUCUACUGGGCUGAUUCAUGUGGAUGGUUGAUGUGGGUGUGAUGUUGCUUUAGACUGGAGAUAAUGCUUAUACUUUUAUUUGAUUGCUAUCAUUAAUCUGAUUGAAUAAACACGAGUGUUUCUAAAAAAAAAAAAAUCAUUUUGAAUUUGAAUUUUAUUUUCGCUUUAUUUGCUAGGGACUAGCAAUAAGCUGGUUGGGGGGUGUGUUGAGUGUUAGAAAAUGCAUAUUUAUAAAGGAGAAAACCAUCAUUUUACAUUUCAAGUCUUACUAACAACCCUUACUUUUAUGUAUUUAAUCUUCUUGUGAUUUAAUUACAUGUGUUUUAUUUUAAUUAAGUAUUUUAUGUAUUUUAGGGGCAUUAUAGUCAUUUCACAAUAAAGGAGAGAUCAGACGGCAAAACGGACAUCACUUUUGAACUCAGGACGGUCGAAAACCUUAGGAGGAGCAUAAAAGGAAAAAUGGCACUAUUCACAUGUACGGUACUAUUCAUGUGUACAGUACUGUCUACGUUACUGUUCACGACACUGUUUACAUAUACGGAUCGAUGACGUGGCAUUGACCGAUGAUGUGGCAUUGACUGAUGAGGUGUCACGAUCCUAUUGGGCUAAAAUUCUUAUGAAUUGUUGAUGGUGACGUGGCAGCAUAUCAGUGGACGAAAAAUCUCGCGUACGGUACAUGCAUCACACAGGAUUAUUUUCAACCAAACCGCAUUACUGUUCAUCCGCGUGGUCAAACCGCGUACUGUUGACUGAUGACGUGGCGUAAUCCUGAGCGUCCAAACUGUUUUUAAUCCGAUGGUCAUGAUUUACUCCAUGUAUCUAUAAAAAGCGGGCCUCUCCCCCCUAAUUUGAGAUCUCUGAAUCCAUUUUUGGGAUCCAUUUUCUGUAAUUCCUUCUCCAUCUUGUAUUUUCUUCAUAUUUUAAUAAAUUUCCAUUUUGCCCCUAGUUCAAUUAUGAGUGGCUAAUUUUCUUUCAAGCUUGGGUUGAAGGUGAAGUCUCAACAUGUGUCAUGGCUUAUUUGGUAAAUUUAUUUUCUCUUCCCCUCUAGUUUUUGUGGAUGUUUUGACUUCUCGUCGAAAAAUAAUACUAAUCUUGUCUAGUACCGCCUUGGUUUCACCGGCCCCCUAGUACAAGGUUAUUAUUAUUUGGCACGAUAAGCCCUUAGCACAAUAUUGAUUAGAGCGUGGUUCAUGAGGUGUGGAUUCCCCCCUCAUGAUUUAAUUGGCAUUAAUAAGGAUUAUUUAGCCCAUGAUGCAUGUUGAUACGGAUCCAGAUACCCAAGUACGUCAUUUCAAUAGAAUUCUCUUCAAUUUAUUCUCGCCAUUUCAAUACCAAUUUUAAAAUUUAUUCUUGCCAUUUUAAUUUAAGUUUUAGCAUAUUCCAAAUCAUUUCCACCACAAAUCCAAUCACCCAUUUACAAAAUUAAUUCUACACAAUUAAAAUCCACCUUCUCGUGGGAUCGACACUCGUCACCAUUGAUCGAUACUACAAUAGAUUCGUGCGCUUGCGAGUACAUUAAAAUUUGCACAACACCAAGCACAUGUUGGUACUUGAAGAUUUAUAAGCUCCAUCCUUGAAAAAAUAAAGCUUGACUGUUUUCAAUCUAAUUCUUUUUGUUUUAAGUUCUUAAUUAAGCUUUCUUGCUUGUUUUCAAGAGCCAGUUUUGUAAUGAUCCACAAACAUGAUUUGCAUAUACAGUAUUGCACUUGGCAUUUAUGUAUCACUUAUUAAUUAGAUUUAAAUUUUAUAAACUAAUUAAGUUGAUUAAUAUUUUAUAUGUGCAAAUAUUUUAUAUGUGCACUAAAUGAUAGAUACUACAUAAAUUGGGACACUAUAACUACGUAUCCUAACUAUGUAAUAUUUGUUUGUCUCAAACCCAAUCAUGGCUUGAUAUUCUGAAUACUAUUUAGGAUAACAUUUCAAGCCCCAUGAGGGCUCUUUCCAUUUAAAAAAAAAGAGUAUGAAAUAGAUGUAGAUUUUUCUUUAGAUAUUAUUAGUGAGAGUACCUUUGAUGGCAAUGGUUCGGGAUGAUUUGAGAUUUGACAAUUCCGUUCUCAUCUUAAUUAUCAAAUGGAAUGUAAGUAGAGAUAAACUCGUCCUGUUUAUAUAUUUGUGAUCAAAAUUAGGACCAAUAUCAAACCGCUCACAAUCAUGUCCCAUCCUAACUAUCCUGAAUGUCUCGAUUGCCUCCCUUAAUUAUCUUUUUAAUUCUCAUUAACAUAUUAGCAAAAUUUCCAUAUAUUAAAAAAUUAGGGUCCGACUAUCUAUACUUUAAAAAUCAUUAUGAACACUCAAUUAUUUAUGCACUCAGCAAAUAAAUUUAAAAAAUUAAGUUUUACUUUCUACGCUUUUUUUUAGGAGUACUUUCUACACUUUUUAAAAUAACAAAAACAUCUUUACAUGAACCUAAUAAGUUUAUUUAAAAAAAUUAAAUCAACUAUUUUUAUUUAUUCAAAAUACUAAUAAAAAUAUUUAGCAAACCGUGAAAGAAAUUUUUUAAGAAAUUUAACAUGAUUUUAGUUAUUACUUAUUGUUUAUUAAAGAAUGUGUUCACUAUUGUUUUUAAUUUUGUUAGUCAAAAAAAAAAAAGAAGAAGAAGUUUGGGUUUAAGAUACAUUUAAUUUUUAGUGUAACAGUUGUAAUAUAUAGCUUUAUUUACCCAAGUGGGCAAUACAUUUAAUUUUUAGUGUAACAGUUUCAUUCAUACGACGCUUUCAAAACUAAAAGUACUUUUAAAAAUAAAUUUUACUAAAUGUUCAGCUGAUUUUCUUGACGAUUGAUCAAUUUCUACAGUAUAGCUAAUUGCAAUUAUUUUAAAAGCUACAGGAUUACCAAAUUGACCAUAAAUCAAACCAAUAAAAAUGUUUAAAAGUAAUAAUUAUAAACCAAAGUAAACGUACAAAAAUUCAUGCAUAAACUGAUAAUCAACAAAAACAUCCACAAGUUUAACUCCAAGUUUUCUAUUCAAUUGACAUAACCCUUAAAUUUCAAAAGGCAUAAUCAAUUUUGUGUCUAAUCCUAUAAAAUUAGAAAAUUAAAGAAUAUUAUAUACUGAUAAUUAAAUAAUAUGCAAUUAAUAAUGUUAAAUAUAUUGUCAACUAAAAUAAUUGGAGAAUUGGAGUUCCAAGAUAAAUUCUUAUCUAGUCCCAAAUCAACAAAUGGGAUUAACGAGCUGCUAUUGAAAUUAAUGUUAACAACAAAAAUAGAUGCAAAAGGAGAAACAGGCAUCAUGUGCAGUACCCACUGUGAACUGCUCACAAGUUGUUGGCAGCUGGUCAAAAAUUCAAUGUUGAUUUUGAUCCCACUAAAUUAAGUCAUCAAAAAUUACUCACCGUACAAUGAUGAUUGGGCUGCAUAUAUCAUUUAUUAUUAUCAGCUAACUUAUGAAAUGCUUUUGAAUGUACCUCCUAGGUCGUAUUAUUUACUAUACUAGUUAGGAGAAAUUGCAAUGUUAAAUUAUUUGAUAAAUACUUAUUAUAAUUUAAUAAAUAUGUUAAUUUUGUCCUCCACUUUAUGAUAAAAAAAUUUAUAAUAUAUAUAAAUUAUUUAUUCUAUAAUCUUGAACUUUAUUAAAGUUCGAAAAAUUAUUACUCUAUAUGAUAUAAUAGUGUGAUGUAAUUACACUAUUAUACCAUAUAAAAUAUAUUUGCUUUCUUAAAUUUUAAUAAAGUGUAGGUCUUGGACAGAAGCACUUUAUAUAUAUAUAUGUAUAUAUAAUGAUUCUCUAGCAACGACAUCCUCAUUUUAACAAAGUGAUUAUAUUAUUAACAAACUAAAUAACACACAUUUCAAUACACCAAUAGACAAAAAAAAAAUAUAAUUUUUAAUGUGUUAAAAUAUAUGUCUUUUUUAUAUUAUUGAUAUUUUCACUUUAACAAAGUGAGGGUCUCCUCAUUAUAGAAGUACUUUAUAAAUAUUCUUUGUAUUUUUGUGAAAAUUAUUAUUUAAAUGUCAUAUCUUACCAAAGACUAUUAGUUUUUAUUUUAUUACUACACUGUACUUUUCAAUAUAGAACACUUUAAUACCAUGACUUUAAUUUUUGAACUCUCUUGUACAAAGUUGUUGGCUGGUCUAUUUAGCUUAGUCUUUCAAUUAUUUGUCGUUUGAACUGAGAUGAUCCGAAUAAAGCUAUGUAUCAAUAAUUUCCUAGUGAAACUUCGGGAAAAAAUAAAAAUCCUCUCAUACAGUAGCAUUAUUUUAAUUCUCAGCUUGAUUAUGUUUUGAGUUAACUUAUAGAUUAUUUGAAAUGAAAAUAAUAUAAUUUAUGUUUUCCAACUGAAAUUUUUAAAUAAUUUUAUUAGUUUGAUGAGUAAGUAUACACCUACAAAGUUAUGAUAUAAAAUUAUAUCCCAGAAUCCCAAUAAUAUAACACCAAUUAACUACUGUUAUGUGUUUCUUAGUAAUUAAUUUUUUAUACUAUUAUUAAUGAGAUAAUUAACUUCAACACCAAUAAACAAAUUUUAUAUUAAUACAUCCUCUAACUUUAUUAUCAAAUAAUCAUACGCCAUAAUCAAACCAAGCUACCAGAGCCUACCACUAAAAGAUUGAUAGAAGGGUUUUCCAAGUUUUAAAAUGUUAGUAGCAUUAUGGCAACUUCCAGGAAUCUUCCUGCUACAAUCAAUCAUUUAGUGAAAUGCCCAAAUGACACAAAGGACCCCGCCAACCGUGAAGUCACAUAAUUUAUUUAUUUGUAAAUGAAAAAUAAGGUUCCGAUAGGAAGAAAUCAGCGCCUUAUAAUGUAUGAUUACCCGUAUGUCAAGUUUGGCGAUUAUAAGUCAUCAUCACAAUAACUUUGGACUUUAAUAUUUAAGUCUCUGUUUGGGACCAAUGUAUGGCAGUUGGACAACACAUCACUCAAUUAUAGAGUGUGAAAUAUUGAUAUUGUUCUUAUUAUUUUACGUAAUGUAUAAAUUUUUUCUUUUAUUUUUGUUUGUUUAUUUAUUUUUUAUACUUAAUAAAUAUAAAUUUAUUUUUUUAAUAUUUAACAAAUAUUGCCAGAAAUAACAAUCAAUGACCCAAAUCCUUUUAUUUUACAGAAAUAAUUUCAAUUCACAACAACCGUGACGUUACAUUACCAAACAAACACUAAAGUUUUGAUGAUUGUAGUUUAUGUUUCAUUCAUUGCAUGAAGAGUUUGAAAUAUGAUCUCAAAACAAAGAGUACGGCAUGUCAUGUUGGAUUUACAGAAUAAGUGUAUGCCAUGUCAUCCGGAAACUAGAAGGCGCGUAUGACAACCAGACGCUGUCAUGUCUGACUUGCUUACAAUUUUAAGUAUGAAUUCUGGGUUUUGAGUGACAAUUAAAAGCCCGAGUGAGAAUUAGAGAGAAAGUUAUAUAUCUUAUUUAUUCCUAGCCACUUGCUAUAUUGUGUAGGUCUUUUGUGACUCCAAUAAUAAAAAUCCUCAAUAUAUAUAUAUAUAUAUAUAUUGAUAGAGCAAUAUUUGUUAAAGCAUAAAGAAAGGCAAAAAUAUUGUAAAUCCAUCUCAAAUUUUCUGUUUAUUUUGGUCGCUGCUAGUGCUAGUUGUUUUCUUGUUGAACUUUGUUCCCUUUUGCCAUAAGCUCUUAGCAUUUUCAUUGGAUCAAGCGACCCUUUUCUUGUUUCAAUUUCUGAUCUCAAAAGCACUUUGAUUCUCUUCUGUUACACUGAUUUUCUCUUUGUUUUGUACAAAUAUUAUUUCUCUUUCCCAUUUAGCCUUGAUUUGCUUCUACUUGACUAUCAAUUGCCCAGUCGCUGACCCUGUUGUAUUUUUAUUUCGUUCACUUCAAAUAGAACCAAAAAAAAAAAAAAAAAGAGAUGUUGUAUAAAACCUAAAAUUUUUGUUCACUUCAAUCUUCGUGAUUUGGCUGAUUUCUUUUAAAGCUUUGAUUUCUUUAGAAGUACAAGAAGAAAUAGUAAUAAGAUUAAAAAAGCAAUGAAGUAAAACUUAAAAAUUUUUAUUUCUUCAUAUUUUUAUCGGUCAUUUUACCGGCACUGGCGUUUGAUUUUCUGACCAAGCUACUGUUUAGUUCUAAGCUCUGUUUCGUGUAUCACCGACACAAUGAGGCUUAGCAUCUAAAAGUCGGCAGCCAUGCAACUUCUUGGAAUCUUCAUGCAAGUGUUGGAUAUCGACUGUUCGAUAAUGAUGGCAGCAUUGGACUGGACUGUAAUUGACGCAGAUAUUGUCAGAUAUUUCAUUGAUUAAGGAUCACAAAUAAUGGCUAUUGGAUGAGGAUCACAUGUUUUAUGACAGUGGUAAUGGCAUGCCACUAAUGUAAGUGAAGCAUUACUUUUAAAUAAUGAUAUUAUAAUUAAAAAUCUACAAAUAUUUAUAAUACCUAAAGACUAAUUCAGAUUAUUAAUUUGUUUAUAUGACUUAAUUAUUAGCUGACAAAUAAUUAAAAAUUCAUGGAACAAUAUUUAAUUGACGCAGAGGAAUAAGGAUCACAAAUAAUGGAUAUUGGAUGAGGAUCACAUUGGAGUGUUGUAAUGCAACACAUAUUCACAAAAGCGUUGUUGAUGAAGUCUAUUCUCCGCUUAGCUUAGACGUGCAGAGCAGUAAAUUUCAGAGCGAAAUUAUAGAUGUGUUUUAUAAUGGGAUUCAUAAGAUUUUAUAUUUAAAAAAUUAGUAAGGUUUAUUGUGAGUCUCACUAUAGCACAUGAGAAAAUAUCAUUAGAGAAGUUCAUCAUGACCUAUCUCGUGUAAAUUUCUCUUCUAGCAAUUGUGGCUUUGAGUUUAGUUUUAGGGCUCAUUUAAUGGGAUACCAUAGUUGGACCAUAUUAUAGUUGGGUCUAACCAUUGACAACUCUGAUGACUGCCGUAGACUGAUUCAAUGGUACCACUUUAUCAGGUAUUAUUAAUUUUUAUUUCAAAAAUUAAAACUUUCAUUUUAUUACAACUGACAGCUGACCCCACACAUUUCGAUGAUUAUAAUUUAUCUUUCAUUCAUAAUAUGCCAGCAAAUGUUACAUCGCAAUUACGAAUAAUUUAUGUCCUUCACCCCCGACAUUGAUAUUAGCAAUUUUCAGUUAGAAGUUAAAUCAUCCCAGCAUUAGCAUUUUUUGUAUAACAUCAUUUUAAUUAAUAGAUUAGAAACGUGAUUCACGUUUGACAAUAAUUUUCUCUUUUGCUGUUUUGUCGUUAUAGUUUACUGAGACGAGAAAGAAAUAAUUGCUCGUUUGGAUACUCUCUGUAUUCACAUUUGACAAAAUAAAUAAAUAAUUUCUUUUUACUGUUUUGUUCCUUUUACUGUAUGAUAUUGAACAAAAUAAUUUUUUUCAGAUCGCUCAAUAGAAUUGCUUCAAAUCAGUUUUACCAGUUAUAAUUCAUCAGCUCCUACUCUUUGCGUUCAAUUCUCAAUCAAGAAACCCUCUCCUGACCUAGCUUUGCUCCCUUCUGCCAUCACCUCUCUGUAUACUCAUUGGAUCAAGAAACCCUUUUCUUGUUUCAAUUUUCUGAUCGCAACAACACUUUGAUUCUCAUCUAUUACACUGAUUUUUUCCUUGUUUUGCUCAAAUACAAUUUCUCUUCCUAAUUUAGUCCCGUUCCCUUUCACCGUCAUCUGUUUUUUCUUCGGCUUCUUCAUUGAUUAAAAAUUGUCCAGUCGUUUCCCCUGUUCUUUUUCUGUUUCUUUCACUUCAGAUCAAUCCAUCCUCCCACAACACCCCCCCCCCCAAAAAAAAAAAAAAGAAAAGAAAAAGUAUUGAAGGUGAUGGAAUCCAUUGUUACUGUCGUUUUAGAGGUUGUAAAAUGCUUGGCUCCUCCAGCACAACACCAACUUCGUUACUUGCGUUGCUCCAAUGACAACUUUGAGAAUCUCAAGGCUGAAAUCGAGAAGCUCAAGGAUAAAAGUAGGAGCAUUCAACGCAGAGUUUCAGAGGAUGAAAGAAAAGGAGAAAAGAUUGAAGAGGAGGUUGAGAAAUGGCUGGUUAAUGCGAACAAGAUCAUUGACCAUGCAGACAAAUUCAUUGACGACGAGGAGGCAACAAAUAAGCUAUGUCUCAAGGGUCUGUGCCCUAAUCUGAAGACCCGCUAUCAGCUUAGCAAGAAAGCAGAGGCAGAGGUGAAGGCACUUGUCAAAAUCCGAGAAGAAGCUGCAAGAUUUGAUGAUAGAAUUUCCUACCGUACCAUUCCGGAGGAGAUAUGGCUCAAGUCUCACAAAGGCUACGAGGCCUUCGAGUCAAGACUUUCUUCUUUGAAGGCCAUACAAAAUGCAUUGAUCGAUGUUAAUGUUAGUGUCGUUGGGGUGUACGGCAUGGGCGGCAUUGGAAAGACGACACUGGUGAAGAAGGUCGCCAGGCAAGCUAUGGAAGACAAGCUCUUUGAUAUGGUGGUCUUUUCAGAGGUUUCGCAAACUCCAGACAUAAAAAAGAUUCAACAGGAAAUUGCCGAGAAGUUGGGCCUGGAGUUGCACGAGGAAGUUGAAUCUAGAAGAGCAAGUAGACUAUUUGAGCGAUUGAGAAAUCACAAGAAGAUCCUUGUGGUUUUAGAUAACAUUUGGAAACACCUUGAUUUGGAGACAGUUGGAAUUCCUUUUGGAGAAGACCAUAAAGGCUGCAAACUACUGCUGACGGCAAGAGAUCGUAGUGUCCUUUUAAAAAUGAGUUCUAAAGACAACUUUUUGAUAAACAAUUUAAAUGAAGAAGAAGCCUGGAGAUUGUUUAAGAUGAUGGCCGGUGAUGAUGUUGAAAAUCGUGAGUUGAAAUCUACAGCAAUAGACGUCGCCAGGGCAUGUGGAGGUUUGCCCAUUGCCUUGACCACAGUAGCAAAGGCACUGAGAAGCAAGAGUCUGCAUGAAUGGAAGAAUUCCUUGCGAGAACUCCGAACGCCUUCAAUGGUGAACUUCGAAGGAGUAUCUGCAGAGACUUAUUCAAGUAUUGAGCUGAGUUUCAACCAUUUAAAAGGUGAGCAACUCAAGAAAAUUUUUCUCCUCUGUAGUCUAAUGGGUAACCGUAUUCAUACUUUGGACCUGUUUAAGUACUCCAUGGGUUUGGGUAUAUUUAAAGGAGUCAAUAAGAUGGAAGAUGCACGAGACAAAUUAUAUGCAUUGGUCCAUGAACUUAGAGACUCUUGUUUGUUGCUUGAGGGUGAUAGCAAUGAAGAAUUUUCAAUGCAUGAUGUUGUUCGCGAUGUCGCAAUAUCAAUUGCAUGCCGCCACCAACAUGUGUUUUCGGUGAGAAAUGAGGAUGUGUGGGACUGGCCAGAUGAGGAUGCACUUCGAAAAUGCAAUGCUGUCUCUUUAAGAAAUAAUAGUAAUCGUGAAUUUCCUGAAGGAUUAGAAUGCCCAAACCUUGAAUUUUUAUAUAUCUCUCUCAAAGAUUUUUCUCUUGAAAUCAAUAUUCCUGAGAACUUUUUUGUAGGGAUGAAAAAGCUUAGAGUUCUAGAUUUUACUCGAAUGCAGUUUUCUUCAUUUCCAUCUUCAAUUGAUCUUCUAGUAAAUCUUCACACACUAUGUCUGGAUCAAAGUGCGUUGGGGGACAUAGAAAUCAUUGGGAAGUUGAAGAAUCUAGAAGUCCUUAGCUUUCUGAUGUCUGAUAUUAUGCAGUUGCCAGAAGAACUAGGUCAAUUGAAUAAGUUGAGAUUGUUAGAUUUAACCAAUUGUUUCCAUCUAAAAGUUAUUGCGCCCAAUCUCAUAUCAAGCUUAACUCGAUUAGAAGAGCUGUAUAUAGGUAAUUGCUUCAUUGAAUGGGAGGUUGAAAGAGCCAAUAGCAAAAGAAGUAAUGCUAGCCUUGACGAAUUGAUGCAUUUACCUCGGCUAACCACUCUAGAAAUUGACGUUAAAAAUGACAUUAUUUUACCAGAGGGUUUUUUGGCCAGAAAGCUGGAAAGGUUCAAAAUAUCUAUUGGAAAUGAGUCAUUCAGGCAUCCCAUGAGUGUUGGACAAGAUUGGUUCCAAAGUCGGCUGCAGUUUUCGAUCAACAGUGAUCGCAAGAGUUUAAGAGCAUUGAAGCUCAAGCUUGAUUUUAUGGACAUUUGCUCCACGAAAUUGCAGGGCAUCAAUAACGUUGAAUGCUUAUGGUUGGACAAGCUGCAAGGCAUCGAGAAUGUUCUUUUCAAUUUGGACACGGAGGGCUUUUCACAAUUGAAGCUUCUCUGGGUUCAAAAUAAUCCUGACAUCUUUUGUAUCGUCGAUUCAAGGGAGAUGGUCGGUUGUGAUGCCUUUCCUCUUUUGCAGUCACUUAUCCUUCACAAUUUGAUCAACAUGGAGAGGUUAUGUAUUGAUCGGCUCAAAGUAGAGUCUUUCAACCAACUCAAAAACAUAGAAGCAUAUAAUUGUGAUAAGUUGAGCAAUAUCUUUUGGUUCUCUACUACAAAAUGCCUUCCAAGACUUGAGAGAAUUGCAGUUAUUAAUUGCAGCAAGAUGAAAGAAAUUUUUUCAAUUGGGGAAGAAGUUGAUAAUGCAAUUGAGAAGAUAGAGUUUGCUCAAUUAAGAUCUUUGAGUCUGGGGAAUCUUCCAGAGGUUACAAGUUUUUGCUGUGAGGUGGAGACUCCUUCAGCAUCACCGAACAGACAAGUGUCGCAAGAGGAAUCGACGGCUAUGUAUUGCUCCAGCGAAAUCACUUUGGAUAUUUCAACUCUACUUUUCAACGAGAAGGUGCGUAGGCUAACAUUUUCUUUAUUCUAUAAUGCGUUCUCUUUUGAUGUCAUACGUGGAAAAUAAUUAAAUCAUUUAAAGAAUGGAAAGAAAAUGGAAAAAAGGAUAAAAAGAAUCUCACGCGCUCACUAAUUGAGCUCUUAACAAGUAGUAUCAAUUAGAAUGCAUACUCAGCUGUCAGUUGGAAAUUGAUUCUGACUUGCAUUAAUUUGUAAUCAAAGAAGAAAAUUUCAACAAGUGCUUCCCAUAUGGAUAUUGGAUCUAACGAGAAAUUCUUAUUUUUUUAGGUUGCGUUGCCUAACUUGGAGGUUUUGGAGAUAUCUGAAAUUAAUGUCGACCAGAUUUGGCACUACAAUCAUCUUCCGGUCACGUUUCCUCGCUUUCAAAAUUUAACACGAUUGAUUGUGUGGCAUUGUCACAAAUUAAAAUACAUAUUUUCAGCGUCUAUGAUCAGAAGCCUUAAGCAGCUCCAACGCCUGGAAAUAUGCUCCUGUGAGGAUUUACAGGAGAUCAUUUCUGAAAACAGAACAGAUCAAGUGAUCCCUUAUUUUGUCUUUCCACAGCUCACCACUCUGAAACUCCAAGAUCUACCAAAACUUAGAUGUUUGUACCCUGGAAUGCAUUCUUCGGAAUGGCCUGCACUAGAAAUUCUUUUAGUGUAUGGUUGUGACAAAUUAAAGAUAUUCGCUGCAGAUUUAUCGCAGAAUAAUGAGAAUGAUCAACUUGGUAUUCCUGCACAACAGCUCCCAUUGCCGUUGGGAAAGGUAUGAAGCCAUUUUCUAGAUUUUUUAUCAAUAGCUUAUUUUUAACUUUGAAAAAUAUGACAAAGCAUCGAUAAAUUAAUGCUCAAUAAAUUGAAAACUUUUAUUAUACAAUAAUCUUUGCUAGUCUAGACUAAGGGAUCAAUAUGGUAGAUUCAUAAUUAUAUGAACUUUUUUAGGCAUAGCAUUUAUAAAAGAAUCCUCAGUCUUUCCAUUUAGAAGAACUUACAAAAUAAAUUAGUAAUUUACUAUUGUGCAAUAAAAUAAUUUUGAGCCAAUAUAAAUCAACUAUUUUUCCCUAAUUUCUUGCUUUACCUCUAAAAUUAACAUACAAAAUAAAUUUUAUCAAUAAUUCAAUUUUUUUUAAAAUAUAAUAUAAAACAAAUGCUAUAAAGUCACUGCGUGUGACCGUAGAUCAUCAAUUGACCUCAUUAGUUAUUAUGAUUAAUGAUGAUCAGAUCGUACCCAACUUGAAGGAACUAUCACUAAGUGGAAAAGAUGUGAAGACGAUUUUGCAGGCCGAUUUCCCACAACACCUUUUUGGCAGUCUUAGACAUCUACAGAUUGCUGGAGAUGACUCAGCUUGUUUUCCAAUCUGGAACGUACUUGAGAGAUUUCACAAUCUCGAAAUGCUCUCACUGCUUUUUUUUCCAUUCCACGAAGAGGUAUUUUCGAUGGAAGGAUGCUUAGAGAAACAUGUGGGGAAGUUGGCAAUGAUAAAAGAAUUAGAGCUGUACUGGCACUAUCAUCUGAAGCAGCUGUGCAAACAAGACUCCAAACUUGGCCCCAUUUUUCAGUAUCUUGAAAGUCUAGAAGUAUAUCAUUGUCAAAGUCUGUUAAUUCUAUUGCCAUCAUCAUCGGUAUCUUUUCAGAACCUAACAGCUCUGGUGGCUUUCGGUUGCAAGAAAUUGUUACACAUGGUAACAUCCUCCACAGCAAAAACUCUGGUGCGACUCGUAGCAAUAGAAAUAUAUGGAUGCAGAGCAAUGACAGAGGUGGUAAUAAAUGACAAAGACGGGGUUGAAAAAGAAGAGAUUGUUUUCCGCAAAUUGAAGAGGUUGGAACUGCGUGAUUUAGACAGCCUCACAAGUUUCUGCUCUGCCAAUUACACCUUUGAAUUCCCAUCUUUGAAAGAGUUGUGUGUGAUUGGUUGUCCCAAGAUGAAGAUUUUCACUACAGGAGAAUCAAUCACGCCUCCGGGAGUAAACGUCUCUUAUGGAGAGACAUCGAAUCAACAGCGUUGGGCUAAUAAUGAUCUAAACACAACCAUACAACAAUUACAUGCUGAAAAGGUACGGAUAUACAUGUUACUCUCUAUCUCCCAUGGAAAAAUUUUACAAAAUUUGCUUUUUUUAAAUAAAAUAUAGAUAAGAUGUUUGUUAUAAAGUAAAAGUUUAAAUUGAUGAAUAAGAAUCUUAUUUUCAGCUGUUGGCGGUGCCGUCGUCGUUCUCUACGCAUUACAACUAAUUUCAUAGGCUUCUUAUGACUUGGAGUUGCGAAUUUUUAGAAGAAAGUCUCAGCUGGUAAUUAAUUUUUAUUUCAUUUAUUUGAUCUCAUGGCUUGUUUCACAAUUUCAUCUGAAUUAUUUAGAAUGGGUCCCUCGGUUUACUGUUAAAUUUGCAAUGCAAUUUUAAUGAUUCUUUCAGACUUUUAUGGACAGAUUUUGCAUAAUUGAAUGUCUUUUUAGUCUAGUUUAAUUUGAGUCUUUUUUUUUUUUUUUUUUUUUGGGAGCUCCCCUCGUCUUCUAAAAUUUUAUAACUCCUUGCAUACGUUUUUAUGAUAAAAUUUCAUUAAAAGCCUUCGUAUUUUAUAAUUCCUUGAAAACGUGCAUACUUUUUCCAUUCUUUCUUUGCCAAUUAUUUAUUCUCAUCAUUGCUGUUCUUUUAUUUUAGUUUGUGUUCUGUUUGUUCAUUGGGUUUGCUUUUCUUCGCACCUAUAUUUCCUUGGAAAGUUAGAAGGCAAGGAAAGUACUUAGAAAAUGUUCUUCCCUAUGAACACAUAAUUAAAGAACAGCUGAAUAUCAUUCAUCGGAUUAAAAAAAUUAAAAAAAAAAACGUAAUCAGUGCAUUGUUCCUAUAACAAAUCCUUAAACCAUCAAAUGUUAGCUAUCAACAAGUAUAUUGUGGAAAUAUUGUUUGAAAAUAUUUCAUAAAAAAUCAAGUUUUCACAAACCCAAAAAGGGACUAAUUUGGUCUAGCAUAUACAUAAUAUUUUCUCCACUGUUCCUGUUAAAAUUUCUCUACUCUAUGAUCGCAGAAUGUCUGGAUACUGAUGACGAUUUAAGUCACUCUUCUUCUGUGCGCAAUUUGAAAUAAGGUCGUUUUUCUUUUUUCCUCUAUUCAAAGUUUACAUUCUGAUGGGUUCCCGUUUCCAUCUUCGUGAUCUUCUUGUGAUUCACUGCAUCGGGUCGCUACAUCUGUGAUAGUGUGAGUUGCAACCUCUUUGUAUGUAUUAAAAAAAUUUUAUUCUCAAUAUAUAUGACUCAAUGAGAGGUCUUUUAUUAUAUAUAUGUCAUGAAUUUCUAUUUUAUUUUGAGAUUUGAUGGUGUAUUAUUGUCUCAUUGCAAGGUCUUGUAAUCACUCUGAUUCUCAUUUGAGGAGGUUGGUCUCGUCUAUGUGUAUGUAUUUAUAUCCACAAGAAAUAUGAUAAAUGGUCUUGUCGUUUUCUCAUUAAAACAUCUAGUGCUUCAUAGGUUGGAGGGCUGCGAGGCAUCAGGGCCAGAUUUUUAAACUCAAAGUUCUUCGUGUCAUUUACCCAUUUGAUUAUCAAAUAGUCAUAAAAGCAUAUAAAUUCAAGUUAGUGUAUCAUUUUUACACAAUAUACUAAAACUAACACAAGAACCUCGCCGACAUUUUCAGUUGAAUAACUCAGACCCCCGUACUUCCUCGGGCUGACAGCCCAAAGUGAAAAUAUCUAAAAAAAAUAGUUGCAACAUUUACCCAUUUGAUUAUGAUUCAAAAAAAUACACAAAUGGAAAAAUUAUUGGGAUUGUUAAGAUAGUUAAAAUGGUUAGUUAUUGUUUCAGUUUAUUAAGCAAGAUAGUUAGAGUUACUGACGUGUUAGCUGAGCUGGCAUAAGUUAGUUAUUUUGUUAGCAGUUUGUUAGUGCACACUGCUCAACUCUCAGGUGCUUAGCUCGAGUAUUUUAGAUGUGAAAUUUAUUAUAUUAGAUAUUCGAGAUAUCUAUGAUGCUGAAUACAGGGCAUGUGUUGUCUAAAUUUAUUUUAUUUUGUUUGCUUCACAUCCUAUUUUCAAAACCUUUGAAGAAUGCUAAGAGAAGGAACAAAGGGCUAAAGAGUCAAAUGUAACAUUGCUAUUAAUUUGUUAAUUGCCAUCAUUUUUAAUUUUUGCCCUGCUUGUUCUGUUUACCCAUUUAUUUCAUUUGGUUUGCUCCACAUCUAUCUUUCCUAACUUAGGAAGGCAAGGAUUUUGAAAGCUUUGCUUGAUAAAAUUUGAAAGUUCUGAAGAAGAUUCAGGUCACUCGUGUGCAGCCUCUGGAAUAAGAGCUGUGUUACUGUUUAAAAGUUUUCAUGCUCUGGAAUAAAAUUUGCUUUACUGUGUUACUGGUCAACUUCAUUAUUCUACUAAUGCUUUACUUCAUCUUCAUUGUAUCACUACAUUGACAGCGUUGACAGUGUAACUAAAACCCUUGCGUUCACAAGCAAUUUUGAUCACAUUAAACUUUUAAGGAAUUAUCUUUUAUAGCCAUCUUCCAUAUUAUUAGGAGGAGUCGUUUUCACUAUUUUUAAGAAAUUUUGAUCACAUUAAACUUUUGAUCUGAGUUCAUAACAAAAAUCAAAACGGUGCAUGACAUCAAGAUUAUGAUGAAUCAAAUUGAACUCCCAAUACGUUAGUUCAUAAAAAAUGCUUUUCUUCUUCCAAGUAAUCUUAUCAUUUCUUUCAUUUUAUUCAUUCUCCUCUUUUCUCCUCUUUUCAAGUCUUCAAUCUUAUACUCAGUAAGUACAUUACUGAACUGCUUUUUCACCUCAGCUCCAGACAACCGAGAAGGUGCUUGUCCCCACUCUCUAGUUUUAUCAGAUGGCACUAUAUUUUCGGAACCUAUGAUUUGUUGGUAAAAAUCGACGGUGACCCACGUGACAAUUUUCUACUAUGUAUCAACCAAUUAGAUCUAGUGUUUUGUUGGCAAACAAGAAAUGCUUAUUUACCUUUAAUACUCCACCCAAACAAGUUGGCAUAUGCUAGAAAGUCGGAGAUAGUCCAUAACAAUGCUGCGUGUGACUUGAACAUUUGAUUACGUGAUGCAUUAUGCACCAUUCCAACCAUACUAGCAUCACUACCCGAGUCAUGACUAACCUGUUUCUUAGUUAGAUUUCAAAGAUGAAGAUGGCUCACCCUCCAAUAUCCAGUUUUAAUACUUUAACCAAUAGCCAUUUAUAAUGAUAUGGUCUCUUGCCACUUUCCUUAUAAUGAAAUAUCGAUAUUACAACACCUCUUAGAAGGACAAUAAAUUCUUUUAUCACCAACAACAUUCUCAAAUGCAAAAUCUAUAAAUUUUUUGACCCCCAUCAGUAUAUGAAUUGGAUAUCUAUUUGGCAAACCAACCCAACUCUGGUCCAUGACUAUCUCCUUUUAUUGCACUAGAAAAAUUAGUUAAAUAAAUCACUUUAAUUCUUCAUUUCUACUACUAAACAAGAUAUUUUCAUGUGUGCGCAGUUUCGCAAUAUAAUAAAAAAAAUUAUUAUACAAUUUUAUGGUUUUAUAUAUAUGGAAGCAAGCAAAGCCACAAGAAUCAGAGAAAAAGAUGUGAAAAUUAAAGUAUAUAUACAAUAAUAAUUAAUCUAAAAAACAGUUUGCAAUACCUUCUGUAAAGAAAUAUCCUCACCACAGCUGAGAACUUCACUUGGCUAUCAAUUACAGAUAUAUAAAGCCUGUUACCUAGAAACAAAAAAUUAGGUCAGCCAGCUGAAACAUAUUUAUAAACCAACAUUGGAGAUAGUACUCCAUUUAUAAAAAAAAUUACAAGACUCAAAACCAAGUCGACUCAGCAAAAUCAUAACCGAUUACAUUCAUCCCACUCAGCUCCUCCAAUAUAUCCAACAUUCCCUUCAUAUUUACAAAAGGUAAGUGGUCCUAUAUAUCCCACUCAAGAAUGCAUAAGUUUCUUCAAUCUUAAGUAUCUAAAGUUUUCCUCUACGUUUAUAGAAACUUCGGAAGCAUCUCCCUAUAGUUCUUCAAGUACACGACAUAGAUAUAUGAGUGUUUAUGUGUUAUGCCAAAACAACACAUGACACCCAUUUGUCUAGUAUGCACCCAGAGAACAUGAGGAGCAGCUGCUGAAAAACCCAUUUUUACGUGGGAAAAAAAUUUCAGGCACUAGCUACCAUAGAAAUCUAUGCAUUACCAAACUGUCCAAGCCUAGAUAAUUCAAGAAUUAUUAAUAGACAUAAGAUCCUCACUAUCAUCCAAAAGAUGACACUAAUAAAACAUGUGUCUAUUAAUAAUUUCUUAAAGGAGUUUAAGCUUUCAAUGCAUGUAUCAAAAGUUUAAAAUUGAAUCUGAAACUUGAAUAACACAUAAAAAUCAUAAAUCUCUUCAAUUUAUUCCUAAUAAAAUGUAGCAUUUUUUCACAUUUCAUUUCUUAAGCAAAACCAUAAAAAAUUACAGACAAUAAAUACAUUUUCUAGCACUGAUGCACAUUAUGUUUACUGAGCAAUAAGUUUUAAGUCAUUCAUAUUAAAAUACUUCUUCCUAUUCUAUAAACAAAUAACUAGUACGUACACACAAUUAAUAAAUUAAAUGUAACCUGGUUGUGAAUCUUGCAAAGUCUUACUAUUUGUUUUUUUUUUUUGGUGGUGGUGGUGGUGGGGGGGGGGGGGGGGGGGGGGGGGGGGGGGGGGGGGGGGGGGGGGGGGGGGGGAGGGGAGGGGGGGCGGUUAUGCUCAUUUGUAUGUUGUUAACAGAAAUUGAUCCAAAGCCUCAGUUUUAAUUAGCUUCAUUAUAGCCAAUGAUUAGGUGUUUAAAAACCAAUGAAUAUUUUUUAUAAGAAAUCAACAAUAUUGUUGAAAGAAAAACCAAAUAAAAAUAAUAAAGCAAUGCAUAGAUUAAGGCUCUUUAUUAUCUAAUAACUAAUCAAACUAAGUUGUGGGUAAAGGCGAAUAUGUUUGUUUGGCCAAUAAUAAACUCAAGGAAUCACCAAUAAUCACCUAGUUACUAUUCCUUAUGCCAUGCAAUGUAAUGGUGUCAGUAAUGGCGACAAGGCAGGCAAUAACUAGCUAGCUAGUUAUGAUAGUUGCUUAACUUAACCUACUGGAAAUCUGAAGACCAAAAUGAAGAAACUUUGCCUAGAACUAGAAUAGGAAAACGUUCAUACCCAAAACCAAUAUACAUGAUUAACAAACUUGAUUAUAUGUAUAUUUUUGUUUGCCACACCAAAUCCCACUAUUUCCAUACUCAUAAGCACAAAAAACCAUCGCAAAAAUGAAUGACCAUAUAAAAUAAAAUAGGUCGUAGGACAUUGAGAAUAGGACAAUAUGAUUUAUGUACCGUAAAAUAACUAUAUCUGCAGUCAACUAUAUUUCUGUUAGAACUCUAAAGUUUUCCAUUAAAUUUUUUUCCCUGUUUGGUAAACCACUUAACUGAAACACUUAAGCAAGAUUGACAAUCAUAGACAUACAAGUAUUAAUAGGCUCGUUCAAGUGAAAUGAGCAUUAUUUCACAUAUCCUUUAGGCUUUUAAGUCAUUUAGAAGUCAUUCAUGUUAAACAAUUUCUUCAUAUACUUUCAAUAUAAUUAGUACAUACACAAUUAAUUAAUUAAAUAAAUCUGUUUCAGCUAGCACAGGAACUUAAGCAAUCAGAGCUAUUAGUUAUAGCUAGGACUUGAAUGAGGCACCUUUCAAAGUUCAAGAGGAGCAUCUGAACAGAAUGAAAGCAUUUUGUAGAAAUGGUAGUGAUGCUUUACAUCUACAUGCUCUUACACAAUAUGAACUUUCAUUUAUUCAAGAACAUAACACUAAUCCAAGCUCUUACUCUACAAGUCAAUUCAGUUUGUAGAUGCAAGCCAUUGUAAAAACUUUUGUGUUAUAAUUUCCGUAAAUGGAACAUGACAUUACUAAUAUAGAAUCAGCAAUGUUAUAUAACUUAUCAGACAAUAUAACAAGCACUUGGCGAGCAUAUAAGAUAAACUAAAACAAGUUAAUUAGAAAAUGAAACUAAAACCCAAGCUCCGCUAUUCAUUGUAGAAGCUUUAAACAUAAAAUAAAAGUAAAUCUAAAUACAUGAUUGUAAAACAUUAGAAUGGAUGUUGGAAUUAAAGCUAAAUUCAAUAGUAAUCCAAAUGAAUCCAUUUGAACUUUGUAAAUUCCGCAGAACAAAAUUAAUUUGAGUGAGCAAAGUCACCAAUGGAACAAGAACAGAAGGGCUUCAACUUCUAGGAACAAGAAAUAUUGCCGGCGGGACAAAAAUUGACAUUAAUGGUUACAAUACGAAUUAAAGAAAUCAAAACCUAUAAUUACAAGCUAAGAAAGAGAAGAAACUCAUAAUCACAAGCUUACCUGAAACGAUGAGAGAGAUAAUAAGAUGAAGAAGAAGAUCGCCGCCGUUUUACGCCAUUCUCCGGCUACCAGUAAGGUUUAGGAUGGCCAGGCACGCACGAGAGAGAAUUUGGGACUUUGGUUUUGAAAAUAUUGACUUCAGCAAAUAGUUUUCUAUUUAGAAACAAAUUUAUAACUCUACCGUCAAAAUAAUAGUAUGCCAAUUGGCUCUCUACCGUCACGUGGUUAGUAACAUAAGUGAGAGCAGUCUAGCAGAUAUUCCCGCGGGGACAUGACCCUCGAGAUUUUCCCAAUUCAGGAGGGUAUAUGAAUUGCUAGAGAUAUUUUGGCAAUUCUAAUUACAAAUGUUGCUUUUGAAUUAGUUUUUAGCACCAGUGUUAGAGUACUGUAACACGCUUUAUUCAAGCACAUUGGAGGCUUUAAUAUGUUGUCAAAGUUGACUACAAGCUUACAAUGGCAGUAUGAGUUUAUUUUACAUUGUAAUUAUAUUAUAUAAUUAUUAAUAUUUUCACUUAGAAUUUACAUUACUUAUAUUAUUUUUGUUGUUUUAAAUUUGAAAUCUGAGGCUAUCUCUCAAUUUGUCACAUUUCUCGAGGAAGAACAAGAAGAGUAGGAGACACAAGAGGUAAAUACUGUUAUUAGAAAUAUUGAUUAAGUAUCUAUAUUCAUUUCAUUUAUCUCAUUGUUGAUAUAAAAGUAAUUUCUUUUUUUUUUAUUAUAUGAUUUUGAAGAUUGCCGAAGAUAAUUAUUAUGGUGAUUUAUACUUUGUAAUGUGACUUUUGUAAUAGAUUAAUGUUAAUGUAAGAUAUAUCGUCAAACUUUAUUUUUAUUUUUUAUUUUAAUAUGAUUAAAUUAAAAUUUAAAACUAAAAACGUAUCAGUUAUUCGACAAUCGAGGACCUUUAAGGAUCCCCUAUUAUUAUUUGGGGAGGGGAGGGGGAUUCCCUAAAGUAAUUUUGUCGGGAAUGGGAAGAGGACAUGGAUAUAUGCAGAAUAUCGGGAAUGGGUACGGGGAGAUCAGUCUCUUCCCCUCCCCUUUCCAUUGCCAUUCCUAACAAAGUUGGCAAUACAUGUACGGGCCGCUUUUGUAAAAUUGCUUUAAGGGUCGUUUGGGAUUGCUUUUGGGAAUAGCAUGCAAGAUAUAUAUAAAAAAUAAAAUCGUAGAAUAACUUUUACCUCUAAUUCGAUUUUUUCUUCUUUUUUGUAAAUUAUUAUGCAUUUAUAUUAAAGUCACUGUGUAUGAUUGGAUGAUUAAAAGUUAUUUGAGAGAAUAUGAAUUGACUUAAUAAGUUAUUACGUGAUUGAUGAUGAUCAGAGCUUACCCAACUUAGGAGGAACGGGCAUUAAGUGGAAAAGACUCGAGGAUGACUUUGCAGAGCGAUUUCCCACAACACCUUUUUGGCAGUCUUAAACUACUACAAACAGUGAAUAUGAGAUUGUUUUCACCAAAUUGAAGAUUUUGUAUCUGUAUGAUUUGGGUAGUCUCACAAGUUUCUGCUGAUAGUCUCAGAAGUUUCUGCUCUGCCAAUUACACCUUCAAGGAAUCUUUGGAAGAUUUAUCUAUAAUUGGUUGUCCCAAGAUGAAGAUUUUCACUAAAGGAGAAUUAAACGCGCCUCUGAGAGUAAACUUCUACUAUGGAGAGAGAGAUGAUCAACAGCUUUGGGACCAAACUAAAUUCGUUAAUCAUUAGUUUUUAACUUCAUUACUGUAUGGAAGUCCUGUCAAAUUAAAUUGCUGCUGUUAAAUUUAUUAAAUCUCUUGCUUCCCUGCAAAUCUCUGUGUGCUUUAAUUUUAAUUGAAACUAAUGAAUGAAAAUUUUACUUUCAGCUGUUGGAGGGGUCCUCAUCUUAUUCAACGAUGUAUGUGUCCUAAUGGCAUUGGCAUUUUACUUUAAUUACAAGCGAGUUGUGAAUUUGAAAAACAAAGUCCCGGUUAAUUCAAUUUCAUUUCAUUUUAUUUGAUUUCUUGGCUUGUUUUAUUGCUUCAUCUAAAUUGUUUGGAAUACACCACUAGUUUAUUUUUACUUUUAGAAUGAGUUUUAAUGUUUUGUUAUGAGAUUUAUAUGCUUAUUUUAUAUCAUUAAAGGUCUUAGUGACUUAUCUAUUUAUUUAUUUUUAUAUCAUUAAAGGUCUUCACUUAUUUAUUUAUUUAUUUUUUUGACGGUGUGGCUUUAUAAUGUGCUAUUUUUUUUUUUAAUUUUGAAUUUUAUAAUUCCUUGAAAAUGUCAUUGAAAGGCCCAGCACUUUUAUGUGGAAACCAUCUCAUCCUCUUUAUUUCGAACUAUUAAACAACCAAAUGUAUCCUAACAUAUAUGUUGAGAAUCAAUCUACUGAUUAAGAUAUAUGGCAAUGGUAUUGUCUGUUUGCUAUAGUUUGAUUACAAGAGAACUUUUCCAUUUGUUAGUUGCCAUCUUUGUUGAUCUGUUAAUUCAGUCUUCUUCUGUUUGUCCUGUUUCUCUGUUUAUUUCAACCUUUCUUUCAAAACUUAGAAGGUAUGGAAAGAGCAAGUACUUAGAAAUUGCAAGAAUUAUAUCAAAUCAUGCAUAUAUGCCCCUGCCUAUGAACUCUUAGGAACAAUCGAAUAUCUUUCCUUGAAUAACAUAAAACAAAAUCUACAGAUCAUUAAACCAUCAAAAGUUAGCUAUGAACAACAAUAUUGACCCCACAAAAGAGUUUUCUAUUUAGAAACAAAUUUAUAACUUUAAAAUAAUGGCAUGCCAAUUGGCUCUCUACCGUCACGUGGUUAGUAACAUAAGUGAGAGCAGUCUAGCCGUCACAUAAACAGUCACAAAAGCAACUGGCUGUUGCAAAGUAAGGGGUGGCAGAAAUUCCUGCAGUGAUAGGGAUUCUCGGAAAUUUUCUCCAUUUGGAUAGGAUAAAGAGAUAAUUUUUUAUUUAAUUUCUUAUGCAGAGAAGGGAUGAAAAUAAUUUUUUUAUCUAAUUUUUUAUUCGAAAAAAGGAUGAGGAUACAGCGGAAUCCUCAUCCCCUCCUAAUUUCUUGAUUUUAAUUUUAUUUUUAUUUUUAUUUUUUAAAUUAUUUAUAAAUAAAUAAUAAAAUGUAAAUUAUAAAAUAUUAAAUAUUAGUAUAAAUAAAAAAUAUCAAAAUAAUUAUAUUAUUAAACUUUAAGGCCUAACUUACUGCAUUAAUAUUUGGAUGAGAAAGUUAUCCUACGGAUGAAAGAUUUUAAUAUUUUAAGUUGGUGAAAAACAAAUGCUCAUAGGUAUCCUAUAUUGGCACGAAUUGCUGGAGAUAUUUUAACAAUUCUAAUUACAAUUGUUGCUCCUGAAUAAGCUUUUAACACAGUGGUAGAGUAUUGUAACACGCUUCAUUCAAGCACAUUGGAGGCUUUAAUGUGUUGUCAAAAUUAGUUACAAGCUUAAAAUGGCAGUAUGAAUUUAUUUUACAUUGUAAUUAUAUUAUAUAAUAAUUAAUAUUUUCACUUAUAAGUUACAUUACUUAUAUUAUUUUUAUUGUUUUAAAUUUAAAAUCUGAGGCUAUCUUUCAAUUUGCCACAUUCAUCGAGGAAGAACAAGAGGAGCAAGAGACGCAAGAGGUAAAUACUUUUAUUAGAAAUAUUGAUUAAGUAUCUAUAUUCAUUUCAUUUAUCUCAUUGUUGAUAUAAAAGUAAUUUCUUUUUUUUUAUUGUAGGAUUUUGAAAAUUGACGAAGAUAAUUAUUGUGGUGAUUUGUACUUUGUAGUGAGAUUUUUGUAAUGGAUUAAUAUUAAUGUGAGAUAUAUCGUCAAACUUUAUUUUAUUUAAAAUUUUAUUUUAAUACGAUUAAAUUAAAAUUAAAAACUAAAAACAUAUCAUUUAUUCAGGGAUCGAGGACCCACAGAGAUCCCCUAUUAUUAUUCAGGGAGAGGAGGGGAUUCUCUAAAGUAAUUUUGUCGAAGAUGGGAAGAGAGUAAGGAUAUAUGCAAAAUAUCGAGGAUAGGUACGGUGAAAUUGGUCUCCUCCCCAUUAUUAUCCCUAACAAAGUUGGUGAUACAAGUAACGGCCGCUUUUUGUAAAAUUGUUUUAAGGGCCGUUUAUGAUUGCUUUUGGUAAUAGCAUGCAAGAUAUAUAUAAAAAAUAAAAUGGUAGAAUAACUUUUACCUCUAAUUCGAUUUUUUCCCCUUUUUUUUUGUAAAAUAUUAUGCAUUUAUAUUAAAGUUACUGUAUAUGAUUGGAUUAUUAAAAGUUAUUUGAGAGAAUAUGAAUUGACUUAAUAAGUUAUUGCGUGAUUGAUAAUGAUCAGAGCUUACCCAACUUGGAGGAACGGGCAUUAAGUGGAAAAGACUCGAGGAUGACUUUGCAAAGCGAUUUCCCACGACACCUUUUUGGCAGUCUUAAACUGCCACAAACAAUGGAUGAUGCCUCAACUUGUUUUCCACAUGGUUUACUUGAGAGAUUUCAUAAUCUGGAAACUCUCAUACCGGGUCGUUGUUCAUGCGAAGAGGUAUUUUCAAACGGAGGAUACUUGAGAAAACAUGUGAGGAAGUUUGCAAUGAUAAAACAUUUAGAUCUGCACAAAUUUAAUCAUCUGAAGCAAUUGUGGAAACAAGACUCCAAAUUGCACUUCUUUUUUCAAUGUCUUGAAAUUCUAAAUGUACAUUUUUGUCAAAAUCUGUUAGGUCUAUGGCCAUCAUAUCAUCGGUAUCUUUUGGGAAUGUAAAAGAACUUCUAGUUCUUUUUGCAAGGAAUUGAUGAGCUUAGCAACAUCCCCCACAGCAAAAAGUCUAGAGCGACUCUUAUCAAUGGUGGUAUGUGGAUGCAGAGAAAUGAGAGAGGUGGUGAUAAAUGACGAAGAUGGAGCAGCAAAUUUAAAAGAAGAGUUGUUUUCACCAAAUUGAAGAUUUUGUAUCUGUAUGAUUUGGAUAGUCUCAGAAGUUUCUGCUGAUAGUCUCAGAAGUUUCUGCUCUGCCAAUAACACCUUCAAAUUCCCAUCUUUGGAAGAUUUAUUUUUACUUUUGGAAUGAGUUUUAAUGUUUUGUUCUGAGAUUUAUAUGCUUAUUUUAUAUCAUUAAAGGUCUUAGUGACUUAUCUAUUUAUUUAUUUUUAUAUCAUUAAAGGUCUUAAUUUAUCUAUUUGUUUAUUUUUUUGACGGUGUGGCUUUAUAAUGUGCUAUUUUUUUUUUUUAAUUUUGAAUUUUAUAAUUCCUUGAAAAUGUCAUUGAAAGGCCCAGCACUUUUAUGUGGAAACCAUCUCAUCCUCUUUAUUUCGAACUAUCAAACAACCAAAUGUAUCCUAACAUAUAUGUUGAGAAUCAAUCUACUGAUUAAGAUAUAUGGCAAUGGUAUUGUCUGUUUGCUAUAGUUUGAUUACAAGAGAACUUUUCCAUUUGUUAGUUGCCAUCUUUGUUGAUCUGUUAAUUCAGUCUUCUUCUGUUUGUCCUGUUUCUCUGUUUAUUUCAACCUUUCUUUCAAAACUUAGAAGGUAUGGAAAGAGCAAGUACUUAGAAAUUGCAAGAAUUAUAUCAAAUCAUGCAUAUAUGCCCCUGCCUAUGAACUCUUAGGAACAAUUGGAUAUCAUUCCUUGAACAGCAUAAAACAAAAUCUACAGAUCAUUAAACCAUCAAAAGUUAGCUAUGAACAACUAUAUAAAAAUCAUUUGUUUCUCACAUUGUCGAAGUGUUUUGAAAAGAUGGUUUAUAUUGCACCAUAAAAAUGUGGUCUGAUAAACCAACAGGGGAGUAGUUUGGUCCAGUUACGUGAAAUGCAUGCAAAAUAAUAUUUUCUCUAUAGUUACUGAAGAGAAUUUUGGUCACUCUGGUGUGCAUUAUCUGGAAUAAAGUCGUUUUCCAGUUUCUUCAAAGUUUAUGUGCGGAGGACUUCCGGUUUCAUUCUGUCUCUCAAGUUCAAAUACUAAUAAAGAUGAGUAAAUUCAUCAUCCGUGUGUCUGCUCUUUCUAUGCAUUUUGACAUUUUUUACUAAUGCGUCUCAAUGAGAUAUCUUGAUUAUAUGUAGCGAAUUAAUAUUCUGGCGUUUUUUGAGAUUUGAAGACGUAAUAAUUUCUCAUUGGAAAGCCUUUAAUUAUUGAUUUUCAUCAAAGGGGAUUGGUCUUGAAUGCAAAUGAAAUUUGAUAAAGGACCUUGACAUUUUUUUUAAAAUCAUCUAGCCUAGUAGUACUUUAUGUGUUGGAAGUGUCCCAGACCGAGAAAGAUUUCAACUUGGAGGAAUUGACAUAAAGCAAAAUGGUCUUCAUCAUCAUAUGCAUGGCAGCAGGGCCAGCUUCGUAAACUGUCAUUUUCUACGAACCAGCUGCUUUUCAAGUUGGAUUGCUUCGGAAUACUCACAAUCUGGAAAAGCUUGUAACCGUACAUAGAAAUAUUUUCACGUGAGGAGGUUGGGGAACAUGCUGAGAGUCUCACACAUAAAAACCUUUAAAGCUAAAAAUGAACUUUGGAGUAUUAAAAAUUCUAAAAUAUAUCAGAAAUAUCAUAGCAGUUAUACGAUAAGUAAAUAAUGUUAUAAUAUGUGUUUAUUUAUUCUGAGAAAUCACUAAUCUGUAAUAUAUUUUAGAAUUCCUCCUGGUGGAUAGUGGAGCACUUAUGGAAAACAGAUUCCAUUUAUUUCUUCAAAAUCUUGAAAUUCUAAAGGUAUAAAAAUGUCGCCACAACUUGAUAAAUCUUGUACCAUCCUCAGCAUCUCUCCGAAAUCUAACAGCAUUUACGCGGCUGUUCGGGAAGAAUAUGGUAAUUAGUAUUUACUAACCCCAAACAGCUGAGAAGGAUACUAAAAUUUGGACCCUAGCACUUCAUUCGGUGUAAAUAACUAACUAAAAGUAGAUAAAUAAAUAGAUGAAAAUAUCACAAACUAUUUUAUAUUGAUUAUUAAAGUAAUGGAAUAUAUUAAAAAAAAAUGAGGGCACUAGCACCUAAUAAUGAUUAUAUAUAUAUAUAUAUCAAUUCAAGAUUUUAAAGUGCAAGAAAGUCCAAAAAAACUUUAAACAGUGGGGUUUUAAAAAUUUUCCGGACCUUUCUUGCACUUUAAGAUCCCAGAGGCUCUUGAUUAAAUCUUCAUCAUACUUGGAGAAAAUUAAAUAUGUAUGGAAGGAUAUUUUCAAGCUUGGUAAGGUCAAAUAAUUGUGGAGUUAAAAAUUGAAUGAUGUGCAAGUUCAAACUACAAUACAAUUUAGAAACUUUUAGCGAAAAAUAAUAAGUGGAAAAACUUUAAAGUUCAUACAAAUAUGAAAUAUGUAUUAUGGGCUUGGCUAAGGUGGCGUUUGUUUUUUAACUUAAUGACUUAAAGUGACUUAACUUAAUUAAUUAAGUUAAUUAGAGGUGUUUGUUUUUAUAACUUAAUGAGACUUUUUAAAUAAUUUUGACUUAAUAAAAUAAGCCAAUUUUUUUGGCUUUUUACUUAAUGGAGAAAUCUGAAUUAAGGCAAUUACUUGCUAAUGUCAAAAAUAUCCCUGUUUUAUAAUUUAUUUUUCAUGUCUAUCCCAAAACUCACCCAUAGACAUUUACCCCACAUAAAAAUAUCCAUAUUUUUUCUUUCUUAUAUUAUAUACGAUAAAAUUUAAAAUUUAUGGUAUUUUAUAUUUUAAAAUUCUAAAAUAAUUAUGUAUUCACUUGAAUAUAGUUUUACUUAUAAAUGUUAAAAUAUUGUGGUAUUUAAUUUAUUAUUUAUUUGACAUUCAAAUUUAAUAAGGAUACAAAUGUAAAAGUACAUAUUUUCAGCAUUUUAAGUUGAAAAAAACAAACAACUUAAUACUUAUUUUCUGAUAUUCAGACAAAAAAACAAACAUAUUAUUCAGAUUCAGACAUUCAGAUCUAUUCAGAAUUCAGAUUAAUUCAGGUCUAUUUAGAUUUCAGAUAAAAAAACAAACGCCACCUAAGUUACGGUUCGUGUUAAUUUAAGGUUCAUGUAACUAACAACUUUAAUGAUAAAAUUGAAUAUAAAAGUAGUUUUUUUUCACAGAAAAAAUUGUCAAUAUUUUGUGUCAAAUAAAAAAAAAAUAUAUGUAUUUUGGGCGAAACUUUUUGCAAAAAAUAAUGAGUGCCAACACUUUAAAACUUAAUAUGUAUUUUGGGCUUGGCGAAGUUACGGUUCAUGUAACUAAUCAAUUUAAUCAUUACCGGAUAAAAUUGAAUACACCAGUAGUGUUUUUCCACGGAGAUAUCGCCAAAUUUUGUGUCAAAUAAAGAAUAAAACCAUAAAUACCAGUAGUGUCCGAUUUUGAAAGCAAAGCAGCAUACAUAUUAACUACUAGGCUUUGAUGGUGGUUGCAGUAAAAAGGAUUAAGAGAGAGAGAGAGAGAGAACUUGAAAACUAUGGAAUGGAAGAUAAAUCAAAGUUAUAAAUUUGGACUCAAUAGUUUUGAUGUUCAAUCAAAUAUGGAGGGGCGAUUAGAAAUUAUCAAAAAUUUAGAGGGAUUUCAACCGUUCAAUUCAUUAUUAGGCGUUGUAGACUGCAGGGAUGCAGAAAUUUCCACAGGGACGAUGGCCCCGAGGGAUCUUCCUCAUUCGGGAGUUUGAUAAUUUUAGAUCUAAUUUUUCUAUGUGGAGACAAGAAUCUGAUAAAUUAAUAUGUGUGGGUGUAAGUUACAUGAAAUAUAACUUGGUGUUUGCCCUAAUAUUUUAUUUGGCUCCACAUUUUUCUAUUUCUAUCUUUAGUUUCAAUUUUUAAUUCAUUUUUUUUCAAAUUUAUAGUAAAUACAUUUAAAAUUUCAAUUGUAAUAGUGUGAUGUAAAUAAAAAAUAUCAUAAUACAUUUAUAAAAAUAAUAUAAAUAACAGCCAAUAUAAAGUAAAUAUAAACACUUUAAAAUUGACAAAGAUAAUUUAAUUGAUGGUUUAUACUAUAUGACAUUUAUGGAUGAGUUCAACUUUGAAGAUUUACUUUUGCUUAAUUAGUUCAAAGAUUAUCUUCUAAUUUGAUGACAUUGACUUAAUUUGAUGGAAAUGAUUUUAAUCACUUUAGUUAAUUUGAUAUUUUUUGUGUUAAUAUGAUUUUAUAUUUUUACUUUAAGAUGAUUAAAUUAAGAAAAAAAAAAUUAAAUAAUCAGAGAUCGGAUACCAUCGGAGAUCCCUUUGUAUUAUUUAGAAACAUCCAUCCCCUCCUUUCAAGUAAUUUUGAAGGAAAUGUCUAGAGUACAAAGAGAUAGACAGAGUAUUAAAGAUGAGUAUGGGGAAAUCAACCCCCUCUCCUUCCCUUCUUAUUGACAUCCUUACAUAUGAGCCCAACGGGAAAUGCACCGUGCCUGAUAAAAGUAAAAUUAAAAAUAAAAAUUUUCUUUUAUCAAAUCAUUCUAUGUGGUGGAGAUUAUUGUAUAAUCAAGUACACUUGGCAUUUUUAAAAGCUUUUUCUUUAUUUAAAGCUCUAAAGGUCUGCUUAAGAGUCAAGGUUGGUGCCGUUCUUCUAGAAGAACAACCCGUAUCUUUUGAUAUUCAAAGUUUGAAUAUCAAGUUCAAACUUUAAAUUUUGAAAUAAUAAUAAUAAUAAUAAAUAUAAAAAGUGCCCAAAUUUUUAGCUAUAAAUAGAGGGGUUCACCCCCUCAUUUCAUUCAUUCCAUUCUUUUCUUCUUUAGUUCUAUAAUGAGAGAUUAAGAGUUUUAUACUCUUUGAGUGACUAGUGUUUGGAGAUAUUGACUAGUGUUUGAAAUGGCAUAAUACCACUAUUAGAAAAUUGAUUGGUGAAGUAGGGCCAUGACUAAAAUGAAAUUAGAAGAAAAUGAAGAACAAGCACAAAGAGGACACCAUAAAUUAUUUGGUUUGGCUUUUAACUUAUACCCAUAGGCAAGGACAAAAGGAUAAAACUUUAUUAGUGAAAUGAGGAUUAUAAGUAUUUUAGUAUUUUGUUUCACUUCUCAAAACAAAAUCUACACUUACCACUUUCAGAUAGACAAUAAUGCCAUUGCAGAUCUACAAUUACCACUUUUAGAUAGGGUAUUAUUCAAUAUCGUAGAGUAAAAGAGAGCAAAGGAAAUAUGGUUUACUCUCACUAGAUUAUACGAGGUCAAAUCACUACAAAAUAAAAUCUUCUUAAAGAGGAGGCUUUAUACUCUUCGAAUGGCGGAAUCUACAUCAGUGAUCGACCAUAUCAACACUUUAAAGACUUUAUUUUCAUAACUUACAACGUUGGGUCAUAAAAUAGAGGAAAAUGAACAUGUGGAGCUUUUACUUCAAGGUUUACCAGAUUCGUAUGAUCAAUUUGUCAUUAAUCUAACUAAUAACAAUCGAGUAGACAAGUUAGUCUUUGACAAUAUGGCAGCCUCCGUAUUAAAUGAGGAGAGUUGCAAAAAAUAAAAAAGAUAGACAGACGAGUUCGCAGCAAGUAGAAGCACUAUUGGUGAUGAAAGGAAGAUCCAUGGAACGUGGCCCUAGUGAGAGCCACAAUCACGGUAGAUCAAAAUCAAGAAGUAAGAAGAAUGUCAAAUGCAACAACUAUGGCAAGAAAGGGCAUGUCAAGGAAAAGUAUUGGAACAACUAGAAGAGAAGAGAUCCUGAGUCAUCAAAUGCUCAAGGGUAUGUAGUAAGUACCUCGUAUGAUGGCAAAAUUCUCUACAGUAAGGCAACAACUGCUUCAGAAAGCAAAAAACGACUAUAUGACGUCUGGCUUAUAGACUUAAUAGUUGCCUAGCACAUGAUCUCUCUAAGAGAAUGAUUUCACAAAUAUGAAUCUAUUUCAAGAGAAUCUGUAUACAUAGGUGAUGAUCAUGCCUUUGAGAUCACUGAUAUUGGUACUGUCAAAAUAAAUAUGUUUAAUGGUACGGUUCGCACAAUUGAGAAGGUAAGACAUGUCAAAGACUUGAAAAAUAUCUCUUGUCUUUAGGACAAAUAGAUAGUCUUGCGCGCAAAACUCAUGUAGAAAAUGGGAUCAUAAAGAUAGUCAAAGGCGCACUUGCAUUAAUGAAGGUGGAAAAGAUCGGUGCUAAUCUAUUCAUGCUUAAAGGGAAACACUACAGAAAGCUUUUGUGUGUGUCACAUCAAAUAGAGAAAAUUCAGCGAUGAUGUGGCAUCUUAAACUUGGCCAUAUGUCGAAACAAGAAAGCAACAUAGAUGCAAGUUUAGCAGAUCCACUUUCAAAAGUAAUGUAUUUUAAACUUGAUUCAUUCUAAUGUUUGGGAAUCACUUGAUAUAUCUAUGGGAGGUGCAAAGUACUUGGUGACUUUUAUUGAUGAUUAUUCUAGGAGAUAUUUGGUGUAUCCAGUCAAGAAAAGGUCAAAUGUAUUUCUAUUGUUCAAAGAAUUCAAAGCGUAGAUUGAACUUAAAUCAAGGUAAGGGAUCAAGUGUCUGAGGACAUACAAUGGUGGAGAGUAUACAGAUAGUAUGUUUCUUACAUAUGUAAGCAAGAAAGUAUCUAGAGAUAGUUCACGGUGGCAUACACUCCUCAAUAAAAUAGAGUAGUAGAGUGAAAUAACAUGACUUUUAUAGAAAAAAUAAGAGUUAUGUUGACAACUGCUGGUCUACCAACUCAUUCUAGGCGGGAGUAGCAAAAACUACUUAUUACGUGGUAAGUGGGUCAUCAUUCAAGGCAAUCGAGUUGAAGAUUCCAAUGGAAAAGUGGACAGGAAGCCAAUUGAUUACUCUCAUCUCAGGCAUUUUGAUGUCCUUUUACGUGAUAUACAAUACCCAAGUGAGAUUAAAGAUGGAUCCAAAAUCUAAGAGAUGUAUCUUCUUAGGAUAUAUUGAUGGAGUGAAAGGGUAUUAUCUGUGGGACCUCAAUGCCCACAAGAUCAUUAUCAGCAGAGAUAUUAUCUUUGUAGAAGAUCAAAUGCAAAAGAGAGAUAUGGAUGAUAGCACUAUAAAAAUUCAGAGAUUGUGCUAAUAUAUAUUGAAAAUAAUCUAGAAAAUGAAGAUUCAGAUUUUUUUUUAAGCAGCACCAAAGUAUGAGAACAAGAACCAAUCGAGUCUGAGGCCCCAAAAGUUUGUUGGUCAACUCGUGAUAGAUAACUGUCAGUGUGGCAUUUGGAUUAUGUCACAUAUAUCAAUUUUGCAUACUGUCUUUUAACAGAGAAUGGAAAGCCAUCAACUUUCCAUGAAACUUUAAACAGCUCAUAUGUUACUUUGUGAAUGAUAGCAAUGCAGGAAGGAAUUAAGGCUCUACACAAGAAUAUGACAUAGGAACUCGUACUACUACCAUAUGAAAAAAAAAAAAAAAACCAUUGGUUGCAAAUGGGUCCACAAGAUCAAACAUGAUGGUAAUAACCUAGUGGAGCGGUAUUGUAAAAGAUUGGUGGUGAAAGAAUAUGCUUAGAAAGAAUGUAUUAACUUCAAUCAGAUAUUUUCUCCAGUGAUUUGACCCAGGACAGUCAGAGUGGUCUUGUCGAUGUGUGCUACAUUUGACCUAUAUUUGGAGUAGUUAGAUGUGAAAAUUUCAUUUCUUCAUGGAGAACUUGAAGAAAAGAUUUAUAUGCUCUAACUAGAAGGCUUUACUAAAAAGGGAUACUUGGUUUGCAAAUUCAACAAAUCUCUAUACGAUCUCAAACAUACACCGAAAUGUUGAUAUAAGAGAUUUGAUCCCUUCAUCAUAAACCUUGGAUACAAUGGAAUCAGUUCAGACUGUUGUACAUAUUACAACAAGUUUGAUAAUAAUGAUUCCAUCAUUCUACUGUGGUAUGUGGAUGACAUAUUGGUAGCAGGCCCCAACAAAGAUCGAGUCCAAGAACUGAAGGCACAGUUAACUAGGGAGUUUGAAAUAAAAGACUUAGAACCAGCAAACAAGAUUUUAGGGAUGCAAAUUCACUGAGAUAGUAAUAGCAAGAAGAUUUGGCUUUCUACCCCGCCUCUUAUUAAUUUCAAGUUAUUCUUAAGUAUUCAUCUAGUAAUGAAGUAGAGAAGAAGAGAUGUCUUGAGUACUGUAUACAUCAGCAGUGGAAAAUUUAAGGUUCGCUAUGAUUUGUACAAGUAGUGUGAGCGGUUAGUCGAUACAUAGCGAAUCCUUGCAAAAAACAUUAGAAGACUAUUAAGAGGAUUCUGAGAUAUAUCAGAGGAACAUUAGAUGUUGCAUUAUGUUACGAAGGAUUAGAAUUUACUGUCAAGAGCUAUGUGCAUUCAGAUUUUGCAGAAAAUCUAAAUAAAAGGAAAUCCACUACUGGUUAAGUAUUUACACCAGAAGGAGAAAUUGUUAGUUGGAUUUCAAAAUUGCAUACCGUUGUGGCUUUAUCAACAACAUAAGUAGGUUACAUAGUAGCUACACAAGCUUGGAAGGGCUAUUUGGAUACAAAGGUUACUGAAGGAGCUUGGGCAUAAAAAUUUUUAUGGCUUGUGAUAGUUAGAAUGCAAGGAAUCCAACCUUUCUUUUCAGGACAAAGAAUAUAGGAGUACAAUAUCACUUCUUCGUGAAGUAGUGGAAGAUACAAGAGUGGAUACCAAGGAGAACUUAAAAAAUGUUUUGCCCAAGCCUAUCAAUGCUGAAAAAUUUGUUUGGAGUAUAUCAUUUUAUGGCCUAGUAGAGACAUAAGCAACAUGAUAGCGGCUAAGCAGAAAGGAUGGUGUGGAGAUUGAUUGAUUCUCAAUUAAAUUUCUAAGUGGGAGAAUGUCAAAGUCAAUGCCGCUUUUCUAGAAGAGCGACCAAUACCUUUUGAUAUUCAAAGUUUGAAUGUCAAGUUCAAACUUUGAAUUUAAAAAAAUAUAUAUAUAAAUGUAUAAAUAGUGCCCAAAUUUUUAACUAUAAAUGAGGGGUUCACCCCCGCAUUUCAUUCUUUUCUUCUUCAAUUCUAGAGUGAGAGACUAAGAGUUUUAAUGCUCUUGAGUGAUUAGUGUUUUAAGAGAUUGAGUGGAUUGGAGUUCUGGGAAGUGAAACAAAAUAUUAUAAUACUAGUAAUCCUCAUUUCACCAGUAAAGUUUUAUCAUUUUGUCUUUACCCGUAGACGUAGGCUAAAAGUCGAACCAAGUAAUUUUUGGUGUCCUUUGUGUGCUUGUUCUUCAUUUUCUUCCAAUUUCAUUUUAACUGUGGACCUAUUUCACCAGUCAAUUUCCUAACACUAAUCGAGGCAGAUCUGCAUUGGGAGUUAAAUAUAUAAAAUCUGAAAUUUUAUUAAUUUAUGACUUUUUCUAAAAUUUAUUUUUUUUGCAACUUAUAUCUGAUUUUUAAGCAUUUACAUUUGAAUAGAAAAAGUAACUUUUGUGACUUUUAUUGAAUAGAAAAAAGUCUGAAUAAGAAUUAAAUAUAUAUUCUAAAAAUAUUUUUAUAAAAUAUAUUUAUUUCUUAAACUAUAAAAUCUAACUACUUUUUUUUUUUGUUUUGAUUUGUAAAAAUAUAAAUAUCAAAUAACCAUAUUUAAGAUAAAUAAGAUGUCACUUAUAUUUGGGUAUUAGAAAAAAAAAGAAAAAUAAAUGUCAUUCAUAUAUUUGUAUUAAGUCCAUUCAUACUUACGGAAAAUUUAUACCUAUUCAGAUUUAAAAAAAAAAAACAAACAAACAAAUAAGCAAACACCUUAGCCUAGCGUAGGCAAUUUACUUUACUGAAAAAUAGUUUUCAUUUAAUUUAAUUUUAAUUUAUUGAAAAAAUUUCUUUUAAUGUGGCUAUUUCGUAGACCACUUUCUGCAGUGGGAUUAAUUUUAUAACGCAAUUUUAUUUUACUCACAUUUGAAAUCUGUAAUUGUUUUUAUUUUUAUUCAAAAGAUUAUCUUAUAAAUCAAUCUCCAGGCUCCGCCCUUAUCUCUAAGUAUGAGACGUUCGCAUCAUUAAAAAUCGGGAAGCAGCAACAACCUACUGGCCGAUAGUAUAGGAUAGGAGUUGUUAAUGCAUAUCAGCUAUUUGGUGAAAUGCUCACAAGAAAUGGAAAUUUGACAUGUAUGCAUUUCUCGAACUUUACCAACAAAACUUUUAUAAAAGCAUAUUUGUGAAUGAUUUUCCUGAAAUUUAAUGUUUAUCAUCUCCAAUCUUUUUACUCCUCCAGUCUUGAGUAAUUAUGGUGUUGCCACCCAUGCAUGCUUAUAGAUGCUUUGGUUCCUGAGAUAAUUAGUUCAUCAAAUUAGCAGCCUUAGCCUUAUAUUUGCAUUUUAUUUUUGUCAACGUUAACUGGUUAAAUUGAAUCAGAAGUGAAACUGAAAUGAAAGUAACUGAAUGACCCGAAUUUCAAAAUAAUAAUAAUUUUGUCAACUAUGGUGGCGUUUGUUUUUUAACUUAAUGACUUAAAGUGACUUAACUUAAUUAAUUAAGUUAAUUAGAGGUGUUUGUUUUUAUAACUUAAUGAGACUUUUUAGAUAAUUUUGACUUAAUAAAAUAAGCCAAUUUUUUUUGGCUUUUUACUUAAUGGAGAAAUUUGAAUUAAGUCAAUUACUUACUAAUGUCAAAAAUAUCCAUGUUUUAUAAUUUAUUUUUCAUGUCUAUCCCAAAACUCACCCAUAGAUAUUUACCCCGUAUAAAAAUAUCCCUAUUUUUUCUUUCUUAUAUUUAUAUGAUAAAAUUUGAAAUUUAUGGUAUUUUAUAUAUUAAAAUUCCAAAAUAAUUAUGUAUUCACUUGAAUAUAGUUUUACUUAUAAAUGUUAAAAUAUUGUGAUAUUUAAUAUAUUAUUUAUUUGACAUUCAAAAUUUAAUAAGGAUACAAAUGUAAAAGUACAUAUUUUCAGCUUUUUCAGUUGAAAAAAAAAACAACUUAAUACUUAUUUUUCGAGAUUCAGAUAAAAAAACAAACAUAUUAUUCAGAUUCAGACAAAAAAACAAACAUAUUAUUCAGAUUCAGACAUUCAGAUCUAUUCAGAAUUCAGACUAAUUUAGGUCUAUUCAGAUUUCAGACAAAAAAACAAACGCCACCUAAAUGAUCCUUCUGUUUGCUUUAGUAUUAUUUUUUUCCCCCUCAUCAAUUCAAGUUUGAAAGACAAGCAAUGUAUAUACCUAAACUGAAGUUUAUGGUUUCUCUGUGCUCCUUGUAUUACAAGUAUCAAAGCUGUGACUUCACAUGAACCUUAGCAGAAGCUUCUGUGAUAUUAUUUAUGUAGCUUUUAACUUUAACAAAAGCAUAUGGAUUUUUAUUUUUUGACUUGAUUUGCCAAGAUGACGAUGAGGGGAAUUCAAUUCAUUUUCUAUUUUUGUAUUUUUUUUUCAUUCUUUAAAACCAAUAAUUGUGUUUUGUUGUUGCAAUUUAAUACAUCAAUAACAUUUAUUACUGUUGACGCUGAAAUCUGCUCGCCCUUUGCCCGACCAGAUAGUUCCACCAACGCUUGUGUAUUCAAUGGGGAGAAUAUUACCCUUUUGCCCCCUUCAGCAACUGCAGAUGCUCCAGGGGUUGGAAACCCCUUUUUUCUUCUUUCUAAUCUUGCACUCACAGAGAUAGAUCAGAGACGCCAGUGGUUUUACCGGCGUAAACCCUCCGAUGCUUAAGUUAGCACAAGGUGUUUACAGGAAAACUAUGUAAUUUGGAUUGUUUGAUUUCUUGUAAUGCUUUCUAUAACUUUGAAAAGAAUAUACUUUGGUUUCAAUUUGGCAGAGUUUUCCCUUCUCUCUCCAUUUUUCCGUCCCCUUCUUCAUCGGUUUCCCCCCUUCUUAUAGCCGUUGUCCCACGUUUCUGUUUACUCUUCAUGCUCCCCCUUUAACGGGUAAUGGUAGCCCCUCAUGGGACUCCAACCUCGUAUUGUGGGUAAACAUGGGAUACCAUAUCUCCCUCAAUGGUUCAGGGCAUAGCGCAACUAUCGCGAUUUCGUGAGAUCGUGUGCCCUUUCUUCGAUUGAUGGGUAUCUGGUCGGUGCUCGUGUCUGGUUAGCUCAUGUUUGUAUAAGGCUUUUUACCAGAGCUUCGCUCGUACCAUUCAGCUGAGGUGACUCGCCUCGGGGUGGGAGAUGAUGGCAUGGCUGAGCUGAUGCUUUUUAUUACUUAACACCAGUCCCCCAGUUUCUGGUCUUGCGAGUGGAACGAGUUAAGAGUAGAAACCGAUAUGGGCGAACGUUGACUGGUUUGGAAUUGGGAAUAAGGUGUAUUUUGUGAUCAAAUAGCCGUUGAGGGGGAAGACCAGUGGGUGGAGCAAAUAAUGCCUUAAAUUUUUGAAGGAGAGUAGUAAUAGGUUCAGGCAAUGACCUCAGAAAUUCUAAGUCAUUAUCCGGCAAUGUGUUGGUAGAUGUGUGAUUUGCUGAUGGUUCAAUUGGUAAAGAAUGAAGUUCAAAUAAGCUGUCGAUUUUGGAGUUGAAUAGCAAGGCAUGAAACUGGUUAAAAGAGAUUAAAUUCGGAUUUGGAAUUGGGUCUCCUUGUAAAAUGACAGAUUUUCCCUCCCACUGAAACUCCAUCGUCAUCUCGGAAUAAUCCGUAGGAAUUCUUCCCAAGCUUUGUAACCAUUGAAUCCCAAGGACAACAUCAGGGCCUUCGAUUGGCAAAAGGAAGAAAUCCAAAAGAAAUUCAUGCCCCCGCAUAUUGAUAGGCACUUUAGGGCAGAGAAAUCGACAAGUAAGAAAAUCGCCAUUGCCAAUGUAAACUCGAAAAGGAGUUAUAGCUUGAACGGAAAGGCCAAGGCGUUCAGCCAAUGGCGGCUUAAGAAAAUUAUGGGUACUGCCACUGUCAAUUAACACCUGAAACUGAUAGUUGGCAACGGUGCCCAGCACCCUUAAAGAUCGUGGAUUAGUUUGCCCAGCCAAGGCAUUAAAACUAGAUAUGUCCGUUGUGACUACUUCGUCUGGUUGUGCAUGAAUAAAAGCAUCCUCACUUGGCUCAUCAUCCUCAUCAUCCAUACCCAUUAAUAACAAAAACUUGCUAUGACAGCAAUGUGUGGCGCUAUAUUUUUUGUCACAGUUGUAACAGAGCCCUUUUUCUCUUUUCUCUCUUAAUUCUGCUGGAGGUAAUCGACGAAUAGGCAAGGUGGGAGUAGGCAAUAAUGGGGGUUGAGGUGGCUGUUUAGUGGCUGACAAACUCGGAAGAGGAGUUGUUGUUGGGGUUUUAUAUGAUGCAGGAUGUUGGGAGGCAGUAAUGGUGGAUUGGUGGGUGUGAGUAGAUGAGGGUGUAAUGGUAGAGGUCUUGAUUUCUUCCGAUCGUGCCUCAUAAGCUUUGGCUAAAGCAAAAGCCUCCAUGAGAGAUGUGGGUCUUGCAAAUAAUAAUUCUCGCCUGAUAUCGGGUUUUAAGCCCGUGAUAAAGAAACUAACCAACAAUGGCUCGGAGAUGCCCGUGACCUUGUUCAUCAAAUCCUCAAAGGCAGACUGAAAAUCAGCAACAGUCGACGUUUGGGAGAGCUUGGAGAGGUUACCUUGAUGAUCUUCAUACAUGGAUGUACCAAAUCUUUGCUUAAGAUUGAGUAAAAAAUUUUGCCAAGUGCUCAGCAAGUUGUUGGCCUUCAUCCAUUGAUACCAUGCUGCUGCUUUUCCCUCCAUGUGAAAAGAUACAAUACGAAGGCGUAAAUGGUCAGGGGUGCCGUGAAAAUCAAAGAACUCAUUGAUUCGAAAAUCCCAACCAUUCGGAUCAGUGCCAUCAAAUUUUGGGACAUCCAUUUUCAUAGAACGCAACAGAGGAGAGAUAUCAGUAACACCUGACAGUACAGUCGAAGAGGCCGGUUCCGGCGCCAUUGGGCGGGAAGAACCCACUGACGCUCCGACGAAACCAUUGAUUUGGGAACGUAGCUCCUCAAAUCGAGAAUCCACCAUGGACAUAUAUUGCUGUAAGGUCUGAUGAACAGCAAGCAUUUGAUUUUCAAUGAGCGUCCUCAUGGUGGAGAGAACUGCUGAAUCAGUCGUUGGUUCUGUGAGAGACAUUUUUUUUUUUGUUUUGUGUGAAGAGAUGAAAUGCAAUGAAAGCACCAGUUGAUACUACACUCUUUGAGCGAGUGCAAGCUCCAAUCCGUGGAGAAAAGAAUUUGAAGAAAGAGAAAUGGGACAGGGGAGUUGCAGAGAAGAGAAAGAAGACGAAGCUGAAAAAAGACAAAAUGAUAUCCUUUCUUUUCAUGCCCUCACGGGUCCCUUGACAGUACAAUAUAUUCUCCCUUCCAAAAGCAGCCACGCACCCUUAACUAACUAAAUAGAAUAAAAUUGAUAACAACAAAACAAUAAUUGAAAACAGAACAAUAUUCGUUAUUAUGAUAUCUCAAGCAUUCUCAAACAUUCCUCAAAUGACAAAGUCUUUGAGCCAUCCUGGUUUCUUUCUCGCGCAAGCUGGACCUGUCUUGAGUUGCUCUCUAGCUUGUGUCUCAUUCAAGGGUUGGACUUCUUCUAUUUCUGCAGGCUGGGUCUCUUCCCUUGUUGUCUCAUUGUGCUCGAUCUGAUUCACAACAAUUGGCCAAGUUGUAUCACUCUUCUUCUGUGAAUAAGGUCGUUUUUCUUUUUUCCUCUAUUCAAAGUUUCCAUUCUGAGGGGUUCCCAUUUCCAUCUUCAUGAUCUUCUUGUGAUAGUGUGAGUUACAACCUGUCUGUUUCCUUUGUUUGAUCAUCGCAAGUUCAAAGACAUUUUAUUCUAACUAAGCUAUGUGUAUGUAUUAUAACAUUUUUAUUCUCAAUAUAUAUGACUCAAUGAGAGGUCUUUUAUUAUAUAUAUGUCGUGAAUUUCUAUUGUAUUUUGACAUUUGAUGGUGUAUCAUUGUCUCAUUGCAAGGUCUUGUAAUCACUCUGAUUCUCAUUUGAGGAGGUUGGUCUCGUCUAUGUGUAUGUAUUUAUAUCCACAAGAAAUUUGAUAAAUGGUCUUGUCAUUUUCUCAUCAAAACAUCUGGUGCUUCAUGUGUUGAAGGGCUACCAGGCAUCAGGGCCAGAUUUUUAAACUCAAAGUUCUUCGGGUCAUUUUUUAACAAUAAUAAGGAAAGCCCAAGAGAAAAUCUAGAAGUACUAAUAAGGACCGCUUCCGCAUAUAUUGUUCAUUUUCUUAAUUACCUUCAUUAUUAUUUUCGUUUUCAAUCGAUCAAACUUCAGUUUCUUAGCAUUAAUCUAAUUAUGUACUUCAUCUUGAAAUCCUUAAUUUACUCAUCAAAAUGUGAACGCUUAGUGUAUCAUUUUUACACUAUAAGAAAUAGUUGUAUUACCGACCAGACAUUUCCACAAUAUACUAUUCAAAAUAAGUACUUUUUACAAAGGUAUUGUCAUUGACGAGCCGUUGGAUAAAUAUGAAAAGUAUCAUACCUUGGUGAUAAAGAAAAUUCGUUUGUCGGAAACGGAAUGUCGAGCCCAAAAUUACUCUAAACUUGGUAAAGUUAGAUUUUGGCCCAAUUUGUUUGAAAGUUUUAUACAUAAAGCGCUUUUUUUUUAUGUAAUUUGUGCAAUCUGAAGGGAGGUAUUGUAAAAUUAACAUAAAUAAAUGUAAUAUGCCAAUACCGUUUAAAACAAAAAAGAAAUCAUGAAAUUGAAAAUAUAUAUAUAAUAAUAAUAAUAACAACAUUAAAAGAAAAAAGGGGAUUACGGAGAAGAAGAAUCUCUUCUAGAUCACAACUCUCAAUUUUACUCAGUGGUAAUUAAUUCUUCACUCUUACUCGCCUUAUUUCCUGCGGAUUUCUUCAUUUUCCUUCACUGUUCAUUUUUAAGGUUCCAUUGUAUUUCCAUUGAGUUUGCAACUGUUCAAUUAAUCGAUCCUUAUUAGUUUUGGGACUUCAAUGACCAUAGAAGAAGAUUCUCACAGACAACUCUUCCUUCUUUUGUCUUUGAUUUUUUUUUUAUUUGUUCAUGCAUGUUUCCUUUGCUGAUUUAUUUACUUAUUUCUUUCUCUGACUAAUUUAUCGUAUGAUAUUUCAAUUGAUGUAUUACGUUCAUGUUAUGUUUAUGGAUGCUUGCUCUACUGUCCUAAUUUACAAUUAAAUUUUACUCCGUCCUUAGCUAUCGAUUCACAGUGGUGUGUCAUUAAUAUGUACCUGUCUUAUUUUAUAUUGCAUCAACUAUUAUUUCAACAAUUGCUGGAGGUGUCAAAUAAUGAAUUUGUAUGAGCUUCAGUCCGAGGUAAUUAUCAUUUUCAUUUCAUGUUAUUUGAUCUCUAGGUUUAUUUUAUAGUUUCAUCUAAAUUAUUUGGAAUGCAUCAGCUGAUUUAUUCUUAAUUUUGGAACGAAUUUGAUGCAACGGAUGGUUGCGUAGGAUGAGUAGAGUAUCUCUCUAGGGUAACAACUUGAGCUAUAAGUAUGUAUUUAGGGUGUAUAAUAUACCUUUCAAAGUUUGCAACGAGGGGAAUCUAAUCUAAUACUGUAGCGCCACAUUAGUCUCGUGGUUCGAUUGAAAAUUAUAUUUUUUUCAUAUAAUUUUACAAGUUUAAGAUCUAUUUUCCUAUUGUUUUCAGGAUUUUUACCUUUUUUUUUCUAGAUAUAGAAUUUGAGUAGCAUUUAUCUUUAUUUCAGUUAGGAGAAUGCUAUUAUGUAUUAAUAUUUUAGGUUUACUUAUUUUGGUAAAUUUGUGAUAUUUAAGUUUAGUUUAAAAGAAGUCCAAAACCUUAAUUUUGUUAUUCAGACUUUCAUUAAUAAAAUAUAAAACUUUCUAAAAGAGAAAAUACUCGUUUGGUACCUGUAUUUUAAUUUCAAUGCUCGUUUAGUUUUUAUAUUUUGAAAAAUACCUCAAUAUACCUUGAUAUUAAAUACGUUACAUUUUUUCCUUAAAUUUUAUUUACCUUUACAAUAAUAUCUUGGCAAUAACAUUCUUAAAUUUAUUUAUAAAAAAAGUUAAUUGGCAAAUUAAUCAAUAAAUAUCAAUAUGAAAUAACCAGUAUAUUUUGUACUUUUACAACAAUCUUGCUAAUAAUUCUGUAUAAAUAAAUUAAUAUCAGCCAUCUUAAAGUAAUGUUUAAUAUUCUUAAAUCAAUCUUACUAAUAAAUGCAUAAAAAAUUUAAUUUACGAAAUUAGUCCUAAAACUAAAAUAAUAACAUAAAAGUUUUUUAUUAAUAUUUAUUUUGUUUAAGGCUGGCUAGAUGAUUACCAUUUUUUUCUUUUCAUUAAUAUUCCCAAAAAUAUUAUUCCAAGAGUAUUAUUGUAAAAAAAAAGGUAGAAACAAAAUAUAUUUCACAGUAGGGGUGUCUUGAGGUUGAGGCACUUUUUAAAAUAUAAGAACUAAAUGCGCUCUUGAGUCAAAAUAUAGAGACUAAAUGAGCAUUUAUUCCUAUUAAAAAGCUUGUGUUUCUCUAUCUUUUCAAUCUCACCGUUUUUGUUUGCGUUUCAUCAUAAGUUCUAAUGUUUGGAUCUCAGCUUUAUGUGCAAAUUUACAUCAUUGAAGGUCUUUUGAUCUGAGUUAAGAUCAUAAAAUUAUAGGGUAAUUUUUAAAAACCUCCCCUGAGGUUUGGGCUUGUUGCAAGUAGAUGGCGAGAAUUGGUUUAUUUGUAAAAAACCCCCUACCGUCAGUUAAUUUUAACAUUGACCGUUAGUUGACCGUGCAAAUACAAUAUUACCCUUAACAAUAGUUUGUAAACGAAAAUAACUAAAAAAAAAAACCAAAAUUAUUGGCGCGAAAAGCACAAACCCUAUUUUUUGACAAUUUUAUCCUUGUCAAUUUCAAAGAUUUACAAGAUCAUAGGUAAAGAUUAUGACUAUUUCAUUUUCAAGUUUUUAAUUUUAUCUUUCUUGUAGGAACUUUAAGGAAAUAUCAAUAAUUUAAAGAGGAUUUUUCAAGUUUUUAAUUUUAUCUUUUUUAUAGGAACUUUAAGAAAAUAUCAAUAAUUUAAAGAGGGUAAAAUAGCCAAUAAUUUUGGUUUUUUUUUUAGUUAUUUUCGUUUACAAACUAUUGUUAAGGGUAAUAUUGUCUUUGCACGGUCAACUAACGGUCAAUGUUAAAAUUAACUGACGGUAGGGGGUUUUUUACAAAUAAACCAAUUCUCGCCAUCUACUUGAAACAAGCCCAAACCUCAGGGGAGGUUUUUAAAAAUUACCCUAAAAUUAUACUUGCAUUGGUCAGCUUAUACGAAAAUUGUACAAAAUAAUAUUCUUAUAUAACUGUUGUCCUCUGUUAUUACGGAAUCCCCAAGUUCUGAAGAAGAUCGAAAUCAGGUCUCUCUACUGUGAAGCCCCUGGAAUAAGAGCUCCAAAUGUGUUACCGUUGAAAGCAUGGUAGAAAACUUAGUACUCAAUUAAGACUGUUUAUGGCUUCAAUAUUUUACUUAACAUGAAAAAUUCUUUCUAGCUUGCAUCAUUGUGAAGAUAAAUUGUCGUAGUUCUGAAAAUGAACAAGUAUAAGUAUUGAAGAGUUAAUGUUACCAGCAAUCGAUUGGUGUGAGCACCAACAACCAUUUUCAUAUUUAACCCUUUAGAACAGUAACACAAAAUAUGGCAAGUGGAAACCACAUCAAAUAAUCAUAUUGUUGAUAGAUUUUGAAAAGCUUUAAUUUGCUUGAUAUAUAUUUGAAUAUUUCAACAGAUGCAUCUUUUCUCAACUCACGGGGCGCGUUGAGUUAGAAACGGCCGGUUUGAAUGUCAAUAUUACUCCAAGUGCCUCAACCAAAUUCAGAAUGAAAAAAAAAAACCAUCUGGUUACCUGCACUUUAGUUUAAGCAGCUAAUUAAGCUAAGUAACACAAAGUAAUUCACCAACUCGUGAGAAAUUUCAUUAGUAAAUCAUCAUACCUGGGAGGAAACCAGCAUCUUGACGCUUUUGUGACCAAGAAAAUCUGCCAGGACCGGUUAAUCAAGUUGUUAAAACCUGUACAUACAUAGAUAAUUACGUCACCAAAUCCAUGAAGAAAAUUAUUUUAUAAACAAAUAUGUUUGAAACAAACUAUCAAAUGGUCUAAAUGCCACAUGGUGUGUUCAAAAUUUUACCCCUGCAAUAAGCAGUUUUGUGGGGUUGAUGCAUGAGAAAACAAGUUAAGAGGAACGAGUAACAUUUUCAGUUUCGUAAUAAGUAUAAAUGGGGAGCAAGAGUAUCAGUUUUACACCUGAGAUGGCAAGAACUUGGCCGACAUUUUCAGUUGAGUCACUCAGACCUCCCGCACUUCCCCGGCCUGACAGCCCAAAGUGAAAAUAUCUAAAAGAACAGUUGCAACAUUUACCCAUUUGAUUAUGAUUCAAGAAAUACACAAAUGGAGAAAUUAUUGGAAUGGUUAGUUAUUGUUUCAGUUUGUUAAGCAAGAUAGUUAGAGUUACUGAUGUGUUAGCUGGGCUGGCAUAAGUUAGUUAUUUUGUUAGCAGUUUGUUAGUGCACACUGCUCAACUCUCAGGUGCUUAGCUCAAGCAUAUGGAAUCUAAAAUGUUCAGGAACUUGUAUAAAUACAUUUUUAAUCAGCUAAAGAAUGUAUGAUUCAGAUUUAUUCAUCAAAUCCAGCUCUUAGAUGAUCUCUGUUCUUUCUUUCAUUUUCUCUCAUUUUCUUAAUUACCAAACAGAUUAGAAACUUUAACUUGAUAUCCGAGCCUGAGCUAUCAAUUCUCAUGGCUUCGUCAAGCUCAAAUCAGAAUACAAACUCCUAUGUUUCCUCGUUUACUUUCACUUCACCCAUCAAACUGGAUCGAUCGAAUUAUAGGAUCUCGAAAUCACAGGUCUUGUCUUCAGUCCGUGCCAAUGGACUAGAAGAUCUACUUGAUAGAUCAAAACUCUGUCCUAACCAAUUUCUUUUUACUGAAAUUGAAGAUUCAACAGCUGAAGCACAGACCAAUCCAGCAUUCACUUCGUGGAAGAGAAACGAUCAAUUGUUGUUGAGCUGGUUAAUGUCAUCCAUCAGUAUCGAGAUCCUUAGUCUUGUGGUAAACUCUCAAACCUUACUUGAGCUUUGGACUAAUCUGGAACAACAAUUUGGAUCUGAAACCUUUGCCAAGAAAAUUCAUUUGAAGAUGAUGCUUAAUAUCCUCAAAAAACGGCUCCUUGUCUGUGACUGAAUCUGGAGCGAACAAGGAACCUAUGAAAUGCUUUGAAUGUACCUCCUAGGUCGUAUUUACUAUACUAGUUAGGAGAAAUUAUGAUGUUAAAUUAUUUGAUAAAUACUUAAUAUAAUUUGAAAAAUAUGUUAAUUUUGUCCUUCAAUUUAUAAUAAAAAAUUUAUAAUAUAUAUAAAUCAUUCAUUCUGUAAGGUUCCGAUCGGAAGAAAUUAGCACCUUAUAAUGCAUGAUUACCCGUAUGUCAAGUUUGGCGAUUAUAAGUCAUCAUCACAAUAACUUUGGACUUUAAUAUUUAAGUCUCUGUUUGGGACCAAUGUAUGGCAGUUGGACAACACAUCACUCAAUUAUAGAGUGUGAAAUAUUGAUAUUGUUCUUAUUAUUUUACGUAAUGUAUAAACUUUUCCUUUUACUUUUGUUUGUUUAUUUAUUUUUUAUACUUAAUAAAUAUAAAUUUAUUUUUUUAAUAUUUAACAAAUAGUCACGGUCAGGCAAUAUUGUUAGAAAAUAACGAACGAUGACCCAAAUCCUUUUAUUUUACAUAAAUAAUUUCAAUUCACAACAACUAUAACGUUACAUUACCAAAUAAACACUAAAUAUUUUGAUGACUGUAGUUUAUCUUUCAUCCAUAGCAUGAAGAGUAUGAAAUAUGAUCCCAAAACAAAGAGUACGACAUGCCGUGUUGGGUUUACAGAAGAAGUGUACGCCAUGUCAUCCGAAAACUAAAAGGCACGUAUGACAACCAGAUUCUGUCAUCUCUGAUUUGCUUACACUUUAAGGAUGAAUUCUGUGUUUUGAGUGACAAUUAAAAGCUAGAGUGAGAAUUAGAGAGAGAGUUAUAUAUUCUUAUUUAUUCCUAGUCACUUGCUAUAUUGUGUAGGUCUUUUGUGACUCCAAUAAUAAAAACGCUCAAUAUUUUUUUUGAUAGAGCAAUAUUUGUUAAAGCAUGAAGAAAGGCAGAAAUAUUGUAAAUCCAUCUCAACUUUUCUGUUUAUUGUGGUCGCUGCAAGCACUGGCUGUUUUCUUGUUGAACUUUGUUCCCUUUUGCCAUCAGCUCUUUGCAUUUUCAUUGGAUCAAGCGACCCUUUUCUUGCUUCAAUUUCUGAUCUCAAAAGCACUUUGAUUCUCUUCUGUUACACUGAUUUUCUCCUUGUUUUGUACACAUAUUAUUUCUCUUUCCCAUUCAGCCUUGAUUUGCUUCUACUUGACUAUCAAUUGCCCAGUCGUUGAACCCGUUGUAUUUUUAUUUCGUUUACAUCAAAUAGACCAAAAAAAAAAAAAAAAGAGAUGGUGGAUAAAAGCCUAAAAUCUAAUUUGAUUUAGCUAAGAUGUCCAAUUUAAUACUAAGAAUAAUGUUAAGGAUCCCAAUAAUUGAGUCUCAACUGAUAUGAUAGUCAUUUAUUAGAUGAUCGAAAUAUUAAUUUUACUAGUUAUGGAAUUCAUUAUCUAAUAAAAAAUUGACACAUAACAAUUGGGUCUCAAGUUAGAAUUCUACUAUCGAAAUUCCUAACAUUAUUAUAAUAUUAAAAAUUCAUCAAAAUAAUAUCUGUUAUCUAAAAAUAAAAAUAAAAAUAUAAAACCAUAGAUUUACUCUUCAAUCUUCGUGAUUUGGCCGAUUUCUCUUAAAGCUUUGGUUUCUUUAGAAGUCCAAGGAGAAAUAGUAAUAAGAUUAAAAAAGCAAUGAAGUAAAACUUUAAAAUUUUUAUUUCUUUAUAUUUUUAUCGGUCAUUUGACCGGUACUGGCGUUUGAUUUUCUGACCGAGCUACUGUUUAGUUCUAAGUUUUGGCAAUUAGAACUGGUGGAUGUCGACUGUUCAAUAAUGAUGGCAGCAUUUGACUGGAGUGUAAUUGGCGCAGUGGAAUAAGGAUAACAUAUCUCAAACUUUAGGUGAUGAUAUUGUUAGAUAUUUCAUUGAUUGAGGAUCACAUGUUUUAUGACCACUAUUGUUAGAUAUUUUAUUGACUUACUAUGUAAGUCAAGCAAUUAUUUUUAAAUAAUGAUAUUAUAAUUAAAAAUCAAGAAAUAUUUAUAAUACUUAAAGACUAAUUCAGAUUAUUAUUUUUUUUAUAUGACUUAAUUAUUAGCUGACAAAUAAUUAAAGGGAGCCUCUAAGUUACAAUAAUUGUAACAUACAUUCUUCAUGUGAACCACACAAAAUUGUAGGACCCAUAAUUUGUGUGGUUCACAUGAGAGAUGUAUGUUACAAUUAUUGUAACUUAGCAUUUGCCAUAAUUAAAAGGUCAUACAGAACAACAUUUUUAGGUCAAUUGAUAAUUAUAAUAUGAUACAACUUGUACUUUCAUUCCUAUGCUAAAAUAUAUCUAGCCUGCUCAUGGUCAAGAAAUAUAUCUAUUCAUCACAUACUUGUUAGAAAGAUUAUCUACUAAUUAAUCAUUGAGACGAGAUUACGAGUCUCAACAUAAAUUAGGAUAAAAAUUAAUACAUUGAAAUUCAGAACAUUUCUUUUUUCUCCUUCUGCAGUUUCAAAAGGAGUCGCCCACUAGUACUGAAAUAAUUUUAUCAGAUUCGCUUGAAAGUAGUUUUACGAUCAAGCAGUUUUUCCCUCUUGAUCCCCGUAUUCAUCAGCUCCUACUCUUUGCCUUCAAUUCCCAAUCAAGUAGUAUCAGUUUUUGUUGUCAGCUCUCUUGAAUUUCACUGGAUCAAGUUUUCUCUUGGCAUCUGUUUUGUUGUAAUCUCCAGUCUUUGUUAAUUAGUUUCUGUCCAUUCCCAAUCUUGUUGUGGUCUGCUGUUGUCUCUGUUUGGUUCCAUAUCUACCCUUUGUACUUCUACCGUGUCAAGAUAUCUUCAUUUUUUCCAUCUCUAUUACCAGUCAAUAUUUUUUCCGUCUUUCUUCUGGUCAAUACUUCAGUUAUUCUGAUUGGUUCCCUUCGCCUCUAUUAUCUAAAUCAUUCCUUAUAUUAAUUCAAUCAGUUCUCGAACUAGAAACCUUUUCCUUGUUUCCAUCUUCUCACCAGAUCCAUAACAGCUUUUACUCUUUCUUUCAUUUCUCCGCUUCCACAACCGGAUAAACUGUCCAUCUUUGUUGUUUCGCUUUUUUUUUUUUUUCACUCUCUCUAUGUUUCGCUCCUUGUUUAUUUUCUUGUCAGAACUUUGAAAAAAAAAAAAAAAAAAGGGAUCCAGGAUGGUGGAAAGCAUUGUUACUGUUGUUUUAGAAUUUGUGAAAUGCUUGGCUCCUCCAACAGAACGCCGAUUUGGUUAUUUGCGUAACUAUAAAGCCAACGUUGAGAAUCUCAAGGCAGAAAUAGACAAGCUCGAGGAUGAAAGGAGAAGCAUUCAGCACAGGGUUUCUGAGGCUGAAAGAAAAGGGGAAAAGAUUGAAGAGAAGGUUGAGAAGUGGCUGGUUCGUGCGAACAACACCAUUGAGCAGUCAGCCAAAUUCAUUGACGAUGAGGAGACAACAAAUAAACGAUGUCUCAUGGGCUUGUGUCCUAAUUUGAAGACCCGCUAUCAGCUUAGCAAGGAAGCAGAAACAAAGGUGAAGGCCAUUGUUGAACUCAAAGAAGAAGCUGGGAAAUUUGAUGAUAGAAUUUCCUACCGUACCAUUCUGGAGGAUAUAUGGCUCAAGUCUCACAAAGGCUACGAGAC
Molecule: long non-coding RNA, 214868 nt
Filed under: Citrus maxima (pomelo)
Lineage: Eukaryota; Viridiplantae; Streptophyta; Magnoliopsida; Sapindales; Rutaceae
Description: long non-coding RNA (CMAX_LNC001251)
Source: RNAcentral